RNAcentral lists this long non-coding RNA (349790 nucleotides) under Citrus maxima (pomelo). Its description in RNAcentral is "long non-coding RNA (CMAX_LNC003843)". The stretch from base 294155 to 294261 matches the Rfam family "Plant small nucleolar RNA R71". Lineage: Eukaryota; Viridiplantae; Streptophyta; Magnoliopsida; Sapindales; Rutaceae. The record is from RNAcentral.
GUUGAAAAAAUAGCAUAUCAAUAUGCUAUUUUGAGGGGACAUUUUGAGUGGGUCCCACUUAGCGAAAGUGGGAAAUCUUGUGAAGUUCGGGUUCUACUCCGUGAAUACUUCAAAAGUAUAUAUUUAUUUACUCAAAAUGGUGCUUGGGUGAAUGAGAAAUUGUCUCUCAAAGUGCACCCUUGAAGUUGAAAAUUUGAAAGGAAUUAUAAGGAUAGAGGGAUUUGUGUUUAUCUAUAGACACUUACCCAUGCAUGAGCAAGAAUUAUAAGGAUAGAGGGAUUUGUGUUUAUCUAUAGACACUUACCCAUGCAUGAGCAAGAAUUAUAAGGAUAGAGGCUCUCUCCACACGCGCGUGCACAGGGGGGGUGCGAAUCCAAGACCGAUUUGGUUGAACUCGUGUGCGCCCGCGCAUCCUACGCAUGAGAAUGUCAGCCCAAAAUCACCCAAGCUUGCAUGGUACGUUUUUAAUUUCCUUUUAAAUUUUUGUAACAGUUUUUCAAUUUUUGAAUUCAAAGGAUUUGUAACAGCUUUGCAAUUAUUUUUGGGUUGUUAUGCAAAUUCAAUUUUUGAAUUCAAUAGGCUGUAUUGAAUUGUUUAAAUUCAAUUGGCCAUUACAACAAUUAAAUGGCAUAUAUUGAAUUUGGAAAUUCAAUAUUAUACUAUUGUUACAUCCUCACAUGUGUAUAAAAAGGCAACUUCCUCUUCUGUUUUUACACACAAGAACAACCAACACACAUAGCACUUCAAAAUUUCUUUCCUCCUUCUGACGUUCUAUUUUUUAUCGAGUUUGUACGCUAUUGUGGUUCGCCGGAAUUAUCAGUCUGUGCUUGAUGGAUAAUUAGUACCCGUUGUAUCCUGGGAAACAGUUACCAGCAAACCUAAAGCACUACAAUAGGUGAUAAAUCUGUUUUAAGGAAACUAUGUUGCAGGCCUCGGGUUUAUUUUCUGUUUCCGUUUUCUUUUCCCUGUUAUUUUUCAUUUGUUCAUUCGUGAUUUCCAGUUGCUGUUUUACAUUGUUGUUUAAAUUAGCUACAGUAUUAAAUUGUUAUCUCACUAUUAAUUUUCUUACAAUUCUCCUGGUGAUCUAUUUAAUUUAAUUAGAUGUUGAUGGUAGAGAUAGAUCACUCAUGUGGAGGCAUUUUAUAAAGUAGUGUGAUAGCUGUUCGUCCACUAAUUAUAUAUGAAACAAUACAAGUGGCCUAUUUUAGCAUGAUUUUGGGAGUUACUUUCUUAGUCAAGGGUUACUUUCUUUACUCAAGGGCUAUAGGUCGUUUUCUAUGGUCCAUUCAUCUUUGCUUUGUGGUUGCUCCGCUAUAUAAUUUCUAACAAAUUCUGUUAACGGCUACGAGUUAUUAAUAAAUAAACUCUUUUGUGUUGCAUGUGGUUAGGUAAGUAAGAAGUUUAACUCAUUCAUAGCAUUUUUUAAUUAACCUGUUUAAACUUCAUGAAUCAAAUGUGAUUUGAUCCAAUAUUUAAUUAAAAAGGGAUAAGUUGUCAAGUAAAAAUGCGAUUUACUAAAUUUUUUAAUUGUAUGCACUGUCGAAAUUAGGGCAAAUAUUCGUUUAAUCCCUAUUUUUAAUUUAGAGUUAGAUGUGUAUUUAGUCAUUGUAUUUUAAAAAGUUUCUCAAAGCCGUUAAAUAUGUGACACUACUGACCUUAUUGUUUCUUUACUUUUACAAUUAUACCCUUACUACAAUUUUGAGCACAUUAAUUAGUUUAUCUAUAAUAAAAAGUUAUCUAAUAACAAUAAUUAUUUAUUAGUGAAUUAACUAAUAAAUAUUAUUAUGAAAGAAUUGGUACUUUUUGUACAUUGCAAUAUUCUUCCUAAUAAUUAUUUUUAAAGAAGUUAAUACUAGCCAACCUAAAGCAAUAUUUGGAACCUUGCAAUAAUACAUAAAUAAUUUACAAAAUUAACCAUAAAAGUAAAUCAAUAACAAAGAUUUACAUUUAUUUUUAUUUUUUAGCAUUAAUUCUUUAAUAAUCUUUUUAUAAAUAAAUUAAUUAAUGUCCCUAUAAAUGUUGUUGCAAGGGCAUCAUCAUAAAAACAAAAAAAUAAUAAGGGCAUGAGUGUAACAUAUUUAACAGUAUAGAUAUUUUGAGGUAUUUUGAAAAAUACAAGAAAUAAAUGCAUAACUAAUCAAAAUAUAAGGAUUAAACAAGUAUUUACUUAUCGAAACUAAGUAGAAAUACAAUAGAAUCCUGAACAUUAUUACAUUACCCUUAUAUUGUAAUAUGAAAUUAGUAGAUCAUUUAUUCAUUUUGUCUUGCCUUGCCUUUUUAAGAUCCUGACACGUGUUUGUUGUUAGUUAUUUAUAGUUUAUGAAUAACUUUUCAUUGUUUUUGAUUCCAUGAACCACUGAUGAUCAAUAGAUUCAAAAAAGAUAAGCCGAAGACAAGAUGAAUAGAACGUAUAAAUCAGAGCGGGCCCAUGAUCAAAUUUAGGCUGUGCUAAAUUAUAAAUUUAUAGUAUAUAUUAGAGUUAAUGUCAGUGCACAUAAACAAUUAAAAAUUUUACUCUAAACAAAAUGAAAACUUUUAAUAAAAUAAGUCUCUAACUCUAACUAGUGACAUGGUAGAUUACUCUUUUUAUAUGAAUUUUAAAGGUCCCAAUUCAAAAUUAACUUAACUAGAAGAUAUAUUUAAUUUAUUUUAAAAGAAAUUGAUUUCGGGAUACAGUUGAGAAAAAAGUGAUAAUUAUAUUCUUAUGGAGAAGAUCAUAAAUCUAUACGGAUUUUAAGUACUAAGCUGGGCAGUUUAGCCCAGAUUAUCGAUCGCGCCUAACCCAGUUGGGUUUAACUCUUAGCUUUCCUCCAAUACACUCUUUUUUUUUUUUUUUUUGAAUAGCCUCCAAUACACUCUUAAAACUCCAUUUUUAAGGAAAAAAAAAACCAUUAUCGUUAUUAAUACUCACUUUAAUUCGAAAAACUACUUAUAAACAUCGUAAUCUUUCAGUUCAAAACCCAGAAAACACAGUUUUCUUGAUUUUCCAUUAUCCAUCAUGCGUCUAUACUUUUCUUGCUUAAAUAAAUAUUAUAAUACCUUCAAUGAAAGAUUAAAUGUAAGCUUCAAUUCUAUGAUUUUUAAGUUGAAUUGCCCUGUCACAUUAUCCUCUCCAUCAUAUUUUUUGUGCUUUCACAUUAAGAGUAAAAGAAUUCCUGUUGGAUGAAAAUUCAUUAAUCAUUUUAAUCAUUCAUUUGUGAUCAGAAACAAAACAAUAAAAUGAGAGUAAUGAUGAAUAAAAAAAUAAAAAUAAAUCGUGGGUUUAGCGGUGAGUAACGGACGGUGUGGAGGUGACAGUGUGAGAUAGUUUUGAGAGAGAGGAAACGAGGUGAGAUUUAGAAAGAUUGUUUUGUUCUUUAUCGUAAUUACAUAAAUGAGGGCUUUUAUAAGGUUAAUGGUGGGGGUGGGGCUAUUUUAACGCAUAAAUUCCUUUUUUCACCCUAUUUGUUCUCUCUCUACAUCACUUGCAAAUUAAAAGCUUACCAUUUCACUCUCUAUGGCCAUGGAUUCUUUAUCUUCAUUAAUUCCACUACAUUUUAUUUGUGGCAUUUGAAUUGCGACUUUUUUAUUCUAUUUUAUUUCAAAUGAAACAAAGAUUUAUAAUUUUAAACAGAUUUAGGAAAAAUAAAAAAUUUAUAGCUUUCACGAUUACUUAAAAUUCUUGAUACUUAUUUUUGUAUGGGGGGUUUGUUCAUAUAAAUUGAAGACAGGGUAGUUAUUAUUAUUACGUUCUUGGUCGAAGAGCUUUUGAAUAAAAUCAGUAAGCCAACUUAGGGUCUAAAAUUUCCAAGCAAAGCAUGCAAACCCCUUUGGCCUCGAGAGCCCUAGUCUUGAAAAGCCACUAAACCUUGAUCUGAUAUUGCUUGUAGCUUAUAGGAAAAAUUAAUUUCGAUUAUUCGUAAGAUUUAACAUUCAUUUGGGGAUGAGAAAAUCAAAGGAAUUGGUUAGAGAUGAUCAAGAAUUGUGAGAGAGAGAGAAUAGGGUUAAUUGGGUAAUUUUAUCAAAAUUAAUUCGAUAAUAAAUAUUUUAAUUAAAAAAUAGGUGUAGAGAGAAAAUCGGUGGACGUAAAUGUCCCCAUCCUAAUGGUUGGGGGCUAAUAUAUAUUCGUAAAUAUCCUUAACUUAAAUUACUAUUAUAACUUAAUAUUAAAAAAAAAUAUUUCUCUUCCUAAAAGUUUUUAAGCUGUGAUAAGAAGUCUAAUUACUAAGCAUAUGGGUUUAUUAAGUAUUAUAGUGGGUUAGCCCUACCCUUUGAUUUAUUGGAUAUAAUAAAGGGAGAAUGAUCAUUUAGUUUCUCUUACAAUUUGAUUUUACCGCUUGGUCCUUAAUUUAAUAUCUUAUUAAAGCAAUAUUAAAAGAUAAAUAUAACCUUUUAAUUAACAAACAAAUUAAUUAGAAAAAGAAAAUUGAUUCUUCAUUAUUAAGGUAACCCAUAAACUCUAAUAUAAGUUACAUUACAAAUUUUUAUUUAUUUGUUGUCAAUUAGACUUAUUGGAGAGAGUUAAUUUAUAAAAAAAUAUAAUAUUUAUGAAAACAUAAAGAAAUGUCAGUCAGCAUACUCUAUGGUAAAUUCUACAUUCAUUUCAUAUAUAAAAGUUCUAUCUACAAGCGCAAUCAAUUAGAAACAAACAGAUGAGCCUUAGUCAAUAUGUCAUGUAGGUUAAUUAUUGUACAUGUCACAAUCAGAGACCAAAAUUUGCAUACGGUUGACUAGUAAGAAGACUUCCUGAGACAUCAAGUUUCAAGUUUCAAGUUUCAAGUUAAAAGUUUUAAGUCUUUCUUCAGAUUUUAUGCCCAAACGCCAAAUCCCAAGCUCCCUCUCAAACUUUUAAGGCUUCAUGUUUUCUUGAUCUGAAAACGCCACCCAAAGGUACAUCAUUCUUUCCUUCGUUUCUUUUUCUUCGAGAGCAUCUGCAAGUAAAUUUACUUUCACUCCAUGCUUCCAAUGAUUUGUUUCUUGUUUUAGAUUAUAUAUUUAGCAAAAUAUUCUUUUUCCUCAAAACUACCUAAAAAUUUAUAAUUUAUAUAACUAGUUUUAUCUUAGUCAAUGUAGUGAAGCCAUUUCUUUAUGUUUCUGUUUUGGUUAGAUGAAUUGUUUACUGAGAAAGAUCAAGCGUUCGGAGAGGGAAAAAACGAAAAUAUAUGUGAUGAGAAACGGAGAAAUGUUUCUGGAGAAAUUGAUCAAAUCUUGUAAUAACAAACGCAACCCCCUUCAUUGUUAUUGUGCUGAAGAGCUCAUGUCAGCAACAAACAAUUAUGACAAACACAAAGUUAUAAAAACUGGAAUGAGCUAUGAAUUAUACAAGGGUUUUCUGCAAGACCAUCCCGUUUCUGUCAUGAAGUUCUUUGAAGACUUUGAUUAUGCAAAGGCAUACUGUUUUAAUAACAUUGUAUACGCAUCACAAAUGAUUCACAAAAAUUUUUUGAGGUUGGUUGGAUGCUGUUUGGAGACUCAAAAUCCUAUUUUGGUUUUCGAAAGUGCCGAGUAUGGAACUCUUGCUGAUCGUAUUUAUCAUCCUCGUCAUUUUGAGCCCUUACCAUGGACACUGAGGCUAAAGAUUGCAAUGGAGAUAGCUUAUGCAAUUGCUUAUCUUCAUGUUGGAUUCUCCAGGCCAAACGUUUUCAGAAAGCUUGAACCUUCCAAUAUUUUAUUGGAUGAGCAAAAUGUUGCAAAAGUGUUUGAUUUUUCAUUUUCCGUGUCUAUUCCGGAGGGUGAAACCCACAUAACCGAUUGGUUGUUGGGAACAUUUGGAUAUAUUGCUCCUGAAUAUGUUACUAAUGGUGAUUGCAAUGAGAAGUGUGAUGUUUAUAGUUUUGGCAUGUUGCUGCUUGAGCUUUUAACUGGACAUAGGGCUGUUGAUCGAUCCAGACGUCAAGAAAUUGAAGAUGAAUAUUUUUUGGGUGAUCACGUGAGGUUAUACAUUGAAAGGAGUAGGUUCAAUGAGAUAAUAGAUGCCGUAAUUGUUGGAGACGGAUUAUGCUCCGCAACAGAGCAGAAAGUGCAAGCUUUUACCAAGCUGGCCUUCAGUUGUCUAUCUGUAUCAGCAGAAGAUAGACCAACAAUGGUUGAUGUGGCGAGAAAACUUAGACUAAUGCAUCGUUCUGAAACGUAAUUUGUUGAAGCAUUCAUAUGUUUAUGAAUCUUUUCUUUACUUAUGUUGCUGCUACUUCAUGACUUUCUAUCAUAUUCCAUAUUACUGCAAGAUAAGUAUACCUUCAUUAAGUUCUGAAGAGUUUAAUGAAUCCCAUUUUAAAUCUUUUCUUUUUCCCUCACUCAACGGGGGCUAUCAGUAGUUUUCUUGAUCUGGUCUAUCAAUUUUUACUUUGUUGUUACUUCUGCCAUACAAUCUCUAACAAAUUGAAGGCUACCAAUUAUUCGGAAAAAAAAAAAAAAAAAAAAAACCUUGUGUUUGUGGGGAGAAAAGUAAAAAUUUUAACUCAUUCACAUAGCCUUUUUCAAUUAACCUAUAACCUAUAUAUAAACUUCAUGAAUCAAAUGUGAAUUGAUCCAAUAUUUUAAUUAGAAAGUAAUAAGUUGUCGAGUAAAAGUGGAUGUUAAUACAACACAGUCUCGAACAAUAGUACAUUACCCUUCCAAUUGGGAAAGGAAGAUGAGUGAGAUUAAUUACGAAGAGAAAAGGCAAAAUUUUAUUGAAAAAAUUGAUUGCAUCUUGUAAUGGUAAGCACAAUCCUAUUCGUUGCCUCACGAAAAUGAGCUCAAGGCAGCAACUGUUGAAAAUUCAAAAGUAAAUGGGGCUCACAUGUUGGAUUCAAUUUGAAUGCACCGAAAUCCACAUGCAUUUCUUGAAAAAAUCAAGAAGAGUUGGAGCCGCAUGUUGAUAAUUUGGAAAAGUUGGAGGCUUGGACAUUUGUCAAAAAAAGAGGAAAUUGGUUGCCGAUUUCUUAAACUUUUGUUGUGAUAAUUAAAUGCAUUUAUGGUAAGGCCGGAUUAUAAAUAGAGAAGUAAUUUUCAUUUGUAAAUUAUCCUAAAAAUAUAGAGUGUGAGAACUUAGGUAAAGAGCUCUCUCAGAGAAUGUAGAGAAAUUCUCUGUGACAGAGUCUAGAAAAAAAGAACAUUUAUAAGUGAGCUCUUAGAAAGUUUAUGAGAGUGUUUCCUUAGGCGCUCAGUUGGGUUCUGCACUAUUUCUAUAUGUAUAAAAGAAUGUCUAUCUUGCGAAAAUUGUUUUGUUCAAAAGUAUAUGCAAGUACUGGGUGUAUUUAAGUAUUUGGAAUGUGAGAUUUCAUUACUCAAAUUUUUAUUAUAUUAAUUGUUAGUAAAAUAAUCAUUCUUUUUUUCAUCCGUGGGCGUAGGCUUUAUUGUCGAGUCAUAUAAAAUUCUUUUGUCCUUUAUUUUUUUGUGAAUAUUUGGUGCAUAUUGAUUCUGCAUUUGCACACAAGUGAUAUCAUACCAUAAGAAAUGACACUUCCGCAGCACAAGAAGUGGUAUCGAGUUGAUGGUUCGUACUUGGGGUAUACAAUGUUGUUCAUGUAUUUAGUAAUAUUUAUAUGAUAUUGUUCAUGAAUACGAUGAGGCUGAUUGACACUAAAAGGUUUACAUUUAAUAAGGUUAAAAAUUAUCAGUUUCUCACUAACAAUGUUAAUUAAUGGGCUAAUAACUUACAAAUUAUCUCAAUGCUCUCCUAAUAAACUUUUAUGUUAAAUUUAUUUACAAUAUGUUAGUUUUAUGUUCAUUUUUAUUUCAAGAAUAAAGAGGGAAUUGGAACCAAAAGCAGAAAACAAAGAAGAUUGAUGGAGCCAUUUGGAAUACAUUUUUGAGGAGAUGUAAUUAAUAAAAAUAAUAAAAAAUAAAAAAGGAAGUGAGCUAUAUCGUGAUAGUCAAGUGGGCAUUUUAUCACUUGACUAUCACACAUUUCUAUGUAAAUAUAUAAUUGAAAAAAAAAAUAAUAAAAUAAAAGAAGAUGAUAUAUUUGUUGCCUAUAAAAGGUAAGGGGAGGAAGAAUGAGGGGACGGGCGAGAGAAGACGAGAAAGGAGCUGAGACUGAGACUUAGAAAUUUUUUUCUUUUGUGUAGUUAACCCUCUUUUAAUAUAUUUCAGAAGUUUUUUAAAUAAAAUGAGUGUUCUAUUUAUCAACAUGAGUGGCUAAAUUUUCUAAGUUGAGAUGAAAGGUGAAGCUCAAGGAUUUAAAUUAUUGAAUUAAUUACUCUCUCAAGUGAGUCCUAAAGUUUAUUUUAUUUGUUUGUAUUUUUUUUCUUUACCAGUUUCUUUUUAUGUCAUGUUAAUUUAUAAAUCUAGAUCUCCUUAGAUCUAUAUAGUAUUUUGGCAUAAUGUCGUCACUCUAAUAUAAUUAUGGCACAUUAGGUACUUGAUUUCAUAUUUAUCCAUACAAACGGUUAGUUAAAGAUUAAAUAACAUAAUAAUUAACUAGAAAAAUGAAUGAUGAAUGUAAAAUAUAAAUAUGAGAGAGUAUUAGGACAACAAUUUGACAACUGAGAGUAGAUCCCGUAAUCUUAACAUUUUUUGUCAGAUUGAUCCAUAUUAAUUUUUUUCUUUAAUUAACUUUUAUUUAAUAAUUGACUACUAGAUUUUUAUAUUCUAUGUGGUUCGACUCCAGACUCAAUAGAUUAUAUUAUAACUAGACACUGUUAUACUUGAGAGUAAAUAACACUUUUGCAUCACAUCAUAUUUUUGGCGUCAUUCCUGAGAAUUUUCUAAAUUUGGUGUCAGUUUAUCCUUAACUUUGUCGUUCGUUUAUGUGUUCGUCACUUUAUUUUAUUUUAUUUCUUUGUAAAACUUCAGUUAACCCCCCACUUCUCUUGAAAUUUUAGUAUUAUCUAUAAAAUUUGUGAAAACUUCAUUUUGACCUAAAAACUUUGCAAAUCAGUCCUUAAAUCGAAUUGGAACUUAGAUCUUAGGAGUAUGACUUAUUCUUUGGACUUUUGGACUUAAAAGACUAAAUGAACUUGGACCUUUGGACUUUGUGCACAUAAUGGAGGUGGACUUUUUUAAAAUUAUCAUUAAGGCCCAUAAAUCAAAUUAAUUAUCUAAUUGGUCAUUAAUUCUUAAAAGUUGUUAAAAAGGGGGGAAGAAUUCAUGCCUUGUGGUAAGUAUUCAUUUCCUUCCUUCUUUUAAUUUCUACAAUUUAAUUUUUGUAAUUUUUUUGUGUUAUUUUAUAUGGCUGGUUUAACCAUCUAUUAUUUCAACUUCAACUGGUCAAUUUUUAAUUUAUUUAUUUUUAUUUCACAUUUAUUUAUUUUUAAUUUUUUUACAUUUAUUUUAUUUGCUUAUUUAAUGUUUAGUUUAUUUUUAUUUGUGCAAUAUUCAUUUAAUGUUUUAUGCAUUAUUCAUUUGUUUGUGUAUCAUUUUCAUAAUUUAAUUUGACACACUUACAAAUCAUCAGCAUUGUAUGCGACAUUGGUCUCAUAUAGAAAGUGGCAAAUUGAUUAGGAGAUCGCCUUCAUCAUCUUUAAACAUAGCCAAUAUCAAAAGUGAUAACAUUUUAAAGUAUGGAAAUAACCAAACCUUGCAAAAUCGUCAUGAACAGCCUAUGACACUUGGAGAUUUCAUGCAUUCUACUAGAACAAGGUCAUCAUUAUGCAUAGAUUUUCCUCUUGAUGCAUCUCAUAUUAAUUUCAAAUCUAGUAUCAUUCAACUUCUACCUAUUUUUCAUGAUUUUGAGUCUGAAAAAUCAAUACUUGUGUUUAAGAGAAUUUGAGGACGUUUGUAACACCAAUACUGAUCGGAAUUGUAGCAUAAACAUAAUUAGACUCAAGUUUUUCUAUUAUCAUUAAAGGAAAAAGUUAAAACUUGGCUACAAAUUCUUUCAAAAGAGAAAUCACCACAUUCACUCAAAAGUUAGGAGAAACCCUUUAUCAAUGUUGGGAUAGGUACAAGGAGAUACUUGACAUUUGCCCACACCAUGGUUUUAAAACAUAGAGGUUAAUGUCUUAUUUCUGUGAAGGACUAACAUCUCAAGUAAACAGGUUGUCAAAAUGAUGUGUAAUGGUGAAUUUAGGAACAAAAGUCUUGAAGCUGCAUUAAAUUACCUUGACUAUAUAGUAGAUAAUGCACAAUACUGAGACAUAGUUGGUUUUUUUUUUUUUUUUACGAGUCACCAAAUAAACUUUAGUCAUCUCUAUCUGGUGGAGGCAUGUACAACUUUAGGGGAGACCAUGAACUUCAAGCCAAAUUUGCAUCCAUACGUAGAAAAGUCAAAGCACUAGAGUCCAAAAAAAUGAUCAUGUCGUGUUUGCAACUCUACUGACCAUUCUAUGCAGGACUAUCCAACAUUGCCAAUUCUGAGAGAAAGUUUGCAUGAACAAGUAAAUGUCAUGAACAAUUUUAAAAAACCACCCAAUCCAUACUCCCAAACUUACAACUCUGGUUAGAGAAAUCGCCUAAAUUUUAGUUGAAGAAAUGAUAAUAAUGCACAACCUUCACAAAUAGCUCCUCUACAUUAGAAAAAGGUAUUUUUACUUCUUAUAGUACUUAUUCUAGUAAAUAUGGUAUCAAGCACUCAUUGGGUCAGGGGAAAUAAUUUUCUACUAAAUGUGGUGUUUAAGUACAUGUUGUGCUAGGUGAUAAUAAUCCUACUAUCAACAAUGUGGCAAGCCCGUCCACUAAAAAACUUAGAUGCAUUCUCUGUCAACACUGAGUCAAGACGAGCCACUAAUACUAAAGUGGAGUUUCUCGCUAACAAAUAUAGUGUAAAGUGCUUUGUAACAUAUACACCCUAAUUUUUCCUAAUUAAGUGUAUUGUGUAUUUUACAUUACGGUAUUAAUUUUUAAAGUCGUCAGAUUGGUUAUAAAUUAUUACGGGAAAACUUGACGUGACUCGAUUUCUUAUCAUGAAUUAAUGGAUUUGGGUCGAGUUAAUAAAUGGAUCAUGUUUUGAAUAAAUUUAAAAUUUGUCAUGACAUAAAUUGAGACAAAUCGAACGUGAUAAAGGGUCUUGUAGUCGGAUUUUAUUUUCAUCACGGGUCUGGUAUUAGCUUAAUUUGUAUUAAGCUAAAAAAAAAAAAGAGGGAACCGUUACUAUAAAUGGAAAGAGAGAGGAGUUGGUUUCCAAAAAUAGAAAGAGAGACAUGUUUGACCCGACCGCGACUUGCGACUUUGACUCGGCUCCAGCCGUUGAUUCCGGCCACCACUCCGGCCGAUCUAGGUACCGAUUUGAAGCUUGAAAGAUGAGCAACAUAUCCCUGCCAUCUUCGUCGCUGGAUAAUGGCCAGAUUACCGGCGAUUUAGCUCGAAAAGAUCACGUCUCCACCCGUUUUAGUUGCCAUCGAUUUCACUGGAAUUAGGCUGCAUCACCACUUGGAUCUUGAUCCUCAACUCACCCUCAUCGUUUUUCGACCAACCCCACCACCUAAAACCUUCGUUUUGGCCAUGAACAAUUGUCGGAAAGCUCACAGCUUUGGGAGCAUAAUCCGCCGCCAUCGCUGCGCGUGGGAGGUCACUGCGGGCACCAUUGGACUCAUCGAGGUCAGAACUGUCAGGUCUGAGCUUCCUGUCGUCGUUGAUUGAAUUCCCGUCACCGUUGACCGGUAGGGGCAAUUCAGAGGACCCGCGAAUGAGAAUCACCCGCGAACAUUGUUGAUACCGAGUCUGGACAUCGUCACUAUGAGUGGAAUAUUCAAAACAUAUUUUCAUAGUUUAUUAUGAUAGUAAAGCAUAUUUAUGAAAUGAGUAUUUUAAUUAUUCUGAUUUCAUGAUUUUCUCGAAAUGGAUUUUAUUCACACAUUGAUAUUUUAUUAAAAUGUUAGUUAAUGGUUUUCCGAAUUGAUUUUGAAUAAAUCAUGCUAGUAAUUUUAAGACUAGAAAAAAUGUGUUAGUGAAAAGAAUAAUAUGAUUGAUAGUAUGAUUAAAAGGUAUAUGGUUAUGAGUAUAAAGAUUGUUUUGAAGUCAUUAGACAGUACCCUUCCCCUCCAGAUACAGUGAUACAUAUGAUAUGAGAUGAGAGGCCUUUGCGGCCCGUCUGAGUACACACAGAGGCUUUGGGCCGUGUACUUGGGCGCAUUGUCGUUUGGGGACCAGAUCGUGCAUGCACAAAUAUGAUGAGACAUGAUGAGAUAUAUGAGAUGAUACUUACCGGUCUAUCCGUGUAGCUCCAGCGCAUGAUGGUACUUAGAUAGUACGUUAUUGGCUAUCCGUUGAGGUCCGGAAAUGAGACAUGAUGAGAUCUAUGAGAUGAUACUUACUGGUCUAUCCUUGUAGCUCCGGGGCAUGAUGGUACUUAGAUAGUACGUCAUUGCCUGUCCGUUGAGGUCCAGAUAUGAGAUAUGAGACAUAUGAGAUGACAUUUCGUUGUCUACCUGUUGUAGCUCCAGGGCAUGAUGGUUCCCUGAUUGCCCGUCCGUCGAGGUCCGAGUAUGACGAGAUUAUUCCCGUGGGUACUUGUUUGGUGAUAGUUUUCAGUAUUCAAUGUUCGAUAUUAUAAGUGUUAUGAUUUAUGAAAUAUUGUUAUUCCAGUGUAUGAUUUAAAUUAAAUAAGUUUAUUUAACGUCUCAUGAAAUUUUGAUGGGAUUGUUUAGAGAAGAAUUAAAUUAUUUUUAAGUAAAUUUAUUUUUCAAAAACUAUUAUCCACCCACUGAGUUCACUGAGUUUUAUACUCACCCUGUUUUUAUUAUAUUUUUCCCCCCCAUAAGAGACUUGCAGGUACAUCAGUCGACCCAGCAACGAUAGUUAGAUUUGAAAUUAUGGCCACAUUAUGGUGUUAGGAAUCAUAGAUAUUAUGUUGGGAUAUUGUGAAUUGUAUAAUUUAUUACUUAUUUGUGAUUAAGGAUAAAUUAUUGUAUUCUUGACAUUAUAUGUUUGAAGAAUACUGGUAUUUGAUUGAGGAAGUUGGUUGUGGAGGUUGAUUGAAUAUUGUAUCACUUUUGGGAGUGUUAAUUUUAUAAAUUGCAGGUUUGGGGAUGUCACAAUUAUAUAUGAGACUUCACUAGAUUUUUUGUAGAAUUAUUAGAUAUUAGAAUUAUUAUUAAUUCAUUUAGGCGAGAUUAGAUAGAGUCAUCCUGGGAGUUCGAGGGGGGGUCGUUUCAAGCUCAUUAUGCCAAACAGUAAUGAUCUUACACUAAGGAGCCAAUAUAUCAUACAAAAUCUAGAGAAGAUUAUUACUGUCUAUCAAUGAUAAGCCAAAACAAUCCAUAUAAAUGAGAGAGAGUUAAUAAACUUAUCAUAUUAAGUCCAUGGAUCAUGUUGAGGCUUCACUCUCCACUCAAGCUUGAAGUUAAAUUAGUCACUUAAAUCGAACUAGCUAUAUAAAAUGGUAAUUGAACUAGCUAUAUAAAAUGGUAUUUUUAUACUAAAAUACGUAGAAAAUACAAGAUGGAGAGAGAAUUUUAGAAAAUAGAAUUUUCAAAUUAGGGAGAAGUCCUCUAUCUACAGAUACAAUGGGUAAAUCAUGGCCAUCAAAUGAAAAUAACUCAAAUGCUCAAGAUUGCACCAUGUGACAAGCUCUUAUUGAACGAAACAUGUUACCAAAGCUAUGAUUCGAUGAAUUACAUGUAACGCACUCUUAGUUUUUUGGUUUAAUAAUAUGUUGCCACAUCAUCUAUCAACAUAAAAGUCAACUAGCAUUGAUUCAGUGUAUUGCAUGUAUCGUAAGCUCAAUUUUUGGUCCAAUAGGAUGCUACUAUGUCAUCAGUCAACAUAAUAGGAUGAAGUCAUAUCAUCGGUCAAUGCCACAUCAAUUGGGUCCCACUAAAAUCGUAAAAUUAUGAUUUUACCCUUUAUAUUUUUCCUAAGAUUUUUAGUUAUUCUAAGCUCCAAAAUACUAUCUAUUAUGCUGUCCAAUUUCUCAUUAACUGUAAAAUAACCAAAAUACCACUAAAAUACAUAAAAUAUUCAAUUAUACAAAAACACGCGCAAUCAAAGUUUAAAAAACUUAAAUACAUAAAAGUAUAAAUGUUAAUGAGACUUGGAGUGCAAAAUGAUGAUUCUAACCUUUUUAAAUAGAUAGCAUUUUUUACCUUAGAAUCUUUAUAAGGCAAGUCUCAUAGCAAAAGAAUUUAUUUAGGAGAAAGGUAUUUUCUCUCUAGUUGUGAAAUAUACUUUUGUUUCUAUCCGACUUUCUUACAUAGGGAUAUGGAGGAGGAGAUCUAAAUGACUCAAUUUUCUAGUUUCAAAGUUGCUGAAAGGAGAAUUAUACGUGUAGGAUGGUUAAAUGAGAUUUUAUCAAGGGCAUAAUUCACAAGAAAUUAACACAAUUACUAUGUUUACUUUAGAAUACUACAAUAUGAAGCUUUCAUCCAUUUAUUACUCUAAUUAAAUGAAAGGCUUAUAGCUUUCAAGGAAUAUAGAUGAAAUUGAAAAAGCAGAUGGCUUUUGAGAUUGAGAUGAAAGACUUGAUAAUGCACAGAGAAUACUUGCGAUGGAGAUUUCGUAAAGACAAGAAGAAUGAAAGCAUAUAGUUUACUUAAGGGUCUAUUUUUAGAAAAGGCGCUAGAAAGGUUCGGUAUAAAUGACAAAGAUUAAACUAAUUUGUACUUCUUCAGCUCCUAAGCUUCAUGUCAUUCUCCUCAAGUGGAACAUGAGUACAUGGUUCACAUUCAUAAACCUGUGCUAUAGGUAGUCUUAUAGAUGUGAUGAUGUGUAGAAAGUCUGAUAUAUCUGAAGCAGUGAGCAUAGUUAGUAGAUUCGGAUAAAAUUCUCUAGCUUGCUAUGAUGUGGAUUCUCUUAUAUGAGUAUGGGAUAAUUUGUGAAAGCAUUUCUUUUAGGAGUCGUGAACUACUAUCGACUUGAUCCCAGUAGUUAAGUAUGUAAGCAGUCGAAGCGACACAACCAUUUUGGAUCCUUAAUGGAGGAUCACUUUAAGGAUGUUGAUUCAUUGAUAGUCCGCUCAAAUUUAGAUAAAUAUUUUUUAGGUAGAGAAUUGUUGAAAAGUCAAAAGUAAAAGGGGGCUCACAUGUUGGAUUCAUUUUGAAUACACCGAAAUCCACGUGCCUUUCUUGAAAAAAUCAAGAAGAGUUGGAGCCACAUGUUGGCAAUUUGGAAAAGUUGGAGCCAUUUGUCAAAAAAAAAAAAAGAAAUUGGUUGCCAAUUUCUUAAAAAUUUGUUGUGAAAAUUAAAUGCAUUCAUGGUAAGGCUUAGCUAUAAAUAGAGAAGUUAUUCUCAUUUGUAAAUCAUUCAAAAAAUGUAGAAUGUGAGAGCUUAGGUGAAGAGCUCUCUUAGAAAAUGUAGAGAGAGUUCAUUAUGAGAGAGUCUAGAGAAAUGGAGCAUCUACAAUUGAGCUCUUAGAAAGUUUGGAAGAGUGUUUCGUUGGGUGCUCAGUUUUGCACUAUUUGUAAAAAUGUGAGAGAAUGUGUCUUGCGAAAAUUGUUUCCUUCAAGAGUGUAUGAGAGUACUGGGUGUAUUUAAGUAUUUGGGAAGUGAGAUUUCGUUAUCAAAUUUGUACUAUAUUAAUUAUUAGUAAAAUAAUUUUUCUCUCUUGCUUCUGUGGACGUAGGCCUUAUUGCUAAACCACAUGAAGUUCUUGUGUCCUUUAUUUUUUAUGAAUAUUUGGUGUGUAUUGAUUCUCCAUUUGCGCACUAGUGGUAUCAAACCAUAACACAACAGCAAGAAACUACUAUGAUGCAAAGAAUGUUAUAAGAGAUGCAUUUGUCUAUUAAUUGUACAAUCGUUUUCUUGAUGAUUGUCCAGUUCUAUGAUGCAAUUUGCAGAUUGUGAAGACAAAUGUACUUUUAGUUACAUUAAAUUUGCAACAAAAAUAUGUCACUAAAAUGUUUUGAAAUUGAUUGGAUGGUACUAAGAGACUCAAGUUCUCAUUCCAGUGUUCAAAUCUUUAGAGUAGGAGUUGGCAAACCGAACUGGACCCGAAGUAUUAUCAGUUCGAUUCGAGUUUUUUCUAGUUCAGUUGGGUAUUAUUCUCAGAAAAAACUGAAUAUUUUGGUUCAAAAUAAAACUCAAUACUCCAGUUGAGUUUUUAGUUCAAAAUUUCAAAUCUAAAAAUUGAACUAAAAAACCAAACAAAUAAAUGAAAGAAAUGUCGUGUGGGGUUUAGAGAGGAUAUAAUUAAAUCGGUUCAAUUAAGUUUUUUCAAUUUUGGUUCGUCUUUUUCCAUUUCGAUUCGAUUUUUUAUAACUCAAAAAUUGAAUGGAUUAAUACCGAAACCAAACCAGUUUUUUAAAAUUCCCAAACUAAACCAAAGUAGUGCCCAUCCCUGCUUUAGAGUAUAGGACUCUUGAAGAUUGUCUUCAUGGUUAGCCAUAAUAUUUGGAACUUUCAUAAAUGAAAUAUAAGCUGAAAAUUACAAUAGAGACAGUAAAUUAUAUUGCUUAUCUUGAUAUUGGAUUCCUUUGGCCAAUUAUAUUUAGAGAUAUCAAACCAUCAAGUAUCUUAGAGAAGACCACAUUGCAAAACUAUUUGAUUUUUCCCUAUUUGUAUAUAUUCGAGAGGGUGAAACUCAUGUGAAAGAUACAGUAAAAGUGACAUAUGGACUCGUAACACUACAAUACUUUAUUACGGGUGAUAUCAAUGAAAAAUGCGAUGCUUUUACCUUUAAUAUAUAGCUACUUAAUCUUUUGGCUGGAAGAAUUGCUGAACUUCCUCAUUUUAAUGCUAGUGGAGAUGAAUGGCUUUCAGUAAAUUAUGUGAAAGAAAUAUCAAACAUAAUAAAUUUAAUAGCAAGGUAGAUCUCAUAAUUCUUGGAACUCUGAAGGAACAGAUUUUCCAAGCUUUUACAAAGCUUGCCCUUAACUGUGUCUCUAAAUCAGCAGAAGAUAGGCCAACAAUUAAUGGUUCAUAUGGCAAAACCACUUAUAAAAUUGUAUCACUCUAGUUCUCCGCACCCUAGUUAUUCUCAUUAUUAAUACUUGUGAAGUUGACAAAUGAAUCUAAGUUGAAUUCAGAAAUACGGCAACGUUUUAAGGCUUCUUAUUGCUUAAGAGACUCACGUGCAGCUCAGCUGCUCUCAGCAUAAAACAAAUGCAUCUAAACGACUUGACUAAGGCGCGUUUAGAUGAGCCACUUAAGUGACCACGUGAGGAAGCACAUGCAGGAGUCUGAAAUAAGUUCGUUAAGUUUGUUAUCCACGUGUUAACAAACAAAACAAUCUGGUAAUUCCUUCUUGGCCUAUAUAAAGGCUGAGAAUGAGGAUCAGUAAAGCAUGGUACGGAGUGAGUCUUGUAGAGAGAGUUCUAAAGAGAGAAAGAGUGCAUCUUGUUCUCGAAUAGGAUCUUGUAAAGGCUCUGUGUAAAAUCUCCAUUGUAGAAUCAAUAAAAAGCUCAUCAAAGACUUCUCCCGUGGAUGUAAACAUAGUACUUUGUGCUAUGUUGAACCACGUAAUCUUUCUGGUUCUUGGUUGGUUUUUCUUUUGAUUCUUGGUUCUUUCUGGUGCUUGGUUAAAUCCAAUUUAAUUACUUAAGCUGUGACAGAUUCUCUUCGAUCUUAAGCUUUGUGCAACUUGUGUUUGAUCUGAUCUAAAGAAUCCUGGGCAGUAACUAGUUUGUUUAAGGUUAUAAAACUGACGAGUUACUACAAUACUUUUUAAGCUUUGAUUGUUUAGUUUUAUACAAAGUGAGUGAAUUGUGGGACCUUUAUUUUGACUAUGGAUCUUUCCUUCUACGUAUCUUGUUGAUACUUUAUGUUUCUCUAAUUGCACCAACUUUAGUUAAGGCAAUUAAAGAGCUAAUAGUGAUUUGUUUGAAGAAAAAAAAAUAUUCUUUUUUUACUUUUACAUUAUCUGAUAAAGAAUUGUUAUGAAAUGAUUGGCUUAAUUUCAAGUGAUUAUUUGGGACAAAUGUUAUGCUUCAGUUUACUUUAACUUCUUGAUAGUUCAAUGGAACACAAUUAAAAGCUUUACACCAUCGGAGUAAAUGUGAUGAAUCAAUGAUUGUAUGAGUCUUGUGUUAAGUCAAAAUCAAUUAUUUAGGACCAUAAUUGAUAGCCCCGAGGACAGAAUGCAUAGUAAUGUAUGGCUUCGUUUAUGUCACAAAUGUCACACUAAUCAUUGAACACAUGGUGAUGAGGAUUACUCUUAAACUUUCAAUGGCAAAGUUUCAAUUUAUAGACUGUUAUAUCAAAGCUCUCUCUCAAGCUUUUAAAGGCAUUGGGUUUUCCUUAGCUGAACACACUUGAAUUGGCAAGCUAGAGAUACAAGUUUUAAUACUCUAUUUCUUUUUCUUCAGGUACUUUGCGUGUAAUUUACCUUUAUAUUUUUUUUUCCAAUGAUUUCAUUCUAGAAUUACAAGUUGUACUCCUUGUUUUAUCUUGCUUUAACUCAAUAAAAGCAUUUUAUUGGCUUAUGAAUAGGUGUUAGAUGAGUUCUUUUUUUAGAAAUAAAAUCAAGCCACUACUAGAAAAAUGAUCUUUAUUAACACUUGGUUUAUGACAAUUUUUAAAAAAAUAUCAGUAUGUUCAUACAUAUGGACCAUUUUCCGUGUUUAACAUAAAAAUAUCACAAAUUACUGAUACUAGAAUGUCUGUAACUUAGACAUCAAAAAUUUCUGACAUUAAGGUAUCAAUAAUAAAAAUAAAGUAAUUCUAAUUAAGUUCCAAAUAAAACUCCAACCGAGAACCUCUAGUACUCAAGCGUUUAAGUUUCCAAAAAAAGACCAGGACGUCCAAAUCUCAAAUUUUCUAAUUUAGAAAACUAACUACUAAACCAAACAUUAAUUUUUUUUUAACUUUUAAUUUAGAGAAAAUUUUUAAUCUAUCUCGUCCCUCCUAAACUCCCCAAAUCUAAAAAACCCUAACUUCACCAAAUUCACAAAACUCUAAUCUAACUGCGUCGUCUUAUCAACCCCGACUCUUCUCUCAACCACUUUUCUUUUAUCUUUCUCUUACAAUCCAACGCAAUCUCUUACUAUCUAACUCAAUUUUUCCCUCUCAAUCUUGCCUCUCUUCAACUACCCGAAGGAGAAAGGAAAAUGAAGAAGACUCGCCCAUUUGAGUCGUUACGAGCCAGAAAGCGUACCGACGAGCGCGUUUGGAUCCGCGAAGGCAAUUGCUCGAAUGUUCCCCUAACCCAACCCGGGAACGGAACAGACUGGAGGGAACCGCAGUGAAUCAUCGCUUUUGGGCACAGGCAGCCCUCUACCAUCCAUCCCAUUGCAUUCCAUCGUCUUGCUGGCUCAGCUCAACAAUACAGGUUUCGCUUCCUCUCCCUUGCGGUUGAGCCUGCUCUCGAUCCAACUUAAUUUUUCCCUCUCAAUCUCACCUCUUUUUAAUCCCUAACCUUAAAAUCUUUCUAUUACAAUCCAACAGAAUCUCACACGGUCGUGAAAUUCUAGCCACUUUUUUGCCUAAUGCCAAUCUUCGUUAUCGAGAAAAAUGAUUUGAGGGUUUAAUUUAGCUCCAAGAUCGUGGACGGAUGCCUUGGUCAAAGUUAAAGAGUGUUGUUAGAGGCUGUUUAAAGAAGAAGAAGCAGAAGCACCACUUAGGUGAAGCAGUUGUAGAUCUGGGCAUGGUAAAUAAAUAAGGUGAGCAUUAGCUAAAUAAUUAAUAAUUAUUAAAUAUUCUCUACUUAUAUGUGAAUUUAGUAAGAAAUUAAUUUAGUUCUUUUUGUUGAAUUUUAAGUAGGUUUACUAAUUCUUUUAUUUUUAUUAAGCUAAUACACGGUUUUGGAAUUUUUUUUUUUUCCACGUUUUGAUUUAUUGAUAUUUGAAUGGUAAAAGUUGUGUUAGUCAUUCAUAGUUUUUGGAGACUGGUAUGGGGUCUGCAAAGUGUUUGAUGAGAUGCUUGUGAGAAUUGUUGGGUGCGUUUCAAUUAGUUGACAUGGUUAGCAAAUUAUAUGCUAACAGGGUACCCAAAUCUCCCCCUUCUCUUCAGGGUAAUUCCAUGCAUUUCUUCUUCCUCUGUUUACACUCUCCUCAUUAUUUUUGGUAGAUAUGUCAUUGUUCUAUAUUAAUGUGUACAAGAUUUCUAUUUUUGUGGGUUUUGUGUUUCUUUUAUGAUCAUGCUUAUCUACUCUUUCGAAUGGAUGAACAAAAUGUUAUUGGAGGAGAUAAGCAGCUGGUUCACUAGGGGGGAAAAAGUUGUUAGCUUUUGAUUGACUCAUUGUUUUGAGAAUGAAGUACCUCUGUUUUUAUUAUAUACAUUAAACGGAAAAAGGCUUAAGCUUUUAUGAAUAAAAAUUCUUACUUUUGCUGUGUACUUACUCUUUGUGAUGAGAUUCUUCUGCUUUGAUUUUGUUUUGGAAGAAAACCUGAGAUCAAUGAUGUCAAUUAGCACAAGUAGAAAAUGAUAAUCUAAUGUUUUACGUGUCUUUCUUUCAUAGUACAUGGAAACUAUGUAUGAGUGCGUAAGAGAGAAAUCAUGAAAUAAAUAACUUGACGAUGACCGUGUCGUCGUCGACGGUCUUGUCAUCAUUGGCAGUGGUACUGUUGAGAGAAGAAAGAAAAUGGUGAGGACGAGGGGACUGAAGUGAGAGUGGAUAAGCUGAUAAAAUUUUUAAUUUCUCAGCAUUUCUUUUAGUCUUUCUUUCUAUUUGCCUGCAGCAAUAACAAGAUCAUAAUUGAACUUUUGUAACCAUGGUUGCUGCUAGUGCUUUGACACUUUUUGUUGUGAUCUUGAACACUACUGCUGCUGAUUAGUCUAACAGAAUGUUAAGCAUGCUGAAUGUUGAUCAUCAAUGGGCCGCAGGUUGUUACUCUUGACUUCAGUUUAAUUUGAUAAUUUCAACCAUAUUGUAUGAUUGUUUCCUUAUUUGUUUAUGUUGUACAGUGUUGAAGUCCAAAGAUGAAUAUGUUCAGCUUUCUUAUCACUGGUGCUGGUAGUGAGAUAUAUCCACUCUUAGGUUUCAACCAUUUAAAUAAGCCUCUCUAGCGUAUUUUUGAAUAUGGAACCCCUUGGACGUGUUCUGCCCUGGCCAUCUUUGCGCACUUUUUUCUUGCAUUUUAUACUUCUUGGCUGCAUUAAAUGUAUCGGUAUGUGCCAUUCCAAAUCCUAUAAGAUUUGAUUCCUCGAGGAUUUCAGUGCAGGGCCUAGAAGGUUUUUGUUUCGUCAUACCUUUGGUCGACUUCAAAGUGAGGAGGCAUGUACCUCUUUUAAUUUAUAGAUGCUAUUUUUACCCUAUCAACCUACUAAUAGAAGUAACAGUUGCAUAAAAUUCUUUUUUAACAUGUUCAUUUCAACUGAGGUAAACUCUCAGGUUCAAAAUUUUGUGUGAUUCAGUAAUCGUUCGAAUAUAUACACAGGCAAUGUUUGUAAGAGUUGAGAAAAAUGUAAAUGAGCUGAACCUUUCUGGUGAGCUAAUGAAGAAAGAGAGCAAAAAACUACUUGAAAGGGAAGCCCUUGCUGAAAAGGAUAUGAUACGUGGAGAAACUGAGCUCAAGUAAAGUGAUCCCGAAAUGCUUCAAGAUGUUUGUGUGGCAGACCUCAGUUCCCGUAUUCCUCUAUCUCCCUUACUUCUUUGCAUUUCUUUUUCUUUCUUUUUUUUUUAUGUUUAAUAGAAAUAAAAGAAUUGUUAAUCUGGCAAUUGAAACUGUUGUCUUUGAAUUAUUCUUUUAAACCAUAAUCUUAAAUGCAUCAUCACCAAAUUUGUAAAAUUAGUCAAGUUAGCGUGGCAUUUAUAUUUUAUGCAAUAAAUGGCAUUGUGGUUGUGUUCAUAUCUUGGCGGUCCAAAGCUCCACAGAAGCAAUUAUAUGAGCAUUUUUAUAGCAGUGCAGGCAUGCAGGCGGGCUCGUCUCAAGUUCAAUAUUAUGGGCACACAAAAUCACUAGGCAGGAGCACUUUCCAGGGCAGCAGAUACUCUUUGCAGGUCCCCUUCCCAAGUCUCCUAAUCAAGAAGACAAGAAUUUCCUAUUUCACGAGCUUUCAGCUGAAGCAACAUUACAGAGAAACUGCUAGUGUGAUAACACAAAUGCACUACUUAUGUUUAAAGAGUGAAAUGCAGUCAUCCUUAUCAAUUUAGCUUUUAAAUUUGUUAAAUGUAGCCGCAAUUAGUAGGCAUUUGAUUGGAUGGUAGAAAUUCUUAUGUAUUUAAGAUUAUUUAGUUACGAGAAUAUGAUAUCUUGUUUUUUGAAGUAUUUGGGAUUUGUAAUAUAUACUAAUAAUAUUUAAAUAAGAAAUUAAAGAUUUUGUAAUAUAUAUCAAGUUUUUUUUGUGGUUAUUUUGUGGUGUUUUUUAAUUUCACCAAUAAAUCAACAGCCAAUUCAAAUUUUUAUUUUUUUAAAAUAAAUUAAACAGUGAUGCAAUAGUAACAGUAAUCACAAACACUAAUAAAAUAUCAAUAACUACUAAUACCAUAGUGUCAUAAAUAUAGUAAUAUUGUAGUAAUAGUAAUUACUGACACCACUUAUAAGUGUCACUAUUUUUCUGACUGUCAGAUUACUGACACAAUUAGCAAGUGUCAGUAAAAGUAAUUACUGACACUAUUUUAACAUCAGUAAAAAUCAUUUUUCUAGUAGUGAGCGUUCAGAAAAGGUAGAUAAGCAAACAUUUAUGAUAAGGAAUGAAAAAAAUUUACAAGAAAAAUUCAUUAUCACAUGUAAUAAUAAAGGUGAUAUGAAGAUGGUUGGUGAAUCAAACCAAUUCUCUAGAAAAUGACAAUGUUUGAGACUUGAGAAGCUUUAUAAAGUCACGUGCUACUCAUAUUACAUAUAACAGAAAAAUGUCUUCACGAAACGACAUGCCAAUUGUGUGUUUUGGUCAAUAGUUUAAGUAACCGCGUGAGGAAACAUGUGUUGGAGCUUGAUUUCAUGUUAGUUAAGUUUGUUAACCACGUGUUAACAAACUGUACAAUCUGGAAAUAAGUCUGUUAUUGAAAUAAGGUAUAUAAGCUGGUUUUGAUAGUUAUCUUCAGGUGUGAUUCUAAAGUCUUGGAGAAAGAGAUUUAAGAAAGAGAAAGCAUUAUCUUGUUCUGGUGUAAGGCUCUAUAACCGACUCUAUUAUUGAAUCAAUAAAAGCUUAUCUAAAAGCUUAUUAAUCGAUUCUUGUUGAUGUAUUGAUAAUGAUUUGAUAUGUUUAAUCUUGUAUUUGUGCAACUUGAAUUUAUUUGAUCAAAGAGAUCUUGGGCAGUGAUCAGUUUUGUUUACUUUAAAAACAAGUUUGUUACUACAAUUAGUUUCAGAGCUUAGUGUCUUUUGAUCAGAUCCAAGUACGGCAUCAUCCAAGGUUGAUAUAGAGAAAUUUACAGGUAAUAAUGAUUUUAAUAUAUCGAAUAUUAAAAUGGAAACUUUGUCGAUUACUCAAGGUUUGGUAAAUGCAAUUGAGCCUGAGACCAAGAAGGGGCGAAUAGAAGCUUCUUCAUCCAAGACUCCAGAAUAAGCUACUAAAAUUGAUAAGAAAUCCAUAAGCACUAUAAUCCUUAGUCUUGGUGAUUUAGUCAUUAGGGAAGUGGAAAAAGAAAAAACAAUGGUUGGUUUAUGGACUAAGCUUGAAUGCCUCUAUAUGACCAAGUCUCGUGCAAACAAGCUCUAUAUUAAAAAUUGGAUGUUUACCUUGAGAAUAGUGGAGCGAUCUUCACUGGAAGAUCACACUGAUAAGUUCAAUAAGGUGUGUGAUAUUUUAAAAUCCAUUGAUGUUGAAGGGAAGGCUCUCUUAUUGAUUAGUUCAUUACCAAAAUCCUUUGAGAAUUUAGUUGAUGCCCUGGUGUAUGUAGAUAAUGAAAUGAAAUCUGCUCUCAAUACAAGGGAGCUCCAAGAAAAGUAAGUUCACAUAGAGAAUGGUACGAGUGAACGAUUAACAGCAAAGGGGAAGAUUGGCAAAAAAAAGAAGUACACGAAAUAAAAGAACAAAACUAAAAAUCUGAAGUAUUUUUCAGUGCCACAAAAAAGGCCACUUUAAAAGGGAUUGCCUUGAAAGAAAAAAAAAAAAAAAACAAGGCCAAAGAUUCAAGAAACUAAGGUGGAGAUGCAGCUGUAGUGGAAGAGGAAAGUUAUGAGUCUACUAGUGUAUGUGUGGCAAUAGAACAUAGCUAAAAAGGUAAAUGGGCUCUAGACUUUGGAUGCACCUUUCACAUAUGUCCCUUUUAAGAGUGACUUUACUGAAUAACAAGAAUUUGAUAAUGGUAGAAUGAUGAUGGGUAACAAUUCAAUUUGUAAACUCAUUAGAAUUGGUAAUCUUAGUCUUAAGCUACAUGAUGAUUCAAUAAGAGUUGUUAAGCAAGUCAGGCAUGUACCAAACUUAAAAAGGAACUUAAUUUCCCUUGGAAUGUUAGAUCAAAUGGGGUGUAGCGUUAUGCUUGAAUCAAGACAGUUAUAUAUCUUAAAUGGUUCUAAUCUGGUCAUGAAGGGGACUAGGAAGAACAGGUUUUAAAUCUUGGAUGAUGAAGUGAUAUUUGGAGAGGCAUGUGUAUCAAUAAAGCGUACUGAAGAUAAAACUAGGUUAUGGCAUAUGAGAUUAUAACACAUGAGUGGGAAAGGCUUAAAAAAGUUAGAAAAACAGGGUAUGUUUUGUUCUGGCAAGAUUAUAAAUCUGGAUGUGAGGUACAAUUUCUUAAAUAUAGUAGAAUUUAUUUUUUUAAGCUAACAAGCCCCUUAAGUUUAUAAUAUUUAAUUAAUGAUGACAUAAGCAAUGACAUAAGAAAAGAUUAUGUAAGCGACGACAUAAGCGAUGAUGUAAGAAGUGUAGAGAAAGUUAAGAAUUCUAGAAUUUAGUAAGUUAUUUAUGAAGGUUAAUCUCAACCAUUGAUCAAGAGUUAUGGUGGCAAAAUCCUAGCCAUCCAUUAGCCUUAAGAAAUCCUAUAAAUACCCCCACCACCUUUCAUUUUCAAUCCAACCUAUAAAUUUCAUUCUCUUCUAUUCUAAGUCAUAAUAUCAAGAGUAGAGAAAUCCUCAAUUUAGAAAGGUCUAGAGAAGUCAAUGUCAAGAGGUAAGUAACACUUCAACUGCAAUGUAGGGACAAAAUUCAUUUCAUACUUAAGUUCGGUUUUAACAAUUCCUUUAUAUUAUGAUGGCUAUUAUAACAUGAUUAGUUAUAUUCUAAAUCUUUAAAUGGUCAGCUCUGCCGCCUAAUAUGUGAUACUUAUAUUUAAUUAUGCUAUGAUCGGUUAUGCCGCCUAUAUUGAAGAAUGUUGUUCUUAGAUAGUGUUGUGUGUUGAUUUUGUUAUGCAUUUAGGAGCUCAAAUGUUAGGACAUAAGUUGCGUUGAAUGCAUGCAUAUCAUGGAUUACAUUAUGAAAAAGAUGUUUCAGAAAAAUGAAUUUAUGAAAAAUAAGUAGUUGUACUAUCAGGUGGCAAAGUUCUAAAGAGGACAACCCCUCAAAGGUAAGUUAAAAGAAAUCUUUUGGGGACGACGAUACAUAACACCCAAAAGAUCAAUUAAUGAGACCUAAGGGCAUAUUGUUUAAAGAAUAAAAGUGUCAGCCUUGUAGUGUAACAUACCUAGGGCCCUAAUAAAUUUGUUUUGUAUUUUCUAAGUUUAUUUUAAGAGCUUACUAUGGUCAUCCAUAUACAUCAUAAUUUAUACAUGCAUCAAAGUGUUAUCUUACUGGGCCUUAGCACACUAAGUCCUUACAUUGCAGGUAACGAUGAGUAGGGCAAGAUGGCGCCAAGUCCUAAUAAAGACGAAGUGCAUAUGGGCAUGAUAGACCUUGGGAUUUUAUAAUGGGCUCAGCUUUGUUUCAAUAAAAAUAAACAUCUUAGUUUUGUGUAAAAUAAAGUUUUUAUACUAAGGAGUUUCUGUAUGACUCUUACUUCUUGUAAGAAAGGUUUGUUUGUUGUAAACUCUUAGAAUUCGUAUUUAUAUUAAAAGUAACCGUGUUUUUAAUUAUUUUAAGUAAAUAAUAUAGUGGAGUGUUACACUGGAACUUUGUAAGGACUAUGUUCUAGGGAAGUCUUCAAGGGACAGUUUCAAAAGAUCAACUCAGAAAUCAAAUGAGAGGCUGGACUAUAUGCACACUGAUUUAUAAAGGCCUACUCAAAAUGUAUCUCUAGGAGGGAACACAUAUUUCUUGUCCAUUAUUGAUGAUUUGUCUGGGAAAGUCUACGUGUAUGAUUUAAAGGACAAAGACUAGGUAUUUGAAAAGUUGAAAGAGUGAAAGCAAUUGGUUGAAAACCAAAUAGGAAAUAGAUUAUAAAGUUAAGAACAGAUAAUGGUUUGGAAUUUUAUAAUCAGCUAUUUGACAGUUUUUGUGCAAAUUAGGGUAUUUCAAGGCACAGAACAGUAAGAAUGACCCCACAAUAAAAGGCUGGCUGAAAGGAUGAAUAGGACUCUUAUGGAUAAAGUAAGGUGCAUGUUAGUUCAGUCCAAGCUUCUUAAGGCUCUGUGGGUAGAAAUCUUACUAACAACAUGCAAUCUUAAGCCACUCAACUGCCAUUGAUUAUAAAACAACAUUUGAAAUAUAGUCAGGGAAACCUGUUGACUAUGGAAUCCUUAGAGCUUUUGGUUGUCCAGCCUAUGUUCAUAUCAGUCAAGGUAAACUUGCUCCAAAGGCUUUGAGAGGUGUGUUCAUAAAAUAUCUAGAAGACGUAAAAGAAUAUAAGAUUUAGUGUACUAACCUUAAUCCACCCAAAUGCAUAAUAAGCAGAGAUGUAAUGUUUAAUGAAGGUGUUUUGGUUAAAGACAGUCAAGCAUUUGUAGAAACAAAUGAAAUUCCAAAUCAAUUGAUAAAUUAGAGUUUAAAGUUGAGCCUUCUGAAUGAGGAAACACAAGUGAAACUACAGAUUCAGAUAGUGUUACAGAAAAUGAAGAAGACAAAUAACCACCUCAAGAUCAAUAAGGUUCUCAGGGAAAAUCCAAAAUUGUCAGCUUAUCAGAGAUAAAGAGAAAAUGCAGAUCAAACCACCAAAAAGGUUUGGAUAUGUAGAUCUUAUUGCCCAUGCUCUAGCAGCUGCAAAAGACAUCGAUGAUGAGGAACCUAAGAGUUUUACAGAAGCAACUCAGAGCCUAUUCAAGGAAGAAUAACGAAGGGUUAUAAAUGACAAAAUGGCUUCUUUUUAUAAGAACAACACAUGGGAGUUUGUUAAGAAGCCUGAAAAUAGGAGAGUGGUUGAAUGCAAAUUGAUCUUCAAGAUCAAAGAGGGCUUAAGUGGAUCUGAACCAAAGAGAUUCAAAGCUAGACUUUUGGCUAAAGGUUAUACUUUAAGGAAUUUUUUCCUCUAGUUUUCAAAAAUGCCUCUAUAAAAGUUAUCUUAGUUAUAACUACUGUCCAAGACAUAGAGCUUGAUCAACUUGAUGUCAAGACAACAUUUCUACAUGGUAGACUUGAGGAAGAAAUACUAAUAUCUCAACCUCAAAGUUAUAUUUUCCUUAGAAAAAAAGAUCAUGUAUGCCAACUAAAGAAGUCUCUUUAUGGGCUCAAACAGUCUCCUAGGCAAUGGUACUUUAAAUUUGAUGAAUUCAUGCAAUUGCAUGAGUUUUUUAGAUGUAAUUAUGACUGUUGUGCUUACUAUAAGCUAAUCAAGGAUAGUUUAUACAAAUAUCUCCUUUUAUAUGUAGAUAACGUGUCAAUUGCUUAUAAGGAUAAGAGAGAGAUAGAUAAGCUAAAGAUGCUACUGAAUUCUGAAUUUGACAUAAGAAAUUUAGGGUAUACAAAGAAGAUACUGGGAAUGAAGAUCAAAAGGGAUUAAAGUAAAGUACAAAGUUUCCGUCACAAGAAAAAUACUUGAGAAAGAUGCUAAAAGUGUUUGAGAUGAGUAAUGUUAAACCUGUACAGUUACCUUUGGCACCACAUUUUAUGUUAUGCAAUUUGCAGUGUGCUCAAACAAAAGCUAAAAAGCAAGACAUGGCCAAUGUAACUUAUGCUAAGGCAGUAGGUUACCUCAUGUAUGCAAUGGUACUGACAAGACCUGACAUAGAAAGAGAUAUCUUAAUAGCACUGUGAGUUGUGGCUUGAUGUAUGGCAAAAUAAAAGUUAAUAGUGAUGGCCUGAGAGGAUAUGUAGAUUCAAAGUAUACAGUGAUAGCCUGAGAGGGUAUAUAGACGAUCACUCACAGAUUUUGUAUUCAUGCUCAAUGGUUCUGCUGUGAAUUGGAAGGCAACUUUACAAAUUGUAGUGGCUCUUUACAAAUUGUAGCUCAUGUUGUCAGUGCUACAGAAGUUGUAAAAGAAGCACUUUGGCUUAAGGAGUUGGUGAUCGAAUUAGGGUUGAAUCAAAAGUCAAUGCCUGUUUUCUGUGACAGUUCAAGUGAAUACACUUAUGCAAAAGCCCUGCACAUCAUGAGAAGUAAAAGGUUGUUGUGAAAAUAUAGUUGGCUUAUGUGAUUUACAAGAUAAAUAUGGCUUUAGAAAAGGAGCAAGAUUGAGAAGAACCUUUGAUUCAAGGUGGGGAAUUAUAAAGAUGGCUAGUGAAUCAAACUAGUUCUCCAGAAACAACAAUGUUUGAGACCUGAGAAGCAUUAUAAAGUUAUGUGCUACUCAUAUUACAUAUAACAUAAAACUGGUGUUUUGGUCAAUAACUUAAGUAACCACAUAAGAAAGCAAGUUAGUUAAGUUUGUUGACCAUGUGUCAACAAACUGUACAAUCUAAAAAUAAGCUUUCUAGGUAUCCAACCCAAAAAAUUAGACUAUUAGGUGGAGUGACCUAUCCUAUAUAUAAAUCAAGUAUCUCCCCUUUACUAGUUAAUGUGGGACACAACUCAAUAAUUUCCCCCAAAAAAAACCACUAUAAAACUUUGAUCCUUUCAUCUGACACAUUUGAGUUGUUCUACCACUACAUUCUAGUAAUAGGGUCUAGCUCUAAUACCAAUUGUUAGGAGAACGUGGCCUAGAAUUUCUAAGUAUCUAACCUAAAAGACUAGCCUAUUGGGUGGAGUAACCCAUCCUACUUAUAAAUUCAAGUAUCUCCUCUUUACUAACCCAUAUAGAAUACAACUAAUAAUCCCCCCUCGGACGAAACCACUAUUGCACUCUGGUCUUUUCAUUCGACAUACUUGAGUUGUUCCACUAUUACAUUCUGGUUAUUAGGGUCUAGCUUUGAUAGCAGAUGUUGAAAGGUCAACUUAAAAUGGCUUGCUAAUGGUGCUUAAACAAGUUUGGAAUCAUUAAUACCAAACCUUAGUAAAACUUUCUUGAUAUAGUACUGCUAAGUUAAAAAUAUAACUUUCUUUCUCCUAUCUCUGAUUAUUUCUAUCCCUAGAACCUUGUUUGCAGCUCUAAGAUCUUUCAUUUCAAACUCACUACUCAAAGACCCACAGACUAUUGCAUAGCAAUAGAAAACGACAAGAUUUCCUUACUCUAGCUCUAUUGGGAGUCUUAUGUGAUUGUAGUAAGCAAAUUUAUGAUUAAUCCAAGCUAUGAACAUUUGAGAGUAGUAUAGUGGUUAAUGAGGCACUUGAGGGCAUUGUAGAGUAUGAUUUCAUGUAUGGUGGAUCGAAAGAUGAAGAAUGCAUUUGGAUUAGUUGUGUUGAUUCCAACUUUGCAGGGCACCUUGAUAAAAGAAGAGGUUGUGUUGUAAACUAAAAGGCUACAUUACAGAGUGUGGUUGCAUUAUAUAAAUUGGAGGCUAAGUACACAACUAUUGCAGAAGCUUUCAAGGAGGCUAUUUAAUUUAAUGGAAUGGUCAUUAAACUUGGAGCAAAGUAAGAGUUAGUUAAUGUGUAUUAUCAUAGUCAAAGUGCAAUGCAUCUCAACAAAAAUCAGACUACUCAAGAAAGAACAAAGCAUAUUGAUGUGAAGUUGUAUUUUAUAAGAUUAGAAGUAUUAACAAGAAGUGUGAAGCUUAUGAAGAUACAUACAUAAGAAAAUCAAGCUGAUAUGCUUACCAAAGUUGUACCAUCUGCUAAGUUUAAUCUUCGCAUGAACUUAACAACGAUUUGUAGGUUUUAAUGGCUACAAGUGUUGAGGAAGAUAGCUGAUGAGAGUAGUUAAAGUUAUGAGUUCAAAGUGGAGAUUGAUAAGUAUGAACUCAAAACUCAAAUGACCGAUAUGUAAUUUUGAGGAUUCAUGCUUGUAUGACAUAUCAUUGUUAGAGUUGUAGCGUAGAACCAAUGUGGUUGAGUGUUAUUGUGAAUUCAAAUGCUAUUGGUGUCAAUGUACAAGUGUACACAAUAAGUAAUAUAAUAAUAAGUAUUCAAGAUCGUCUACACGUGGAUUGAUGUUACCAGAUUUAAUACAUCAAUCUGUAACAGUGCAAUGGUUGUUCUAAAUUUAAAUAAGAAAAUUGAUAAAAUUAAAUAACUAACUAAAAUAUAAAAUGCAAUAAUUAAAAAUUCAAUAAAUUAAAUUCUCAUGUCAAACACAAAAGUAACCAAUGGGAAUGAAGUAAUUGAGUGAUUAAACUUUCUUAAUGGUUUUGACUAUUGCUUGUAAUUUCCGGUUCAGUUGCUAUAGCAUCUGCUACAGCAUUGGGCAGAAUCCUUAUAUAUCCUUAGCUAUGGCAUGUUGGAUGUCUUAUAUCUGUAUGCAACCGAACAGUGACCAAUUGUUAUGCCAACAUAAGAUAUAGCAUUACACACUUAGAAUCUAUAUUACCCUAAAAGGUGAAUCCCUAUGUCUAGUUCAUCACUAAUUUUAGAUUAAGCAUGACCAUUUUGGAAUCAAGUGAAACUCAACUCAGGAAACCAAAUCUUAAAUCAAGUAUUGCUCUGAUAUGUUCCAUUAAGAUAGGCCAUUUUGUGGCUCUUUCUUAGCUUGUAUCAUUAAAUGGGUGGUCAACCGAAAUAAUGAAUAGAAUAAACUUUACCAAAACAAAAUGCUAUAGCAAACAUGCAGCAACAUAUAAACUUAGUCAAAAAACCAUUAAGAUUAUCUAUCACUCAACCACAAUUAAAUUAGUUCAUGGUUUGCGAAAGAACAAUAAAUAAAUGAGUUUCAGUCAUUAAACACAUCCCAAUGAAUAAAUAGAAAACAAGAGAAGAAUAAAAAGGGUUGAAUUCCUGAUUGAUUUUUGCAAAUUCUCCUUGUUGUAGCCCUUAGUUUAAAUCUUUAAUUCUCUUUUUGUUGGUUAUUUAUACUCAAUUGCUAUUAAUGUCAAUGUGCAAGUGUACACAAGAAGUAAUAAAGUGAUGAAUAUUCAAGAUCGUCUCCACAGGGACUGAUGUUACUAGAAAUGUUACAGCAAUCACGAUAGUGCAAACUUCCUUUAGUUCAAGAGGAAUCUAUUUAAAGUUGAUUACUACCGAAAUUAACAAUUGUAAGAAAAUAAAACAAAUAAAUGCAGUAAUGAAGUAAACUAGAUGAAUUGCGUAAAAAGAAUUUAAUGAGAAUGAAGUAGUUGAAUGAUCAAACUCUCUUCAUGGGUUGACUAUUUUUGUUCAAAUUAACACUAGUUGCUACAGCAAUUCCUACAGCACUGGGCAGAAUUAUUUUGGACUUCUCAUACCCUUAAGCACCCUAACAAUGAGUAGUUGUUAUUCUACCUAAGGUAUGGCAUUAUGAACGUACACUCUCUCUAUCCUACAAGGUGAAUUCCUAUAUCUAGUUCUUCACAAAUCUUAACUAAAGUGUGGCCCUUUUGGGACUCAAGUCAAACUCAAUCCAGGAAACUUAAAUUAAGAUCAAGUAUUACUCUAAUAAUUUCCACUAAGACAGACUCUUUUGCGGCUCUCUCUUAACUUGAACUAUUAAAUGUGUGCUCAACCAAAAUAAUGAUUGUAAUAAAAGCUAUCAAAGUAAAAUGUUACAGCAAUCUUGCAACAACUCAAAAGAACAGUCAAAACUCAUUGAGAUUGUUUGUCACUCAACUAUAAUCAAAUUUAGUUCAUACUUUGAAAAAGAAAAACAAACAGCAAAGUAGCAGCCAUGAAAUAUAUCAGUUCAAUCAAAGAAUAAGAAAAUGAACAAGUAAAGAAUGAUGAAAAUUGAAUCCAAAAAUAGUUCUGCUAAUUUCUUCACUGGUGCAGACUUGUUUUCCCUUGAACUUUGAUUUUUCCUCUUGAUUCCUUCGAUGUUAAUUCCCCGCCGCUUUUUCAUAUGAUGCGUGCUCUUUUUAUAUCUAAAAACUAGGGUAAACAUAAUCCUAGGGUGCGCAUAAGUCAUAUUAGGAAACUGCAGAUCGCGAUUUUGCAUAUAUCCUGCGCUAAAUUUUCUCUGUCGUUGUUCCAGGAUUGCUACAGCAAUGGUUGCUCCAGCAAUGACUACAGCACUACAUUGUUCCAGAUUUUGUUUCAAUUCUUUUGUAGCCAUGUUCUUCUUCUUUUUCGCAAGCCUAUUGCAUCAGCAUUCCUUCCAUGAAAUAUAAGCUUUUGGAUACCUACACUUAUGCACACAAUUUAAGACGAAUUACUUAAGUCAAGUAAAAUUUAGUAAGAUUAAACUAAAAUGAAUGUUUAUGCAAAAUGUAACAAAAAUGCAAUAGAAACACAUAAUUUACUCUCUAAGUAAUCUUGAUUUGAGUCUAGAAUUGCUAUAAUAACUCUCAUUUCAUAGAGUUAUCACUUUCAUAUUGGGCACAUAGUAAACAUUCGAAAUUAUUUGAUGGCUAUCAUCUUUUGCACGAAAAAGAAUGUUACCUCUACCCUUCACUGGUACUUUUGAAUCAUCACCUAAAGCAGCAAUGCCAUUCACAUAUUCAUUUAGUUCCAUGAACAUGCUUCUGUUUUUGCUCAUAUGAUUGCUAGCACCUGUGUUAAGAUACUAUGUAUUUUCUUGACCUCCACUUGUGUCAUUGCGUGCUAGUAAAAAAGUGUCAUCUUUACCAUUUUUCUCUUCAACAUAAUUCACUCUCUCAUCAACUCUGGUACUUGGAGCUCUACAUUCUAAAGCAUAAUGCCCAAACUUUUGACAAUUAUAGAAUUGUACUUGGGAUUUGUCAUACCUCGAUCUUGCAUUGCCUCUGCCUCGUCCUCUGGCUGAGCUUUCUCCUUUGGCAUAAUUGGAGUUGCUGUUGUUGAAAUUCCAACCUCGUCCAUGACCACGACCUCUACCUCAUCCUCAACCUCUACCUCGAACAUAGUGCCUUCUCUCAUUGUCGGAGCUUUCUUCUCUUUUUUUUUUUUAUUGACUUCCAUCUUGAGAAGUUGUUCUUCAAUUCUUUGCUUCUUUUUUAGUUUUCUCUUCAUAUGCUUGCAACCUUCCUUGAAGUUGCUUGAUCGUCAUAUCUUUCAGAUCUCCUGUUUCCUCAAUUGUCACAACAAUAUGGUCAAACUUCGAGUCUACUGAUCGAAGUCUUUUUUCAAUGAUCCUUACCUCUUUUAACUCCUCGCUAUUUCUUUUUAAUUCAUUGGAAACGGUCACAACCCGAGUAAAGUAGUCAAAAAUUGACUCUGACGCCUUCAUGUGUAAGGACUCAAAUUCUCUUCGUAAUGUUUGGAGACGAACUUUCUUAACUUGCUCCGCUCCUUUGUAAGAGGUCUCUAGUUUCUCCCAUACUUCUUGUGAGGAGGUUGUACCAGCAAUCUUUUCAAAAGCAUCUUCAUCUAAUGAUUGAAAGAUGAGAUACUUUGCUUUAUUCUCUUUCUUCUUAAAGUCUUUUAAAUUCGCCUUCUGCGCCGCAGUUAAAGUGGCUUCAUUUUCUGGCACAAUAAAACCUUUUUUCCACGACAUUCCAUAUGCCAUGUGCACCUAAUAGAAGUAUAGAACCUUCAUUUUAAUACUCUAGUUGUCAAACUUCCCUUUAAUUGUGGAACUCGAAAUGACAUCAUACCAGUAUUUGCCAUAACUCACAAAUUGAUUGAGAAUUUGGAGAUUCUGAAUGCACAGAUGGAUCCGGCACGUCGAAAAAUCUUGGGAGGGACUCGAGUCAACUUUCGGUCAACAGUCAACGUCGGUCAACGGUCAACAUCGAUUUGGUUGACUUUGUUCUGUCCGGCUUGGUUCGGCUCAGGUUGGCUCGGUUCGACUUGAUUAUGUUCAGCUCCACUCGGCUUGAUUUAGUUCGGUUCAGCUUGGCUCGGUUCAGUUCAGCUUGGUUCAACUCGGUUCAGUUCGAUUCAGCUUGGUUCAACUCGGUGAGUCGACUUAGUUUCAGGACAGAAAAAUUCCAGCGGCGAGUGUGGGCGUGUCCGGUCUCCAAUCGGGAUGAUCUUUACAGUAUCGCGUACCUCUCGUCGAGAGCUUCGAUUUAAUAUGCUAUAUGACUAUAUAUAGCUUUGAACACUAGCUCUGAUACCACUUUGUUGGAGAAUUAACAAAUAAAACACACAAAAAAUACUAUUUUAUUUCUUCAACAACACUCCUCACCAAAUACAACUCUUAUUUUUCACUCUCUACAACUUAGAGAUUUUUUUUACUUCACUUGAUGCAUAAACCAAAGGGGAGAGGGGGUAUUUAUAUAUGAAACAAACUAAUCACAACCAUUUAAAUAAGAAAUUACAAAAAAUUAAUAACCAUUCAUCUUCACCUACCAAAUCUACCACACCUAACACAAAUAAUUCAAAUCUCACCAACCAUACCUACUCAUGGAACCUUCCAUGAGUUGGGCUUGAAUUUAUUCAUCUUGGAUCAAGUUUAUGAUCCAACAGAUACUACGUUUCAUUAGUUGCAUCGGUAAUCUUUACGUUGGUGAAUUGUUUUUUUUUUUUUUUUGGCCGUUGUAUUUACUUCAUAGUCAUCUUCAGGGUUAACUCACUAUGUCUUCUUGACUAGGUUCUUGGCUUUUACUUAAUAAAUGUCUAGUAUUGUCGAGGUUAUUCCAAAAAAAAAAGAGUGACUGUUUCAUCCCUCAUAGAUGUUUUUGUCAGAAUCUAUAGCAUUCUCCAUGAAUUCAGAAACAAUUACCCGAAUCCAUACCUGUAGCACGCGAAAGUGGAAGUGGAAGAACCAAGGUUGAAUCACCAUUCAAUUUGGUCGGAAAGCAAUCACAAAAUUGGAAGUCUUCUUAAAUCACAGCAUAAGAAAUUUAUAUGCAAUGGGGCUCGAAUUAUAGAGUUCUCAAAAGUCUAAAGUGAGUUCUCUGCACUUUUCAAAUCUCAACAAUAUUUUGUUCUUCGUGCUGUUAUAUCUACACAUAAAACUAAAUUCUGUGCAAUUCUUAUUUUAUGUGCGUAGAGAGAGAGGAAAAAAAAAUGGAGGUAGAGAGGUUAGUGAUAACCACCAUGAUUCAGCUUCCUUUCAGCUUUUCUUUAUUUAUACGCUACCGCUAGUAAUUACUCAAGUGGUAAUUACUUCUAUAUGGGUUGGGUCCGAUCGGUUCAUCUUGUGCAAACCAUCUGGCAACUCCCCUAAGUCUAUCAAGUUGAUUUACUACUUACAUUCCCACUAGAAUUUUAAUUAUUUGCUUCAUCCCUACCAUUAGAAAUUAACGGAAGUAAUUGUGAAAGUAAGCAUAAAAGAAUCAUUCAAAGUGUGAUAUUUUUAAAAAUUCAAAAUUAAAAUCUGAAAUAAGUUGUUAGGAUUAGAAAAAAAUUGAAAAAUGAAUGGUUUUUUUUUUUUUUUUUGGAGCUAAACAGACCAAUCUUUUCCAUUUUCUCUUGGGUUACAUUUCUGCACAAACAAAACUCUUCUCUUACCCGUGAAAUACUGUGUCACUCAUGAAAUCCUUUCUCUUGUAGACAACAUCAAACCCAAAAAUCACUCACGACCGUUAACCAUCCAUACAUUCUGUUGCUCGAGACGUUUGUUUGAUGUGUGGCACAGCAUUUUGAUCGAAUCAGAUCGGUGAAAAUCAGUGGAGAUGGCUCCAAAAUCCUUCGAGGUUAGUUGUUCUAAGUAAAGCUACCUUCAUUAUAUAGAAAAAAAUUAUUGUUGAUUUAUCUUUAUAAAUUGUAUAUGCUCGUAUAAAUAAGAAAUAAAGUUGAAAGCUUUACCUGUUUAAAACUACGAAGAUUUUGAAAAAUGAAAUGGGUAUUGAUCUGUAAUGGGUUUGAAAUAUAGAAGUACUAGAACCCCUUUACUUGAAAUGUCAUGAAAUCCUAUAAUGAGGGAUAGAAUUGUAAACGGACAAAAACUAUUGACUUUAUCUGUUAUCUUUUGACACAGAUUUAAUAGGUAAUUAAAAAUUUAGUGGAGAUGUAAGAGGUAAAUAAGACAUAUCUAUCAAGGAUGAAACAUUUAUUUUCCCCCUCAAAAAAAACAGAUGUUGGAGUUUCCUUAGCUUUCCAAAUUGUUGGUACAACAUGGAGUAGCUUCUGGACUUUUAUUUCAUAAACAUCUUGCAUUGUCGAGGUUAUUAAAAAUAAAUAAAAUAAAAAUCCAGUGGUCGGAGCUUCCUUAGGCUCUCCAAAAUCACUAAUACAACAUGAUAUGUGUUUUAAGCGGAUUUUGGUUGCCAGGAAGAUGGAUAAAAAUCUCACCAAAAUAAUGAAUUUAUUUUUAGGAGUUCAGGGUACCUCAGUAAAUCGUGGCAUAGGGGGCUGUUUUAGGCUUUAAGGGAGGUGAAGAAGAAGGGUGCCCAAGGUGGAUAAUGGCGAGAAGUCUAAAACGGAGUGAGUUGGUUUGAGAUAGUGUCAGCACACCUGCAAAAUAGCCCAGGGAGGUUAGAGGUGGAGUCGACAGUGGCUGGUGACCACACUCCGAUGCUCAAGUCAGCUACUUCAAUUUUUAUGGAGGUGAGAGCUUGCAAGCUCUCUAAAAUGAAGGCUGAAGGUUGAAGAAGUACAAGGUUCUACGUUCAGAGAAUGUUAUCAUCCUGUCAUCCUCAUUCUCAAUCUUGGCAUUCCCUCCAUGACUUCACUUUGUCGGAUUCUUUACAGAAGAUGCUAAUGGAUUCUCUAAUUAUUUGUUUCAUUGAUAUUUUUCUUUCUUAUAGUUAGAUUCUUUCAAGCAUUUUAAUAAUUUGCCUGCAGAACUUUGGCUACGUUUUGUUGUGGCACCAUGCACUGUUUGAGAGGCAAAGCGAAAUACAACCUUCUGAUUGUUAUCAUUUUCUUUGUCUUAGACCGUUGAGGUUUCUUAAAAAUAAAUAAAUACGAUAGUAUUUAAAAACUUAAAGGACAUAUUACAUAUAAGCUCAAACACUAAUUUUUCAGAUAUUUUAAUUAGUUUUAGAAAAACAAACAAUGUAACAUUUAUAAUCAGAUAUUAAACAAUGAAAAACGAACAUAUCAUUUAAACUUAUGCAUUCAGUCAUAUUCCGAAUUCAAAAAUUCCGAAACCAUUUGCAACAACUUUAAUGGAGAAGUGACCAACUAAGAAAGGCUUGCUAGUGAGAUCACUGCAAUGCCAAUCUCAGCGCCAGUGAGAAUAACAAGCUUGCUUGCCUUUUUAUAGAUCCCGGAUCUACGUUUGGAGAAUGUACUCAUCUCCUGUCACCUCAUUUUCAAUCCUCCUCUUCUCAAUCUUUUGAAGAAGUUAAAGGUUGAGAUAAAGAAGAUUGAGAAUGAGGAUGACAGGAUGAUAACAUUCUCUGAACGUAGAUCUGGGAUCUACAAGAAAGCGAGUAAGCUUGUCACUCUCACAGGCGCCUAGAUUUGCCAUUAUGGUGGUCUCACCAUCUGGCGAGCCUUACUCCUUUGGUCACCCCUCCAUUGAAGCUGUUGCAAACCGUUUCCUGGGAUUGAACCAGCAGCCUAAUGACAACAAUCACCCUCUUGCUGAGGCUCGACGCCAAUUACCCUCUUUCCAAUACAACAAAAAAGUAUUUUUUCCUUCUAUUUUUCAAUUAGUAAUGUUAAAGCUUGAACAAGGUUUAAGGAAAAUAUCAAGAUAUUUAUAGGGAAUAGCGCGUAAAAUACACCUACGCUCGUGAGCGCAUGCAUGUGUUUAUGCAUAUGUAAAUGUAAACUUAGUUAUGUUCUUUUAAAAUUUACCAACUCAAGCUCUCCAAAUUACUAAUUCAAGCAUCUUACAGAUUAUUUUACCAAAUUAUUGAGAACUAGAAAACAACAACAUUAAUUAUAAAAAAUCUAAGCGUAUCUGACUAAUUCUACCUACUAUACAAGUUACCAAUUGCUUUCUAAGGACUUGGUCGAGUGGUUUUCAAAUAGUUUUAUUUAGUUGGUCAUCAAAGUUCAAAUUUUGGGCAUGUAAAAGGUUAAAAAAUUGAUUGAGGUAUUGCCCACCUCUCUAUCUUCGAAAAAAAAAAGCAAAAAAAAAUGUGCCCAAUGGGCAUGGCCAAGUAAUUUUCUAAUAGUUUUAUUUGAUUGGCUGCCCAAGUUUGAAUCUUGGAAGGUAGGGUUAAAAAAAUUAAUUUAGAUUUACCCAUUACCCUUAAAAAAAAAAAAGCAAAGAAAAUUUUGAUUUUGAUUUUGACUAAAUAUAAACUGAUUUUAAGGGUAUAUUUUUCUUGAGUCCUCGUUUGCAGAAAGAAAUUCACACCAAAAUUUUUAAAAAUACAUUACUUAAGUCCUUGUCAAUACAAAUUUGUCUCCUUCAAGUUCUUGAAUGAAUUUCAUAAUUAAAAAAAAAAAUAGCAUUAUGUCAUUUUACUCAGAUUUAAGCGUUCAGUCUUCUUAUUUUUAAUUUUAUGCAUGACAGUGCCAACGUUUCAAGCUGACUAAGGUUAGAAAACCUCAGCUUUUUAUAUUACUUGUUCUUUCCUAUUUUAACAGUUUCUUGUUGCUCAACCCUACUUCAUAAUUUUACAGGGUCCUUUGCUAUUAUAACCCCUCGUUCAACUUUAAUUUGCUGAUAAAGGAUCUUGAAAGCCAAUAUAUAGACUUGUAUAAAGACAAAGAUAUUGCGCUGAAAGUGAGAGAAAAAAAAAUACUCCUGAAGUUAAAAAAAUCUAAAGUAUUUAGUUGAAAGUGGGGACUUAUAUGUAUAGGGAAGAAAAAUAUGUGAUGAUAAAUAAUGUGAAAAACCUUCAAGUAUUUUGGUGUUAAAUCUAUUGUAAUUAUUGAGCAAUUGGAUUAAUUUUUUAAACUGUGAAAAAAUAACAAUUAAUAAACUCAGAUAAAAUAAGCUUUAAACCAUUAAUGCGAAAUAUAAGGUUAUAACUAGCCAGUUGAAGACAUGAAUCAAAUCAAUUUCAAUUUAGAAAAAUUAAAGUGACAUUUUAACAAACUAUGGUCAUGAGUUUCCUUCUUUUCUUUUUUUUUUUCUAUUUUCUCCGUUUUCUCAAAACACAUAAUUAAUAAGCAAGAGCAAACACUUUGUACGCUUUAAUAUACUUGAAUGUAAUUAUGUGACUUCAUGUGUGGUGAAGGAAAUAAAAUCUAUAAUUUUCAAGAAUUAGCACUUAAAGGUCUCAACUAAAUACCCUUAUUUUGUUCCUUCAUUACUUCCACUCACGGAUUAUUAUUUUGACAAUAUUGGAAGGCUUCAUUACUUCCAUAUAUGGACUAUCAUUGUACUACUAUUAGAAGGCUUUUUUAAUUUGUUACCCAAUUAGUCUCACACGUAUAAUUAUGGUACUUCAAUUCUUCUUUUUUUUCAUAUCAAUUAAUCAUUCUUAAAUUUUUUUCCAAAAAUAAUUUUUUUGCUAGAUUUUUUAAGUGAUAAUAUCAUCACUAUAGAUGAUAUAUUAUAAUAUUAACAAUAGUUGGUGUGGCAGACAACCGGGACAAACUCUAUUUAUUUUUUAUUUUUUAAUUGCACGUACCUUAAUGAAGCUCAAACUCAAGACCUGAGUCCUAAGGAAGCAGCUCCUUACCACACCUUGGCCUCAACUCAAGCGAACUCAUCUCUUCAAACUGGAAUACAACUUUAUCAAAGCCUAAUCAUUUCAUUAAGGUCCAACUGUGUCACCCCAAAGACACCGUAAAAUAAUUUAUUAAUUUUUAAUAAUUUUCUAAUUAUUUAAUAGUCAUUAUUCUUUUCGUUAGCCUUUUGUUUUCAAUUUCCACUGCUUUCAAUUUCCGCUGCGGUAGUCAUAUUCUGUUGAAUAAACAGAAUGAGAGAAUUCUCAUUUCAUAUACCUAUUUUUGGCACGCUCACGAAAAAGAGUCAUUUUUUCACAAAGUACUCACCGAGUAAUUUUCAAAUAAUUUUAUUAUACUACCACCAAAAUUUAAAUUCCAGAAGUAAUAGUUGGUGUUGUAAGUCAGGUUUGCGAAGUGCUGGAUGUUCAAGCCACUUCUGACCAUGGGAUGUAUUUAGGUCUUACCUCUUCUAUUGGCAGGAAGAAAAAAGUUGUGUUCCAAAGUAUUCGGGACAGAGUUUGGCAGAGAAUUCAAGGAUGGAGUACGAUGAUGCUAUCUAGAGCUGGCAAAGAGAUUUUGCUGAAAACGGCGGUGCAAGCAAUGCCUAACUAUGCCAUGAAUGUCUAUCUCCUCCUUCUUGAUCUUUGUAAAGAGCUUGAGAUCAUGAUGAAUUCGUUUUGGUGGGGUAGUAAACGCAGUGGCGGCAGUGGGGGGAUUAAUUGGAUGAAGUGGGAGCGGUUGUGUAAGCCGAAGAAUUUUGGAGGAAUAGGUUUCAAACAACUACAUAUCUUCAAUGUAGCAAUGUUAGGAACUCCAAUGAUGUUUAGGGAUUUAUGCGGUUAUGACUCACCAUCUAUUAUCAAGUAUCUUUAGCAUAUUACCAAUGACUUGUUUACGUAUGCAAUAUGAAUUUCCAUUUUAAUGAGAUAAAAUUUGCCUUGUUAUGAGAGAAAAAGCCGCCAUAUGAUGAUUGAUGCAAGCUUUUAUGGCAUGUGACAAAAUUGUCUCAUCUAGAUUAUCGCACUACUCAAAGUGAAAAUAAAGUGUGGAGGAUAAUUCACUUACAACAAUUUUGCAAAUCACUUGUCAAAUGCAUUUAUAGAUGGAUCUAAAGUAACCAAGUCAUGUAUACCACAUGUAAAUGUAUCUCACCAAGUAGUUGUUUCUAUUGAAAAUUUUGAUAAAAAUAGCUAAUUGAUUAAUCUAAGGCACACCUAAGGUAUGGUAGACCACUUGGUUUAAAAGAUAAUAUUCAACUAAAAUAAAAAAAUAAAAGGUUAGGAUUUUGUUAAUCAGUUGUAAGUAAAAGUGCUACUUCAGAAGAAUAGGUCCUCUCCUAUGUGCCUACAGCGACACUACCUUCUGAAGAGACAAAUACCUCAGAUGUAAGCCAACCUCUUAAUGUAGCUAAGAAUGAAGAAAAGUUUGCAAAUUUUACUCACAAAAUGGUAAGUGUAUAAUCAUAACAAAAAAGCUAUUGACAAUGCUUAUUCAUUUACAAUAGCUACUGAUUUGAUAAAUGAUGAUAUUGACUAAUAGUCCAUUGAUGAAUUUAGACUAAGACAUGAUUGGCCCAAAUAGGAAGAAGCAAUCCAUGUGAAAUUGAUUUCCUUAGCAAAACAUGAUGUUUUUAGACUUAUAAUCCAAAUACCUAUUAUUGUUAAACCAUUGGGUAUAAAUAAAUAUUUUUUUUCAAAAACUUAAUGAAAAGAAUGAGGUGGCUAGAUAUAAAGGAUGACUUAUUGCACAAGGUUUCUCACAAAAAUUAGUUAUUGAUUAUGAGGAGGUGUAUUUACUAGUAAUUUGUGUAGUUUUGUUAUGAUUCUUGAUUAGUUUGACUAUAUCUGAGAGGUUUAAUAUUUGUUUUAUAGAUGUAGUGACAGUUUAUUUGUAUGAAUCAUUAUUUAUAAAACACACACACACACAUAUGUAGUGGCGGCGCCACUUGAGAGCCCCUGCUAGAUUUAAAAAAAAAAAACUCAUCUUAUUUUUUAGUGGAUUUACAAUAAAGCCCCUAGUAAAUUUUAAAAAUAACUAAAAGAUCAGUAUUUUAAAUAGUGAUUAGAAUCCAAAAAAAAAAAUUCAAAAUCACCAUAACCACCACCAUCAAUCCUUUGCCAAAGAAAACCUCCAUCGGCUACCACCAGUGAUCAGCUUGUCGUCUAUCUCAGUCCAAUUCCCAUGUCAUCACACCUCUUUGUUUUCAUGUCAUUGCCAUAGACGCUACAACUUGUAGCUCGUAGUCGCAGUCGCAGUCGCAGUCUUGCAUCACCGUAUGGUCCUCGCACUAGCAACCUUGCAUCACCACAUGGUCCGCAUCUUUGCAUUUUUUCUAGUACUACCAUUGCACCGUUGCAGCUUUUAUAUUAAUUAUCAAGAAUUGAUUAAAUUAUUUUGAUAAUUAAGCACCUCUGUCACUUUAUGAUUUAAUAUUCUAAUUCUUGAAUUAGUUUAUACCUUUUUGAAUUGAAUUGGUUUAUGCCUUUUUUAAUAGAAUAAUAUUAUUAACUUUCAAUUAUUGUGGCGAUGCUUUGUGGAUUGAUAAAGUGGCAAUGCUUUUAACUUUACUGAUUAUAACUAAUAAAAUAAAAAUUCCAUGGCCCAUGGGUGACGCCGUGACGAGUUAGUAACCUAGUGGUUGAGGAUUUAGUCAGGUAGUCGGUUUAUUAAAUUAAUAAUUUGUAAUUUUUUCUUUUUUUUUUUAUUUUGACAUGGAAAUUGUCUUCGGUUUCUCUUUAAAUAAACACAAUUAAUUGUGUUUAUUUGUCACAGUUAUGGAGAAAUAUUACUCAAGAAUGGCUGCCACAUGGUUCUCUGCUUGUCUUGUCUAAUGGGCAACGCCAAUGCGUCGGUGCUUUGCCUUUGUGCCCCAUCUAAUAAUAUAUUAUUAUUAUGAUUAUUAUCUAAUUCAUACAUAAUUCAUGCAAAUCCUUUCUAAGUGAUUGGGUUGCCACUAUUUUACAUUACUUUUUUACAUCCUUUUUAAUGCAUGUAUUGCUUUAUGCAAGUCUAAAAGAGGUUCUAUGAUAUCAUACAAACUCAAAAAAGUAAGCACCUCUUUCUUUUUAUAUGCAUUUAAUUUUUUACCUACUUGGUGUGCUAGUGUUAUGGUGUAAAGACAAGAUUGAUCUGUAAUCUCAAAACAAAAUUUAGUGGGUGAUGUCAUUGUGCAAUAUUGUCAUGAGCCUUCUGGUUGAUUCAAAAUGUCGGCAUUAUUUAUCGAACAUUAUAGAAUAUAAAAUAAAUUACUAAAUUAUAUUUGAUAGUGAACUGUUUUAUUGAUCUUUGUGCAUGAGACUCAGUUUUCUUAACAGCAAGAGAUUCCAUUUGUCGGCUCAAUAAUUUAUGAAGGUGAGUUUGUAUUUAUAGAUCAUGCGAAUUGCGACUGUCUCUUUAAAGGUGGCAUUUGUUGGAUUCCUUGUACAUUUUAGGUGUUUUUGGUAUGCUGUAUUUUAUUAUAAUGUAUUAUAAUAUAACGUUUUAUAAUGUUUGGUAUUAUAUCGUACAUUAUUAUAUAUAAUAAUUUUUGUAUUAUUAUUUAUAUUAAAUUAAUUUUUUAUAAUUAUAAAUAUCUUAAAAGUUUUAUAGUUUAUAUUUAUUAUUUAAAUUUAUAAAUAUAAAUAAAAUUAUUCACCAACAAUCACCGUGAACCACUGCAAAUUGCUUUGGGCAUUCAUAUAUUGAUAUUUUUUUAACUUCAAUUCUAGUGCUAUUAGAAUCUUUAUCAGCGGACCUAUACAACGAGUGAGCAAAAGCUUUGAUUCUGAUAUUACAUAUGCUAUCGAGUAGUUCCAAUGAUAAAACUCCAUUGGUACCAAAAUUGAUGUCAAAGAAUGCUAAAAUAAUAUUAUUGGUGGUGGAUUGUGGUGGUCAGCGGCGGACAAUAUUUUUAGCAUUCGAAUUUAUUGUUUUAUAAACUAAUAAUAAAUAAAUUAAAUGUGUUGUAAUUGAUUAAAUAAUUCUAUGUUUUAAAAGUCAGCAAUAUAGCUUAUUCACGGUGGGAUUGUAUAGCAUUACGUUAUGGGCCCAGCAUUACUUUGAUAUUGCGGCAAAAGAUGCAUUAAGGCCUUCGGUUAAUGUUGCUCAAUGCAAAUUUAAUAUAGAAAGCAGAGUCAUAUGAAUCUUUCAUUAAACACAACAUAGCGAGCUAAAAAAAAAAGAUUCAAUGGAUGUACUUGGAGAUUCUCACAUUCAUCAAAAGAAAGGAAGAAGACUGAUACUCUUCCCACUGCCUUUACAAGGCCACAUAAACCCAAUGCUUCAGCUUGCAAACAUUCUCUAUUCAAAAGGCUUUUCAAUCACCAUAAUUCACACCAACUUCAACUCCCCGAAUACCUCAAACUACCUUCAGUUCAGCUUCUGUUCAAUCGAAGACAGCUCUUCAGAAACUGAAGCCUCUACCGCAGAUUUAGUGGCUCUUCUUUCACUACUUAAUGUUCAGUGUGUUGUGCCAUUUCGGAAUUGCUUGGCUAAGUUGUUGUCAAAUGUUGAGGAGGAGGAAAAGGAGCCUAUUGCUUGCUUAAUCACGGAUGCUACUUGGUACUUCACUCAGGCUGUUGCUGAAAGCCUAAAGCUCUCCAGGAUUGUGUUAAGGACUAAUAGCGUCUCUUCAUUUCUUGUUUUUGCCGCCUUUCCAGUUCUAAGCCAAAAGGGUUACUUCCCAAUACGAGGUGCAAUCAAAUUAGUUCUUGCUUCUAGUAUCAAUGAUAAUUUUAUUUGUAGGUAUUAUUUUUAUUUGUAGGUACUGUCUGAUUAUCGAAUCUUGCCCUGGAGAAAUCUCCCCUUAGGAUGAUUGGAAUUCUUAGUACAUCUCAUAAUUUAGUUAUUAUGACAGUAAUUCAUUAUAGUAAUGAGUAAUGAUCAGUGCAAAUGGUACUUGAUAUUAAAAUUAUCUUCUUUUACUAUUUUUGUUCUUCAAUGUUCAGAUUCUCAAUCGGGAGCACCAGUGCCAGAACUUCCACCUUUAAGAGUGAAAGACAUUCCUGUAGUUGAAACCUGUUACCGAGAGACACUACAUCGAUUGGUAACAGAAGCAACCAAUCAGAUGAAGGUCUCCUCGGGAUGCAUAUGGAACUCACUUCAGGAUCUUGAACUUGCUUCUCUAACCAAAUUUCAGCAGGACUUCCCCAUUCCAAUGUUCCCGAUAGGCCCAUUUCACAAGUUCUUUUCAGCUUCUUCAAGUAGCUUACUUGCACAUGACCAAACCUCAAUUUCCUGGUUAGAUAAACAAACACCAAAAUCUGUAAUUUAUGUAAGUUUUGGAAGCAUUGCUGCAAUUAACAAGACCGAAUUUUUAGAAGUAGCUUGGGGCCUAGCCAACAGCAAGGUGCCAUUCCUGUGGGUGGUACGGCCAGGAUUAGUCCGUGGAGCAGAAUGGAUUGAACCAUUGCCACAAGGGUUCCUAGAAACGCUAGAUGGAAGAGGGCAUACAGUGAAAUGGGUCCCCCAGCAAGAAGUGCUAGCUCAUCCUGCCACUGGAGGAUUUUGGACACAUUGUGGCUGGAAUUCGACAUUGGAAAGUAUAUGUGAAGGUGUCCCCAUGAUAUGCCAGGCUGCCAGCCUUGUUUUGGUGACCAAAUGGUGAAUGCAAGAUAUGUUAGUGAUGUUUGGAAAGUUGGUUUGCAUUUGGAAAGGAAGCUGGAGAGAGGGGAGGUUGAAAGGACAAUCAGAAGAGUAAUGAAGGAGGCUGAGGGGCAGGAAAUAAGAGUCAGAAUUAUGAUUUUGAAGGAAAAACUCAACCUUUGUCUAAAUCAAGGUGGUUCUUCAUAUCAAUCUCUGGAAAGCUUGAUUAGUUACAUUUUGUCAUUCUAGAUUUUCCAAUAUUUUCAUCACUCUAUCUAAAGGCUGAUUUAGAUAGUGAGUUGUACUCUUUGGCCUUUUCUUGCAUAAACAGUGUCCGAAUUCCGAAUUUUAUAUCUUUGUUGGAGUUUGUGAGCCUUGGUUGUCUUAACUGUACUUCAAAAGUUGGACUUCUAAGCUGAUUUACUAUCUGGGUUCGUUUGUAAUGCUGUUGUUGUUUAAUUCCCCGUUCUUCAUAGAGGAAUUUAGUUGAUUAUAAAUGCCUUGCUCAUUGAAAUAAAGUUUUCAUUCACCAAUAAAAAAUUUAAAGCAGAAGCAUCACAAUGUUGCAUUCACAGUUGAUGAUUAACUCAUGGUGAGAAAUUAACAACAAAAGAAGUGAGAAAUUAAACAGAAAGCACGAAGCAGAAAGAUUCAAUGGAGAACUAAAGAGAGUUGCAUAUACAACAAAAGAAGCAAAGACGGCUGAUACUCUUCCCACUGCCAUUGCAGGGUCACAUAGAGACCCGUGCUUCAGCUUGCAAGCAUUCUCUAUUCCAGAGACUUUUCAAUCAUUAUAUUUCAAAGCAACUUCAGUGUGAAGCGCGUGGUACAAUUCGGGAUUGGUUGGCUAAGUUGUUGUCAAAUCUUGAGGAAGGAACUACGGCCAAUUUCACAAAUUCUUCCCAGAUAAUUCAUUGUCUUGAGACGAAUCCAUUUCCUGGUUAGCCAAACUGCCACAUGUGCAUAAAUUGGUAAUUUAUGUAAGUUUGGAAAGCAUUGGUGCAGUGCCAUUCUUAGAGAGAGCUUAAGGGCUAGCCAAUAGCGAAGUACCAUUCCUAUGGGUGGUUCGACCAGAUUUAGUCCGUGGAGCAGAAUGGAUUGACCAACUUUCAUUGCUUUUGUGGCUAACCAUUGAUGAUAUAUUGUCACAAGCAGAGUGUUAAUCGUGACAUCCUCAAUUUCCAUCUCUCAUCCUGAAACUCUCAGAUUUUACAGCAGCAGCAUCAUUGAGAAUCUACCAAUUGAUUAUUGGUGACGAUUGGACUUAAUUUCUUUGAUUUAUUUUUACUAUUUAUUUUUUGGUGGUGCAAGUCAUUUCAUUUCCCUGUUGGGGCAUUUUAGGGAAAGGUGUGCAACUUUUAACGAACACUAAUCCCUCUCUCAAACCAACUUCAAUUCUUCCGUAACCAGCACUGCUCUUCAUGAAACUCGCAAGAUCCAUUACCCGCCAUUUGACUACCUCUUCAACGACCCAAAAACCAAAGCGAGUAAGCACGAAACCAUUAAAGAGCUUCACGCAAAUCUUAUCAGAACCCACCUCCACACGGACCCAUCUUCAAUAUCGAAUGUAAUCAAGUCACACACUUUAUCUCCCUCUUAUUUGGACAAAGCCCAUCUUGUUUUCAACCAACUUGAACGACCCACAUUGUUGGUGUUUAACCAUAUGAUCCAAGGUUUGUCACAAAGUGACCAACCAAAUGAAGCCAUUGACAUGUACAAUAAUAUGUAUCAUCAAGGAUUUACUGGUGACAAUUUGACCUUUAUUUUUGUAUUCAAGGCUUGUGCUCGUGUUAAGGAUGUUUUUCAUGGCCAAAAGGUUCAUGCUCAUAUUUUGAAACUUGGAUUUGGAUCGUAUCUCUUUGUUUCAAAUGCUUUGAUUCACUUGUAUGCCUCUUGUGGUCGUUUGGGGUUGGCGCGGAAACUGUUUGAUAUAAUGACUAAUAGAGAUUUGGUUUCUUGGAAUUCUCUAAAUUGUGGUUAUAGUCAGUGCAAAAGGUUUGAAGAGGUAUUGGCUUUGUUUAAUUCUAUGCAAGAAGUUAAUGUAAAGGCUGAUGCGGUGACAAUGGUGAAAGUUAUUUUAGCUUGUAGUAAUUUGGGCAGGUGGGAUAUUGCGGAUUCUAUGGUUAAAUAUAUUGAAGAAAACAAUAUUGAAUUUGAUGUUUACUUGGGGAACACUUUGAUAGAUGUGUAUGGACGGCGUGGUUUGGUGGAUUUGGCACAAGAGGCUUUUAAUCAAAUGCUUGACAAAAAUAUAGUUUCCUGGAAUGCUUUGAUCAUUGGGUAUGCAAAAGUUGGGCGUUUGAUUGAGGCGCAGAAGCUUUUUGAUGAGAUGCCCAGAAGGGAUGUGAUUUCUUGGACUUCUUUGAUCACAGGAUACUCUCGAGGUAACCAAUUUGUUGAGGCGGUGAAGCUUUUUCGCGAAAUGAUGUUAGCUAAGGUGAAACCAGAUGAAAUCACUUUGGCAACUGUGCUUUCAGCAUGUGCCCAUAUUGGGUCACUGGACAUGGGAGAAGCAAUUCACGACUAUAUAAAAAGGCAUGGUACAAAAUGUGAUCUUUAUUUGGGGAAUUCGCUUAUCGACAUGUACGGCAAGUGCAGGGUGGUUGAGAAUGCACUAGUUGUGUUUCAUGAGAUGGAAAAGAAGGAUUCUGUUUCCUGGACUUCAAUUAUCUCAGGCCUUGCAGUGAAUGGUUUUGCUGAUUAUGCACUUGAGCUAUUUAUGCAGAUGUUGAGAGAAGGUGUUCGGCCAACUCAUGGAAGCUUUGUUGGCAUUUUACUAGCUUGUACUCAUGCCGGAGUGAUAGAUGAGGGAUUGCAAUAUUUUGAAAGUAUGGAAAAAGUUUAUGGACUAACACCAGAGAUGAAACACUACGGUUGUGUUGUUGAUCUUUUGAGCCGCUCUGGCAAUGUAGAGAAAGCUUAUGAGUUCAUGAAGGCAAUGCCAAUAGCCCCAGAUGUUGUAGUAUGGAGAAUACUGCUGAGUGCUUGUAAACUUCAUGGGAACUUGGUCCUAGCUGAGAUUGCUACCGGCAAGCUUCUCGAAUUGGAUCCUUCUAACAGUGGGAAUUAUAUUCUCUUAUCUAAUACUUAUGCAUGUUCAGAUAAAUGGGAUGAUGCUAAUAGAGUUAGAGAAUUAAUGGUGGAGAGUGAUGUGUAUAAGCCAUCUGGUUGGAGUUCCAUUAAUUCUAUGGAACCACAUGUAAUCUAAAGUAAAGAGGAAUCAAUUGAGAGCUGCAACUAAUUACAAUGGACUACUGUAGAUCAGUGUAGUUAGUGCCUGGGUAAUAUCCGUGGAGAAAGAGAAAUGAGCUGUACCUUCACCUCAACCAAUUUGAUAUUGGCUCAAAGAUAAUUGAGAUAAUUUUAAUUGUAGCUCUGAUCCAAAGUUGUACUCAGAAUUUCCUUUUUUUAAUGACAAUUUGAACGUUUAGUAUCAGAGUCCUUGAGACAAUAAAUUAUGUUUGAGGUGCUCAUCUAAGCCUGAAGCUAGAGUGGUUUCAGUAUUGAUUAGAGCUCUAGUGAUGUGGUAAAUCAACUCUAGAAUUGUAUCAGGAGAAAAUUCCAUUGCUUGGAGUGCUAUGAAAAAAAAGUUCAUUACGUUUUCUCUGGGGAUUAUAUAGCUAUGAUGAGCAGGAGAACUGGCCAACGGCAAGACACUGCCUUAUAAGUUCGGAGGAUGUGAGCUGUUCUUCAAGUAAGAAUUAAGCAAAAGUAUUCCAAUUGCAUACUUUCUUCAAAGGAUACUUUUGCAUGAGACAUAAUUGGGUGUAAUUUUUGUGCAUGGAUGACAAAGUUCAUUACAUUUUCUCUGGGGCUUAUAUAGCUAUGAUGAGCAGGAGAACUGGCCAACGGCAAGACACUGUCUUAUAAGUUCGGAGGAUCUGAGCUGUUCUUCAAGUAAUAAUGAAGCAAAGUAUUCCAAUGGCAUGCUUUCUUUAAAGGAUACUUUUGCAUGAGACAUAAUUGGGUGUAAGUUUUGUGCAUGGAUGACAAAUAGAACAGUUGAGUGACAUGAAGUUUGAGGCAACUGUCCAUUGCUAGGUCCUGCUUUGGAGGAGAAUAACUAUCUUAAUUAGGUCUAGUUCAGAUCCGUUUGAAUGUAAAUGCGGGUGAAGCUGUAGAACAUCUUUGCAAGUGUAUAGAGGGAGCCUUUCCUAUAAGAUAUGCAUACCGCAGCAAGUAUAUGAUAUCAUAAUGCUCUUGGCAGAGACCUUCGAAUGUACAAUUGUUUCAUAUGAACUGCAGAGUGAAAACUUUUACUUGGUUAGGCAUCUUAAAUUUAUACUAUUCUGCUCUUGGAUGUGCGAGCCUUCUCUGUCUGUCAAAAUAUUUUUUUCAGAAGAUCUUACAGAGAGGCUAAUGAUAAUGUAUUUAUUUAUUUUUUAUUGGAAUCAAGUUAUUAAAAGUAAAUAGGCAGCAUAUUGAUGCAUUCUGGAAGAAAAAAUUGUUAGCAGAGUGAUAUGGCUAGGGAUGGCAAUGGGGUGGGGUGGGGGUGGGGAGGUCUACUCCAUUCCCCACCCCAUUAAAAUUUUUUGCCUCCAUCCCCACCCCAUAUUCCCCAAUAAAUUUAGUGGGGUGGGGAUGGGGAAUCCCCACGUGGGGAAUGAUUUUUUCAUCCCCACCCCAUUCUCCAUUUACCUAUUUUAUAACAGGUAUAGAUACAUGAUUUCAGUAAAUUAAAAAUUAGAGACUUAAAAUAAAAUCAUCACCAUAUUAUAAAGUAUUUAAAUUAUUUUAAAAAAAUCUUUAAAAGUUUGAAACAAUAUCUUAAAAUGAUAUUAAAAGUGAAAAAUAUUUAAAAAAAAAAAGCAGUACCUUAAAAGAGAAAAGAAAACAUAACAAUAUUUUAGAGUUGAAAAAAAAUUAUAUUGUAGGGUUUUCUUUUAUUCAUAUCAUGUUUAUAUUACAUAAAAAUUAAAAAAAUUAUUUAUUGACAUUAUAGUUGAUAAAAUAAAAAUUAAUAAAUAAGAAUUAAAAACAUAUUUAUAUAUAAUGGGGAUUGAGCCAUUGGGGUGGGGGUGGGGUGGGGACUGUAAAAUCAAACCCUACCCCGUUAAGAAUUUAGGGAUUAUUUUCUCCCACUCCCCACUCCAUUCCCCAAAAAUUAUUCAAAAUUUUUCCCAUUUGGGGUGAGGCUCCAUGGGACCCUAAACUCGUAGAGGAUUUUGCCAUCCCUAGAUAUGGCAUAUACUUUGUGCGUCUUGUAUGCUUUAUCUUCAGCACUUUGCUAUGUGUUUUUCUCCCUAGUGCCUAGAGACUGUCAAUUUUUUUUUUUCCUUUUUUUUGACGAAACUGAGGAGCUCAAGUUGGGACAGAAUUGUUUCUUAAUUUCUUGCAGACACGGAUUCUCGUUAAUCAAGAUGGUAUAUCAACAUAUAUACUUUGACACAACACAUAAUAUCAGUUUUCCCCCUUAACUUUUCACAGAUUAAACAUAACCUUGAUGGCAUUUCCACCUUGAGCACUAAUUUCAAAAGCAUCUUCUAUUUCUUUCUGUGUGAAGCCAAACCUGUGGGUUAUCAGUGACUUAACAUCAAUCUUGCCGCUUCUCAGAAACUCAAUGCAGAGUGGCCAUGUGCUCCUAUACCGAAAUGUGCCAAUUACAUCCACUUCCCUGUCAACCAACAAAACCCUUUAUCAGAAAUUUCCCAAAUUUAUAUUUCAAACGUCGAAAAAUGAGGGUGAAUUAUAUAUCUCAUCACCUUGCAGCUGCCGGCGUCAGAGCAACAGUCAUCUCGGUCUUGGCUAAUCCUAUCAGGCAAACUUUGCUUCCUGGACGAGUGGCAUUCAAAGCCGUUGACAUGGUUUUGUCAAACCCAACACAAUCAAAGCUCACAUCAAUGCCUGAACCCAUUGCAUUUUGUAUCUUCCCCACAUCUGUAUUAACAUCCUGCCAAUGUUUUUGCACAGCUUCAAAGUCUAGAAAAACUUGGGAAAGUGAAAACAGAGUGAUAAUCAUCUACAUCUAACAAUUAACCUCGAUAUCUGUUGAGACUUUAACUGUUUCAUCCGCGCCAAGAUUCCUUGCAAUAGAUAGACGCUGAACAUCAACAUCAGUGAUGAUAAUUCUGGGGGCACCAAAUGCUCGAGCAGCUAACAGGGUAACAAGGCCUAUCGGUCCUGAUCCCAUGAUCAUUACAUUGGUUUCAGGUCCAACGUUUGCACGGCGACAGGCAUGGACACCAACACUUAAGGGUUCACACAUUGCUCCUUCCUCCAAGCUCACAUUGUCAGGUAACUUGUAACAUAACUUUGCUGGAUGCACAACCUAGUUGCAGGAAAAAAAAAAAUGUCUCCGUUAUUUACAAUUCUUAUGUACAUAGACCGCAUGUGAAAUUAAAAAAUUUCUAGUUUGGGAAGCUGAAGACAUCUGAUCAUUGACCUUAUGGGCAAGAGAGCCUUUGGUUGGAGGAGAUCCAAAGAAUCUCAUUUCAGGACAAAGAUUAUAGCUACCAGCUUUGCAGAGACUGCAGUGUCCGCAACUAAUACCAGGUUCUAGAGCCACACGAUCACCCACCUCGAGGGACUUAACUUCACUGCCAACUUCUUCUAUGAUCCCAGCACACUCAUGUCCAAUUACCAUAGGUUUUUUCACAAUAAAAUUGGCACAUCUCAUAGUCUGAUCAUAAACAACAUUUUGCAUACAAUAAGCAGUGACAGCCUUUGGCAUAUUAUACAGUCAUCAAGAUUUUGCAUAGAGACAGACAGAAAGCUUUUUCACCUUGAAGUGAUGAACAUCACUUCCACAUAUUCCAAGAGCCUUAAUUCGUACUUUCACAUCUUGAGGACCUAAAAAUUACACAAUUUAUUUAUUUAAUUUUUUUGGCCAUGGCAUGGCAGUGAUCUGAUUAAAUUCAUAGUUGUGCGUAUAGAAUAACAAGAAGAAGAUAAAAAUAUAAUACCUAGGGUAGGCAAAUGAUAUGGCUGAAUUUUCAGAGUUUUGAUUCCAAGCAGCCAGGCAGCAUGUUCUGAUUCUUGUCUCCUUCGUCAUCUCUGAUUGCUUCAGCCAUUUCAAUGUUUCCCUUUUUUCUUCUCCUCUUGUCUUCUUUUUACAGUGUUAUUGUGUCUCGUAUUAUCCUAGUUAAAAUUGCCUCUUUUUUUUUUUUCCUAUCUCAUUUCCCUCGUGCUUGCCUUAACGUACUUCUUAAUUAUUAUAGUUACCUUUUUGAACAGGUAUUCCCUUCCCUUCCAUUAUUAAUUUAUUUAAAUUAUAUGAAUUUUAAAAUAUUAUUUCAUAUGACCAUAUCCAUUAAAAAAAGUCAUGAAAAUCAAAUUAUUGGUUUUCUUUUAAUUCAUAGUAUUAUGGAAUUAUUCUAAAAUAAAACACAAUUAUAAUCGUACAUAUAAAAUGAUAAAUAAUAAAAAUAUAUUAUAAUUUUUUAAUCAUAUAAUUAUAAAAAAUACUCAAUCGCAAAAUAAUUUCAUCAUAACCAAACUCUUUCUUUUAACCUUUUUUAAAAGAUAAAACCAUUCUUUCAUACCAUUUUACAAAAUUAGCCACCACCCACGUACAUUAAGUUGAUUUUGAUUCCUUUGUAAAGAUACAAUUAUUGCACAGUUUGGAUUUCGGGGUCCAUAAAUUCUGAAAAAAAAAAAAAACAAACAACAAACGGUUCUGAAACCGAUUAAUUCUCUCCACGUAAGCACGUUAUCCUGUUGAAAAAAGAAACCAUAAUCUCUGUCACAAAUUAUUUAAAACUAUCAUUAGUAAUUGGAUUUUUACUUAAAUAAAAAUUAGUCCGAUGAAAACAGAAAUCAAUCAUCUACGCGGAUAAAUACAAAGAACACUUGAUGUUAUGCCUCACUUGUCAUUAAAUAUUCCUGCGGCCGAAUCAAAUCAUAUCCCAUAUCCAGAAUCAGAAUAAAUGGUAGCUUAAAAUAUAGCGUACAGAGUAACGUCUCUGCUGUACACUUGUGUUUUUGAAGGGUAAAAAGCAAAUAUGGGCAAGGGAGGGAUGUCACAAGGAGAAAAGGAAGAUGGAGAAGAAGUUAACAUGACAGCUUGGCUUCUGGGUGUCAACACCCUCAAGAUUCAGCCUUUUGAGCUUCCUUCUCUGGGUAUUUUGAUCUUUCUUUCAUCUCUGUCUUGUAUCUUAGAAGUGUUAUGGAAUUUGUUUAUUGGUUGAAGAUAUGAACUUUUGAUAGAUUGAUAGAUAUCUAAAGAGAGAUCUUUGGUUGAAAAACAAUAAAAACACAUCUUCCAAUACAGCUUAUCUCAUACCUCUUACAAUUGAAUUAACUAUCACUCACAAUUAAUGUAAUUCAAACUGAUUGUUUUAACAUCUUUGUUUGUUAUUUGUAAACUGCAGGACCAUAUGAUGUUUUAGUCAGGAUGAAAUCCGUUGGUAUUUGUGGAAGUGAUGUGCAUUUUCUCAAGGUAUAUUUGUUAAUCCCUCUUCAACUUCCCUUAAAUUAUUAUUAUUAUUAUGGCAAUUACUCUGUCAAAUUGCUGAGAAAUGUUAAUAAUGGAAUAUUUUCACUUUAUGUUAUUCAAAAUAAUACUUGAAUGUUGAAUGUUUGUGUAUUUUUGCAGACCAUGAGGCUUUGCCGAUUUUGUAGUGAAAGAGCCUAUGGUGAUCGGGCAUGAGUGUGCUGGGGUCAUAGAGAAGGUGGGAAGCGAGGUGAAGACUUUGGUGCCCGGUGACCGUGUGGCCCUGGAACCAGGGAUCAGCUGCUGGCGAUGUGAUCACUGCAAAGGAGGUCGAUACAAUUUGUGUCCAGAGAUGAAAUUUUUUGCAACUCCGCCAGUUCAUGGUUUUCUGGCUAAUCAGGUUGAUUGAAAAUUUACAUUUUGAACUAAGUUCUAUAGGACUAUGAGAUGAGAAGUAUGGUAGACUGACUUUAACACAGUUUAUGCCCUUAUAAAUUUCAGUAAUGAUAUACUUACUAUGGUAAGUAUACCAUCACUACAGAACAAAAAAAUUUGAUUACAAGAUAAAAGAAAAUUCCAUUGUAAGACAAUUUUUUUUUUUGUUUUCUCUUACAGAUUUUGCACUAAUAAUUAUACAUACAUUAUUAUUCUAUAAAUUUUACUGUUUGAGAUUUUUUAGUGUCUUAGAUUAUUACUACAAUACGAUCUAUGCCCUUGUGAAUUCUGUUGCAUAAAUAGUGGUGUCACUUUACUUGUUCUUCUAAAGACAUACUGGUUACUGUCAGUUGUGUAGUUCCCAUUUGAUCUUCUGUCCCUCUUGUCAUAUAUUUUUUUAUCUGGCAAUGAUUGUUGAUUCCUUUUAUUUGAAAUGAAAUUGGCUGCUAUCAAAAUUGAUCGGCUACUUGACACAAUGACUAAGAUGCAUUCUCUUGUGUAUAAUAGGUGGUGCAUCCUGCAGACCUAUGUUUUAAGCCGCCCGACAAUGUUAGCCUGGAGGAAGGGGCUAUGUGUGAGCCCUUGAGUGUUGGUGUUCAUGCCUACCGGCGUGCCAAUAUCGGUCCUGAGACAAAUGUGUUUAUCAUGGGAGCAGGGCCCAUAGGACUUGUCACAAUGCUAGGAGCUCGUGCUUUUGGAGCUCCUAGAAUUGUCAUUGUGGAUGUGGAUGACUAUCGUUUAUCUGUUGCAAAGGAACUUGGUGCAGAUAAUAUUGUUAAAGUUUCAACAAAUUUGCAGGUAUGUUACUGUCCAUUGCCCAGCAGAAGAGUUUAGAAAAGUAAAAGACAUUUCAAAAUCUUCAUGCUCACAAUCCUUCCCUUUCGGCUUUCUCUUAAUCAUCAUAACAACAUGUUUUGUUCAACCAACUCUGUUGCAUUAAGACCUUGUUCUAACUUCCUCAGUUCAUUUUUGUUCUCAGUGCCUUUUGUUUUCUAUUUGAAAGUUGACAACUCUAAUAUGCAUUAUUCUUGUUAUCAGAGUAGAGGUGAGCUUGAUGUCACGGGAUGAGUAUUUUGCGCAGCUAACCUGUGCGGUGCUUAGACAACUUUGCCGAAUGUUGCUAAGUAAGCCUAGAGCUUCUCGAACUAGAGAAGAGAGCAAUGGAGCCGAAUAAGAAAGCUUGUAUUGCACAAAGGAGAGAUUACAAUGCUUGAGUGCUCAAUGCUUGUUGUUGUGUACAAAUGCUUAAUGUCAUCCCAUAUUUAUAGGGGAGGCUUGCCAAGCUCUAGAGAUUCUAGAGAAAUCUUCCAACUAUCUAGAAUUUACAUGUGCUGGAAAUGCAUAGAGAAUUCUAGAGUAUUUACAAGCUCAAUGUGCUAGAGUUGCCUAGAACUUGCUGGAGUUGGGCAAAGCUAGCACUCUUGGCCUUGUGUUGGGCUCUUGAUGAGCAAAUUGGGCUAGCGAAUUGGGCGGUCUGCAACAUCCUCCCCCACCUAAGGUUGCGGCGUCCUCGUUGUGCUCUCGUGCUUGAAAUUCUGGAUGUGUUCAGCGAAUUGCCACAAAUCCUCUUCAUGUUCCCAAGUGGCUUCGCUUUCGGGGAGGUUUUUCCACUUCACAAAGUACUCGCUAUGUGCUGGCACGCCCCUCCUCGAAACCACAUGGUCCGCAAUGAUGUAGUCCACAUCUUUGUCGAACGCGGUGACAACGGCGGUUGGCACGCGCCUCGAUUCUCCGCGACUUGGGUCUCCCAUGUCUUUGUGAUAUGGCUUGAGAAGGCUCGCAUGGAAGAUCGGAUGGAUCUUGAGUCUUGGCAUAAGUUGUAGUUGAUACGAGAUGUUGCCCACACGUCGAACAACUCGGAAGGGCCCCUCGUAGCGCCUCACUAACCCCUUGUGGACUUUGCGCAACGUCUUGAAUUGUUGGGGUAGGAGCUUGAUCAUGACUUGAUCACCUUCCUUGUACUCAACAUGCCGUCUCCUUGUAUCCACCGAUUUCUUCAUUUUCCUCGCGGCUUUGUCGAGGUAGGCUCGCGUGAUGUCCGCUUCCUCAUGUCAUUCGCGGGCGAGCUUGUGUGCCGCGGGGCUUUUCCCUCCGUAAGUCGAGGCUAUGGCGUUGGGGGUCAUGGGCUGGAAUCCCAUGAUGAUCUCGAACGGACUCCUGCUCGUAGCCUCACUUCGCUGCAAGUUAUAAGAAAAUUGGGCAAUGUCGAGUAGUUUCGCCCAAUCCCGCUGAUGAGCGCUCACAUAAUGCCUCAAGUACAUCUCGAGGAGGCCAUUAAUGCGCUCGGUCUGCCCAUCCAUUUAUGGGUGGAAGCUUGUCGAGAACUUGAGAUCGGUCCCCAACAUCUUGAAGAGCUCCGUCCAAAAACGCCCAGUGAACUGAGGGUCUCGGUCACUCACAAUGCUCCUUGGAACUCCCCAAAGCUUCACAAUGUGCUUGACGAAUAGGCGGGCUGCCUCGUCUGCUUUGCAAUCGACUGGUACGGCAAUGAAUGUGGCGUACUUGCUGUAUCGAUCGACAACAACCAUGCUGCUUCCGCAACCUUCGGACUUAGGCAGCGAUGUGAUGAAGUCCAUGGAAAUACUUUCCCAUGGCCUUGUUGCUAGUGGUAGCGGCUCCAACAAUCCCGCUAGGAGUUGAUGAUCCACCUCGUGUUGUUGACACACAAGACAAGUUCGCACACAUGCCUUGAUGUCGUCCCUCAUGUGCGGCCAAAAGUACGAGGCUUGAACUAGUACGGUGGUGCGCUUGAUUCCUGGGUGACCAGCCCACUUGGAGUCAUGGCACUCCUUGAUUACUUCCUUCCGUAAAUUUCCCCACCUUGGCACGAACAGCCGAUCUCCCUUGGUGUAGAGGAUGCCUUCCUCUUGCCAAAAACGCCUUGUCUUUCCCUUAAGUACCUUCUCGAGCAAAUCCUUUGCUAGCGGAUCUUGUUGGAGGCCUUCCUUGAUACGUGAGACAAGGUCAGACUUCGGUUGACUCAUGCUAAGUGUUUCCAAUUCGGCCUUGCGGCUUAGAGCAUCCGCAACGACAUUGGCUUUCCCUGGUUUGUACUCGAGCCGAUUGUCGAACUCCGCUAGAAAGUCUUGCCACCGUGCUUGCUUUGGCCUCAACUUCUUUUGUGUUUGAAAGUAGCUCGUCGCUACGUUGUCCGUCAUGAUCGUGAAGUGAGAGCCUAGCAAGUAAUGUCGCCACACUCUUAGACAAUGGAUGAUGGCUGUCAUCUCCUUUUCUUGCACCGUGUAGCGGUGUUCUGUAUCAUUUAGCUUUCGACUUUCGAACGCUAUGGGGUGGCCUUCUUGCAUGAGGACUCCUCCUAUGGAAAAAUCUGAGGCAUCCUUUUGGACUUCGAAGGGCUUUGUGUGGUCCGGAAGGGCAAGGACGGGUUCCUCCGAAAUUGCUCUUUUCAACUCCUCGAAUGCGCGUUGGCACUCUUCGGACCAAUGCCACGUUAUGUUUUUCUUGAGCAUAUCCGUCAAGGGUGCCGUCUUGGCUGAGUAGCCCUUGAUAAAGCGGUGGUAGUAGUUCACCAACCCAAGGAAUGAGCGAAGCUCGGGCACUUUCGAGGGAGGCUCCCAUUCAAGGAUGGCCUUCACUUUGGCAUUCUCCAUCAUGAGCUUCCCGCCCGCAAUCUUGUGGCCAAGGAACUCCACCUCUUGUUGGGCAAACGAGCACUUCUCCAAUUUGAGAAAGAGUUCAUUGUCUCGAAGUACUUGGAGGACUUGUCGCAAAUGUUGGGCAUGCUCCUCGAGUGUGGUGCUAUACACCACGAUGUCAUCCAAGUACACGACCACGAAGCGGUUGAGGAAUGGUUGGAGUACCUUGUUCAUGAGUGUACAAAAUGUAGCGGGUGCAUUAGUAAGGCCAAAAGGCAUCACAAGGAAUUCGAAAGAUCCGUACCUUGUAGUGCACGUUGUCUUCGGUUCGUCUCCCUUGGCGAUGCGCACUUGGUAGUACCCGGAGCGCAAGUCAAGUUUGGUGAAGUACCGCGCUUUGCCAAGCUGGUCGAACAGGUUCGCAAUCAAGGGAAUCAGAUACUUGUUCUUGAUGGUGAUCUUGUUGAACGCUCUAUAAUCGAUGCAGAUCUGCAGCGAUCCAUCCUUUUCUUUUAGAAGAGGACUGGUGCACCGAAUGGGGCCUUAGAUGGGCGGAUGUAGCCUGCGUCCAGCAAGUCUUUGAGUUGUCUCCGCAACUCCUCUAGUUCGGGUGGCGCCAUGCGGUAGGGCGCCAAGGCUGGUGGCUUUGCACCUUGUUCCAGCUCAAUUGCAUGAUCUACCUCUCGUCGAGGCGGGAGCUUCUUCGGAAGUUCUGGAGGCAUCACGUCCUUGUACUCAUUGAGGACGGCUUGAAUUCGCAGAAGGACUUGGCUUGGCGAGGUUCCGUUAUUUCCUUCCUCGUUUAGUUCCCGAAUGGAGAUCAAGAAGCUUGGGUCCUUCUUGAAAGCCCUUUUGAAUUGCAUGGCGGAGAGUGUCUUCUCCUCGGACUUGCCUCGUUCCGUGGGAACCAUGCAUGCCUUACUCCCGUCGAGGAUGCUUAGGGAGUUCGUAGUGGGCAGCGGGAAGGCAUGGACUUGGUCGAAGAAUUUCAUGCCGAGGACCAUCUUACAGUCAUCCAUGGGGACGAUGGAGAAAUCAAGCUUUCCGCUCCACGUACCGAGUGUUAAGUGCACGCCUUGUGCAAUUCCCGUAAUUGGCUUGGCGAGUGAGUUUACUGCCUUCAUUGUGCCUCCUUCCUUUGUGGCCUUGAGACCUAAGCGUUUGGCCUCGUCUACGGACACGAAAUUGUACGUUGCUCCCGUGUCUAGCAACAUGCGAACGGACUAACCGUUUAUCUUUGCGCUGACAUACAUGAGCCCUUUCUUGACGAGUGUGGACUGUUGGUGAUUGAGUGCGCCGAGGCGUUGGAGAGAACCCAUGCUGAGUUGGGGUUCUUCCGAGGACAUUGUGGGGUUACUCUUUAGUUGGGCAGCAAGAGCGUUGAGCGACUUUUUCUCCGGACAGUCGCGUACCCAAUGAGGACCGUUGCAUAUGAAGCAUGGGCUUCACGGCUUUGGCGCCUCCUUCUUGCCCUCCGAUUUUCCUUGCCCGCUCUUGUUGCUAGGCGGCUUUUUCUGCCCCCAAUCUUUGCGGUUGUUGCCCUUGUCCUUGCGACUCUCUCCCCCACUUUUGCCUUGGCUAGACUUCUUGUCUUUGGAUUGGGUAGAGUAUUCAGUGAGCGAUUCCGCAACGGCGAUGGCAUCAUCAAGUGUUUAAACACCACGCCUAUCAAACUCGGUCUUGGCCCAAUCCUUGAGGCCAUCUUGGAAGUAGAAGAGCGAAUCCUUGUCGGACAUGUCGCUUAUCUCCAACAUAAGGGUAGUGAACUCAUUGAUGUAGUCUCGAAUGCUACCCGAUUGCUUGAGGCGACGUAAGCGCGCUCGCGCUUCCUUCUCCGAAUUGCUUGGGGCGAAUUGCUUUCGGAGUUCUUGCUUGCAGUCGGCCCAAGUGUCGAUGGUGCAAAUGCCCUUGCCCAUCUCGCCAUGCUUGCGACGCCACCAUAGUUGUGCAGCGCCUCUAAGAUAGGUGGGUGCAGUGCCCACUUUUGAUGCCUCAUCUUGGACACCCAUGGCGUCGAAGUAUUGAUCCAGCCCAAAUAGAAAGUUUUCCACGACUGUGGCAUUGCGUGUGCCAUCGUAAGUGUCGGGCUUUGGCACAUCAAUGGGGCGCACAUCACUCGUGCUUGCGGAAGCUGGACUAGCGGAGAGUGUGCGCUUGUGCCAUGCCCAAUCCGAGCGGACUUCAUCCACUUCUGCACGGACUGCUCGUAGUUCAUCCUGAACAAAGCUACGAAGUUUGAGCAACUCAUCAUGCGAUCGCUUCCUAAUAAUUGGGAAUAUAUAAGAGUUAACAUGGCUCAUAAUUAUAGCAUUAAGACAUUUAAUGAUAUCAAGUGUCAUUUGGAACUAGAUGAUGACCGCCUAGAGGCUGUUAAAAUUUCUAGCCAACUCUAUAUGGUUAACUCUAAGCUGUAGAAAGCUUUGGGCUUCAAGCGCAAAAAAAGAAAGAAUACUUUUCAAAGGAAAAAGAGAAUUGUGACAGCUCAAGGGAACCCUAAUAAUAGAAAGCGCAUGAAAGGAAAGCGCGUUGGAUAUAAGAAAGACAAGACUAAAAUGAAUUGUUAUAAUUGUGGCAAAUUAGGCCACUUUGCUCGUGAAUGCACUGAACCAAAAAGGUACAAUUCAUCUCCACAAAUUUAUGUUCUAACUAUGUGAUAAAUUUUAUUUUUUUAAUUGAAUCUCGUCCUUCAAGGACUGUAGACUCAGAACCAACAGACCACAUAGCUGGAGAGCGUGGAGCAUUUAUAGAGUAUCGUCGAAUUAAUCAAGGAACAAAAUGGUAUACGUGGGUAACAACUCAAGGGUUGAGGCAAAAGGAAUUGGCACUUGCAAGUUAGAGUUGUGUGGUGGCCAAAUAUUUUAUCUCCAUGAUGUUCUUUAUACUCUAAACAUCCAAUAAAACUUAGUCUCUGUUACUGUUCUUCUUAGGAUGGGAUAUCAAUUACAAUUUUAUGGUGCUAGUUUAAAGAUUGUUCUUAAUUCAACUCUAGUUAUUGGUGAUUAUUUAUUAGAUGGUUUUCCUCUUUUGGAUACUAAUUAUUAUGAUUCCAAUAAUAAUUGUUUUUUGGUAAAUGCAUUUUCCAAUGUGGAUGUAAAUAUUUGGCAUGCUAUACUAGGACAUGUAGGGCAAGAAAGAAUGAAUAGAUUAGUUAGAGAAAGCUUAUUAGGCUCACUCGCCAAUAUUGACUUGCCUAUUUGUAAAAGUUGUCUAGCUGGAAAAGCAACUAGAAAACCAUUUGGCAAAGCUACUAGAGCUGAAAGUCCAUUGUAAAUAGUCCAUUUUGACAUUCGUGGACCAAUGAGUGUGAGGGCUAAAUAUGGAACCAUGUAUUUUAUCACAUUUAUUAAUGACUACUUACGCUUUGGUCAUGUUUAUUUGAUUUCUCAUAAAUCUGAAGCAUUGGAUUGCUUUAGAUCAUACUUGAAUUUAGUAGAGAAUCAAUUAGACAAAAUAUCAAAGUCUUAAGAACAGAUCGUGGGUGUGAAUACCUUUUAAAGUAGUUCAAGGAAUUGUGCAAUAAUAAAGGUAUUGAGAAACAGCUAACUAUUCUAAGGACUCCACAACAAAAUGGUGUUGCAGAAAUGAGGAAUAGAACAUUACUCGAGAUGGUUAGGUCUAUGAUGGCAUUAUUGACUGCCAUUUAUGUACUUAAUUGAGUUCCAAGUAAGUCAGUAAGUUUUACUCCAUAUGAGUUGUGGAUAGUUAGAAAACUUGAUCUUACUCAUUUGCGUCCCUGGGGGUCUGCAACGUAUGUUCACAACUCAUCUCAUAAACAUGGGAAAUUGGGUCCAAGAGGAAAGAAAAGUUUCUUUAUAAGAUACCUAAAACACUCCAAAAGAUAUGUAUUCAUAGGUGAACAUGAUGAUGGAAAUAUAACUGAGACAAAGUCAGGAGAUGCUUCAUUUUUUGAAAAUGAAUUAUUAGCAUUUCAGAAGUUGACAAAGACAUUCAUCUAUAUGAGUUGAAUGAUUCAGAGGUUAAUGACACUUCUGAUUUACAAAUUGAGAGAAACUUAGAUAUAACUGGGAAUACUAAUCCUAGUAGGAGUUACCCACAAGAUGAGCCUACUCCACAAGACAACUCAAUUCGUAAAAGCAAUUGCAUACCCAUCCCACGUCGUCGUUUUGAGAUUGAGAAUGAGGCAUUUAUAGUUGCUUUACAUGAUGGUGAUGAGCCAAGAACUUAUAGAGACGCCAUCACAUUAUCAACUAAGGAUUUAUGGAUUGAGGUAAUGAAUGGAUGAAAAAAUAGAGUCUAUGAAAUCAAACCAUAUCUAGGACUUGGGUGAUCUACUACUUAACUGAAAGGCCAUUGGAAACAAAUGGUUUUUACGUGUUAAACAAAAGGCGGAUGGCAUAAUUGAAUGAUACAAGGUACGCCUGGUAGCGAAAGGAUAUACCCAAUAAAAGGGUAUAAAUUAUGAGGAAACGUUUUCUUCAGUAGUAAAGUUUGCUUUUAUAAGAUUAAUUUUAGUAAUUGUUGCAACAUGGACCUUGAAUUACAUCAAAUGGAUGUUAAAACAAUUUUUCUCAAUGGAGAACUAGAGGAAGAAAUUUAUAUGAAACAGCUAGAGGGUUAUAUAACCAGUUACCAAGAGUGCAAAAUUUGCAAGCUAAAAAGGUCUAUAUAUGGGCUAAAAUAAUCCUCUAGACAAUGGUAUCUUAGGUUUCAUUAAUCUAUAAUGUCUUAUGGGUUCUCGAUGACUGAAGAAGACCAUUGUGUGUAGAGCUGGCAAAAUUUGACACGACCCGAUUACCCGACACGAACACGACAUAAAUAAAUGGGUAUGGGUCAUCAAAUUUAACACGAUUAUUAAAUGGGUCGGGUCCGGGUCAACACGAUUUUUUUCCGUGUCGGGUUUGGGUUAAAAUUCUUGACCCAUUUACCCGAUCAAUGACCCGAUUAUAUUUUCUAUUUUAAAAUAAUUUACAUAUUCUUAUAAUUAAAACUCAAAUAUUAGAGAUGAUUUUCUUUUUUUAAUUCUUUAAAAGGGUGAAUAUAAACAAUGUUUUAUUUAUAAAAUUUUACAUACAUUUAGAGCUUCAAUAGUGUAAAUGUGUAAAAAUUGAUAGACAUGUAUAUUUUAUAAUAUUGAUAUAUAAUAUUAUAUAUAUAUAUAAUUAAAACCUCAAUAGUGUAAAUGUGUAAUAUAUUGGUAGAUAUAUAUAUUUUAUAAUAUCGAUAAAUUAUGUAUGUAUGUAUGUAUGUAUUUAUGUACAUACGUAUGUAUGAUAGUGUGUAAAUAUUUUAUGUAACUUUUGUUCAAUAUAUAGAUAUUAAACGGGUUAUUGGGUAACCCGAUUAUUUUUUCGUGUCGGGUUUGGGUCUCAAUAUUUUGACACAAUUAUUAAAUGGGUCGGGUUUGGGUCGACCUAAAUUUGACACGACACGAAGCUGACACGACACGAACACGACCUGAUGACCCGUUUUGCCAGCUCUAAUUGUGUGUAUGUUAAAAGGUUUGAAGGUAACUUUGUUAUCUUAUCUCUAUUUGUAGAAGAUAUAUUGUUGGCUGAAAAUAAUAAGGAGUUUGUCCAAAUCAUCAAGGAAUGGUUAUUUUCAAACUUUAAAAUGAAAGAUAUGGGUAAAGCAUUUUAUAUCUUGAGAGUUAAAAUCCGUAAGGAUCGUUCCAAAAAACUUCUAAUUUUGUCACAAGAGUCUUACAUUAGAAGAAUUCUUAAAAAAUUUAAAAUAGAUAAGCGUAAACCUAUAGAUACUCCCAUCUCCAAAAAAACAAACUCUUAGCCUUGAAACGUGUCCAAUGAAUCUAAAAGAACAUAGUGAAAUGACGCGAGUUCCAUACUCGAAUGCUAUUGGAAGUCUCAUGUACGCUAUGAUGUGUACAAGGCCAAAUAUUUACUAUGCUAUGGGGUUGGUAAGCAGAUACCAAUCAAAUCCUGGGCGCAAACAUUGGAAUGCUGUCAAAAGGAUUUUAGCAUAUUUGAAAGGCACUGACUAUUCUUUAUGUUAUCAAGGAGUUGUUUUAUGCUUAAUUACAUACACAGACGACGAUUAAGGAGGCGAUCAUGAUGAGCACAAAUCAAUCUCAUGACAUGUAUUGCUAUUGAGUCGCGAUGCGAUCUCAUAGAAUAGCAAAAAGCAAACAUGCAUGGCUCUGUCGACUAUAGAAGCAGAAUAUGUGGCAUGUUUAGUUGUAGUAUAAGAGGUUGUUUGGCUUAAGCGUUUCUUAGAUGAUCUUGAGAUUGUUACUGUGAUAGCCAAGGAGCCAUAUCCUUUACAAAGGAUAUAAAAUACCACAGCAAGUCCAAACACAUAGAGACCAAGUACAACUUUGUAAGAGAUAUUGUGGUGAAAAAAGAAGUGUUGAUGUAACACAUAUCAACACGCGUCAUGAUUGCAGACCCAUUUACUAAUGCCAUGACAUGAAAUGUUUAUCUCAUACAUACGCGAUCUUUGGGGUUACGUAGAUUGUAAAGUUGUACUUGAUGAGAUUUUGUUUUUUGGAUGAUUUUAAUAACAUUUUUUUUUUAAUUUUCAACUGAUAUUAGCAUGAUUACACACUUAUAUGAUUACUAAAAGAUGUCUUUAGGUUUCGAUCGGCUUUCUUACACAAGUAGUCGCCUCAGUUGUUAAGAAAAGCAAACUGAGAUGAGACACAAGAUUAAGAAAAAGUACGGGGUACGUUCUCAUUGAGAUUAUAUCUUGAAAAUGUCGCCUUGACUAGAUCAAGAUGAGAACAUGAUUGAGCUAGAUACGAGUUCAUUUGGCGCCUUAUAAAGGCGAGCUUAUUGAGACUCAAUUUGGGCUCUUGAAUAGCGACUAAUUUCAUAUAUGUACAAUGAAUUGUUAAACAUAUGCUCUUAUACAAAGAGAAUUCAAGGUAACGCGUGAUUCAUAACAUGCGUGCUUUUGUGACCAAAAAGAAAAAUAAGUGAAUGAAUCCCUGCUUCCUCAUUGUGUAAGUUCCUUUGAGGUAUAAGAAGGACCUCGACAGUUAUCUUUAGUUACCAUCGACUAUAUCUUAAAGGAAAAGACUGGUGAUAACUACUCUAGCAUGUUUUUCUAUGACCAUGAGGUUAUUCAACCUAUGAAACAUGUCUAAGAAAACAACGAGCCUAGAACUAAAAGAUAUAAGUAGGAUGGGAAGAUUUAUUCUCUUUACAUCUGACUUAUGCAUUCACCGGUUGAUUGUAUAAUCUACUUAGGGAUGAAUAUAAUUGUGAAUACAUAAAGUGCAUAGUGUCAAACAUAAUUUUUGUUAAGGGAUUAAAUAUGCUUGUACCAAUGUAAUGGAAAAUGAAAUCUAGGAUACAUGAUGAACAAGUUAUUUGAAUCUUUUGCAAAUGGUGCAAUUGAGAUUUCUUAUCUCUAGUAGAUAUAUUGUGUUCAUGGGUCACACGUUGCAUUUACCUGUAUGAAACUGCUGUAGUGGCUUUGUGCCCAAAUACCCUACUCUCGUUGCUUUGGUUACUCAAUCAUCCCAUCACAUGUGAGUGGGAGAUGUUAUAUUUAGGCACCCAUGAUGGGCUGACUUUAUCCAACUUGAGAGAUAAGUUAAACUUAUAAUUUAUCUAGGAUUCUUAUAAGAUAAACUUAGUGUUUUACCUGAAUCCUAGUCACAUAAGAUGCGGCUUAUUCAAAUAACUAUAGGAAGUUUAUUUGAAUUAAACUACAUUUAUUGUACUAUAUAAGCACUAAAUGGGUGGGUGCAAAUGCGUACAAUAAUAAUAAUAAUAAGAAUCAAAGUAACAUCAUAAAGAGAGUGAUAGAAAAGGUAAAAGGUAGUGGGUUAUUGCUUUGUGAAUUGAGCGGAUUUCCAGCCACGUGAUUGUCCUUCGACCAUCAUUGACAUAAGCUCAUUAUGAUGCAUUCGUGAAGGUUCUAGUAAUCAGUUCCUCUUUGUUGCGAUAUGUUCAUGAAGGUUCUUGGAAAUCCGUUCUUGGAGAUUGGAAGGAAUCUAUUAUUUGUUUCUGCAGAUUUGUGACGAUUUGUUUCUGCAUCAACCAACAAGGUAUGAAUUUGGUUGAUAAAAUAAAAUUGCAUUAUUGAUUAAGAAAAUCAACAAACCCAUUAUUUGAAAUGAGCCACUCUAUUAGUUAACAUUGAAUUGUUUUAUGGUUGCUAUAAUAAUUUUAAAAUAAUUUUAAUUUUUAUCUACAAUUUCAUUUCUUAAAUUAGGAGGUGUAAAAUAAGACAUUAAUUUUGGCAAUUAAAAGCAAAAGAAUUGCAGGGAAUAAAUUCGGCAACUAAAGUGGUAGUAAAAUAAUUUUUGAAUUUUUUUGUGGGCAAUUAGUACGGCCAAGUUCCUUGCAAAAAUCAGGGCUUACAUUGGCUGCUAAAAAGGACUUUUUGUGAGGCCACUUAUUGCAACCAUUAAUAUUUUUGUUAAUACAUAAAUUUUGGCUGCAAAACGUUUUUGCCACCAAAAUUGUUCUUAUAUUUGUGAGGAAAACUUUUGGUGGCAAAAACUAAUUUUUCUUGUAGUGCUUUUGCUCGAAAACCCUUGUUUCUUAUAAUUUGUAGUCUUGAUUCGCACUCUCAUCACAAAAAAUCAGGGGAUUGAUGUUUGGGGAUAAAAUAUGGUGACCACAAUCCAAUGUUUGCUUGAAACCUAAACAUGCUUGACUCCAAUAAAAUAAAGGUUAAUUGCUAAUGAGCUGAGGAGAGAAAAACUAUCAAGAGCAGAUAUCGUGGGAGGAGAAAAGUUAAGAUUAGUCAAAGUGCAAUAGUACUACUUAAGUAGUACUUUCUUUUUCUAUCUGAAACCGAAUAAGUUUAAAUUUUGUUGAAAUCUGAAUGACAUUUCAUUUUUCUUUUUUAAACAUAUAAGUGGAAUCUCAUUUGUUCUUAUAAAUUAAAAAAAAAUUAACAUAGUUAUUUGAUAUUUUAUGUCCCUACAAGUCAAAUAAAAAGAAAAAGAAAAAAAGGAUUGGGUUUUACAUUUUAGGAAAAAAAUAUUUAAUAAAUAUACUUUUGGAAUAUUAUGUUUACUUCCUAUCAAAACAUUUUUUCAUUUAGAUAAAAGUUACAAAGUUUAUAUUUUCUAUUUAGAUGUAAAUAUUUAAAUAUCAGACAUAUGUUAUGAAAACAAACAAGUAAAUUUAAAAAAUAAUAAUAAUAAUAAUAAAAUUUUAGACUUCAGAAAUUUAGCAAACAGACCUUCAACAAAAAUUCCCCGCCUAUUUCCUCUAAAAAAUUAGGGAUAAUGUUUAUCUUCAAACAUUUCACUUUGAGAGUCCAAGGGGAAGAGAAUUCUAACCACAAUAAAGACCUGGAAAUUCAAAAUAAGUAAGUUAAACUUUUCUCUCUUUAGACUUCCUUUUACUUUUUACUGUGUUUACAUUGAGAUUUUUUCUUUCCUUUUCUAUUACACUAAAAAUCGAAAACUAUUUUUUUUUAGUAAACCCAAAAAAUUGACUUGAGUGCUGGAAAUUAAGGUCAGAAAAACUUAUAUCACCUCUUAUUGCUUUUUAUGGUUGCAAGUAUUUGCGGAGAAUCUGCUUGAGUUCAUGGAUUCGUCCAGAAUUUAAGAGAUUGGCAAACUGCCCUCACACAUAAAAAUUUAAAUGUUGGCUUUGAGGUUUAGUUGCUAGCUAACAAAUCGACUAAACGAGAUUUUAAUGUCAACAACAUGUAUUAAUUAAGAGUUUGAAAACCUUUCAUCUCUUAUGACAUAUUAAUUUCAGCUUAAAUAAACUAUUAUUAAUUAAUUUCCUACUUUUCCAAUUCUCAGAUAAACUCGAAACCGAGCAAUCUUUUGACUCUGGCCAUCUUCAUUCCAAGCAGCCUUAAACUUCUCCAUCACAUUUUCUGUCAAAAGCUCAACACCUUUGUCGUUAGCCUUCUGAUAUGCUGAACAUGACCUUAUGAACUUGAAGUAAUCAUCUAAAUCCAUCAGCUUCUCUACAACAAACUGAUCGAACGGCCCCGUAUUCUCAUAUCCAUCAACAGGCUCAAAUGGAAAAUCAAUGCUCAUGUACUUGUUGUGCACCAAUUUACGUUGUGGUGCCCAAAAUGGCUUACAAUCAAUGGUAUCGAAUGGUUUGAAAACUGCACCGACGGAUUCAUUGAUUUCGGGCAUGGUGUAAGUCCAUGCAGCUAUUACUCCACUAGGUUUUUUGAGUACCCAUUUUACUUGUUUGUAAAAUUGACGUAAGUCAAACCAAUGUAGUGCUGAAGCAAUUGUCACUAGAUCUACACUUGAUUGUGUUGCCACAUUUUGCUCAAGCUCAGUUAUGGACAUGGUUGGAGGAGUAAGUUGAUACCGAAUGUUGGGGAGCCUUAUUGCGAAUUUUAGUUGUUUUGGGCUUGUAUCUGUAGCAAUGACGUGUUGAUAAAUCUGUGCUAGCUGAAAACAUAAAAUUGUGAGAAAUCAUAAAAUAUAGUAGGCUAUAACAAAAGUACUCAGAAUUGAGAGGGCCAAAUAUUAAAAUUACAUAGGUAUCGUAAAAUUUCAACUGGUACUUCAUUUUUUGGGUAAUUUAACUUUUUUCAUCCCCAAAGUGUUGGGAAAAUAUGCUCUUUAAAAGCAUAUGUGUUUAUUUAAUUGUAAUAAAUAUUUUUUCUGAUUAAUAAAAUAGAUGAGGUAUUUUAUUCAAAUAUCUUAAUUGCAUUAAUAUUUUUAUUAAAGUCCAUUUAAUCAUAUUAUAUGUAUUUAUGUGAUCACUAUGUGGAUUCACAGAAGACAUAAAUACAAGUUAUCUUAUGAUUAAAUAAAUUUUGUUCACAGUUGAUAAAUAAAAUUGAGCACUUUAUUUAGGUAUAGACUGUAAUAAAUUCAUUGAAUGAUUUGUCUUAAUCAUGUAUGAAUUUAUUGAUGUAGUACGACUACAUUGAACAGGAUCACAUAUGAGAUUUAAUUAACUUUGUAAUAACUAUCAGACUUAUUAAAUCUCAUAGGCAUUGAUUUUACUGUAAUCUUAAUCUUGAGUUAAUUAUGAUUUCAUGAUUGUAAUUAUUAUUCCAUUUGAGUUACCAAUGGGCAUGACAUAUACUUGUAGUCUAGAUUACCCGGUAUCUUGGUGUGAGCAUUUAUGAGUAUUGGAGUUAUAGAUUAACAAUAUAGAAUUUGUACAGCACAUCUCUUGAUGGGUUUUCGGCACUUGAUCAUAGAAUUCUUUGGCCAGAGUGUGUCAACAUAUUUAGUAUGUUGAAAAUGAUCAUUAGAGAAAACUAGUAAGUAUCAAGGAAUAAGAUGUUAUUAAAUUGAUUAGACAGUUAAGAUAUCAAUUUAAUUAACGAUGUGGUACAAAGGAUUGUGCAGUAAAGAAAUUAAUGUGGCUUGGGACGAAUUAUUAUUUGAGCAUACAAUUAUGGAAGUCAGUUCCAAUCUUUUAGUGGAGUAGAUUUGGAAUUAAAUAAUUGGGCUAGUUUAAUUACAAGCCUAAUUAUUGUAGCCACUAUUGUAUGUUCCCAAAUGAUCCCCGGGUUAGCUCAUUUAAUUGACUGCACCACUACUGGAUUAAUAAGCAAGAUAAUUAGCUAUUUUGGUCAAAAGCCUAAAUAUAUCAUUUAGUGGGGGGCUCCAUUUAAUUAGCUUGUGUGUAAAGAGCCUUAUGUUAUUUUACAAGGUGGGUCCCCUAUAGAAAAAGCAAGAUAACUAGCUAACGUGAGUUUUGUUUUUCAUUAUUUGGAGCCUAGGGUUUUCACUAAAAGGAGAUAUAAAAGGCUUAUUUUCUCUAAAGAAAAAGUGUGCAACCAUUUUAUACAGAUCAGAGAAAAAGAUUUUUCUCUCUAUUGUUGAGAGAAAAAUUUUCUCGUGCUAGUCGCUUUGGUAGUGAUAAAGGCGCCCACACGUCAAGUGCAGAUCAAACCUGAGUCAUAACCUGGAAGAUCAUUGGUGACAGUUCGUGAUCUAACAAGCGUGGUUGUGACAGUUCGUGAUCUAAUAAGCGUGGUGGUGACGGAUCGUGAUCUAACAAGCGUGGUGGUGACGGAUCGUGAUCUGGGAGCCUAAAUCACUUCAGCGGAAAAAUCUAAAUCGGAUUUUCAAGGUACGAUUUCUAGAUUACAAAUUCUUAUAUAUUAUAUGAGAGCGAUCUUAAAAAGGUUUUAUAAAAAAUUUAAAAACUUGAUCUUUCCCCAACACAAAGUGGCUAGGCUACCCUAGGCUUCACCUAGUUCCGCCGUUGGGAGAUAGAUAAGAUUUUUCAUUACUAGUAUUACAAUUAAAUUUUCAAAUAAUUUAGGUACUAAUUUGAAAAUAGUACAUCACUUAAUUGCCCAAUAAAAAUAAUUGUAAUUUAACUGGGGAUGGCAAGGAGGAGGAAAGGGGAUCAAUAACUCUAUACUCAUUUUCGAUCCUUUGCUUAUAUCUCUAUACUGUCCCUCUCCCCUCCAAAAUUGUUUGAGGGUAGGAGACAAGAUUCCCAAUGGUACCUAAUCUCCAAAUAACUGAUACUUUUAUUUUCUAAACUUAAUUUAAUCGUAUUAAAGUAAAAGUAUAAAAUUAUUUUACAACACAAAAACAUCAAAGUAAACUAAAGUAUUUAAAAUCAUUUCCUUAUUAAGCAAAAGUAGAGCUUCAAAAUUGAACACACUUAAAAAAUCACAUGGUCUAAAUCAUCAACAAGAUUAUCUUCAUCAAUUUUCAAGCGCUCAAAUUAGCUGUUAUUUAUAUUUUCUAUAAAUACUAUGAUAAGGAAAUUAUAUGGUAUUUGUUAUAAUAUUUGUUAUUUGUACUAUGAUAUUUGUUAUUUAUAUUCUUACCACUAUAAAUUAAAUUUUAAAUAUAUUUAUUAAAAAAUUUUAAAAAAUUAAAAUUAUAAAUAGAAAUGGGGAAAUGGGGGAUGGAGAUUUCGUCAAACCCCCGUCCCUUCCUCCAAUGAGAUAUUAGGUAUUUAAUUAUACCCUUAUAUAUUUUCCCCGAUCUUUAAACAGAGGAUGUAAAAUUAUUCCUACACCCUCUCCAAAUGGAGAAAACCUUUCAAGACCCGUCCUUGUGGAAAUUUCUACCAUCCGUAAAUUUAGCAGUUAUGUAAUUCAAUAGUCUUAUAACUUGGGACCAUAAUUCUGAAAUAUUCAUUGGGAACUUUAGUAUUAUUCAAUAAUAAAAACUAAAGAUGUGAAAUGUAGACUUACGGAUGCAGCGGCCUGGCCGCUUCCGGUGCCGACGUCCCAUGCAAGGUUGCGUUUGGGUGUUUUAGAGGCAAUUAAUUUGAACAAUUCUUUUGGAUAAUUUGGUCGUGCUACCGCGUAUAGGUUUGCCUGCUUAAUGAACAAUUCUGCCAUCUUUUCUGUUUUUUUCCUAAGUGUUGAGAAUGUAGAAUUAAGAUAAAUCUACUCAUUUCGUUUCGUUUCGUUUCUUUUCUUCUUUAUAUAGGUUUUAGAAUUUGAUGAAGUGGACAAAUAGACAGAUUUUAGUUCGAAAUUAAUUUGGUAAUGUUUAUCACGGGAAGCCGCAAUAGAACUAGGACAAUCUCAUAAAGUCUUAAAUUUCGACCGAAUUUUUCUUUCUUCCCUUAAUUUUCAAAAAUUAAAUACUUAUGGACUUGCCUUUUCGGUCGCAAAAAUGAUUUACCCAUCUCAUCAAUGAGCCCCACUUCAAUUAUACUUUGGCAAAUUUUUUGGGACAAUUUUAUUUUUGAUUCAAGCGUUAAAGGUAUCUACUAGAAUAUUCAACUCUCACUUUAUUCUUUUAUGAGGUUAAGAUGGUGGAGCUACAAGUGAAUCAACCUCAUGACGAGCGGGAGUUCAUGCCCUGUUAGAGAAAAUAAUUAAAAAAAAAAAUUAAAGAGGUGACUAUUUGAGUUACUAAUUAGACCCCAUUAAGUUUUCUAAAAUAACCUGUUAAAUUUAUUAAAAAUUGUCCUAUAAAUUCACAAACGCAUAACAAUUAAAUUUUGAUUUUUGAGAAUGAAAGGAAUUUAGAUCUAUUAUAAAUAGAUGUAGGCAAUUAAAACCCUAAAAUUAACAACAUAAUUAAUUUUCAAAAAAAUUGUUCACCGUUACUGUUUAGUGUUUACUACUAUUGUUUAUUGUUCACAGCUACUGUUCAUCUCCAUAAAAAAUAUUAAUUUUCCAAAAACACAAUAAAUUGCAGAAAUUAAAUGACACGGAGAUUUUUACAUGGUUUGGAUUAAUGAAUCCUACAUCCACGAGGCUACGCCUAAAUAAAAAAUAAUUCACUAAGUUGAGAUGUUACAACUUAUGAAUUUACCGAACUUAAGACCCUCACUUACAGUUUAUCACAAUACAGUUUACUCAACCUUAGACUGAAUCUGUUUCUCUUGAAUAAUUGCUACCCCUCUUGAUCCACGAUACUCAAGGCACUUUGCAAAGUGAUAAAUAGCAAUUCUUCAAUGUCUAGUGAUCCAAGAUCCACCACAGAGAUGAAAAGAAGAUAAGAAAAUAAAUCAACACAAAAUUGUGCGCCAAAUCUGGAUUCUCUAGGGAGGAUUCUCUAGGGAGGAUUCUCUAGGGAGGAUCGAGGCUGAAUUUCGCUUCUCUGCUUUAUUCUUUGUAUUGCGUACUUUCAAUUGUGAAAUUCUCUCUUUAUAUAGGCACUAGGGUUUCACAAAAAUAGCAAGUCUUAAAAGACUAGAAUUCUUUCCAAAUAAGAGUUUUUUUCCUCUUAUAAUUCUUAUGAAUCUGAAUAGGAAUGAAUAUGAUAUUUUUGCCUUGCUCGUCUCCCAAGAAAUAUCUAGAGCAUUUAAUAAACUUCUUAUUUGAACCAACUUCUUGCCCUAAUUAAAUCUAAUGUGUCAAUCUCAUCAUUAAUUGACUUGCUAAAUUAGACUUCUAAUUAAAUUAUGAAUCAAAUAUUCCUAAUAAAUUGGAAUCUCACUAAAUUAAGAAAUUAAGAAAUUAAUCCCUAUUACAAGAUAUGCAAUAAAUAAAAUUCUAAUGUAACUAAAAUUGCUAUAAAAUGCCAAUUCUAUAAAUAAUGGACUUACCAGAGAAUUAUAAAAACUCUCACUUUAAUUGAAAAGAGGAAAAUUUUUACUAUUAUUUAAUUUAGUCUCAUUUUAUCUAUUAAAAUAAUAUCUGCAAACUCAUUAACCCAUAAAAUUUUAAUUUUUACAUUUCAUCAUUAUGUAAUUUAGUCCUUAGUAAUUAUUUUUCAAAAUUCGCUACUGAUUGGAGUUAGAUCCCUAUCAUUCCUCGUUCUCAUUUAGGUUCUAUCAAAGAUAUCAAAGCAAAGAUUAUUUGGUAUUCAAUUACAUUGCUUCGAUUCAAUGUAAAUGCAUGUAGGGCCGGGUUGCCUUACUUUGUGGCCCAUUGGCGUAAUGAAUUUCAAUGGGAAUUGCAGACAUCUUCAUGUACAGUUUUUCUGAUAUUGCACUCCGCAUGAUUUUUUUUUAUCUUGCGGUGUACUUUUUUUAUCCGGUAGUUAUAUAUAUUUUGUCUUCUAAUAAUGUGUGCUUUUAUAUAAUUUUUUGUAGAUUUAUCAUCCAUGGUUGCAUUACUAUUAGCAUGCUCCGAAAGAUCUUGUUUUUUUCUUUUCGAAGAUGCCGCAUUUCUUAAUUUCAAAAUCAGCAUGCUCUCCGUCCUUGCGCAUUUGUCUUCUGUAAUCAACAUAGUCAUUAACGAAAUUUCAACAAGGUAGAGCAGCAUUCAACAAGGUUAGGCUUCUUUUUGAAUUAGGAGUAGACUUUUAAUUAAUUUUUUAUGGAAGUUGGUGGCUAUCCACUUCAACUUAGACCUAUUUAACUAGUCGUGGUCAAUUAGCAAAGCUAUUUGGGUGAUCACCAAAGAAAAAUUGCAACAGGAACAUAGUACACGCCGUUUGCAUUAAUUGGCCAUUUGACAAAAUAGCUCAAGGGAUCGGAUGGCUAAAGAGCUAAGUAAGUCAAUCAAGCAGGGGUGUUGUGAUCAUGACGUGUCCUAAGGUGAUGCACAACAAUAAAUUGAAGAAAUCCUAAUUAAAGUAAAAUUUACAACAUCCAGAAUUAUUUUAAUUAACUUGUAUUCUACUUAAUUUGAUUUUCUAUUUAAAGUUUCAUUGUUUAAGUAUAACUUAUUUAAGUUGUAUUCUUAAUUUAGAUUUAAGUCAUAUGAAAAUAGAUUUACUAGUCAAAUUAGGAUAAAUCAUAAGUAGUAUAAAUAAGUGUUUUUUGUAGUAUUUACAAAAGGUCUUGAUUAUUUGUUAUUGAUUGUUUCUUGGGAUAUACUCAGUUUGAGUUUUACACCUGUUGUCGACAUUAUGUGGAAUCAACAAAUUUUUAACACCUUAGAUUUGCGCGUAUUCUUAGAAUCAACGUGAAUUUAACUUACUUCUUUAUUAUGAUAUUCUUAAGAAUCAACAAAGUACUAAAAAUAUCACUAUCGAUCCGUCACAAUAUAGCUCUUAUCUUUUCGCUGCGUCAGUUUCAUUGCAGACCGUUUUAUUGCAGAGCCAUGUUUCAUUGCAGACCGUUUUAUUGCAGAGCCAUGCUAUACUAGUUUAGUACUAAAGCUAAAAAAAUGGUAUUACAAAUCUGCCCCCCAUCUACCACCAAAACCUUCCCUUUCUCUCUUUUUUUUAGCUUUUUUAUUUUUCCGUUUAGCUUUAUUAAAAAAAUCAAAUUAGAAAAAACUAAAAACAAAAAACACAAAAAAGAGAAAUAAAAAAUCCUAAAUUUUUUAAACCCUGGCCGCCGCUGACCGCCACCACUGCCAUCACUCCACCAGCCUUCACCGUUGUUUAACACCACCACCAAACUUAGCAGCCACACUGGACAAAAUACCAACCAACUUCGUCCUUAAGCCACCAUUAGAGCCCAUGCGAAACACCCAAACCCGCAAGCUUUUUGCCUAAUCGCCACCACUAAGCCACCAAGCUUUUCCAUCAAUUUACUACACCACCAUAAGCCCAAGCAAUAGGCGACCAUAAUGUCACGGGAUGAGAGUUUUGCGUAGCAAACCCGUGCGGCACUUAGACGACUUCUAGCACACAAGUCACUAAGUAAGCCUAGAUCACUUCUCAACCCAGUGAAGCAAGAAUCCUUGCGAACAAUGCUAGAGAGAAGUAGAGCAAUAUGGCCAAUAAUAUAUUUUAUUACACACUAAAGAAUAAAUUACAAGAGACCUAGAGAGCUUGUGUGUGCUUGAGUGUUUGUGUGUGGUGUGGCUGGUGGGCAAAUGAGGGGGCUCACCCCUAUUUAUAAGUGUUGGAGUGUUAGGUAUAGAGAGUUCCAUGCAACUUGCAUAAAUAUCCUAGGGGUCUAAGUGAAGAGUCCUAGAAACUUCUAACUAUUUACAAAUUUUAAAGAAAUCUAGAUCUUGGGCCGGGCUUGGGUGAUUUGCUAAGCGCACCACAGUUGGCUAGUUGUGUUGGUGGCCCAUUUCUGAGCGCAUCCCGCUUCUAAGUGCAUCCCACCUUGUGUGCUAAGUGUGUCCCACUUCUAAGUGCACUCCACUUCGAGGCGGACUUUUGCUAAGCGGACCCAUGUGCGCGGAAUUAACCUCCGGUUGCGGGAGAUUUGAACGGCCCAUGACAAUAAGCCUAGCUAUCCGCUGUUAUAAAGCCGCCAUAAGCCACCACACAAAACUCUCAAAACCCAAGAGUUUCACAACUUCAAUCUGCUUCCAUCACCAUGAAUCUAGCCAAUCCACGGCCACCAUCAUGUUCUUUACCACUAACUCUAUUAGGUCUGGCCAUUAUCACACCAAAUCACAGCCACCAGCUGCCAGCAACACCAAACCUUGAUCAAUUGUAUUUUUAAUUUGAGUGGAUAAAAAAUGAUGAAGACAAAUAAAGGUCCAUAUUGUCUUCUUGAGUUUGAAGAUAUCUUAGAUAUUAUGGUAAUCCUAAUGAUGUUUUUGACUAGAUUUGCAUGAUGUAUAAUUUGGAAGAGGAAUAUGUUUGUUUGCCUAUAAACUCGAAAGUCGAAGAAUUUGUUUAGGAUAUUGGUUGGCCAUUUAUAUCUAUCAUAACCCCUCAACAUCCAACCAUUGAUUUCAAUCAACUCCGAUAUUUGGUGAACCAAUUUUUGAAGAUGAGAAGCCUGAGAUUUUUCAACCUGUGGAAAAUUUUGAGAAAAAUUCAUUUAUCCUCAAUAUUAGCUCUGAAGAUUUAUAUGGUCAAUACGAUAAGAUAUGGUUAGAGAGAUUAUUGCUUGAAGAUUUUAUCUCAUGCUAUUGGAUAAGAUGGAUUAAUAUUGUCUCCAAGGUUGGAAAGUUCAAGUUUGUUCAUCAAUAUCAAGGUUGUAUUUUAAAGAUUAAUCUUAAGGAAAAUAAAGAUUGUCUUGGGGGUUACAAACAAACAAAAUUCGAGGACGAAUUUUCUCCACCUUGACGGGAAUGAUGGAGGGUAAGAAAUUGAAGAAAUCAUAAUUAGAUUGAAAUUUAUAAUAUUUAGGAUUGUUUUAAUUAAUUUAUAUUCUAAUUUAAUAUAGUUUCCUAAUUAGAGUUUCAUUGUUCAGGCAUAACUUAUUUAAGUUGUAUUCCUAAUUUAGGUUUAAUUCUUAUGAAAAUAGGUUUACUAGUCAAAUUAGGAUAAGUUGUAUUCCUAAAUUAGUAUAAAUAAAUAUCUUUUAUAGCUUUUACAAGAGGCCUUUAUUAUUUGUUAUUGAUUUAUUUCUUGGAAUGAAAUCUUUGUUUAAGUUUUAUUCUUGUUACUUCUCGGUGUUCUAUGGAAUCAAUGAGUUUUAACACCCUAGAUCCAUAGGUAUUCUUAUAAUCAAUGCGGAUUUAGCUUAUUUCUUUUUUGGUAUUAUUCCCAAGCUUAAAUAGAGUAUUGAAAAUAUCUCUAUCUAUCCAUCACCUUGCAUUUUCUAUCCAUUUAUUGUGUCAGUUCCAUUGCAGAGCAUUCUAUUGUAGAACAACACUGCAUCAUAAGUUUGUUUUGAUUAGCUGAUAGAUCCUACAAAUAGAGAGCAUUGUUCUUUGUAACUUGUACAGUAAAUUGAAAACCUCAUCAAUAACAAAAAUGCCAUUGUCCUUUAUAUCAUCUAUAUAUUAAUUUAUACUUUCUACUUAUAUUCUCAAUAAUUAUAACAUGUUAUCAGUAUGAUUAUUGCUCUGGUAUAGGAAGUAUCUCUUCCCUUGCUCUUUUAUUUUCUCUAUAUAAUUAAUAAAACUAUUCUUAGAAAUAUAUAUGCUCGGUAGUUGUCAUUAAUUUGGAUCUUUCACAUCAGAAAUAAGACUAGUUAUUGUGUUUCUUCUUGUUUAUUUUAUACCACUAAUGUUAUAUGCAAAGACCAAAGCAUAUAAGAAUAAAGCGUAAAACUGAAGCAUACAUCAAGACGAAAGCAUAUAAAAUCGAGAUUGAAGCAUAUAAAAUUCAGUUUGAAGCCUUAAAGUAUCAAGAUUUAAACCUAUUCAUUUGAAACCACACAUUUAUAUAUUCUAAAUUUGAAGCCCGCAGUAUUUUCUUGAAAAUUAUUUAUCUUCAAUUUUGCCUUAGUAAUUUAUCUAGAAGCCAUAUGCCUCAAUAAAACAACUAAAAGCCAUAGGACUUAGUACACAAUCAAGCUCAUCCAACUAAAACAAAGCCAUUUGUGGAAUUGAUACGAAGCCUUACUUGAAGACAAAUCUCACCAAAGUAGAAUAAGUUUCAGUUACAAUAUUUCAAAUUAGCCCAUGAUCAUAACUCAGUGCUUACAAAAUCACAUCAUAGUCAAAGAUAUGUGGAAACAAAAUUAUUGAAGAAGAAGAUAUGCUCAACAAUUCAUGCUUCCAACAUAAUUCUGCGGCAAUAGUAUCGAGCUCGCUAACUGAUAGGCACAUAGUCGGUUCUAAAUCAAAAUGCUAUCACAUAUAAGCAUGGUGAAAAUCAUUGACAUGACAAGGUUACAGCAUGCCAAAAAUAGUGGUUACAAUUAUGAUUGAAGUUACAGUCUUGAAGAAAUCAUUAUUGAUCUCAUAGUGAUAGCAUACAUUCUUCAAUGCAUGAUGCCUAAAUAGUUGAUUAAAUUGUUAAUUAAGAUAUCUAUACCUAUUAAGAUUAGUAUUAAAUUUUAUGAGCUUUUAUAUUCAUAUGUAUUUUAUUUUAUAUGAUGAUGUCUAACAAAUUUAUCUUUUGAAAGGAUGUGGAUCUUUAAAGGGGAUUGCAUGAUAUAAAAUAUUUAACUAACAGUGCAACUACACAUACAAUCCUUUGAAAUUAGAAAUAUUUUAUGAGUUUAUAAUUAUUUGAAGCUAAGUUGAAUACCGUCUUAGGUCCUAUAGAUCUGAUCGAGGGCUCUGAAAGAGCAUGUUCAUAUUACCAAGUGGUACAUAAUUAUAUAUCCAUGAUGGUCUGUAUUCACCAAAGACUAGAAGAAAUCUUUUGAGUUUUGUCAUAUAAAGACAAUAAAUGAGAAUAGUACAGAAUAUCUCUAUAUUACUUCUACUAUCUCAGAAAAAAAAUAUAUAUAUUAAAAAACCUUCCCACUUUGUCAUCUGGUGGCUUAUAUUAUCUGAUGAUGAAAGUAAUUGAGAGUAUGCAGUCAUAAACCAGACACUUUGCGAUCUAAAAGCUUUUCGUGCUUUGGCAUGAUCGUCUUAGUCACGUUAGGUCAGCUAUGAUGAGUAGAAUUGUUGAAAAUUCUCAUGGACAAACUUUAAAUGAUUUAAAGAUUAUUUUAUCCAAUAAGGAUAAUUGCACUGCUUGUUCUCAAGCAAAUUAGUGGUCAAACUAGCUCGUUCUAAGAUUAGCCUUGAAUCUCCGUCAUUCUUACAAAUAAUUUAGGGAGAUACAUGUUGAUUUAUUAAUCCACUCAAUGGUCCAUUUCUUUAUUUUGUGGUCUUGAUUGAUGCCUUUGUACGAUGGUCACAUGUCUGAUUAUUAUCUACAUAUAAAAUUGCAUUUGCUAGAUUGUUUACCAAGUUAUCAGAUUACGUGCACAAUUUUAAGAUUAUCUAGAUAAUACUGAUGAAUUCACUUUUAAAGAUUUUAAUGAUUACUGCAUGUUAGUUAGUAUUGACGUAGCGCACCCAGUACCAUAUGUUUAUACUUAAAAUGGAUUGGUAUCAAACAUCUUCAAGUAAUUGCAAGAACUUUGUUUUUAUAUAACCUGAUUACCUAGUUUUUGCAUUACGACAUACUAUUCUGCAUGUUGCCGCAUUGAUUCGCUUGAGGCCUACUGUUAUCACUAGUAUUCGCAUUGCAAUUGGUACUAAGGCAUCAACUAAUAUAUCUCAUUUUUGCAGUUUGGCUAUACUGUACAAGUGCCAAUUUGCACCUCGCUGGCAUACUAAAAUAGAACUCCAAUGAUGUUUAAGGAUUUAUGCGGUUAUGACUCACCAUCUAUUAUCAAGUAUCUUUAGCAUAUUACCAAUGACUUGUUUACGUAUGCAAUAUGAAUUUCCAUUUUAAUGAGAUAAAAUUUUCCUUGCUAUGAGAGAAAAAGCCGCCAUAUGAUGAUUGAUGCAAGCUUUUAUGGCAUGUGACAAAAUUGUCUCAUCUAGAUUAUCGCACUACUCAAAGUGAAAAUAAAGUAUGGAGGAUAAUUCACUUACAACAAUUUUGCAAAUCACUUGUCAAAUGCAUUUAUAGAUGGAUCUAAAGUAACCAAGUCAUGUAUACCACAUGUAAAUGCAUCUCACCAAGUAGUUGUUCCUAUUGAAAAUUUUGAUUAAAAUAGCUAAUUGAUUAAUCUAAGGCACACCCAAGGUAUGGUAGACCACUUGGUUUAAAAGAUAAUAUUCAACUAAAAUAAAAUAAAAAAAAGGUUAGGAUUUUGUUAAUUAGUUGUAAGUAAAAGUACUACUUCAGAAGAAUAGGUCCUCUCCUAUGUGCCUAUAGCGACACUACCUUCUGAAGAGACAAAUACCUUAGAUGUAAACCAACCUCUUAAUGUAGCUAAGAAUGAAGAAAAGUUUGCAAAUUUUACUCACAAAAUAGAAAGUGUAUAAUCAUAACAAAAAAGCUAUUGACAAUGCUUAUUCAUUUACAAUAGCUACUGAUUUGAUAAAUGAUGAUAUUGACUAAUAGUCCAUUGACGAAUUUAGACUAAGACAUGAUUGGCCCAAAUAGGAAGAAGCAAUCCAUGUGAAAUUGAUUUCCUUAGCAAAACAUUAUGUUUUUAGACUUAUAAUCCAAAUACCUGUUAUUGUUAAACCAUUGGGUAUAAAUAAAUAUUUUUUUCAAAAACUUAAUGAAAAGAAUGAGGUGGCUAGAUAUAAAGCACGACUUAUUGCACAAGGUUUCUCACAAAAAUUAGUUAUUGAUUAUGAGGAGGUGUAUUUACUAGUAAUUUGUGUAGUUUUGUUCUGAUUCUUGAUUAGUUUGACUAUAUCUUAGAGGUUUAAUAUUUGUUUUAUAGAUGUAGUGACAGUUUAUUUGUAUGAAUCAUUAUUUAUAAAAUAUACACACACACACAUAUGCAGUGGCGGCGCCACUUGAGAGCCCCUGCUAGAUUUAAAAAAAAUAAACUCAUCUUAUUUUUUAGUGGAUUUACAAUAAAGCCCCUAGUAAAUUUUAAAAAUAACUAAAAGAUCAGUAUUUUAAACAGUGAUUAGAAUUCAAAAAAAAAAAAAUUCAAAAUCAAAUCCAUAACCACCACCAUCAAUCCUUUGCCAAAGAAAACCUUCAUCGGCUACCAUCAGUGAUCCGCUUGUCGUCUAUCUCUGUCCAAUUCCCAUGUCAUCACACCUCUUUGUUUUCAUGUCAUUGCCAUAGACGCUACAACUUGUAGCUCCUAGUCCCAGUCGCAGUCUUGCAUCACCGUAUGGUCCUCGCACUCGCAGCCUUGCAUCACCACAUGGUCCGCAUCUUUGCAUUUUUCUAGUACUACCAUUGUACCUUUGCAGCUUUUAUAUUAAUUAUCAAGAAUUGAUUAAAUUAUUUUGAUAAUCAAGCACCUCUGUCACUUUAUGAUUUAAUAUUCUAAUUCUUGAAUUAGUUUAUACCUUUUUUAAUUGAAUUGGUUUAUGCCUUUUUAAUAGAAUAAUAUUAUUAACUUUCAAUUAUUGUGGCGAUGCUUUGUGGAUUGAUAAAGUGGCAAUGCUUUUAACUUUACUGAUUAUAACUAAUAAAAUAAAAAUUCCAUGGCCCAUGGGUGACGCCGUGACGAGUUAGUAACCUAGUGGUUGAGGAUUUAGUCGGGUAGUCGGUUUAUUAAAUUAAUAAUUUGUAAUUUUUUCUUUUUUUUUUAGAUUUUGACAUGGAAAUUGUCUUCUGUUUCUCUUUAAAUAAACACAAUUAAUUUUGUUUAGUUGUCACAGUUAUGGAGAAAUAUUACUCAAGAAAGCCAUUGUCACAACCUUCUCCAAAAAAAAGCAAAAUACAACUCAAAUCAAGAUGUAGAAUUCAAUUUACAAGAUCCUCCUACAGAUCCUGGUUUACGAAUUUCAAUCUCUUGUUAUAGUAUUAAUAUUCAAGAUCAAGUCCGAAGAGCAUACUUAUAGAGAGGUCCUGUUCAACCUAAAAAUCACAACUUCAAACUUUUAGAUUUUGGAAACCAAAAAAGGUAGUUUGGUAGUAAUUGGUUUGGGAAAUUUGGAUCUUGGUUGGAAUAUAGUAUAGAAAAAGAUGCAGCAUUUUGUCUCUUUUGUUAUCUUUUUAAAGAAGAGAUUGGUAAUAAAGGGGGUGGUGAUUCAUUUGUUGGUAAUGGUUUUAGAAAUUGGAGGAAACCUGAAAAAUUUAUUGAACAUAUGGGGAGAUGUUGAUAGUGCCCAUAACAAAGCUAGAGAAAAUGUGAAAUGUUGAUGAAUCAAAAUUAACACAUUCUGACAGCUUACACAAGACAUUCUGAGAAGUAUCUAAGCGAUUAUCGAGCUCACAUGAUGGCUACUAUUGAUUGCAUUCGGUUUUUAUUAAAACUAGGGCUUGCAUUUUGUGGGCAUGAUGAGUCUAGAGAUUCAGGCAAACGAGAGAAUUUUCUUGAGCUUCUAUUUUCUUGUCUAUCAUAAUGAAGACAUUAAUGCUGUUACUUUUGAUAAUGCUCCUGAAAAUCAAUGCUCCUAAAAAUCUUCAAAUGACAUCAAAUGAGAUUAAAAAAGACAUUGUAAGUUGUGCUACAGUUGAAACUACCAACAUUAUUAUUAAAGAGAUGGGCGAUAUUUUGUUUUCUAUCCUUAUUGAUGAAUCUUGUGAUAUUUUUACAAAGGAGCAAAUGGCUGUUGUUUUACGUUAUGUGGAUAAAAAUGGCUAUGUGGUUGAGCAUUUUAUUGGGAUUGAACAUGUUACUAGUACUACAUCUAUUUCACGUAAAGAGGCACUUGACAAACUAUUUUCCAGACAUGGUUUGAGUAUGUCUAGGUUGCACAGACAAGGAUAUGACGAAGCAAGCAAUAUGUAAAGUGAGUUCAAUGAUCUUAAAGCACUGAUUUUGGAGGACAGCAUAUAUGCUUUUUUUAUUCAUUGUUUUGCACAUCAACUUCAAUUGGCUUUAAUUUCUGUGGCAAAAAAACAUGAAUAUGUUAAUUCUCUUUUUCAGUUUAGUUACAAUGUUAGUCAACGUUGUUGGUGCUUCAUCAAAACAUUGUGAUAUUCUUUAAGAGAAACAUGCUCAAGCAGUUAUUAAAGCAUUCAAUGAUGGUGAAAUUUCAAGUGGACGAGGUUUAAAUCAAGAGGUUACUUAAAAGAAAUCUGUUGACACAUGUUAGAGCUCACAUUAUGGUAUGUUUUUGAGCAUAAUCACCAUGUUUCCAUCUAUUAUUGACGUGCUUGAGAUAUUUUCGAAUGAGGGAAAUUCUGAACAAAGAUUUCAAGCUACAAUGUUAUUUAAAUGCAUGCAAUUAUUUGAUUUUGUGUUUAGUUUGUUGUUAAUGAAAAAAAUUCUUGGAUUUGCACGAGUUAUCACAAGCAUUACAAAAAAAGGAUUAGGACAUUGUGAAUGGUAUAAAAUUAAUUGGAGUGUAUAAGAGAAACUUGCAAAAAAUGAGAGAAAAUUGAUAGGACUCUUUACUUGGUGAAACUUCUUCUUAUUGUGUGAAGCAUGAUAUUGAUGUUCCUAAUAUGGAUGAUUUGUUUCAAACUUAAGGGAGAUCACAACGCAAGGCUCAAAAUAUUACAAUUUCAUUUUCGUGUUGAAUUAUUUUAUGCAAUUUUGGACAUGCAACUUCAAAAAUUAAGCAAUCGUUUCAAUGAGACGAAUACUGAGUUGUUUCUUUGUGUGGCAUGUCCAUGACCUAAUGACUCAUUUGCAGCUUUUUAUAGACAAGAAACUACUUUGCCUUGCUGAGUUUUAUCCAAAUGAUUUUUCUCCAGUGGAUCUUGUGGCACUUAAAACUCAACUUGAUAUUUAUAUUAUGGAUGUGGGUGCUGACAACAAAUUUUUAGGAUUGAAAGGGAUUGGUGAGCUAGCAAGAAAAUUGGUUGAGACUAAGAAGGAUCAAUUAUAUUCAUUAGUUUAUUUAUUGGUGACAUUAGUAUUGAUUUUACUAGUUGCCACAUCUACAAUAGAAAGGGCAUUUUCAGCUAUGAAUUUUGUGAAAAAUCAUCUUCGAAAUCGGAUGGGAGGUCAAUGGUUGAAUGAUAGUCUUGUUGUAUACAUAGAAAAUGAUAUAUUUUGUAGUAUUGACAAUGAGGUUAUUCUUCAACGUUUUCAACAUAUGAAACCUCAUUAAGGACAUUUAUAAGUGUAUUGAAUUAAAUACUUUAAUGAACUUUUAUUUUAAUAUAUAUCAUUUAUUGACUACUUUCUUAAAUUAAAUUAUUAUUUAAACUUAGCCUCCGUUAAAAUUAAUUUCUGGCACCACCACUUCACAUAUGCAUAUAUAUAUAUAUAUAAUGCUUAAACAUCCAUGUCACCACAUUAUGGCUUGUAUUCUAUAAAGCUUCAAAAAUCUUUAAACAAAUUGAAACAAUCUAGACACAUUUGGCAUAGUCAACGAAUACUUGAUCGGAUACAUGCACUAUAAGAAAAUAGCUCGUAUGUGACGGUGUAUGUGACUGCAAAAUUGGGGGUCGCAAAAGAUACUAAACUGCUUUGCCGCAUGUCUCAAAGCUAUUUUCUUGGUAACACGUGACCAUUUUGGGACAUCAAAAAACCAGUCACAAAAAAUACUCUAAACAAAAAGAGUGAUGAUACAGCCACAAACUCUUGUACAAACUUAUUUUGUACAAACUGAUGUGACAUUAAUUUAUUGGUUGAAUGAAAAUAUAAAAUAAUAGAAAUAAAUCAUGUGGGCCAAGAAAUAUUUAAUUCAACCAAUGAAUUAACGUCACAUUAGUUUGCACAAAAUAAGUUUGUAUAAGAGUUUGUGACUAUAUCAUUACUCAAUAAAAAAAUAACUUGGCCCUUAACUCCUCGAAACUGUAACCGCCAGAACGCCACACAAUUAAGUCCUUACCAAUGAAGCCAAAAGCAAAAAGCUUGUUGGAAUUUAAAGUUUAAACAUAUUUAAAACAUUUUAUUUUUGUACAACUUAUUCCAUUAUUCAUCAUUUUCACUUGUGCAUUUCAUUUUAUUUCCAAUUCACUAUUUUAGUUACAUUAUCUGUUUGCAUCAUAUUUGACAACUGUGAAAUUAAAUCUCAUAAUUACAUAUUCUCUUUUAAUUAAUUGUGCUUUUGAGUCCUAAUUUGAAUCAUUUGUAUACCUAAAAUUAGAGUUUGAAUCGAUUACAAUAAUUAGGGAUUCGAAAACCUAAAAUGAAUAGGAUUUUGAUUAUCUUUCCUUUUGAAUUUUUAUCCUAAUUUCUAUUUCCAUGACUUAUUUUUAUCCUCAUUCUAUUUCCAUGACUUGUUUAAUUGGCGAAGCUUUUUCAUAGUCCAUUUAUAUUCCGAGGAUUUGAACGAACAAUUGUUUCCUAACAUUUCCUAACGGCUCUUUUUUUCUUUCUCCCAAUUAUAAGUAAAUUUACUAUUUAGCUUUUGAAUUUGUUGAUUAAAUGCAGCAUUGAUAAGAUUUUAGAUAUGUAAAGUGCUUGAUUAAUGUUUAACAGUUCAAUUUAUUGUAUUAAAUAAUUUUUGUUAAUGUCGAAAUCCGAUCGAGUCGGUUAGCGGCUCGAUACUAGACCCCUGCAUCAGCAUUAAAUUUGUUUGGUGGGGAGGCGGCUUGCCAAACACUAAGAACACCCUCCGACCAUUACCAAAUAACCUAAGAAAACCUGAAAUCACAAAGAAUGGUAAGAGGCACCAAAAGUUUUUUCGGCGAUAACCCUCUAACGCUCAAGUAAGUUUAUAGGUUUACCAGAAUAAAAAUAAAUAAUUUCUAUUUUAAACAAAAACAGAGAUCAAAAAAUCAAAAAUAAAACCAAGUACCAAUAUGAAGAAUGGAUUUUUUUUCUUCACCCUCAAAAAAAAAAAAAAAAAAACAAAGAAGUAGGUAGCAAUGUUGGCAUAGGCAACCCCACUCCCGUUUGAAAUUCUCCAUUUUCCCCACUCCCGAGAGCCCAUUCCUCCUUUUGCUCACCAUCCUUUAUAAUUUUUUAUACUCGUCUCCCCAAAAUGGCCUUUGAAUACGUAAGUGAAUGUCUAGGCUUUGGUAAGGGUGGUUCGGUCAUUGCCUUUUACAAGUAAGAUGGGUGGUGUUGAAAAAUGAGGAGUGCACGUCCUCUUCAAUAAAUCCCACUAACAAUUUCAUUUUCUUUAUUAAUUAAUCUUUUUUUUAUCUCCAAACACUAGUCUCCUAGUUUCUAGUGUUGAGAGUGUAACGAAUAAAGACUGAAAACUUUAUAAAAAACUUCUUGACCGAUUGGGUAGAUCAAGAAAACAACAGUCGUUGCUGCAACAUAAUUUUAAAAUGACCUCGAGGUGACUUCUAUGAGUCGACUCAGGGUUGCUGAAAUUAACCUCGCCAUGGGUAAAAGAGUUGAGUGAAUUUUAAGUUUUAUUCCUCACGUCAAGGAGAUUUUGAGCUUACAACCUUUAUAAACUUAAGCUGUUUUAAGCAACUCUUAUCAGUUUAAGGAUGUAUGCUUAUCUUGAGCAAAUUUUAAGGCUUUUUUUUUUUUAACUUUUAACUAACUUAAGCAAUUUUAAGCUACUCUUAUUAAUUUAAGAUCUUAUACCUUACUUGGAAUAAGUUUUAAGGCUUUUAACCUUGUACUGACUUAAGCAACUUUAAACAACUCUUGUCAGUUUAAGGUUUUAUACCUUACUUAGAGCAUGUUUCAAGACUUUUAACCUUUUAUCGACUCUCUUUGCUUUUUAUUGUGCCUUAUAAAUAUUAAUAAAUUUCAUCUAUAAACUUUGUUUGGUUCUCAAUGCUAGCCUACAACUCUCCUUUCAUAAAUUGUUCUCACAUUGAGUAAGUUUCAAGAAAUCAAGUUGAUUAAGUUAUAUCAUUAGCCCUUAUACGAGCUCAAUCAAUUUGAUAAGUAAAAGUUGUCCCUAUUUCGUAAAUUAUUAGUAGGUAAAUACUAUACCCGUAAAUAAAGGCGGCAAAUGCAUGUUUUGAUAUAGACAACAAGACAUAAAUUUGUUAGAAUUUAUGACCCGAUUAGCAUGCAACUUUAGCAUCAAUGUCUCCUUCUAGGUGAGCCUGCCUCAUACGCAAAUGUAUCAAAAAUUGACUUGGCCAUUCAAAUAAGAGUUUGUCAAAUACACGACAGACAUAAAUUAUAGAUGUGAUAUCAUUCACUAGGAAUUAUGUAAUUCGAAAACAUAGGUUAAAUAGCAGCCAGUCUAAUGUCCAAGUGUCUGAAGUCAUCAUUGUUACGAAACAACUCAAACCAAACAGCAACUUAAAAAUUAUCCACAAAGUAGCUCACAAAAUCAAACACAAUGGCGGGGCUUCUAGCCAUUUAUGACUGAUGCUUCUAAUCAUUUAUUUAUGCAUCUAGGUUUUUUUGAUGGAUAAGCAUCCUUUGUGCUCCAUUAAAAGUCCUCUGUUAAAGGUCCAUAUAGUAUUAUUUAUUAUUGCUAUGAAUAUUGAAAUUUAAAUGAAAAAUAAACCAUAGCAUUUUAGUAUAUGUAAUCACAAAAGAGAUGGCAGUUUAAACCAUUAAACAAAGUCAUAUCAUUAUAUAUGAUGCAAUAUAUAAUCGUUGUAUUAAAAAAUAGCUAAUGAUGAUGAGUUAAAAACCCAAUCUUGCAGAUACCUUAAGUCAAUAAACAGAUUUGAAGAAUAAAAUAAAAUCAUGAUUUUAGAACAAGUGACCUUGUUUGAGUUCUAAGAAUUCUGUACUAUCUUGUAGUGAAAUUGCAUAACAGAAUUCCCUGCAUAUUCUUCACAUGAAAACGAGCUACGUGGUCGAAUUAUUGGGUGUAAAACUAGCAGAAAAUACCCUGAAGAAACCAAAGAUCCAUGGGUUUUUUAUGCUUGUCACCAAAUAGGUUUAACUAUAUAUAUGAGUAACCUUUAUUUAAGAACUUGAACAUUGAUAAUGCUGCAAACCAAUUAUUCUUUUGGGCAGACUUUAUGUCUAGAGUCCAAUGCAACGAGAGUACAAAUAUGUAACCAAAAUAAUGAUGGCAACGGCAUUAUGAAUCUAAGAAGCCAGAACAAAGCUAAUUGUUACUUAUUUAAGACAUUAUGCCAAGCAUGUGGUGGGCAAAUUUAAAAUAAAUUUAUUUGUAAGUGUAAUAGAAUGUAAUCUUGCUCAAUCAAUUAUGAAUGAAGCCCGUUCUAGCAAGCUGAUUUUAUAAGAAAAUAUUUUCAAUGAAUUCCAAAAUAUAAUAUUCAGUUCUUUCAUCAAGGAUAUCAUGCAUGUUAGUGAAGAAUUUGCAAACAUCUCAUUUUCGAUAAACUAAUCAUCAUGCCAAUUGUAAUUUAAAUUCUAAUGAACAUUUACUUAGAACACUGCAAAGAUAAAUAAGUGAAAACCUUCAAAGGCGGCAUUCCAUUUAAGCAUUGGCUUCCUCGUUUGAGCAAGUUCAUCCAUUUAGGCACCGCAAUAUUCUACCUUCGCUUUGGCCAGAUGAAAAUUGAUAGAGAUAACAAGUUGGCUUUUUAUACCGUUCCCCUUAGGCGGCACCAAAUGUUGAUGUUUAAAUCUAGUCAAGUCGGUUAGCGGCUUGACACCAGAUCCCUGCAUCAGCAUUAAAUUUGUUUGGUGGGGAAGCGGCUUGCCAAACACUAAGAACAGCCUGCAACCACUAACAAAAACUUCCGGCGAUAACCCUUCGAUGUUCAAGUCAAUUUAUAGGUUUAUCAGAAUGAAAAUACAUAAUUUCUAUUUUGAAACAAAAAUAGAGAUCAAAAUCUCAAAAGUAAAACCGAGUAUCAAUAUGAAGAAUGGAUUUUUUUUUUCUUUUUUUCAGCUUGACCGAAUCCUUCUCCCUUUAAAAAAAAAAAAAAACAUAACAGAGAUGCAGGUAGCGGCGUUGGCAUAGGCAACCCCACUCCCUUUUGAAAUUCUCCAUUUUCCCACUCCCCAGAGCCCAUUCCUCCUUUUGCUAGCUCAACUAUCCUUUAUAAUUUUUUAUAUUAGUCUCCCCAAAAUGGCCUUUGGAUACACAAGUAAAUGUCUAGGCUUUGAUAAGGGUGGUUUGAUCAUUGCUUCUUACAAGUAAGAUGGGAGGUGGAGAAAAAUGAAGAGUGCAUGCCCUCUUUAGUAAAUCCCACUAACAAUUCCAUUUUCUUUAUAUAAUCUCUUUUUUUAUCCCAAACAAUUUUAGCUUUCAAUUUAAUGUUUGAUAGUUACUUGUCUAAAUUUACUUUUAACUGUGUAUUUGAAGCUUCUGCAAUGAUUAUCUAAGCUUGGGUCUUAGUUUCAUUUGCUUGAUUAGCUGAGCUUACGUCUUACUUUCAUUUGCUAAUUAACUGCCUUGUUUCCAUUUAUCUUUUUGUUCACCAAGUGUAUAUUAUAAUGUUUCACAAUUAUUUAAUUAAUUUUUCUAUCUGUUGAAUUUGCAGAAACUUUCAGUUUCUGAGAAAAAAGUGAGGUUGCUAAUGCGUUUUACUCUUGACUUGUAGGUGGCUUGCGUUAUGUGAUUUUAUAUAUAAAUACAACUCACUGUUCACUUGCAGGUUCUUAUAUUAUGAAUAAUUCAUAAUAGUUGUAAAUGAUAUGGUAUUCAAUUGGAAUUGUUGUUUGGAAUAAAUUGCCGAGAUUUAUGAAUGUUUAUGUUCAAGUUUCAUCUUUUAUUUUUAAUUAUUUUAGUAUGUGCAUUGAAAAUUUAGACCCAUUUAAGAAUUAUUAAUAAACACAUUUUAUUAAUGUCAUCUUUGGAUGACAGUGAGGAUCAUAUGUCUAUUAAUAAUUCUUGAAUUAUCCCGUCUUGGACAGUUUGGGAAUGCAGAAUUACCACUAAUGUACUCUACGUACUUACUAGAUGAAUGGCUGUCAUGUGUUAUUUUAACAUAGCACUUAGCAUAUAAACAUUCAUAAAUCUAUGUCGUGUACUUGAAGGAAUAUAGGGAGAUGUUGCUGGAAUUUCCACAGAAAUGGAAGAAAACUUCAGCUACUUGAGAGUGAAGAAAUUUGUGCAAUCUUGAAGGGGAAAUUUUUAGGACCACCUACUUUUUGUAUAUGUGAAGAGAAGGUUAGAUUAGUUGAGGGGGAGUGAAAGAGCUAAGUUAGAGGAAUAUUAUUGGUUAAUUUGUCUUUUUGUGGUGUUUUAUUGUGGUGGCUUUGUGAUCUUUGUCUAUAUGUGGAAGAAAAUGCUAGACAUUUGCAACACUAUUAAAUAAGAAAAUGCUAGCUUUGUGUAAAUAGUUGUCCUCACAGUUUUGAGCUUGUGAUUUUGCUUAUUUAAUAGUGUUCGUGUACAGUAUAAAUGGAAUAUUAUUUCUGAUAUUAGUUUAUCAAUUCUUUUUGCUUGUCCGCUAGCUGUAAAUUAGUAAGCAAUAUAUAUGUUUAUGGACAAUGAGGUUACAGCCUAAAAUGCAUGCUUAUAGCUAAUAAAGUUAAAGCUAAAGCUACUUUAAUUCAUAUGGAAAAUAAAUAAUUUUCAUGUUUAUGUCUGACAAGAAAGCGAAAGAGAGAGUAUAGACCAAAUAAUAUAAGGCUUGAAGUUUCUAGUUAGCAUAUUACUAAAUAUAAUGCUGCAGAAAUUUUAUUUACCUCUAAAGUACUUCUUGACAUGGCCAAUAUCAUAUUUGCCUACAGCUCCAACUGACUCAAUCUCCAUCACACUCUUCUUUUGUGUUGUUAUAUGACGAGUUGCACCCUGAGAACAAGUAAAAGAAGAUAUAGUCCCCUUUGAAGGGCAGACCUUGUUGGUUAAUGGAGAUGUGAGGAUUUGUAUACUGAGCAAGCAACGACCUGGAAAUUACCUUUCAAUAUCUAUAAUAGCAUCAUUUCUCGAAGGUAAAAAGACACUGAUUGUAUCCUUGAAUUCACUCUCAUAGCUUUCAUCUUUCUUCCUAUAAUAGACAGAAACCAAUAAUCACUUGUCGAUGAUUAAGCAAAAUAUAACUACUUCCAUUUAGCAUAGAGAUCAACCCAUUAGUUUAGGGAUAUUGACAGAGGAAGGGAACCACAAUUUAAUGCCUCUUGCACCAACAACAGCACCCGAGUAGAACCUAUUGAAUUUUUUUAAGAUAUAAGAAUAAACUUCAAACUACAAAUAAGGGUCAAAAGGAUGAAAUUGAAGAUUAACAAGAUGAAACAGAGACACAGGCAUAUGGAAAUAACUUACAUGUAAUGACCACAGAUUAAACCUUGGUUGAUUCCACCAAUUACCAAAAAUAUCAUAUUCCACUGAAACUAUAAAAAAUGCUUAAGAGUUAAAAUCUAAAUGUAAAACACAAAUAACAGUAAAUUUUUACUACCCGUAAAGAAAAUGGUCCCUAGAUAGUGCUAAUGACACAUAAUCCAUAAGCGUCCCUAAGUAACAAGAACCAUUAGUAAAGGUUGUAUUACUAUCAUCAAGCAUAACUAUACUGUAUUAGAUUUACACAUCAUAGGGGUAUACAAUACAAGCAUCUCUUACAACUGAUAAAAGUUAAUAAUAAGAAACCAAAAAGAAUAAAAUUCAUCAUUUUCUAAGAAAACUCAUAGCUAUAUUCCUCUUACAGAUUACAGAACCUUACAAGAAUAGUUAACUACUAGAUGCAGCUUAGUUUCUUUAUGCUAAGUCAAAUUCUUAUUGAGUUAACCCAGCAACUCAUAAUCCAACUCUCACCUUCGUGUCUCUUUAGUCAAAUCAGAAAAGACCUGCAAAAAUUAAUCAAUUAAUUAUAGUUGCAUUGAUUCCAAUUUUAAAGCUAAUCAAUUUUAGAAAUCUACUAACUUAUUUUCCUUACAUUUUAGAAUAAAAAUAAAAUAACAAAAACUAAUCAAACAAGCAAAAGCAAACUGUUAGGCUACUGCUUUGAGAUAGCAAUUUAGAAGAGACGAAUUGAUGAGAAGAAUAAUGAGAAGAAGUGGCCAGAGGGGAAAAGAGAGUUUUAGAAGCAAUUCUUAUUAUUUAUUAAAGUAGCAACAGUUCCUUAUAUAAUCCAAAGAGAUCCUACGAAAAUAAUAAUUCCUAAUAACAUAAUAACUUAAUAACUAAUCCUUAACGGAAAAGGAAAUAAUGCAGAUCUAAGACUAGGAUUCUAACAUCCCCUCCCCCUAAGAAGGCAGCUUGUCCGCAAGCUGGAAAAAAGGAAAACGGGCCGCAAACUCAGAACAUUCCUCCCAAGUAGCCUCUUCCUUAGAUUGACCUUGCCACUGAACAAGGAGCUUAGUAACAGGGCGAUUUUUGCAUUUGAAAAUUCCACGAUCCAAAAUGGCAAAGGGCUGCCAUUCCCAAGCAACAACAUAAGGAGAAUCAGAAAGUUGUUGUGAUGGUGUAUGAACCCCAAGUUUCCUCUUUAAGCAUGAAACAUGAAAAACAGGAUGAACCUUGCUUGUAGCUGGAAGAUCCAAUUUGUAAGCCACAGUGCCAAUGCGAGAAAGAAUCCGGAAAGGACCAUAAUAACGCGGAGAUAACUUAUGAGUACUAUUAGGAUGCAAAGUGGACUGCCGAUAAGGUUGAAGACGAAGGUACACCCAAUCCCCUUCAGCAAACACUCGUUCUGUACGUUUUUUGUCAGCAAAAAACUUCAUUCGUGAUUGGGCAGCUUCCAAAUUAUCUUUAAGAAGACAUAAAAUCAAAUCCCUAUCGCGGAGAGCCAAGUCAACAGUAUGAACAUUAGUUGUGCCAGGCAAAUAAGAUUCGAUGCGAGGGGGGGUCGACCAUAGACUGCUUCAAAGGGAGUCAGUUGGAUAGCAUAAUGGAAUGUAGUAUUAUACCACCAUUCAGCCCAAGGUAACCAGUUAGUCCAUGUAGAAGGCUGGUGACCAGCAAAACACCUCAAAUAUCCUUCCAAGGAGCGAUUAACGACUUUAGUUUGGCCAUCCGUUUGAGGAUGAUAAGCAGAGCUGCGGCAUAAAGAACUGCCCUGUAAUUGAAAGAAUUCCUCCUAAAAUUGACUAAGAAAGAUAGGAUCACGGUCGCUGACAAUGGUGCAAGGCAUUCCGUGCAAUUUAGCAACAUCCCGUACAAAAAUUUUAGCGACAAGAGUGGCUGUAUAAGGAUGGGAUAAGGCACUAAAAUGAGCGUACUUGGAAAAAUGAUCUACCACAACAAAAAUAGAUGUUUUGCCCUUAGAAGUUGGAAGACCAUCAAUAAAAUUCAUGGAGAUAUCUUCCCAAAUUUUAUCAGGGAUGGGCAAAGGUUAAAGCAACCCAGAAGGAUGCACAGUUUCAGCCUUGUUUCGUUGAUAGACAUCACAUUGAACAACAAAUAAUUUAGUAGCCCUUUUUAACCCUUUCCAGUAGAAACUAGCUUUGAGUCUUUUGUAAGUACGUAAGAAUCCCGAAUGACCGCCAGUUGGAGAGGCGUGAAAUUCGUGUAAAAUGUGUUGGCACUUAACGGAAGAAGAAGGAAGAACAAUCCGACCCUUGUAUCGUAAAAUGGAGCCAUCAUAGGAAUAAUUAAGAAUGGAUUGGGAUGACUGAAGACGGUCGAUAAGAAGUGACAGGGCUGGGUCGGCUUUGUACUCUUGCAUGAUGUCGGUAAGAUGAGAAAAUAUUGGGGAAGAAAUGGCAUGGAAAUGGGAGUCUUCGAAGCGAUGGGACAAAGCAUCCGCAACUGACUUUUCAGCUCCCUUCCUAUAAAUAAUUUCAUAAUCAAAUCCUAAGAGUUUAGACAACCACAGCUGCUGUUCCGGAGAGGAAAUGCGCUGAUCAUGGAAAUACUUAAGGCUACGAUGGUCCGUAAGAAUUUUGAAAUGUUGUCCCAUAAGAUACGGACGCCAUUUUUGCACGGCAAAGACAAUAGCAAGCAUUUCUUUGUCGUAUGUGGACAUGGCUAAGUUUUUUCCAGAUAAGGCUUUGCUAAUAUAAGCGAGUGGACUGCCCUCUUGCAUAAGGACUGCUCCGAUUCCCCGGCCGGAAGCAUCGCAUUCUAUAGAAAAUGGUUUGGUGAAAUUCGGCAAGGCUAAAACGGGAGUGGAAGCCAUGGUUUGGCGUAGCUCAUCAAAUGCUGCUUCAGCAGUAAGACUCCAAGUAAAAGAAUCUUGUUUAAGCAUGUCAGUUAAAGGAGCAGCAAUUUUUCCAUACCCAACAAUAAAUUUACGGUAGUAUCCUGUCAAGCCAAGGAAGCCUCGUAAGGUUUUGAUAGUGGUAGGUUUAGGCCAUUCAAGCAUGCGCUGAAAUUUUUCAGGAUUGACAGCAACUCUAGUAGCAGACACAAUAUGACCCAAAUAUUCAACAUAUGACUGAGCAAAAGAACAUUUUGUAAGCUUGACAUAAAGUCGAUUUUGUUGCAAACAUUGAAGGACAGCAGAGAGGUGUCGAGCAUGCUCCUGUACAGAAGUGCUGUAGACAAGGAUAUCAUCAAAGAAAACUAAAACAAAUUUGCGAAGGAAGGGUAAAAAAAUCUCAUUCAUCAGGUUCUGAAAUGUAGCUGGCGCAUUUGAAAGGCCAAAGGGCAUCACAAGAAAUUCGUAGUGGCCAUCAUGCGUACGAAAGGUUGUUUUUGCUAUAUCGGAGGGAUGAACUCAAAUCUGGUGAUAGCCCGAGCGAAGGUCCAGCUUACUAAAAACUGAUGCACCAUGUAAUUCAUCUAAUAGCUCGUCAACAACCGGAAUCGGAUAACGGUCUUUGAUGGUUACCUUGUUAAGAGCACGAUAAUCGAUACACAUACGCCAAGAACCAUCUUUCUUUUUAACUAAUAAAACCAGAGAUGAAUAAGGACUAACACUAUGCCGAAUGAGCCCGGCAUCCAAAACCUCACGAAUCAAGUGGUCAAUUUCUUGUUUAUGAAAAUGAGGAUAACGAUAAGGUCGUACAUUGACAGGAGAGCUUCCAAGAAGUAAUGGAAUACGGUGAUCAAUUAAGCGUUCAGGAGGAAGUUCGGUGGGUUCUGCAAAGAUGCCAGAAUAUGUCUCUAGUACUUUAGUAAUAAUUGAAGGUGCUGAUAUAUCAGCUACUGAAGUGGUUAUUGCCAUAAUCUGGAAAAAAAUGCCUUGCUUUUCUUAAAGCAAUAACCUAUUAAUUUCACCAUGAUUUGCCAAAGCCGGUGGCAGGGAAUCAUAUCCAAUGAGUUGAACAAUUUGGCCUUUCCAAGUGAACUGCAUAGUUAGCUUUGAGAAGUCCCACAAUAUAGCACCCAAUGAACGUAACCACUCAGCACCCAACACAAUGUCACAGCCACUUACUGGAAGUAAGAAAAAAUCCAAGUGAAAUUGGAAGCCUUGAAUAUUUACUGGGACGUGAGAACAUUUUCCCGAGCUGCUGAUCACUCCACCAUCAGCGACAGUAACUUGAAACUGAGUUGUAGUAGUGACAGGGCACCCACAUUGCUUAGCCAAAGAUGGAUUCAAAAAAUUGUGAGUAGAACCAGAGUCUAUUAAUAUAGUGACACCAUGUUUUUUUAAAGUCCCUUUCAGUCGCAUGGUGUUUUGUGGGGUUGCUCCAGUGAGAGCCUUUAAAGAGACUUCUACUGUUUCUGGGAAUUCCUCGAAAGCCUUAGGUUGUUCAUCUUUAUCGUCAAUAUCUGCAUCCAGCAAUAAAAGUUGAGGAGCUUUACAAUGAUGCCCAGGUUUAAAUUGUUCAUCACAAUUGAAACACAAUCCUUUGGCUCGUCUUUCAGUUUGUUCGGCAACUGAUAGAUGUCGAAAUGGUGGGGAUCCCAGAGGGGGUGGGCCUGAUAAAGAGGGUUGUGAUGACCCCCCAGUUUUGGUUAUUGUGGGAGAUGAAUUAAGGAGUGGUGGCGAUGGCCUGCUCAUACUAGGCCGAGGUGGAAUCCUUCGAUUAAAAACAGCCGCGUAUUCUUCUUGGAAUCUUUCAAGCUCAAAAGUUUGUAGGAGACUUGCAGGUUUCAACAUCUGCACUCCAAUUUUAAUAUCCUCUCGUAAUCCCGAAAGGAAGCAACUAAUGAAGAAUGAUUUUGGUAGAUUCCGAGUUCUAUCAGCCAAUCGUUCAAAUUGGCGUUGAUAUUCAAUAACAGUCCCAGUCUGUCGUAGUUUGGUAAUGGACCUGACUGCAUCACCGUCUUCGAAUGUUCCAAAUCGAGUAACUAGAGCUCGUUUGAAUUGGGCCCAAGUCAUAUUACCCAUAGUUUGCUCUAACCAGUGAUACCAAGGUACCGCAUCUCCAUCGAGGUGUCCGAUAGCAAGGGACAACACAUCUGUCUCAGGCAAGGCAGCCAAUCGCUGAUACUGUUCAUAGCGAAAAAUCCAGCUUGUCGGAUUUUCCCCGCUGAAAACUGAAAAAUCCAGCUGUAUAUGGCGGGGUUGCACAAGUGCUCCUCCAAUACGUCCUGCAUGUUUGGGUUGUUGAUUAUUGUUUUGUAACGGUUGGUUGUUGUUUCUAUUUUCUUGAAACCGGAUGAAUUGAUCGCGGAGACUUAAGAUUAAUUCUUGGAGGUCGUUGGACUGUUGGGAUAAGACCUCAACCUUCUCAUUGAAUUGAUGAGAUAAUUGCUCCACCCUUUCUUCUAGUUCCUUAACAGUCAUUAUGCCCAAGAAAAAAAAACUGCUCUGAUACCAGAUGUUAGGCUACUGCUUUGAGAUAGCAAUUUAGAAGAGACGAAUUGAUGAGAAGAAUAAUGAGAAGAAGUGGCCAGAGGGGAAAAGAGAGUUUUAGAAGUAAUUCUUAUUAUUUAUUAAAGUAGCAACAGUUCCUUAUAUAAGCCAAAGAGAUCCUACGAAAAUAAUAAUUCCUAAUAACAUAAUAACUUAAUAACUAAUCCUUAACGGAAAAGGAAAUAAUGCAGAUCUAAGACUAGGAUUCUAACUGUUAAAGUGCAAUUUAUGCACUAGUUUUGCAUUGUUUACUUCCCUUAAUAUUGAUGUUCUGCACUUAAUAAUAGUGAUUUACUUGUGUUUUACUUUUGUAGGUGCAAUUCUAUUGAUUGGUGAUAAAAUUAAGCUACAAGAUGAUAUUUAAUGAUGAUUGUUCUCUUGGAGAAAUUAUGAGCAUCAGAAGAACUUUGUUAAUAAGGUGUGGGCGCGUGCUGUCAACUACGGACCUGCAGUUUUUAGUUUAACGUGUUUUGUAUUUUUUGUUAUUUUUGUAAUUACGAAUUUAAUAUUUCAGAUAUUAGUAUUUUAUUUUAAAUAGAAUUCUAGAGGAGAGGAGAAAGAGAAGAAAACCCUAGAUCUAAACUUUUCUCUUCUCUCUAUGAAGAACUAAACCUAUUUUUCUGGUUGAAGGUUAAUGCAGCUUUGAUUCAUCACUACUAUGAGAUCUUUCUUGUGCUUUAAUUGUUUUAUUACUUUUUGGGUAUUUGUUUAUUCUCUGAAUUAUUUUCAUGAUUAUGUUUGUUAAUUAGGUAAUUGGCCACUAUUUAAUUAUCAACUUAAUCUAUUGUCAAUUAAAGGAUUCAUCGUAUCAAGAAUUUAAUGUUUGUGACAAAUAACAUAGCAAAGAGUUGUGUUGUGAGAAUAAACAAUCUAAUUUAAAUGAAUCAUCAUAUGUGUUGAUUAGGAUUUGGGUCUCUCUGGUUUUUCUGGCUGUCAAUUGAUUAAAUCCUAUGAUCGUAUCUAGGGUUGUCUAUUGAUUAGGGAAAUAACCAACGGUCGUACCUUGGUUAUCGACUAGUUAAGGAGAGAUUGACUAUUGGAGGGUCUCAGUAGCUAUAACCGGUCUAUUCAUAAGUAAUAAUAAUCUAUAUUUGAAUCAAUGAUCAGUAGUCGAAUCAAGCUGAGUUAAUUCCUUCAAUCAGAGCUUUCUCCAAUUUGAAUUACAACUUUAAUUUGCAUUCUUGUUAUUUUUAAUUUAUUUUUUAUUAUUGUCAACAAUUCCCCCAUUUUACGUUUUACGUUUCAAAAGGAUUUAAAUAAUUACCGAUCUAUGUGGACACUACCCUGCUCAAUCACUAUACACAAUUUAUUUAGAGUAGGAAUUUAUUUUUGUUGGCUUCGACAACCAUCAAAUUUUGGCGCCGUUGCCGGGGAUUGGUGUCAUUUAUUUAAUCCUUUUUACGUUUUACUUGGUGUAUGGUUCGUUCUUCUCGUACAGGUACACUUUCGUUUGAUCCUGAAUUUGAGAAGACAGCUCGCCAGCUGAGACAGCAGACGAAGCAAGCUAAGCAACGAUCCUCGUCGCCUUUGCUUUCUGAAAUAGAUACGGUGCCUGAUUUAGUUGAAUCAUCUAUCGAUUCGGAAGAACAAGUGAUGGAUAGAGCUGCACCUGUAGAAAGAACUCUUAGAGAGUUAGCUGAACCAGACUUGAAUCAGCAACCACUCUGCAUUCAAUAUGUAGACUUGGAGGUAAAUUUUGAAUUAAAGUCUGGUUUUAUUCAUUUAUUACCCAAGUUUCAUGGUUUUGCAGGUGAAGAUCCUCAUAAAUAUCUUAAGGAGUUUCAUGUUGUGUGUUCAAGUAUGAGACCACAAGGCGUGACUGAAGAGCAGAUUAAGCUGCGUACUUUUCUUUUCUCUUUAGAUGGACUAGCUAAAGACUGGUUGUACUACUUGCCUCCUGGAUCAAUUACAACGUGGAAUGGUUUGAAGAAGCAAUUCCUCGAGAAGUACUUUCCUGCUUCAAGAGCUGCUAACAUCAGAAAAGACAUUUGUGGGAUCAGACAACUUCCUGGGGAGUAUGAUAGAUGCUGCUAGUGGAGGCGUGUUGGUGAACAAGACCCCUACUCAAGCAAGGGAGUUGAUAUCAAAUAUGACUGCCAAUGCACAACAAUUUGGCAGCAGGCAAGAUGCCACUUCAAGAACGGUGAAUGAGGUAAACAUUUCUUCUGUUGAACAACGUUUAGAUAAACUUACUUCUUUUGUGGAAAAGUUUGUUGUAGGUAAUGUGCAACAGGUAAAGACUUGUGGCAUUUGUUCCAAUAUGGGUCAUUCAACUGAUGUGUCUUACACUUCAAGAAGAACCCGUUGAACAAGCCAAUGCAGUUGGAGGAUUUCCAGGCAUGCCUUAGAGGAGGUAUGAUCCUUAUGCACAAACAUAAAAUCCGGGAUGGAAGGAUCACCCUAACUUCAGCUAUGGAGUUAGGCCAUCAGGAUUCCCACAACAGUAUCCACCAAGACAUCCAGCACCUCCACAGUCAAACUCUAAGUCAGGUAUAUCUCUUGAAGAAAUUGUUAAAUCACUUGCGACUAACACUCAACAAUUUCAACAGGCAACUACAGCAAGCAUUCAGAACUUGGAGAACCAAAUGAGUCAAUUGGCGACUACAGUGAGCCGUCUGGAGACUCAAGUAUUAGGGAGAUUGCCUUCACAAUCUGAGGUGAAUCCAAAGCAAAACGUUAGUGCUGUCAUCCUUAGAAGUGGGAAGGAGUUGCAAGAGCCUAGUAAGAAAGUGACAAAGCAUGUAGAAGAUGAGCUUGAGAAGAAUGAAUUGAUGCCUAAAUCUCAAGAUGCGCAACCCACCAGAGCGAAACCCCUACCUAUUGUGAUACCUCCUCCUUUUCCAAGCCGGUUUGCAAAAUCCAAGAAGAAGGAACAAGAGAAAGACAUCCUUGAGACUUUUCGCAAAGUUGAGGUAAAUAUUCCUUUAUUAGAUGCUAUAAAACAAAUACCUCGAUAUGCUAAAGUCCUUAAGGAACUGUGCACCUCUAAGAGAAAAUUAAGAGGAGAUGAAAAAGUUCACAUUGGGGAGAAUGUUUCAGCAGUUCUCCAAAAGAAACUACCUCCUAAGUGUAAGGAUCCAGGUAUGUUUACUAUCCCUUGUAAAAUUGGUAGUGUUAGAAUUGAAAAGGCUUUGUUAGAUCUAGGAGCUUCUAUUAAUGUCAUGCCUCGUUCCAUUUAUUCAUCUUUGAAUAUUGGUCCAUUAAAAGAAACUGGCGUGAUAAUUCAACUAGCUGAUAUGUCUAAUGCAUAUCUUGAUGGGGUAUUAGAAGAUGUCUUAGUACAAGUUAAUGAGUUGGUUUUUCCUGCUGAUUUUUAUGUACUUGAUAUGGAAGAGGAUAACUCCUCUAAUUUUGUCCCAAUUUUGCUAGGAAGACAUUUUCUUAAGACUACUAGGACUAAAAUGGAUGUACAUAAAGGGACUCUCACUAUGGAGUUUGAUGGAGAGGUUAUAGAAUUCAAUAUAAAUGAUGCCAUGAAAUAUCCUAGUGAGGAACAUUCGGUAUUUUCUGUGGAUGUUAUUAACCCUAUAGUGCAGGAAGUUUUUUGCAAGGAAAAAACGAAGACAUUUCAUGAUAUAAUGAUUUUGUGAAAGGAGUUCUCUAUUGGUCAAAAAGUUCUUCUUUUUCAUUCUAAGCUUGAACUUUUUUCGGGUAAAUUACAUUCUUGCUGGGUUGGACCUUUUAUUGUUACUAAUGUUUUUCCUCAUGGUGCAGUUGAGAUUCGGAGUCCGACCUCUGACAAAGUUUUUAAGGUUAAUGGUCAUCGCUUAAAACCUUUUUAUGAAGGUUUUUCGGUGAAUAUUGUGGAGGAUGUGGCUCUCGAGAGUCCCAAUUAUGGAGAUUGAUGCAUAAAUGUGUCUAGCCAAAGACAUAAAAUAAAGGCACUUUUUGGGAGGCAACCCAAAUAAUUUAUUUAUUUUGGUUUUUGUUAUAUCUUCUUUUAAUUUUGAUUCAGAUUUUUUUAAAAAUAAUGUGUUUGCUUAUUUUGGUCAGAAGAAAAUUUUUGAUAAGGCGUGCCCACGUCUUAACUAAUAAGUACUUCUAUGAUUUUUAAAGUAAAAUGGUUUUAAGGCAUGCCCACGUGCUUAUUAGAAAAGUACUUCUGAAAUUUUUAGUGUCUCAAGUGAUUCAUUACUAAAAAAAAAAAAAAAUCGUUUUCUUUCCCAGCAACCAGCCGCUCCAGUCUUCACCAGAGCAACAACUGCAUUCACUGAGCAGCCGUGCACGCCCAGCAACCCACGCAUCUCAGUAUCUCCCGCAGCAGCAGCCCGUGCGCAAUUAUCCCACCAUUUCUGCCAAUCCCAUAGACGUUAUGAGGAUCAAAACUCACAAUUCAGGGAAGUUUUUGCCUUUAAUCUUUUAUCCUUAUGCUUUAAUUUUUAUGUGAGCUUUAAUUAUCUUACAUUGGGAACAAUGUAAGUUCUUGGUGUGGGGGAGGGAGUUUUGCAUUAUUGAUGUCUGGAAUUAUUGUUUUCACUCUACUCAUCUAUUUUCACUCUACUCAUCCUUAAAUGAUUUUGGAGUUAGUAUGCUUCAUAUAUUAUUAAUUUUCUUUUCCAUUCUCUCUCACUACUCUUUUCCCAUCUAUCUCAAAUUAUUUAUAUCUAUUUUUUUUCUAUCAUACUCUUUCAUCACUCACAUUUUAUCUUUCAUUUUUUUUACUACAUACAUCUUUCUCGCUUAUUAUCUUUUUUACCUUUCCUUUUAUAUCUCACUCAUACCUUCUUCUCAUUCUACACCAUUAUUGAUGGUUGGUUCAUUUGAAGAGUGUACAUGAUUUGAUGGCAAAUUUACCAACUUUGUGAGGAUUUGAGCCUAUGAGCAACCACUUUGCUCUAAUUAUUUUUGUUAUGUGAAUAUCAAUCCUAGUUUGUUUAUUCUAGAACUUGCUUUGUUAUGCAUGUUGAAGCCACAUUACCGGAUUUUAUGAAUUAAAAUGAUAAGGGCAAACCAUUUACGAUUUUUCUAUUCUCGCAUUUUCCUUUUUCUCUACCCGAAGACCUUUAUUUGCUACCUUUGUUUGAGUCUUAACCAUUACCCAUCUAAUUGUCUCCAUCUACUUAACCAUUUUUCUUCUUUUUGAGCCUCAAUUUAAGGAGAUUUUUGGACUCAUUGUGUGGAUAUAUUUUGUUGCUUUUUCUACCUUAUAUUAAAGUUUCUCAAUUAGAUCAACAAGCAUUAUGCUGGAAUUAAAUUGUGCAAGCUUCGUUUCUUUUGUUUGAUUAAAAAAAAAACAAUAAACAAAAAAACAAAAAAAAGAAAAAAAAGAAAAAAAAAUCGAAAAAAAAGAAGUUUACAUUCUUAGUGACUUCAGUAGAAAUAAGCAUUUUGAUAUCAUAAGUUCAUUCAAUGAGUUCAUUCUUCUCAUUUUGAUCUCUUUUGGACCUUUCUUUUUCAUUUAACCUAUUUAACCCCAUUACAACCCUUUUAAGACCCUUAGAUUUUUGCAUUUUAUUCAUGUUUUGUGGAUUGAGAUGUGAUAUAUGAGCAAGCUCAUGGUAAUAGCAUUCUUUGAUUUGAUUUGAGUGAAUAAAUGACAACCUAAACACUUUGAGUGCAUGGAGUGAAGUUAUUGAGAGGGCUAUUAAAUCUUGUUGCAUUUGAAUUUUGAAUGGAUCUUCUUGGUGGUUGAAUGUUCUUAUUCUAUCUAAUGAGAUUCUAUGCUUUAAAAUCCUUGUCUUUCGAAUGUUGAUCGACUUAAUUUCUUGAGGCAUACUUGCUUAAAAUUGUUUUUGGAUGAGUUGAGAUGAGAAUUUAGUGGAUAUUUGAGAUUAGUCUUGAGUUAUAUGCUUGAGGAUAAGCAUCAUCUUGGUGUGGGGGAAUUUGUUAGAGUGCAAUUUAUGCACUAGUUUUGCAUUGUUUACUUCCCUUAAUAUUGAUGUUUUGCACUUAAUAAUAGUGAUUUACUUGUGUUUUACUUUUGUAGGUUCAAUUCUAUUGAUUGGUGAUAAAAUUAAGCUACAAGAUGAUAUUUAAUGAUGAUUGUUCUCUUGGAAAAAUUAUGAGCGUUAGAAGAACUUUGUUGAUAAGGCGUGGGCACGUGCUGUCAACUACGGACCUGCAGUUUUUAGUUUAACGUGUUUUGUAUUUUUUAUUAUUUUUGUAAUUACGAAUUUAAUAUUUCAGAUAUUAGUAUUUUAUUUUAAAUAGAAUUCUAGAGGAGAGGAGAAAGAGAAGAAAACCCUAGAUCUAAACUUUUCUCUUCUCUCUAUGAAGAACUAAACCUAUUUUUCUGGUUGAAGGUUAAUGCAACUUUGAUUCAUCACUACUGUGAGAUCUUUCUUGUGCUUUAAUUAUUUUAUUGCUUUUUGGGUAUUUGUUUAUUCUAUGAAUUAUUUUCAUGAUUAUGUUUGUUAAUUAGGUAAUUGGCUACUAUUUAAUUAUCAACUUAAUCUAUUGUCAAUUAAAGGAUUCAUCGUAUGAAGAAUUUAAUGUUUGUGACAAAUAACAUAGCAGAGAGUUGUGUUGUGAGAAUAAACAAUCUAAUUUAAAUGAAUCAUCAUAUGUGUUGAUUAGGAUUUGGGUCUCUCUGAUUUUUCAGGCUGUCAAUUGAUUAAAUCCUAUGAUCGUAUCUAGGGUUGUCUAUUGAUUAGGGAAAUAACCAACGGUCGUACCUUGGUUAUCGACUAGUUAAGGAGAGAUUGGCUAUUAGAGGGUCUCAGUAGCUAUAACCGGUCUAUUCAUAAGUAAUAAUAAUCUAUAUUUGAAUCAAUGAUCAGUAGUCGAAUCAAGCUGAGUUAAUUCAUUCAACCAGAGCUUUCUCCAAUUUGAAUUACAACUUUAAUUUGCAUUCUUUUUAUUUUUAAUUUGUUUUUUUAUUAUUGUCAACAAUUCCCCCAUUUUACGUUUUACGUUUCAAAAAGAUUUAAAUAAUUACCGAUCUCUGUGGACACGACCCUGCUCAAUCACUAUACACAAUUUAUUUAGAGUAGGAAUUUAUUUUUGUUGGCUUCGACAACCAUCACUAACACAAACCAACCUGACGGGAAGCCAAUACAUUGAAGCCACUAGGAUUUCUUUACAAAUCUUUGAUCAAAGGAAAAGCAACCUUCUCAUCUCCCUUGCUUGGCUCCCUUUCUUAAAAAUUAGAAGUCUAUUUGCUAUCAACAACGUUCGUAGGCACAGCAACAACAAGCGUUCUUUGAGAGAGCGAUUUACAGUUAUUGAGGCUACGAUUGUGGUUUUUUGCUGUAACUUCAUUCAUGGUGGCUGUAGAUGUGAGCAUUUACCUAGGUCGAUUGAGAGUGGCUGUGGGCUUAUGUGGAUUAACGGUGGCUGUCAGGACGCUAGGGUUUCAAGUGGUUUUGUGAGAGAAGAGUUCAGUGAGAGUGUGGUGGCCUCAACACUUAGGAAAAAAGAUUGAGGGUAUCUUUUUAAUUUAAACUCUUUAUGUUUAUUUUUAAUAAUUUAUUUUUAAUUUAUAAUAAAAAAUUCAUAAUAUUUAAUAUUUUAAAUUUAUGAGCAAAAAGUCGUCGUUCUAAUUUACGUGAAAACGACGACGUUUCUUGAGUUAUAUAAUAUUUUAUUUUAAAUAAUACCCAAAAUUUUAUUCAAAGAAGCGCCAAAAUCAAGUCAACAUUAAAAUUAUAUCAUGAAUCCUUGACGUAAUAUAUUUUAUUACAAUGUGGUCACAUAUUCUUGACAUAAUUUAUUUCUAUCACGAGUCUAUCACAAGUCUGUCAUGAAUACUUGAUUGACACAAAAUCUAUCACGACUCUAUCAUGCUUUUAUGACCUCUCAUAAUCUGUCACAAAGUGUCUGUCAUCUAAUGUCAGUUUUCUUAUAGUGUUUUAAAAAGUUACUAUGCACCCUAAUAUAUGGAUAGUUUAUUCAAGUCAUUUAUUUAGAUUUUACCGUUUUUAAACAUCCAAACCAACAACCAAUUGUUAUUUUCAGCCAAUUUUUUGCUUAUGGAGAUCUCUAGAGCUAAUAGCCAAUUGUUAUUAACAUACAAGUCACAAACUCUGCACACAUGAAAAUAUCUCAGCAGAAAUAAAGAACUAACAAAACUUAUUUUACUAAUUUUGUGGUGUGUUAAAAGGAGAUAAUCACGGACAAGAGUUAGACUGAUUUCCCAAAUAGGGCAAUCAAGUCAUCUACUGAUGGGGGCGAGGGCAUUUUAGACUUUGCAUUUAAGAAUGUUGUUUGUGAUACAAGAAUUUAUUGUCCUUGUAAGGAGUGUCGCAACCGAUAUCUUGUUAAGGAAGUGGAAAGAGAACAUAUCAUAAUCGAUAACUUUUAAUCAACAAAGUGUUGGCUCCACUGGUAAUGGAGUCCCCUUAAGUAGCUUGACUGGGUUUGUUCCCCAGUUCGAGUCGCAGGGAAGUCGCCUUUGUUGGGAGAACAUGUGCCUCCCGGUUCGAGCGGGGACUUCUAGUCUAGAUUGUGGUACGGGCUUAAAGGUGCCUCCCACAGUUGGGGUUCUCCCCAGAAUACCUCGUGGAUAAGACCAAAAAAAAAUAAUAAUAAACAACUUUUGGUCAAAAUACAAAAACUGGAUAUUGCAUGGUGAACCAUCUUCAUAUUUGGAAUCUAACCAACAAACCGAGGUUAAUUAUGACUCGAAUAUUGAUGAUGAUAUGGUUGGAAUGAUUCACGAUGUAAUGGGCACUCCAAUUAAUGAUCAUCCACUAGCAUGAACAGAAUGAGCGUCUAAAGAAUGAAACUAAAGUAUUCUUCAAAUUGCUCCAAGAGGUAGAGUCUUCUUUAUAUCUGGGAUGUGGGGAAUUUACAGCCUUACCAUUCAUUGUUCGACUCUUACACAUGAAAGUAUACCAUUCAUUGUUCGACUCUUACACAUGAAAGUAUCAUGUGGGUGGACAGACAAGUCAUUGACAGUGUUACUGGAAUUACUAAAAGAAGCCUUUUCUAAAGAAAUAGAACUGCCAAAUUCAUAUUGCAAGGCUAAAAACAUAACUGCUGAUUUAGAUUUUACAUACAAGACUUGAGCCACAUGUCCUAUUCUAUGUUGUUUAGAAAUGAACAUAAAACACUUGAUCGAUGUAAAUAUGCUAUGCAUCUAGAUAUAAAAAAUUGAUGUGAAUUCUGGUGAUCCCUCAAACAAGGGUAAACAAAUACUGAUCAAGCAAGCAUGGUAUUUUUCCAUGAGUAACAAGAUUAUAAAUGUUGUUUAUGUCAUCGAAAACUGCUUCUUUUAUGAGAUGGCAUGCUAAAUCAUGCAUUGAUGAUUGCGUGCUAAGGCAUCCUACUGAUAAUCCUGCAUGGAAAUCAUUUGAUCAAAUAAAUAUUGAUUUCGUUCUAGUUAUUCGUAAUGUUGGGCUUGGAUUGGAAAGUAACAGUUUGAAUCAGUUUAGAACGAUGUCUGCAUCAAAUUGUAAAUGGCCUGUACUUUUAAUUCCAUACAAUUUGCCACCUUGGAUGUGCACAAAACAACCAUUCAUAAUAUUUAUCUGUGCUUAUUGAUACACCUAAAGGGCCGGUAACAAGAUUGAUGUUUAUUUGCAACCAUUGAUUAAUAAGUUGAAAGAAUUAUGGGCUGAAAGGGGUACUUAGCUAUGAUGUUUCGCGCAAUCAAAUGUUAAAAUUACAUGUAGAUUGUUAUGGAUUAUCAGUGAUUUUUCAGAAAAUAUUUUUACUUGGGCCUCUAUUAAUUUUUUACCAAGAUGUCAUUAGUUUCAGAAAGACAAAGUAUUUUUUUUUUGAUAAAAUAAAGAAGUGGGGAUAAGACCUUCUCGGUUAUCUGGAAUUGAAGUGUAAAAGUAGUUGUAUGAUAUACUUUAUGCUCGAUGCGUCCAUACUAAAGAAUUUAGCAUUUGGGGUCUUAAAUGCUAUGGCAGUCAUGUAUUGAUGCAAAUAUUACUUCCUGUGGCUAACGUAGAGCAUUACCUACAAAUAUUGUUGAAACUUUGAUUGAAUUAAGCAAUUAUUUUUGGCAACUAUGCUCAAAGUGAACGCAUCUGAAGACUUACUCAAAAUACAAGAGAGAAUUUCCCUUUCCUUUUGUCAUCUUGAGAAGAUUUUUCCAAUGUUCUUUUUAGAUAUGAUAGAGCAUUUACCUAUUUAUCUAGCUAAAGAGGCAUUAAUUGCUGGUCCUGUUCAAUGCCAAUGGAUGUUUUUCAUUGAAGGGUACUGCAACAAUGUUUUUACUCGUAUUUUUUUACUAUAUUUAUGUCUUACAUUUUUUUGUUAUAUUCUUCAUAUCUUUUGGUUAUAAGGAGCUACUGACUUCGAAAGUAUGUGCAAAAUCAAGCACUUCUUGAGGCUUCAAUUGCUUAAGGGUACCUUAUGGAGGAAAGUAUGAAUUUUUGUUAAAGUUACAUUGGCAAGGUAGAAACCAAAAGUAACCGACCAUUUUGUAAUGAUCUUGGCGGUAACAAAUUUGGGUGUCCUCGCAGUAAAGGGGUUAAAUUAUGUCUUAAUAAUGUUUCAUGGGUUCAGGUACACAAAUAUGUGCUAUUUAACACAGAUACUGUAACCAUUUUUCCCUGAGUAUGUAGUGUAUAUUUUUUGUUCAAAUAUUUUUAUCUCUAGUUUUUAAUUAUCAUUUAUCCAGUGAUUUACUAAGUAAUGAUUGAAUUGACAUAGGGCAACAUCUAGCAAUUCUCAAGCGAGAGAUAUUGCGUGGUGCAAAACAUCACAUUAAAAAAGUUCACAACGAAGUAUUUCACACAGUUUUCGAAUCAUGUAAGUCUCUCAAACAUUGCGAUUGUGAAUUAUUGUUUUAAGUAAUAGCAAUUUUUUAUUUCUAGUAUGUAUUUAUAGGUUAAAACUUUGCAACGAGCGUCAAUUGUAGAAUUCUUUGAAGAAAUUUUAAAUCUAGCCAACGGUCCAAAGAAGUUUGCACAAAGAUCCAAAGGCUACACUGUUUUUUUUUUUUUGAUAUUAAUCACGAGGUAUCUUGGGGAGGGCCCCAACUGUGGGAGGCACCUUUAAGCCCGUACCACAACCCAGACUAGAAGUCCCCGCUCGAACCGGGAGGCACAGGUUCUCCCAACAAAGGCGACUUCCCUGCGACUCGAACUGAGGAGCAAACACAGUCAAGCCACUUAAGGGGACUCCAUUGCCAAUGGAGCCAACACUUUAUUGGUCCAAAGGCUACACUGUUAAUAGCUGCUGAUUCUGCACAAAAGAUAAUGAUAAGAAUAAAACAACAUAAAAUUUUGGUGUUGUAUUAAAGGCUGACACAAUGAGCUAUACUGAUGCAAGGGAUAAAAAUCCUCACUUGGGCAAAGUUACAUUUCAUGGUAUGUUAAAAGACAUUAUAGAAAUUCAUUAUAAUAAUGACAUGAAGUUUGUUCUUUUCACGCGUGAUUUGGUUGAUGAUCGAUUCAGAAAGAUACUUGAUGAGUUUAAUUUUACAAUGGUGAAUUUCAACCAUUUGUUAUAUACAAAUAAUCAAGUUUGGGAUGAACCUUUCAUUCUAGCGGGGCAAGUAGAACAAGUUUGUUAUGUCCAAGACCCUGUAGAUUUAGAUUGGCAUGUUGUUAUGAGUUUAAUUUUACAAUGGUGAGUUUCAACCAUUAAUUCAUAUAAAAAUAAUCAAUUUGGGGGAUGAACCUUUCAUUCUGGGGGGCAAGUAGGACAAGUUUGUUAUGUCCAAGACCCUAUAGAUUUAGAUUGGCAUGUUGUUAUGAAAAUGACAAUUAGGGAAUUGUAUGACAAGUAUUCUUAUAGCCCAUUGAUAAUGCCUCAAGUUGAGUUAUAUCUCAAUAACAGUUGGAUGAGAGUGUGUGUAUGUGUGAUGAAGAUAUUGCUUGGGUUAAGAAGGGGGUUGAUGUGACAACUGUGGAAAUUAAUUCUGUGAAUGAUGAUGAUGAUGAUCUUAGCAUGGAAGAUAUUGAUUAGAUUCAUUAUUUUGACAUCAAUAUUAACAUAUAAUUUGUAAUAAUGUAUGCAUUUUGAGGGGCAAAGUUUAUUAUGUUCCCCCCAUAUAGGUGUCUUUACUUUUUAUCACAUCAAUAAAUCAUGUUACUGCUUUUCAGUAGUAAUUAAUUUUCGCCUAUAUUUAUUGUUAUUGUUGUCGUAUUGACAAGUUUAUUACACAUUAACAAGUUCAUUAUGUAUUUUAGUGUAUUAUUGUAGUUUAUCAUGGUGCCAAAAAGAAAUAGAGGUUUAUCCAUGGAUAGCUUACUUCAGCAGCAAGCAGAAUAACAAAAACAGUUAUGCUCCUCUUCUCGUUCACAUUCACAUGCACACAAGAUGAAGGUGUGUAUUGUCAUGUAUUCUAACAUACAAUCCUUUUUUUUUCCCCUUAUAUUAAUGCAUCAUGUGCUACUUUUUUUUUUAAUGUUUUUGGAUAAUUUUUCUAUUAUUCCUAUUUCUUGAUUGUUUUUUACUAUUUUUAGCCUUUUUUUUUCUUGUUUCUGGGUUAAUUUAGAUAUUUUAUUUUGGUUAAUUUUGUAGUUUGGAGUGAGUCAUCAUUUAUUAGGCAAACUCUUGUCCUGCCCUUGGUCUAGAUAUAUUUGGAAGGAAGUAAAGUUACGUAAUGCGUACACUUUAUCGUUCAAGUCACUGUCGCAAAAAUAUUGGUUUUUUUUUUUAAACUAUCACUAACCUGAUUUGGCUUUCAUGUGUUGCAACAAUAACUAAUUACUCCUUUCUUAGUCUAACCUUUUUAUUUAUUUAUUUUUUUCAAUGUUUUAACGGUUAAAGUUAUAAGACAAUAACUUAUUUUGUAUUGAAUUAUAGGAGAACAUUGAUGCUCCAGAAACCUAUAAACUUCAUUGUUUAAGGCACAUUAGUAAACUAUGGAAGGCUUGGAAGUCUAGAGUGAAGACUGACUAUUAUACUGCUUAGACAAAUGAAGAGUCUCUUGCAUCUAUUCUUGAUAGAGUUAUUGAAGAGCAAUAGAGGACACAUGUAGCAUAUUGGGAUAAUGAGGAAGUUAAGGUAUAUGGUUAAUAACAAUAUAAUGAUAAUACUAUCUUAUUGGGAUAGUAAUUUAAGAAUUUACUUCAGUAGUAAUUACAUAUAUAGUAUUUACAGGCAUGUGCUGAACAUAAUAAGAUUAACCAUUCACAACUAUCUUCCCUUCCUAGAACAGGUCGAACUUCGUUUCCCCCAAAAAAGAAAAGAAGAAGAAAUAAAAACAAUACCUAUUUGCGGCUGAUUUUGGGUUAAUGAAAUAAAAUCACAUAACCAAGCUAAGAACAAUAAAUUUAUUUUUUUGUUGGGGAGCAGGGUGCCUCGCUUGUUCGGCGCAUGCGGGUUGUUUAGGCUUUUUGUGGAGUGAAGGAAGAUUGAGAUGGCGGUGGUUAUGGCGGAGGUCUGACUUCAGGUACGGAGGGCUGGUGAAAAUUGCCUUAAACCUGCAAAACAACCAAAAAAGAGGUCAGAGGUGGAGCCGGGGGUGGCCCACGACCACACUUCGACGCUCAAGUCAGAGUUGGGUUAUCUCAGGUUAGAGAGCUUGCAAACUCUCGGUAAUGAAAGUUUUGAGGUUGAAGAAACCUUAGUUUUUGGUGGUGUGUGUGUGAACUUAAUUGAUAAAAAUUAAACCUGAGUAUUUAUAUGGUGUACCCCGGUCGCUGUGCCACCUGGCGUUAUAUUAUUAGCGCUCCAUGCUGCCUUGUCAGGAAUAUUCUUAUUUUCAUGCGUAUGGCGGCUUAGGCGUUUCAAAAAUAUUUGUGGAGAGCAAGUUUGAGGUGUAUUAACGUGCUAGGCAUAGUGGAGUGGUCCCGCGUACCUCUGCAAUUCCGUUGUAAUUUUGCAGGUGUGGCAGGAAAAGCUGGUGGUCCCAACUAUCAUAAUAUCAAACUUUUGACGGAUUCGUUGGCUGACAGGCAGCGGUCUCUUCUUUUGUAGCAUGAGAUUUCCUCACCGAUUCCUUAUUUUUUGACACUAUUCAAUCGAUCUUUUUGAGAUUCGGGGCCACCUAUCCAUUGACAUUUUUACGAAGACUUUUUACACUUAUAUGGUGUACCCGAGGUACCCCCAGAGCACUUAGGGUAGCCGGGGUACCUAUGGUACCUGGGGUAUCCAAGGUACCCGAAGUUAGCCAAUUUCUUAAAUAUCGACACGUGGCGCUUCAUCAUUGGCCUCAUGUUUCCUUCCCAAACAACAUCCCCCUAGUUUCUUUGUGGUGAAUUUAAUUGAGGCACAAGAAACUCUUGGAGGAACUGUGCGUGACACGUGGCGAUAUUUACUUUAUUUAUUUUUUUUUUUUUUUUACAAACAUUGAACUUAUGCCUGUCUUCACGUCUUUCCAGCUUCUCUUGGGAAGUGGUAACCGUCUGAUACAUAAUUUGAAUUUGAAAACACCCCUCUGUAAAAUUAUUUGACCUCUCGCUUUAUGAAGUACGAUUUGUCAGGUUUAAUUAAAACCUAUUCCGCUCCUUUUAUGUUACCACUUUACUUUGAAAAUCUCAAAAAAUCUCCCAUUAAGUUUAAUUGCUUCCAGUGGCUUCUUCUUGCUCCCUGGCUUUUCAUCUUUUCCUUGGCUUUAUUUCUUAUUAUUUUUGGCUUCUUCUUUUUCUUUAGCUUCUCAUCUUCUCCUGGGCUCCAUGAACAUUCCAUAAACAGGUUAAAAAAAAGUCUUCCUUUGCUUUUUUUUUUUUUUUUCUUUUUCUUUCCUUUCUUUUUCUUUUCCUUCCCUCUCGGCUGCAAUUCUUUUUGCGCGUUUUUGGCGGGCUCUUGGCGGUUGUUGCGGCGGUCUUCGGUGCCUGAUCUGUCCGGCACGCGGCUGCGUCUCGCAGCUUCCGGUGAGAUCUCCUUCCGGCGGGUUUGGCUCGGUGCUUCUCUCCCCCACAUUGUCUUCUUCACUUCUUUUUCUUCUCUCUUUUCUUCCUCUACUGCGUUUUCUUUGGCUUUUUUUUUAUCCAGACUUUUUUUUUGUUUAUCAUCCUAGCUCUUUUUUUUUUUUUUUAUCAUCCAGGCUCACAUUUUUUUUUUUGACUUCUUUUCCUUUUUUUUUAAUCCAUGCUCCCUUUUUUUUUGCUGAAACCUCUAACGGGUUUCAUUGUGCCUAUUACAGCCUCUGCGCAGCUUCAUCUUUUAAGCAAUUUUUGGUGAUCCGCGACUUCUCUUGGCGAUUUACAGUCUAUUCAUCUCCAAACUUGCUUUUUUUUUUUUGCGACUAAAAUUUGCUGCUCUCGGUGAAAUCUAGGUAUGAAUUUUUAUACUUAUUUUUGGCUUCUUUAUUUUGAAAAAUAUUGUGGCUUUGUUUUUGGAUUUCAUGCAAAGUGUUGGUACUUUUUUUUUAAUGCUUUUAUUGGUGGAUGUUGGUGUUUGGCUUAUGAUGGAUGAGGUCUAGAGUUGUGGGGGCAUGUUUUAAUGUGGAGAUUUUCUUUUCAACUUGUGUCUUGUGUUUUUAGGGGAACAAAAUAGGGAGAAAAAGAGUUGGUUUAAAGGGUCGAAAUAUUGUUGAUGAUUCGGGUGGUGAGGAGGCCCCAUGUUCUGGGUCAGCCCCUUUUGUGUCCAUUAGCGAUGAUGAUGGGUCUCCUUCGGGUAGCCCCAAAUUGUCCCAAACUGAUCCUCGUAGUAAAUCUAAACCUAGGGGCAAACAACUGGUUAGGGCUGCCCAUAAGAAAACUCGUGCAAAAAAUUUCAGACCCAAAUCUCCUGCCCCUGUCAGCUUCCCUGAGCCUCCCCUAGUCUCCCCUUCUGUCUUUGUAGCUCGUAGGCUCUAUUCACUAGGGGGUAGGCCAGCUAUUCCAAGAGAUUUAGAAAGGGUUAGAGCUAAAUAUAACAUACCUCCUUCUAUCUGCCUUGGGGUACCUCGCAAGGGCGAGCGCCCCGAGCACCCCCAUUCUGAUGGUGUAGCCAUUCAUAUUGACCUUUUCGACUUAGGUCUCGUUUGCCUCUUCAGCUAUUUUUUAGAAAAAUGUUCACUAAGAUACAGAUUGCUCCCGGACAGUUAUCUUUACCCGGUUAGAGAUUGCUCACGGGGUUUGGAGGUUCUGUGGCUGGAUGUAUUUGGGGAGGAUAUUUCUUAUGGAGAUCUGAGGGGGCUUUAUCAGUUGAAAAAGCCGGCUGGUUUAUCCGUAGCUUAUUUUGCUACUUGGGGGGUUCAUGGUAGCUUGGUGAGACCGGAUCCCUUGCUGAAAAAGGGCUAUAGAUAUGGGUGGUUCGUGGCUGAAGGCGAGUGGGGGAGGAGUAUACCAGCAGGGAAUGAUGUUGUGCAAGUUCAGAACUUCGUCAAUGAAGAUGGUAUGUAUUUUUCUCCUCCUCUCCCUUUUUUUUUUUAUGUAUAUAUACAUUUCUCGCAUGAAUUUUCUUCUUAUUCGUUGUUUCUUAGGACUUUUGCAGACAUCACUUGGACUAAAGGGACAUGCCCAGUUCAUGAAGUGGGGAGAAAAGUGAGUGGUGUCAUAGAGAAGUUCCAGUCUUUGCAGAGUGAGGAUGAUGUUCUGAGCACUACCCUGCUGGCGAGAGCUGGUUUGAUUGAGGAAAGUCUUCCAUCUUUUUCGAGGGGCAAUUCACGUAUGGCUAUGUGGUGUCGCUGGGGUACCCUGCCUUCACUGGUUCUGUAGGGUGCCCCAAUCUUUUGCACAAUUUUUUUUUUUACGGCCAUCUCUUAUUUUUUGUUAAUGUAUCUUUUUGCCAGUGUCGAUUCUGAUGUUUAUUUUUCUGAUCCAUCUCUAUAUUGCAUCUUUUUUUUUUGUUUGCUUGAUGUUGGAUAGGUAUGGACCCUUUCACUGAAGAUUUUGAAGCCUUUUUCAGUCGCAUGAGCGGCAGCUCCUCCGCUACCCUGGGUACCUUAGUAAAAGGUAAUCGACCUCCCAUCGUUCCAGGCGCCAAGGGAAAAUUGCUCGUUUCCUCUUUUGGGGGUUCUCGGGGUACCCCGGCUACCCACAAGAGGAAGUUUGACUCCCUUUUCACGGCUCCUAGAGAUCUUAUGGAGGGUGUGCUGGACCCGGUGGCAAACAAGCAGAUAUCUCACCUAGGCGAUUGCUUCCUCCAUUCCUCUGAGUGUAUUUCUACAGACAUGGCCAUUGAGGCAGAUAAAUUGGACUUAAAUUAGCGCUAUAGCCGAGCGCUCAAGGCUUAUCAUGACGUGAGUGCCUCCCUCUUUCUCUUUUUUGUUUUUUUAUAUAUAUCAUCUUGACUCCCUUUUCUUCUCUUUAUUAUUAUUAUUAUUAUUUUUGUGUAGGCGGCCUUCUACCUCAGCCACAGUUUCCACGACUUUAGUGGCAUCUCGGCUGCACAGGCUGAGCUGGAGAGGCUGCGAGGGGAGGUCAGACUCGGCCAGUCUCGGGAAGAGAAGCUCGGAGAGGAGGUCAGGGCUUUGCAGAGGCAUUUGGACAACUACGCUUGGGAGAACAGCCGAAUGUCCAAGAAGUUAGAAGAGGUGGAGUCUAAGCACGGCGGGCUACUAUCUCGCCAACAGGAGAUUAUGGACAAGGCUUUUAUUCUUAUCAUGACUGAGGUCUGGAACGUCGACCCAGAGCUGGUGGUACCCCGGGUGGAGAAAUGGGUGGACAAGUCGGCCAUCCUGAAAGCGAUAAAGGAUAAGAGGGUAACCCAGGCUCCACUAUCUCACAGCUCACAGCAGUCUUUUGGGGUACCCUAGGUACCCCAGGCGGAUCUCCCUUCUGUUAGCAUUGUUCAUGAGGGUAGCAACUCUUUGACAUUGAGUGUUCCUGUUGAUGCCCCCGUUGAAGGGAACAGUGGAGAGGAUGUCCCCCCUUCUGCGUGAUCUUACUUACUAUUUAGAGUUUUAUCCCGAGAUGUCUCAACAGUUUUCUUUCUUUGCUUUUGUACGUUUUGUAGUAUGGUAUCAUCCUUUUGAUGUGUUGGGAUAGUUUUCUUUUGAAAGGUUGCCUCGGCAAUCUCGCUACUUGUUCGCAUUAAACUUCUGCAAUAGACUUGAUUUGACAUGCCAUUGAAUUCCCUUCUUAUGAUUGAUUUGUGUAGACUUAUGGGGGUUCCUCGGGUACCCCAGGUACCCCCUGAUGUAUUUUUGGCGCUUGCGUGGUGAUUUCCGUAGAUAUGCUCGCUGCUCGUCUUAAUAAAGAUUAUGGCGUAUCUCAAAUAAUUUAAUAAUUCAUGUAUCAUCAUAAUAUAAAAUGAAAUUCAUAAUUGGCGCAACUAGGAUAUAAAUAAAGAUUAUGACGUAUCUCAAAUAGACUCUUGGAGUUUCCUUGGAUACCCCAGGUACCUUUUUUUUUUUUGUUCGGGGACCUUCUUGGCUCCAUUUCUUACAGAAAUGGUAAAAAACAUGCUUGUUUUGCCAUCUGUUUCUAGUCAAUAUUUAAUGAAAUAAUUCGAAUAGAGGAGCAUGCUUGCCUACCUCAUUUCUUUUAGGCAUCCAACUCUUGUGAUUGCUAUUUGUCUAUUCUUUACUUGGCUCAAGUUAAAAAAUGGAGGUGUGGGCAUGUGCAUACCUUAACGGAGUCUCAUGGCACUAGGGUAUGUUGGUUUACCUCGCCCAUGGGUCUUUUCUAACCUUUCCUCUUUAAAUUUGUUGUAUUCUUUCUUAUUGGCUUUGACCUCGAACAGAUCUUCACGAUCAAAUCGGGUCAGAUACCCCAGGUUCCUCAGACUAUCUUGAAAUGGAGUAAUUAUAGCUGAAAGGUGCAUACAAAACACGAUGUAAUAAGAUUGAGUCACAUUAAUGGCGAAAGUUUAACCAUAAUCACAUUUGGCAAUCAAAAGAAGAACAUUACAUAAGACUGACUCAUUAUCCCAAUGAGAAUAGAAAACUGUAUAGAUAUCCACUCUCUGGGACUUAGGGAACUAAAAAUUUCACUUGCACAUGUAGGGUACCCUAAGUACCUUUCAUGGCUUUACCACAUUACACACAUAGUAAAGAAAAUAGGAGAUAGAUAAAGUGAACGAUAGGGUUUAAGACAUUGUCCUCAUGUUAGUAGUACUUCCUUAGCAUUGCGGCGUUCCAGGGAUGCUUGACGAUUGUUCCAUCUAUGUGGAGUAGCCUGUACACCCCCGAUCCUACCGGCUUGUCUAUGCGAUAUGGGCCUUGCCAAUUUGCUUUGAAAGAGCCCUCCAAGGGUAUCCGGGUGUUCUGAGUUACCCAUCGUAGGACUAAAUACCCUUUCUUGAAUGAUCUGGGGCGUACCCCCUUGUCAUAUAAAUCUGAAACGCGAUGCUGGUAUAUUGCAACCUUCAAUUCUACUUUAGCCAUUUUUUCUUCAACAAGAUCAAGACUGGAUGCAAUGAAAGAGGCAUUCUCGGCUUCAUCAAAGUAUGUGGUUCUGUGAGAGCGUAUCCCGAUUUCUGCUAGAAUGACUGCAUCAGUCCCGAAUGCCAAAGAAAAUGGGGUUUCCCCAGUCGAAGUAUUCUGAGUUGUCCGAUAAGCCCAAAGAACGCCGGGUAGCUCGUCUACCCAAGCUCAUUUCCUUUCCUCUAGCAUCUUCUUUAGGAUACCCUUGAUGAUUUUGUUGAUGGCUUCCACCUGUCCAUUAGAUUGCGGGUGAGCCGGAGAAGCAAAUCGGUUGGCUAUCCCAAGCUCCGAGCAGAAACUCUGAAAUUUUUCGUUAUCGAAUUACUUCCUAUUGCCGCUAACAAUUGCAUUAGGGAUACCAUAUCUGCAUAUGAGGUUCCUUCAAACAAAAUCAAUGGUUUUUCUCUCGGUAAUACUUGCCAACGGCUCCGCUUCUCCCCACUUUGUAAAAUAGUCAACGACUACAAUUGCAUAUUUAGCUUGCCCUCUCCCAGUUGGCAAUGGGCCAAUGAGAUCUAUACCCUAAACAGAAAAUGGCCACAGAGAAGACAUGACAGUUAACUUUUCUGGUGGAAGGUGGGGUACCUUGGUAAAUCUCUGGCACUUGUCACAACUCUUGACCAUGUUUUUAGUAUCCUCCCGCAUCGUAGGCCAAUAAAAUCCUUGACGAAGGGCCUUUUGUGCUAAUGAUUAUGCUCCAUAGUGGUUACCACAAAUUCCUUUGUGUAUCUCUCUCAUGACAUAUUCAGCAUGUUCAUCUCCCAAACACUUUAAGUAAGGGAGGGUAAACCCUCUUCUGUAUAAGGUCUCCUCGAUGAGACAGUAUCGUGCAUCUUUAUACUUUAGCCUUCUUACUUCACUUUUAUCUGAGGGAAGAUCCCCACUUCUGAGGUACCUUAUGAUUGGUUGCAUCUAGGGUACCCCAUCAGUUAUCGACCCUACUUCUUCUGGCACAGGUAGAUUAACACUGGGUGUAGGUAUAUACUCAGUAGUGAUUGGACCAACCGACAGAGUUGCACCGAAGGAAGCCAUUUUGGCGAGGUUGUCAGCUUCACAACUUUCUAAUCGUGGAACUCUUUCCACAUUGACCUCAGCAAAUUGGGACAUUAAUUCUCUGGUUGUCCUGAGGUAUCCUUUCAUAUUUUAUUCCUUAGCCUAAUAUUUUGAGUUGAUCUGACCGACCACCAAUUGAGAGUCACUCUUGAUCUUUUUGCACCCAAGGCCUUCGACAUCCUUAGCCCCACUAUUAUAGCUUCGUACUCAGACUCAUUGUUUGAGGCCUUGAACCUGAGUUACAAGGCAUAACAUAACUUUACUUUAUCUAGAUCGAUGAUUAUUACUCCCGCGCCACUUCCGUGCGAGUUGGAGGAACCAUCCACAUAAAUUUUCCAAACAUACUCUUCUUCAAUAGCUGGUGUAGUUUCGCUCGGGUACCCCAGAAUCUCCUCACCCCCAGAGUCAUUGGCGAAUUCUACGAUGAAAUCGGUAAUGGCUUGGACUUUAAUAGCUGAGCGUCGCUUGAAGAUGAUGUCAAACUCACUCAAUUCAAGAGACCAGUGAAGAAAUCUUUCAGACAUGUCCAACUUCUGGAGAAUUUUUUGAAGGGGAAGGUUUGUUACAAUGCCAAUGGAGUGGGCCUGAAAAUACGGUCGGAGUUUCCUUAUAGAGAUUAUCAAAGCCAAAACCAGCUUCUCUGUGGCGGGGUACCUAUUUUCCACAUCCACCAUUGCCCUACUAGUGUAGUAUAUAGGCCGUUGCACCCUAUCUUCAUUUUCUCUAAGCAACACCGAGCUAGUGGCGUGAUCGGAAACGGCUAGGUACAAUAGAAGCACUUCUCCGGGCUUAGGCUUGGCGAGCAACGGCGAAUUAACGAGGUACUCCUUUAACUUCUAAAAAGCCUCUUCGCACUCGGCAGUCCAUUGGAGCUUCUUUCUCGUUUUCAAAGCUUUAAAAAAUGGCUUGCACCGGUCGGUGGCCUUGGAGAUGAAACGACUCAAGGCGGCUAUCCGACCAGCUAAGCUCUGAACUUCUUUGAUAGUACUUGGCGACUUCAUCCCAGGAACCGCCUGGAUUUUAUCGGGGUUAGCCUCAAUCCCCGCUGUUGCACUAUAAAUCUAAGGAAUUUACCCGAAGUCACCUUGAAUGCACAUUUCUCAGGAUUUAGGCGCAUCUGAUGCUUUCUCAAAAUAUUAAAGGUGUCUCUGAGGUGCCAAGCGUGAUCACUGGCGUAUACCGACUUUGUUAUCAUAUCAUCGAUAUACACCUCCAUGGUAUGACCGAUUUGCUGUUUGAAGACCUUGUUUACCAAACGCUGAUAGGUGGCGCCUGCAUUCUUCAAACCAAAAGGCAUAACCUUGUAGUAGUACAACCCACGGUUGGUGAUGAAGGUCGUUUUAUCUUGAUCCGGUUCAUACAUUGGAAUUUGGUUGUACCUGGAGAAAGCAUCCAUGAAACUAAGCAUCUCAUGUCCCGCCGUAGUAUCGACCAGCUAGUCUACCCGGGGAAGUGGGAAGCUAUCCUUAAGGCAGGACUUGUUUAAAUCCGUAAAAUCUACACACAUGCGCCAUUUCCCGUUGGACUUCUUAACCAAGAUAACAUUUGACACCCAGUCGGGAUACACCACCUCCCUAAUAAACCACGUUGCUAGUAAUCGGUCCAUUUCUUGUUCAAUGGCGUCAUAGCAUUCCUGGUUGAAAGUUUGACGUUUCUGCUUGACAGGCCUAUGAUGUGGAUCGACAUUGAGCUUGUGACAGGUGAUAGAAGGCGGGAUACCUGGCAUGUUCGCGUGAGACCAAGCGAACACAUCAAAAUUUUCCUUUAAAAACUCAAUAAGUUGCUCUUAGUGUUGGUCAGGGAGGUUGGAGCCUACCUUGACCAUCUUGGUUGGGUCAUUAUUGCAGAUCAAAAUAGACACAAGAUCCUCAACUGGUGCUCAUCGCUUUUCAUCUUUCGGUAUUCAGGGAUCCAAGAGUACCUCGACCUCUCCUAUUGGUGCUGAACUGGGACUUUGGGGUACAUGUGGUGCCCCAGGAGCUACUACAUCCACUUCCAUUGCCCAAACUUCUUGAGGCGCUUGGGAUAUUUGAGAAUUCAUGGACCGUUGAGCUUUCUUACGUGCAGCUCUCCGGCGUCUAGCGAGUGCCCGCUUGGAUAUACUGGCAAGUGGCCUUGUUCUGACGCGGUACCCCUCCAAGAGCAUAUUGGUGGCAAUUUGAUAACUCAUCUUCGAGGCGACGGAGUAACAUCCUCGAGCCGAUUGUUGAUCCCCUUUGAUUGUGAUAAUUUCUCGGCGGUUGGAAUCUUCAUGGCGAGGUAAUGCAUGGAGAUUGUUGCUUUAGUUGUUGCUAAAAAUGGUCUUCCCAAGAUGAUAUUAUAGGCACCGGGAUGAUCAACAAUAAGGAAGUCGAUCAUAUGGACCACUCGGUGGGGUACCUUGCCGAUUGUAAAUGGGCAAAGUGAUGAUACCCUUGGGAAUAGCCAUGUCUCCUACAAAACCGACGAGUGGCGUAUCAUAUGGAGUGAUCCUUGGCGAUUCGAUUAGCAGUAGAUCUAGGGCGCUUUUAAAGAUGAUGUCCAAAGUCCUCGCGGCCUUACCGGUGGCGACUUUUAAUGUUUUAACCAGAGCAUCAUCAUAGGGGUAUGAGACACUUUCUGCAUCUUUCUCUGUAAGGAGAAUUGGGACGGGAUGGUCGGGUACUCGGGGUACCCCAAAGUGAUUUUGACAAGUGAAGUUCACUUCUUUUCCAAUGCGAUCCAAAAUUGGCGACUUGCUGUAACGUUUGAUGGCCCGUCUAGAUUCCUCCGCGACGGUAAGACCUCCUACUAUCAUUCGAACAUAAACAAUAGGACCUCCUACUAUGACCGCCAUAACUUCCCCAAAUGUAAAUUCUUUUCAAAAUGAGUGAGAGUAUAUUGGUGACCAAACGUACCGGUACGCAACACCUCUUGGUGGAAGCGGUUACGUACUCGGCUAAAGACUCUGAUUCUCCUUGCUUGAUGAAAGCAAGCUUGGAAGAUACUAUAUCUUGGGAGGAUGCAUAACCAAACUCAUAAACAAAAUUUUUUAGGAGUUGGUCUAAGGAGGAUACACUACCUGCCUUCAACGAUCGGAAUAAUAAUUUGGCAGGUCCGAUGAAGGUAUGCGGGAACAUCCGGUACAUAGCAUUUUCGCCCACUCCUUUAAUCAUCAUCUGGUCACGAUACAACUCAGCAUACUCCACGGGAUCCGAGGUAUCAGAGUAUUGCUGUAUUUGAGGCAUGGUGAACGCUUUCGGGAGAACCGCUGAACGCUUUCGGGAGAAGGGAUGUCCGAAUCUCCAUGGUGAACGGCGAGUUACAUGCUGCUGGCGCUAGAGUAUUGGUGUGGUUUUGUUUUUCAGAAAGGAGCUUCACUUGAGCUUCGAGGUACUCCAUUUUUUCCAGGAACUCACAGGGUACCCCAGGUGCACCUGAGGAUGCCGCAGUUGUUUGGGAAGCUCUUUUGGCAUUCAACUUGUGCCGGAGAUCUUUAUGGACUUUUUGUUUACGUUUGGUACCCUGGCUACUACGGGAAUAACAAGAGGCAGUGGAGCAUUCUUCUCGAGAGCCGCAGGUUUGAAACUUUAAACGGGUGCCCGAUGGCCCGUGCUUUGGUAUACUUCCCUUCGGUAUUUCAGAUCUUUGUAUGAUCUGUUUCUCACCACAUGGAGGCAGGACAUCUUGAAUUAUUGAGGAAGUGGCUGCCUCGGGUACCCGAGAUCCUACUGCUCUGAGAAUCGCGUGAGCUAAAUCCUCAAAGUGUUUAUGAGUAACGGGCUCCUCGUCGGGUUGAAUACCAAUUAAUUGCUUAACUGAUUUUCCUUUCUCUAGGCGGGAUGCCCUCCUUGUUGAGUCAUCCCUCUCAUCACUGUUGUGGUCUUCCGCUCCAUCAUGACCUAGCAUUUGGUUAUCAGCGGGUACGUCGGGUGCCAUAGUGGCGCAAGCACAUGUACUGACAAGCUCAGCAUAGUGUGGAGGCUUUUUGUGCGCUCCCCACAGACGGCGCCAAUUAUUUGCGGUUGAUUUUGGGUUAACGAAAUAAAAUCACAAAACCAAGCCAAGAAUAAUAAAUUUAUUUUUUGUUGGGGAGUGGGAUGCCUCGUUUGUUCGGCGCAUGCGGGUUGUUUAGGCUUUUUGUGGAGUGAAGGGGGAUUGAGAUGGCGGUGGAUAUGGCGGAGGUCUGACUUCAGAUACAGAGGGCUGAUGAAAAUUGCCUUAAACCUCUAAAACAACCAAAAAAUAGGUCAGAGGUAGAGCCGGGGGGUGCCGGCGACCACACUCCGAUGCUCAAGUCAGAGUUGGGUUAUCUCAGGUUAGAGAACUUGCAAGCUCUCGGUAAUGGAGGUUUUGAGGUUGAAGAAAUUUUAGUUUUUAGUGGUGUGUGUAUGAACUUAAUUGAUAAAAAUUAAACCUGAGUAUUUAUAUGGUGUACCCCGAUCGUCGUGCCACCUGGCGUUAUAUUAUUGGCAUUCCCUACUGUCAUGUCAGGAAUAUUCUUAUUUUUAUGCGUAUGGCAGCUUAGGCGUUUCAAAAAUAUUCGUGGAGAGCAAGUUUGAGGUGUAUUCACUGCUAGGCGUAGUGGAGUGGUCCGACGUACCUCUUCAAUUUCGUUGUAAUUUUACAGGUGUGGCAGGAAAAGCUGGUGGUCCCAACUGUCAUAAUAUCAAACUUUUGGCGGAUUCGCUGGCGUGAUAGGCGGUUGUCUCCUCUUUUGUAGCACGAGAUUUCCUCACUGAUUCCUUAUUUUUUUACACGUAUUCAACCGAUCUUUUUGAGAUUCGGGGCCUACCUAUCCCUUGACAUUUUUCCGAAGACUUUUUACACCCUUAUAUGGUGUACCCGAGGUACCCCUAGAGCACUUAGGGUAGCCGGGGUACCUAGGGUACCUACAAUAUCCAAGGUACCCGAAGUAAGCCAAUUUCUUAAAUAUCGACACGUGGCGCUUCAUCAUUGGCCUCAUGUUUCCUUCCCAAACAAUACCCAUUUUCUUAAUAUAAUGCUAGACUGUGUUCUCCUUUUUCAUUUUAUCUUUAAGCAAUAACUUACUUAAUAUAAUGCCAAAUUGAGGUUGUCGAUAACUUGUAGGAAUCUGCACUUAUACUUAUUUUAUAAUCUAGAUUUAAAUUCAUGUGUAUGGUGGAGCUGAAUCAUUUUUGUUUCUUUAGAAUAGUAAAUGAGACAUUGUUUUCACUAAAAUUAAUGUCAAGAAUUUCUUGCCCUAACUAUUUCUAUCUUAUUGCAUAUUUAGGUAAUUUUCUAUAAUAAAAAAAAAAAAGAAAGAAAAAAACAACAACUGAGAUAUGAAUCUUAUGUCUAUUAUGAAGAGAUAUAAGCUUAUUUUUCACUCUUAUGUCUAAAAGUUUUAGAUGAAGAAAAAUGGAAAAAAGACAGAUCAGAUAAGUGCAUUUGUAGAGGCUCGAACAAGAUCUUAUGGUAGCAUAAAUGAUGUGGAGAGUGAACAAAUAAUUGCAAGUGAUUUUUUUUUUUACAAUAUUAUAAUUCCUUACUUUUGUAAAUGCUAUAAUUAAUAUUAUCAAUUUACAAGGUCAAUUCAAUGAAAAUCUGUCUAAAAUACCCAUUAAGCAACAAACAAAAUUUGUUAGAGAGCAAGUAUUCACUCAAAUGAUGGGAACUGAUGGUCAUAGAUGUGCUUGAACUUAUGGUCAAAGUCCAUCAAUUUCAUAUGUCUCACGUCAGAAUGUGACUCACGGUUAUAAAAUGUUACAAAAUGAGUUAAUUCUUCUCCUGUCGAAUCACAGAGAAUUAAAAUCCAAAUACAAGGACUUGCAAUCCAAAUAUAGUGACUUGCAAUCUAAAUAUCUUGAUUUGCAAUCUAGUUAUGGUAAGUUCCAAUUAGUGACAUGCAGGUCAAGUAUGAUCGACUAUGUUCAUUUUUACAGCAGUAUUUCAACUAUUGUGAUGAUAAGAUGAGUCAAUUCAUAAGUGAUCAGGUAUAACUAUUUUAACUAACAUAAUUUUUAGCUAAAAAUUUACACUGCAAUCUAUUUAGUAUGUGUUCUUUGUUAAUAGGUUCCAUACACAUCCAAUGCGCAUCAUCAUAAUACAGCUGCUAGUUCUAAUUACGACCUCGAGUUAUAGGUAACUUUGUAUUUUUAAUAUUUCCUUUUUUAUAUUUUGUCUAAUUCUAAAUAUUUUAUUGGUUGAUUUCUUGAUAUAUAUUUGCUCUCAAUUACUUGUUUGCUAGACAUUUGUUAAAGAAACGUGAUGAUAUGCGAACUUAGAGCAUGAAAUGAAUCUCAUUAUGCAUUUACUUGAUUAGAUUUUGUUGAGUUACACUAUUGCUUUAACUUUAGAUAUCUAAACUGCAUUGAUUAAGGUUAAAGAAGAGUAUAAAAUCAUUGUACUGAACUGCAUGGAUAUCACAGUCUAAAGAUUUAUUCUUAAUCCUUCCCAAAGUCAUUUUUGUUAUUCAUGGACAUUGGUUGUAUUUAAUAUUACUUAUAUUUUUUUAACUUAUUAUUUUCUACAGAUUCUUGAGAGAGAGCAGGCAUUGGGUUCUCUUUAGACUUGCUGUAGGCAUUAGAUUCUAGAGAGAUAGAUUCCAUUGUCUAUGUGUCAAUUCCUAUUUUGUAUUGACUAAUAAACAAACUUAUGAUUAAUGCUUUGUUUUAGAGGACUUAAUAUCAUAAAGUUGAAUCUGUUUGUAACAAAUGAUGAUGUUUUCAUAUAAUUUUGUAUUGAAUUUUUUUCAUUUUAAUUGAAAGUAUUGCAUUAUCAUUUUAAUUGAAAAAAAUUAGAUUUGUCAAAUAUUUUAAAUUUGAAACUGCUUGAACCAGUCACCAAGGUUUUAACCUAAUGAUAUGUGUGAUUACUUAAAGCUUUCUGACAUGCUUCAAUUUUAAUUGUUUAUGUGACUACUUAAAGCUCUAUUUGUAGGUUUCAAUUUUAGUUAUUUAUGUGAUUGCUUAAAGUCAUCAUAAAAUAUGGUGACCCAGUCUAUCGUUUGUGGUGGUAGGUUCACAGUCACAAAAGACACUUUGUGAUCCGUGGCGGACCUAGAAACUAAAAUGAGGGGGGGCUUAGCUCAAAAAAUUUUAUUUAACUUAGAUUUUUUUACUGUUCACUUGAACACAUAUUAAGUAUUAUAAACUCAAAUUUUGUUACUUUUUUAAAUUUUAAAUAAUAAUAGUAAUAAAUUAUUAUUUUUAAAUGCGUGAAAAUAUCAUUUUUCAAAGUAGUAUUUUAAAUGCGUGAAAAUAUCAUUUUCCGAAGUAGUUUCCACAAAAUAUUUAAAAAAAUAAAAUAAUGUGGCUAAUGGGAUUUGAACUAAGAUUUUGAAACCAUUAAAUAACACGCUUACCAUUGAACUACAAGUCUUUUAAUAUAUAAAAAAUGUGUCCAAACUUUUUUAUCCAAUUUUUUCAGAAGGGACUUGGGGUACAUUUAAAAGAAAACUUAAUGGCCCAGGGGGGGCUGAAGCCCCUCCUGGGCCUUAAUUGGGUCCGCCCAUGUUUGUGAUGCCAUGUCACCAGUAAUAUAAACUCUAGGAGGCUCAUAUAUGUCAGUGCUACCUGCCAUCUCAAAGAGGUCACAAGAGGUCAUAUGUGAUGGCAAAACAACGGACAUAUAAACUACUUUUUUUUGUAGUGGUAAAUGAUCUUAUUUGUCCUUCAAUAUUUAUAAAUAAGCUAAAAUUUUGAUUUGCUAUCAUAGCAGUCUAUGUUGAAGAUAUGAAUUUGAUUGCAAUUCUCAAAGAUCUCCAAAAGACUACUGAUUAUUUGAAAAAAAGAGUUUAAAAUGAAAGAUUUUGAGAAACGACCAGAUACUAUUUAGAUAUAUAGACGGAGCACAUGUCUAAUCGUAUCCUUUUCCAUCAGUCAAUUAUACUAAAAAGAUUUUGAAAUGUUUCAAUAUGAAUAAAGCUUACUCAUUAAGUACCCCAAUGAGAGUCUAAUUCUUGUCCAAAGAGAGACCUAUUUUGUCCUAAAAAGGAUGAUGAAUAGGUACUUAGUCCUAAAUUACCAUAGUUGAAUGUCGCUCCGAUGUAUUCAGCCCAAUGUACUAGACUAGACAUAUUUAGUUUUAAACUAACUAGACAACAUUAGGAUGGUGUUAAACAUCUAUUUCCGUAUCUUUGUGGAACUAUUUAUUUGGGUUUAUUUUAUUCUAAUCUACUAACUGUUGACUUUCAUUCAUAUUCAACAUAAAAUUAGUGGGAGAUCCAGAAGUGUAAAUUUUGAUAUCUAAUUACAAAAGCGGAUCACAGUGAGGUUAUGUCACUGUAGAGAUAGAAGAUAAUCUCAUGGAAAAUCUUCAUGCCACUGUAUGCUUAUGGUUGAAGGAUAAUCAUAAUUAAAGAAAAUCCUCUUAGAUCAUAUUGCAAGAGCUCACUGCCUUUUCUCUCAUUUUCAAUCUCUAUACUCUUUAAUAUGUUAUUAUCCAUACUUAUUUUAGACACAAUAGGUAUGUUGAUAUAGAAGCUAAAAAGGGUGAUUGAUGUUAACUGAAAGACUUCAUAAGACUUAAAAUCCAAUUAGAUUUACAAUAGUCAUAUGAAACUCUAUUUAAAAUAAGCUUUUAGAUGUGUCUUUUUGUUGGGCCAGUCUAGCCUAUUAUGGGGCGCCAAUUCCAACAUCUCUCUCGCACGUGAUAGGUGACACUAUAAACAAAGUAACGAGAGUAAUAAGGCUUGAAGCCUUAAAUACAAUAUCAUAUAGGCAAAUGCAACAUGUGACCUAUGAACAAGUUGGAGCUAAAAUAUCAAGAAAUAUUAAUUGUAAACAAAUGCAAAAGAUUAGAAAUUUUGUUCUUUAUGUAUCCUAGAUUUUAUUUUUACUACAAUCUAAGCAUAUUUUAUCCUUUAGUAAAAUAUAUGCUUGACUCAAUAAGCUCUAUAUAUCCACAAUUGUAACUAUCUUUAUAUGGAUUACAACUGGGCAACUGGUGAAUAAACUAGUCAGAUGGAAGAAAAAUAAUCUUUUGAUUCUACUCAUAUUUUGAAAAUUCUAGACCAAUUGGUUUCUUAGACAUUAAUCUUUUACCCCAAAAUAUAGUUGACGUUGACUAAGGAUACCAACCAAGGUUCAUUUUUACCUUGAAGGAACUUACAUAAUGAGGAAGUAAGGAUUCAUUAAGUUUUUUCUUCACUCAUUUUCCCUAUUGACCAUAAUAAGCGCGCACGAUAUGAAUCACAGUUAUAAUGAAUUCUAUUCUAAUAAACAGCAUAUGUCUAAUUAUUCACUGUACAUAUCGUUGUUCAGUCGGCACUAAAAGUGCCUGGCUUGAAUUUUAAUAAGCUUGCCUUCAUAAGGUGUUAAAUGCAUAUCUAGUUUAAAUCAAGUUUCCAUGACAAUGGAGUGUAUUGUAGUUGGUCUAAUAACUUACUUAAUGUGACCUCAUCUUGACCUAGUUGAGGCGACACAUUAUUUAGAAUUACAUAACUCCAAGACAAUAUACCACAUAUCUAAUUGUUUUGUAAUUCUAUAUGUCUCAUCCCAGCUUGCUACUAUAGCAACUGAGGCGACCUCUCGUGUAAGAUAGCUAGUCUUAACCUGACGACAUAUCUUUUUACAACCUUAUAUAUGUGGUUAUGCUAGCUACACAUUUUAAGUACUAAUUGGGUACUUCAUUGUUAACAAUUUGGUGUUAUAAGAAUAUCUAGCAAUGACAUUCUUAAUCUAUGACAAUAAGCCAGCAAAUCUGAAAUGCAAGUUAUGCAACGCAAGAGGGGGGUGAAUUGGGAUUUUAAAACUUACGUUAAACAAUUCGCACAACAAUUUAAUCUAUUGCCUUAAUCAAAUAAAAAUAAAUAAAUUCAAUAAAGCACAAUAAUAAAAGAGUAAGGGAAGAGAGAGCAAACACAAUAAUUUUUACGUGGUUCGGCAAUCCCCACCUACGUCCACGCCUCUAAGCCAACCAAGCUUGAAGAUUUCACUAUCCAAGCCUCCCAAGGCUUCAAGUUCUUUACAAUUGACUUCCAAAAUGUUAAUAAACCUUUACAACCAAGAGAUUAUCUUCCAAUCUCUUCACUCAAGUGUUUCUCACACUUAAACACUAACAAAUUUGAUGAUGAAAUAAAGAUUACAACAAUGAACUCUCUUUUAGAGUAAAUGUACAAAUGAUAGCACAAUAAAGAGUUAAUUUAUGAUGAUUUUCGAAUUUGGAAGCUCAAAAUAUGUUGUUUGCCCUUUUUUAUGCUUACAAGAGUCUCAAAAUUGAAGUUGGAGUUGAGUUUUUAUAGUUAAAGCCCGAAAACUAGCCGUUAUGGGCAAAUUCCAGCGAGCAAGCAGUUAGCCGCUUAAUUUAUCUGGCUCGCCGCUUCAAAACAGUAAAGUUACCUUAAAUUUUCAAUUUUACUACAAUAACAUUGUUCAUGAAAUUAUAUUUGUGCCCAAAACUUUUUGUAAUUAUACUAUGGCCCAAUGCGUCAUAAAAUUUUACUAACAUGUCCAACUUUAGAAUUUCUAAAUAAUACUUGCUAUUCCCAAAAUUUUAUGGAAUUAUGAUAUGGUUCAAUACAUGAUAAUAUUUUUUAAAAUAUUCCUAUUCAAAAUUUAACAUAGAGUAAUGAUACAGCCACAAACUCUUGUACAAACUUAUUUUGUACAAACUGAUGUGGCAUGAUAAGAUUGGUUGAAUUAAAUAUCACUUGGCCCACAUGAUUUGUUUUUAUUAAUUUAUAUUUUCAUUCAACCAAUCUUAUAAUGUCACGUCAGUUUGUACAAAAUAAGUUUGUACACGAGUUUGUGGCUGUAUCAUUACUCUUUAACAUAAUACUUAUAAAUUUCAAAGUUUUCAAAACAAUUUCAAUUUAGUCCAAAAUUUGAAAGUGCGAAGUUUUCCUCAGGCGGCUAGCCGCUAGCCCUCAGGCGGUUAAUCGCUAACUCUCUGUCCACUUAUGAUAUUUACACUCAGGCCCUUAAACUUUCAUAAAUUAUAAUAUAGCUAAAAAGUUUCAAAUAUUUGCAAAUAAGUUCAACUUCAGAAUUCAAAAUAAUACUUAUUAAAAUCAAAGGUUGCAAAACUUUUUUAUUUACUCUACAUCUUGAAAAAUAACUAACUUCAUAAAAUACUUAGCUUAUACUUGUAAAACUUUUUAUAUGUGAAAAAAUAAUGAUUUAUUAAACAAAAUCUUGAGCUUCUCAAAUACUAAACCAUUCAUAUAUUAAAUCAUACUGGCUUUACAAGAAUUGUCACAAUAAUGAGUCCGUUGAGCUCUAAACUUUAUUCGUGAUCGCGCCGUUGUCCGUUGAGUGUCUUGAGCUUGAUUUCACGUGAUUCACUUCAUCGUAAAUAUUAUCCUUCAAGAACUAGUGAAAAUGUGAAAUACAAUAUUUUUCAAAUUACUUAAGACACAUGUUUGUUAUUAUCAAAAUUACAAUACAUAUAGCCCUUUAGGCUAACAAAAUCUACAAUAGGUCAAGCUUGUACCACUAAACAUCUCUACUCACCUCUUUGUACUGAUCUAUACCAUAUUGUGUAUUAUAAAAUUGCAAUAUUUUGUUUAUCAAUAUGGUACAUAAAUGUCCUCUAUAUGUAAAACCUUUUUGUUUGGUUUAUCAUUUUCAAUCAUUAGUCUUUAAUUACUUAUGACAAUCUCAAGAUAUUAUAAAGAUUACUAAACAAAAUAUGCGUAUAGAAAUAUCCUCGUUAUGGACAAAGCUGUGCAUGUUUAUUAUCUUAAUAUCGUAUGUAAUAGCACUAAUGUUUUGCUAAGAUAUGUGCAUUUUUCUUGAGGUCAAUUUUCACUUAUCUAGAUUGCCAUACUUGUUGGUAUUCAAGUGCAAAUUUUCCCAUUGGUACAAAGUGUAGUUCACAGUGCCAUAAAAGUAUGCUAAAUACCUCUUUAAGAAACUCAAUGCUUUAUUCAGGAUUCGAUUAGUAUUUCUUACCCAUCUCAUAGCAUAUAUCAAGUGUUGUACAUGUCAGUGUACCUGAGACCAUUAUUGGCAUUGAAAUAAAGAACACUAGCCAUUUUAUUUUUUUGUAGAGGACUCUUCAAGGCCAUACAUUUUUCAUAUCUACAGGAGUAUCCAUUUAGCUUUCAAUUUGUCAUUUUGAAUCUUUUAAGAAUGUUUCUAAUCUAAAUAUAACUCUUAGAUAGUGUUAAAAAUUUCUGAAAGGAUUCUAUUUAGAUUUAAAUUCCUGAAAUAUAAGCAGCUUUGCCCAUAUUUCAUUAGAUAAUCAAUACCAAUGGUUUUGACAAGAUCCCUUUUUUUUUUUAAUUUCUAGUCAUCUAAAAAUAUCAUCUACAUGUAUAAAUGCAUUGGCUAUCUUAAAUCAUCCAAUAUUUGUAAUUAAAUAAGGCUUGAUGAAAAUUAAGAUUCCAUUAUUAAGAGAAUGUUGUAGAUAAUAUAGAUAUAUAGACUUUUUAGAGCAAGCCGACUAUGCACUUAAGGUCUUUAGCAAAAGCCUUCUGAGCAUGCAAUCUACGUACUCAAAAUCUUUAAUAAAAUUCUUUUGAGCAAGUAAACUAUGAGCUUAAAAGUUUUGGCAACAUUAUUUCGAGCGUGCAACUAUGCGCUUAAAAGCUUUAGCAACGACACCUAGUAUUUGUUCCAUAUAUAUAUAUAUAUAUAUAUUUCUUCCUCUGAUUUUUUACUGAGAUGCAUUUAUUACAUCUAUUGAUAUGACGAUGAAUGCAUGUGCAAGUUGACCAGAAAUAAUUGCCUUAGAGAAACCUCUAAGCCAAAAGUUUUUUUCUAAUUUAAACUCCUUAGAUAUAACUUUUAACAGUCCAUAUUGUACUUAUGCCUAUCGCUUUACACAUGCACAACCUUAUUGUUUGCAAUGGUUUAUUUAGCAAUUGACCAACUGUGACUCGGACAUAAUUGUUAUUUAAUGACUUUAUCUAUUAAUCAUUGCUUUUCUCUAUAGUUCCUUAGAAUUUAGAGUGACAGCUCUAUACAAAUAAUCCUAGCUUAUGACCAUAGUAUGAAACAAUUGUUAAGAAAUUCCUUUCAAUCUCUAAAAGACGAUAUAGGAUUCAUUUUCAAUUAUUCCAUUGAAUUGAGUUAUCUGGUUGAGCUAUCUCAUUAGGUGUUUGUUCAUACUUGAAUCAAGAUUUCUUAGUAAAUCUAACUUAUACUCAAUUCUUAACUCAAAAGUGAUAUCAUAAAAAUGAUAAUCCAAAUCAUAAUUUAGGAUAUAUAUUUAUCAACUUCUAUGAUGCUUAGGAAUUCAAAAUUUUCAAGUUUGUGGUUUCUUAUCUAGCCACUAUCUUAGCCAUUCAUUGAACAUUAAAUACAUGUUUUAUUUGCUUAUUUGAAUUUUGAAGUAAGGUUAGAUACUUUACCUAUAGUUGGAGUACUUAAGUGACUCAUUAUAUGAGAAAUUAUUUAAGUAUUUAAGGUGCAAUUAAAUAGAGUAUCUCCAAAUAACAUAUUGGAAAAACUUAUGUGCUACUAUUACUUUAUCAAUUGUCAUAAUGCCUUAUCCCUUAAUUUCCACUACUCCAAGUAGUGCGUUACUAUAAGAAUCAUCAAUUAUCUAUAUAUAUUUUUCUUAUAUAUAGUGCUGAUACAACUUUGCCCGAGAUUAAUGACAAGUCAGUACUUGAAACAAAGGAAGAAGCCCAGCUGGUCGACGAGCCCAUAAAAGGUCCAGCUCGUAUGCGCAGGGCACCAACAUACCUCAAGGAUUACAUUACCUAAGGAAUAUGCGAGAAGGAACAAAAAGAGUGAGAAAGAUGGCAGCUGUGAUUUUGGUUAUUUUGUUGUGACUGUUUUUUUUUGUCAAUCAUUACAUAGUUGGUUAGUUACUCGUGUAUUGUUGAGGGGUAAAAGAUAUAUGUAGAGAGAAACACGUCAUAAAAGGGAAUGAAAUGGAAAACAUUCUUCUUCUCUCUCUGUCUCUCCUGCUAUCUCUGUUUCUCAUCUAAUUUCAAUUCUUUUUUGCUACUUUUUGCUGGAGUCAGCACUUACUCGAAAAGUGUAAAUCUACGAUAUAAGCUCUGAGUUGCAGAGUUGUACAAUUGGUACUUUCACUGACUUCUUCUUCUUAAAAAAAAAUCAACCAUGACUAAGAAAACAAAGACGAUUGAUUCUGAGGUUCUUUCCGCCAUAAAGGAGCUCCUUGAGAAGCAAACGCUCUCUGUUCAUCAGACCUUGCAACAGUACAUGUCCACUGUAGAUUCCCGUUUUGAGGAAUUCCAAGCUCAAAUCCGUGGUUCUGUUGGCGUUUUGAGUGGCCCUUUACGACCAUCAGAGCCGAUGUCAGCGUUUACAGAGGGUUCUGCUAGGGGCACAAACUUUUCACCGCUUUUACGUUCCAUGAAAAUGGAUGUUGUGCAAAUUUUAAUGUACUCGCAAGCGCACGAAUCUAUUGUAGUAUAGAUCAAUGGUGACGAGUGUCGAUCCCACGAGGAGGUGGAUUUUAAUUGUGUAUAGAAUUAAUUUUGUAAAUGGGUGGUUGGAAUUGUGGUGGAAGUGAUUUGGAAUAUGCUAAAACUUAAAUUAAAAUGGAGAGAAUAAAUUCUAAAAUUGGAAUUGCAAUGGCGAGAAUAAAUUGUAGAGAAAAUCGAUUAAAUUGACGUACUUGGGUAUCUGGAUCCGUAUCAACAUGCAUCAUGGGCUAAAUAAUCCGUAUUAAUGCCAAUUAAAUCAUGAGGGGGAAAUCCACACCUCAUGAACCACGCUCUAAUCAAUAUGGUGGUAAGGGCUUAUCGUGCCAAAUAAUAAUAACCUUAUACUAGAGAGCCGGUGUAACCAAGGCGGUAUCUAGACAAGAUCAGUAUUAUUUGUCGAUGAUAAGUCAAAUCAUCCACAAAAACUAGAGGGGAAAAGAAAAUAAAUUUACCAAAUAAAGCCCAUGACACAUGUUGAGACCUCACCUUCAACCCAAGCUUGAAAGGAAAUUAGCUACUCAUAAUUGAACUAGGGGCAAAAUGGGAAUUUAUUAAAAUAAAAAGAAAAUACAAGAUGGAGAAGGAAUUAUAGAAAAUGGAUCCCAAAAAUGGAUUCAGAGAUAUCAAAUUAGGGGGGGGAGGCCCCCUUUUUAUAGAUACAUGGAGUAAAUCAUGGCCAUCGGAUUAAAAACAGUUUGGACGCUCAGGAUUGCGCCACGUCAUCAGUCAACAGUCCACGGUUUGACCACGUGGAUGAACAGUAACACGGUUUGACCCGGAUGAACAGUAACAUGGUUUGGUUGAAAAUAAUCCUGUGUGAUGCAUGCACCGUACGCGAGAUUUUUCAUCCACUGAUAUGCUGCCAUGUCACCAUCAACAGUACAUAAGAAUUUUAGUCCAACAGGAUCGUGACACCUCAUCAGUCAAUGCCACAUCAUCGGUCAAUGUCACGUCAUCGAUCCGUCUAUGUGAACAGUGUCGUGAACAGUACGUAGACAGUACCGUAUACGUGAAUAGUACCGUACAUGUGAAUAGUGCCAUUUUUCCUUUUAUGCUCCUCCUAAGGUUUUCGACCGUCCUGAGUUCAAAAGUGAUGUCCGUUUUGCCGUCUGAUCUCUCCUUUAUUGUGAAAUGACUAUAAUGCCCCUAAAAUACAUAAAAUACUUAAUUAAAAUAACACACACGUAAUUACAUCACAAGAAGGUUAAAUACAUAAAAGUAAGAGUUGUUAGUAAGACUUGAAAUGUAAAAUGAUGGUUUUCUCCUUUAUAAAUAUGCAUUUUCUAAUACUCAACAAUGGACAUCCCCAAGUUUGAUGGCUCAGAUUCGACCGGGUGGGAUUUUCGCAUCAACGAGUUUUUUGACCUCCAUGGUACCCCAAAUAAUUUGCGUCUUUGCAUUGUAUCGUUUCACAUGGAAGGGAGAGUCGCUACUUGGUAUCAAUGGAUGAAAGCUAACAAUCUAUUAACCACAUGGCGAAGUUGUUUUGUCAGUCUUAAGAGUCGCUUUGGAGCUUCCAUGUAUGAAGACCAUCAAGGGAAUCUUUCAAAGUUAAUGCAGACCUCCACAGCUGCUGACUUUCAUUCUGCUUUUGAAGACCUAAUGAACAAAGUUACUAGUAUAUCUAAGCCUUUGUUAAUUAGUUUCUUUAUCAUGGGUUUAAAACUCGAUAUCCGUCGUGAGUUGUUGUUUACUCGACCGACUUCUCUGAUGGAAGCCUUUGCUCUUGCUAGAGCUUAUGAGGCUAGAUCUGAUGAAGUUAAAACAACCAGUCGUUCUUGGUCAAAAUGGCCUCCUACUACACCUCUAGCUCCACAAAAUUUCCCCCCUAUUUUACCAAACACUUCUACUUUAAAAAUACCAAUACUCUGGCUGCCUUUGUUAUUACUACACCAAAACCACCAUCUCAACCUCCAUUAUUACCAACCCCAAAUUUACCAAUCCGUCGCCUUACUCCAGCUGAGUUACGGGAUAAAAGAGAAAAAUGGUUAUGUUAUAAUUGUGAUAAAAAAUAUAGUGCAAACCAUCGCUGCCGCAGUAAAUUCUUGUUGUUGAUGGGUACUGAUGAUGAGGAGUGUGACCCGGGGGAGGAUAUGAAUGUCAUUGAGCAAACUGAGGAAGUGGUUACUGCAGACAUUUCAAGCUUGAAUGCCUUGGCUGGACAGUCCAAUCCGCGGUCUCUGCGUGUCUUGGGUGAAAUUAACGGACAUCAAUUCCAUGUUCUUAUAGACAGCGGCAGUACUCAUAAUUAAAUCAAACCGCAGCUAGCUGAACGGGUUGGUCUUUCGAUUCAAUCCACCUCAACUUUUUGAGUUUAUAUCGGCAACGGGGAUUUUCUGGUUUGUCGAUUUCACUGCCCGGAUGUGCCAAUUGUUAUUCAAGGCCAUGAGUUUCGCUUGCAUUUCUUUGUUUUACCAAUUGAGGGACCGAAGGUAGUUUUGGGCAUCCAGUGGCUUCAAUGCCUUGGGCGUGUCUCCACAGAUUAUUCAGAGAUGACUAUGGAAUUUUUUUGGGAGGGUAAGCAAGUCCUUUUACGAGGUGAUCUUAUUCAACUCCCUAAUUUGAUCUCUUUUAAUCAAUUUCAAGCGUUGUUACACAGCGAAAAAGUUGACACUUUAUUCGAGCUACAUUCCCUCUCCAGUAACACAUCCGAGUCCCAUAUUCCUAACUCCACAUCCUCAACUUUUGAAAUCGACUUACCCACUUCCUUGUCAGAAUCUAUUUAUCUUCUCCUCCAUAAAUAUAAGGCAGUCUUUGCUCUGCCAACUGGCCUCCCUCCCCAAAAUAUAGACCACAAAAUUCACUUCACUCCUAAUUGCAAACCCGUCAAUGUCAGGCUAUACCGUUAUCCUCAGUUUAAAAAAAAUGAGAUGGAGAAAUUAGUUCAUGAAAUGCUUGAGCAGGGAAUUAUUAAACCAAGUCAUAGCCUUUUCUCCUCACCAGUGUUGUUAGUAAGGAAGAAAGACGGUACAUAUCGCUUCUAUGUUGACUACCGUGCUUUGAAUGCGGUAACAGUGAAGGACAAAUUCUCAAUCCCUACCAUCGAUGAAUUAUUUGAUGAACUUGGUGGCGCAAGGGUAUUUAGCAAACUGGAUUUGAGAGCAGGAUAUCACCAGAUCCGAGUCCAUAAACGUGACACUUACAAGACAGCGUUUUGCACGCACGAAGGGCACUACGAAUUUCUUGUUAUGCCAUUUGGAUUGACCAACAAGCCGUCCACCUUCCAAGCGACAAUGAACCAAUUAUUUGCUUCUUUUUUGAGCAAAUUUGUUAUAGUCUUUUUUGAUGAUAUUUUGGUAUAUAGUUCUUCUUUGGCUAAUCAUGUGUGGCACUUGGAGCAGGUUUUGUUGCGUUUACAAUCACAUCAAUUUUCUGCCAAACUCUCUAAAUGUUUAUUUUUUCAAGAGACCAUUGCUUACUUGGGACAUAUAGUCUCUGCUCAUGGUGUUCAAGCCGAUCUUCAAAAGAUUACCGCCAUGGUGGAUUGGCCCUUGCCCAAAACAGUAAAGCAACUGAGGGGAUUUUUGGGGCUUACUGGGUAUUAUCGGCGGUUUAUAUAGGGUUAUGUAACUAUUGCAGCUCCACUUAAUUAUGCAAGGAUGUCUUCCGUUGGAAUGCGGCAGCCACUGAAGCCUUUAAUAAAUUGAAAGAUGUCAUGGUAAAAGCUCCUGUAUUGCUCCUACCUAACUUUGAAUUGGAAUUUUUCAUUGAAACUUAUGCAACAAAUGUGGGAAUUGGGGCAGUAUUAAUGCAAGUGGGUCACCCCAUAGCUUAUUUCAGUCAAAAAUUGGGACCUUGGUUGCGGGCAUCGUCGACGUACAUAAAAAAACUACAUGUCAUUGUGUGUGCCGUCCUAAAAUGGCGACAAUAUCUCCUCGGUAAAUUUUUCAUCAUCCGUACAGAUCACAAAAGCAUUAAAGAAUUAUUUCAACAAGUAAUCCAAACUCCUGAUCAGUAAGCAUACGUCCAAAAGUUAUUAGGAUUCCAUUUCAAAAUUGACUAUAAGGCUGGAAGCUCGAAUCAAGCUGCGGAUGCACUGUCACGUAUACAUAAAGAUACACCUCCUGAAUAACAAAUGGUUCCAGCACUCUGUUUAGCAAUGGUUAGUCAACCCUCUACUAAUUUAUUACAAGCCUUGCUAAAGGAAAAUCCAACCUUAGAUGACAUGUUACUCUCCACAAGAAGUUGGCGGCGGGAACCCUUUCCCCUAAUUUUUUUGUUCACAAUAGGUUCUUAUUAUUCCGCCACCGCUACUAUAUCAGUCCACAUUCAUCUUUGAAACCAGUAUUGCUCAAAUAAUUCCAUGACACUCCAAUGGCGGGUCACGCGGGCAUCAAAAGAAUUUUGAUUCGACUGUCAUCUAAUUUUUAUUGGCCCAAAAUGCGAGCUGAUGUGGAACAGUAUAUUGUUGCUUGUCCCACCUGUCAACAAAUCAAAUAUUCCACCCAAGCCCCUGCAGGACUACUCCAGCCUCUUCCCAUCCCUUCACUUGUUUUGGAUGAAUUGACUAUGGAUUUUAUUACGGGGUUACCCAAUUAUAAAGGAUUUGAAGUUAUUUUGGUUGUGGUCGAUCGUUUGAUGAAAUCAGCCCAUUUCGGAGCAUUGCCAUCUCAGUUCACUGCCCAAAAGACAGCCAUGUUAUUCAUUGAAUUAGUAGUGAAAUUAAAUGGUGAGAAAGAUGGCAGCUGUGAUUUUGGUUAUUUUGUUGUGACUGUUUUUUUUGCCAAUCAUUACAUAGUUGGUUAGUUAUGUGUGUAUUGUUAAGGGGUAAAAGAUAUAUGUAGAGAGAAACACGUCAUAAAAGGGAAUGAAAUGGAAAAUAUUCUUCUUCUCUCUCUGUCUCUCAUGUUAUCUCUGUUUCUCAUCUAAUUUCAAUUCUUUUUUGCUUCUUUUUGUUGGAGUCAACACUUACUCGAAAAGUGUAAAUCUACGAUAUAAGCUCUGAGUUUCAGAGUUGUAUCAAGUGCUCGGAAUUACUUGGAAAGAUAUGUAUAUUUCGGUUCGUCUUUAUUCCUUACGAUAUUCAAGAAAAUCCUAAAGUAACGUAAUAUAACUGAUUUAUAGGAGAUCAUAAAGAUUAGAUCAAACUUGAUAUAUGCAUAAAUGUAGUCGUUAUAGGCUUCAUUCUUAGCCUUUACAUUCUUUUUACUAUAAGUGUCAAAAUGGACAUUUACUAUUUUCCAAGUUAUUAUUCUACAUUAAACAACUAUUCAAUAUAUGCUUUAUCAUUGUAGCGAGUGAGCCCAAUGUUCUCUGCCUAGCGAAUUUAGCCAUUUGUCUCAGUCCAAUAUGCAAAUUUUAACAUGUACAUUAUCACCACAAAAUGAUGCAUAAUGAUCAACUUUUCAUAAAACCUCUUUUCAAAAGUGGUUAGAAAACAGUCAAUUGUAAAAAUCUUAGAUGGUUAAUGAUAAAGACUAAGUUUUUGUUGUAUAUUUGUCAUUGGAAAAAUAAGGACCACGCAAUACCAACUUGCAGGUGCUUAUACUUUUAACUUCUACAGUGAGUAUAUUCCCAUAUGUACUUUCAUUUCCUUUGACAAUUACAAAAGAAAAAAAAUUCAAAAACUUUUUGUUAUCUCUAGUCCCAAGGCAUGGCUACCUAGUCUAUUUAUGUUUGAUGCAAUCACGAGUGAAUAACUGAAAUACAUGGUGAGUAAGCAUCUUUGUAUUGUCCUUCUAUUUUCUAUUUUCUAAGCAUGCUUGCCUCAUUUGGCAAUUUCUAGCAUUUGAUUGCUGAGAUUAGGAUUAAGUCCUAAACUCCCACUAGAAAAGAUUACCCUUUCUCGUAUGCUCAAAGCUUGAAGCUUUCCACAAGCUAAACUCUUUCUUGUUAAGUUGAUUUAGAAAGCAUUACUGGUUCUAUGCACUUAUUUUCUCAAACUAGUAUCAAUCACAUGAUGUUUGCUAAAAGUAUUAGCUGUCUCUAGGUGCCCAUUUUCUAUAUAUAUUUGAUUAGAAGUUCUAGUAGUCUAUUGGCACCAUUCUUCAAAUCCUUAAGGUUAUGCAUUAUAUAAACUCUCAUAUUGUCCCAACUAUUAGGGUUGGACAUUUUAUUGCCUGGACCUAACAUUGACAUUUACAAUGUGUCUAGCAUAUUUGAACUCUAUUAUAUGAGCAACCUAAUACAUCUUGGACUUAUCAAUAAGCUCAUAAAAUAUGUUACUCGGCAACGAGAUACGAGAAUGCUCUUAUCUUCUAAAGAGAAGAUUUAAAGUCUCAUGAUUUAAUUCCAAAUCAUAAAAUAAAGUCAAUCAAUGUUAUAUAGUAUUCAUUUGAUACACAUUUAAUAUAUUUUGCCACAACCAUAUACCAAAUUAAUGAAAAUUUCAUAUAAGGAUUGGAAUCAAAAAGUCAUUGAGGUUUCAAUCAUCAUCUUUUCCAAACAUUAAAUCAAUUUAAUUAUAUUUUAUUGCUCAAAACAUUUAGUUCAAUUAUUUUUUUUUCCUAGAAUCUUAAUAUUAGAACUCUCACUAUGAAUUUAUAAAUAUAAUGGGAAUAAAGUAGUCUUCAUACAUUUGUUCAUGUGAAUAAUACACCAGAAAUUUUCCUAGAAAAUCGAUGGGGUCUAAUAGUCCCACUUAAAUACCCAAUUUUCUUAGAUUAUUAUCAUCUUUUUGACAAAAUUUUUCUAGAUAUAUCAUACAUUCACAAUACUACCCUAUGCUUUAGAUUUAUUAAUCCCAAUACAUUUUAAUCUUCUUGUGUUCUCAUUAAAAUGAUUACAUUUGACAAAAAAAUAUAAUUCAUAAAUCAGUUCAUCAUGAUCAUCAUAUGGAUUAAUAAAAACAUUCAUGCUUAUCUUAAAACAAACAGUAUAAAUUAUCUCAACAAGUAUUAGAUAAUUUACCAAUAUGCAUUAUUAGGAGAGCACAUAUAUUAAUGUGUUGAAACAGCUCUCAUAGAAGCAUAAUACUGUCAAUCGCAUCUCAAAAUAUUUAAAAAAUUAUUUUUCUCAAAUUUUAUCUCACUUUUAAAUUAUUAUUUUAUUUAAACAUCUUCAAAAGAAUUUAAUUCAAAAAAAUUUAUUAUAAGUAGUAAAUUAUUUUUAGAUCACAAAAUAAAAGAGGAUAAAAUUACAAGUCAGUUACCGUAAAUAGCGCCAAAAUAGAAAGUAAGAUAAUCUCUUGUUGUAAAAGUCCACUUUUAAAACCUUGGGAGGCUUGGAUAAUGAAAAACUCAAGCUUGGUUUGCUUGGAGGCAUGGACGUAAGUGGGGAUUGCCAAACCACGUAAAAAUCUUUGUGUUUGCUCUCUCUUCCUUUACUCUUUUAUUUUUGAAUUUUGUUAAAUUUAUUGUUUUUGAUUUAUUAAGGCAUUAGAUUAAAUGGUUGUGUAGUUUCAUAGCUUAAAUUUUAGAAACCCAAUUCACCCUCUCUUGGGUUGCAUAACUAGUAUUUCAUUUGGUAUCAGAGCUUGGUUCUUUUAUUAGGACUUAACCGUCUAGAGUAAAAGAUCCAUGGCAACGUAAAAUGACUCAAUCUUUAGGGAAGGACAGUCCAUAACUAGACCACAUUUCUUUGAAGGUAAUGACUACCCAUAUUGAAAAACUAGGAUGAGAAUUUAUUUGUAAGCUUUAGGUUAUGAAAUUUGGCAAGUUGUUUGUGAUGGUUCAUCCAUGCCUAUGACUAAAAAUGAAGUACGAGAUGAUAUUCCAAAACCUUCAAGUCAAUAAAUUGAGUUAGAAAAGAAAAAGAUAUUUUUGAACUCUAAGGUAAUGAAUGCUUUGUUUUAUGCUCUUGAUAAGAGAUUUUCGUAGAGUGUCUAGUUGUGAGAGUGCUCAAGAAAUAUGAAACAAACUUGAAGUUGUCUAUGAAGGGGAAAAUCAAGUUAAAGAGUCUAAGAUUAGUAAAUAUACUCGACAAAAUGAAUUGCUCCAAAUGGAACAAAAUGAGAGCAUGUAUUGUAUGUAUACUAGGUUUACGGAUAUUGUGAACACAUUAGGAGCUUUAGGAAAAACGUUUUCGAAUAGCAAAAAAGUUAAGAAAAUUAUUAGGUCUUUACCAAUUGAAUAGAGACCUAAAAGAACUGUCAUAGAGGAAGCUAAAUAUUUAAACGCUUUGCCUAUUGAUGAUUUAAUUGGUUCUUUUAUUUCAUAUGAGAAAGAUUUGACAGCAGAAAAUGGCAAUGAGGAAAAGAAGAAGAAAAGCAUUACACUUAAAGCAUCAAAACAUGAGAGUGAUGAGGAAAGCGAGCUUGAUGAUGAAGACAUGGCUAUGAUGUCCAAAAGGUUAAAAAAAUUCUUCAAGAAAGCUAGUGCGCGGAAAAGAUUCAGAAACUACAAGAACUAAAAGGAGAAGAAGGAGCCAAUUACUUGUUAUGAGUGCAAGAAUCUUAUAAACAUACGAUCGGAAUGUCCUCUUCUCAACAAACUUAAGAAGAAGGCAAUGGUAGCCAUAUAAGAUGACAGGGAUAAGAAAACAAGUGAUGAUAAAGAGCAACAAGAGAUGUAAAAUCUAGCUCUCAUGGAAAUUGGGGAUGAAUUGUUUGACGAACUUGAUGAAGUAAGCGAUCUUACCUAUGAUUAAUUAUAUGAUGCUUUUAAGGAAUUGCAUGAUGAUUGGAUAAAAAUUAGCAAAAAAAUACAUGCCGUAAAAAGAAAAUGCUAGAACUUUCAAAUGAAAACGAUGCCUUGCAAAAUAUAAUGAUUCAUUGAAUGAAAAGAUCAAGGGAUUAGAACUAGAUAAUGAAAUGUUGUAUGAUAGGAUUACAUCAUUUAAAUGUAAACAAAGUACUUCAUAUGAGUAUGAAAAAUCACAUGUUGAUGAAUUGAUAAAAGAAAAUGAAGUGCUUAAGAAAAAAAGUAAUGAACUCAACGAAAUUAUGUUAAAAUUCACAAGUGGUCAAAAGAAUUUAGAAAAAUUGCUGAACUCUCAAAAAUGUAUAUUUUAUAAAGGAGGACUUGGGUAUAAGCCUAGCUUGAAGCAAAAGUAUUAUAGGAAUUACUUUGUUAAAGUUACCUCCACUAGUGACCAUCAAAUUAUUUGUCAUUAUUGCAAUCAAAAUGGUCAUAUAAAAUACAAAUGUCCAAUGAAAAGAAAUGCAUAUAAUGGAGUCAAAUGUGUUUGGGCUCCAAAAGGAACCAUUGCUAACACUCAAAGACCCAAAAAGAUUUGGGUACCUAAGACUUGAAAUUUCCUCUGCAUGGUUUUAAGAAAAAGAAGAAUAAAUGCACUUGGACAGUGGUUGCUCAAGGCAUAUGACUGAAAAUUAUUCAUGGUUUUCAAGUUUUACCAAGAUUGAAAAUGGUGGAGAUGUGUCAUUUGGAGAUAAUUCAAAAGGAAAGAUUAUCGAUAUCAGUAAUGUUAGUAAAGAAUACUCUACUCUUAUUGAAAAUGUGUGUUUGGUUGAAAACUUGAAACACAACUUACUUAGCAUUAGUCAAUUGUGUGAUAAAGGCUAUAGAGUUAUCUUUGAUAAAUCGAAAUGUGUUAUUGAGAAUGCAUAUGAUGGCAAGAUUUUGUUUGUAGGAAAUAGAUGUGUUAAUGUUUACACCAUUAAUAUAGAUUGUGCAUCUACUAAUGAUAAAUGUUUCUCUGCAUUGCAUGAUGAUGACUGGUUAUGGCAUAGAAGACUAGGUCAUGCAAGUAUGAAUUUAAUUUCAAAGAUUUCAAAAAAUGAUUUGGUUAAUGGUCUUCCAAAAAUUAGUUUUCAAAAAGAUAGAAUUUGUGAAGCUUGCCAAUUUGAAAAAUAAAUCAAAACUUCUUUAAAAAACAAGAACCAUGUCUUAACUUCAAAAUCACUUCAACUACUUCACAUGGAUUUGUUUGGACCUUCUAGAUAUGCUAGUUUAAGUGGCAAAUAUUAUGCAUUUUUUAUUGUGGAUGAUUAUUCUAGAUACACAUGGAUAUUGUUCUUUGCUAAUAAGGAUGAUGUUUUUAAUGCAUUUAGAAUUUUCUAUAAAAAGGUUUAAAGUAAAAGGGAUAUGUAAUUUCUUGUAUUAGAAGUGAUCAUGGUGGAGAAUUUGAAAAUCAUGCAUUUGAGAAUUUUUGUAAUGAUUUUAGCAUUGAGCAUCAAUUUUCAUCACCUAAGACUCCAUAACAAAAUAGAGUUGUUGAGAGAAAGAAUAGGUCUAUCCAAGAAAUAGUUAGGACUAUGUUGAAUGAAAAUAUUUUAUCUAAGUAUCUAUGGGCCGAAACCGUCAACACCGUUUGUUAUGGCUUAAAUCGUGUGUUAAUUAGACCUUAUCUCAAUAAGACUCCCUAUGAGCUUUGGAAAGAUAAAAAACACAACAUUGGUUAUUUCAAAAUUUUUGGAUGCAAAUGUUUUAUCUUGAACGCAAAAGAUAAUCUUGGCAAAUUUGAUCCAAAAUCUUAUAUUGGUAUUUUUCUUGGUUAUUCAAAUACAAGCAAAGCUUAUAGAGUGUAUAAUAAAAGAACUUUGGUUUUGAAAGAAUCUAUGCAUCCGAUAUUUGAUGAGUCUAAUCCUUACUCUACAGAGAAAGUUGUUGUCGAUAAUUAUGUAGAUGAAGAGUCACAACAAGGAUUAUCAAAAGAUAAAAAAGAUGAUGCAUCACAUGAAAAUCAAGAGGAUAGACAAUGAGAACAAAUAAAUGUGGAGCAAUAAGAAGGUAUGUCUCAAACACUCCCCAAGGAGUGGAGGUAUAUUUCCCCUCAUCCUAAGGAUUUAAUUUUAGGUGAUCCUUCAAGAGAUGUUACCACUAAAUUAUUAUUUAAAAAUACUUGUGAGCAUGCUGCUUUUAUAUCUCAAAUUGAACCAAACUUCAUUGCGGAUGCGGAAAAUGAUGAAUCUUGGAUCAUGGCAAUGUAAGAGGAGUUGAAUCAAUUUGAGAGAAACAAUGUGUGGAAAUUAGUUUCUAAACCGGAAUAUCAAUCUAUUAUAGGCACUAAAUGGGUAUUUAGAAAUAAAAUGAAUGAAUCUGGUGUGGUUGUAAGGAAUAAAGCUAGAUUAGUGGCUCAAGGAUACAACCAAGAAGAAGGAAUCGAUUUUAAUGAAACAUUUGCACCUGUAGCUAGAUUAGAAUCCAUUAGGAUAUUGUUAGUAUUUUCAUGUCAUAAAGAUUUUAUUUUAUAUCAAAUGGAUGUCAAAAGUGCUUUCUUAAAUGGUUAUAUUAUGGAGGAAGUUUAUAAGUUGUCUAAAGCAUUGAAUGGAUUUAAAACAUGCACCUAGAGCAUGGUAUGACAAGCUUAAAAAUUUCUUGGUGGAUAACGAGUUUUCAAUGGGAAAAGUAGAUGCUACUCUCUUUGUGAAGUAUAAGAACCAAGAUAUACUUGUUGUUCAAAUUUAUGUUGAUGAUAUUAUCUUUGGUUCUACUAAUGAGUCUUUAUGCAAGGAGUUUUCAUCUUGUAUGAAUAAGGAAUUUGAAAUGAGCAUGAUGAGAUAAUUGAAGUAUUUCCUUGGACUUCAAAUCAAACAAAACAAUGAGGGAAUCUUCAUCAACCAAGCUAAAUAUGUCAAAGAUCUACUCAAGAGAUUUGACAUUGAUGACUCAGAGUCUAAGAGACCUCCAAUGAGCACAACAAUCAAACUUAACAAAGAUGAAAAAGGUAAUAAGAUUGAUAUCAAAAUGUAUUCAGAUAUGAUCGGCUCUUUACUUUACUUAGCUGCAAGUAGACCCGAUAUCAUGUUUAGUGUAUAUUUGUGUGCAAGAUUUCAAUCAUGUCCCAAGGAAUCUCAUUUGCUUGCUGUGAAAAGAAUUUUUCGUUAUUUGAAUAGAACUAUAGAUCUUGGCGUUUGGUAUCCUAGAGGAACCCAUAUAGAUUUAACUUGUUAUUCGGAUGCCGAUUUUGCCGAUUAUAAAAUCAAUAGGAAAAGCACUAGUGAAAUGUGUCAUUUCUUAGGUCAUUCUCUUGUUUCAUGGUUUAGUAAGAAAUAAAAUUUGGUUUCACUCUCAACCACCGAGACAGAAUAUAUUGCCGCAGGUAGUUGUUGUGCACAAACUCUUUAGAUGAAACAAGCACUUAGAGAUUAUGACAUUAAUCUUGAACAAAUUCCUAUCAUGUAUGAUAAUACUAGUGCUAUAAAUCUAUCAAAGAAUUCCAUUUAGUACUGUAGAACCAAGCAUAUAGAGAUUAGACAUCAUUUCUUGAGAGAUUAUGUUCAAAAGGGAGAUAUUGCAUUAGAAUUUAUCUCUACAGAAAAAAAAAAAUUGCCUAUAUUUUUACAAAACAUCUUUGCGAAGAAUAAUUUUCAAAAAUUCAACAUGAACUUGGGAUAAUGCCAUUUUUACAUUAACAUCUCUAAUCAUAUUAUUGAAUCUAUUAAAAUUGAUCGAUUGGUGAUUUUUUUAUGAUAAUGAAGUUUUUAAGCAUGAUAAAUGAGUGAUGUAUUUGAAUCAUUAAUCUAUGAAUGCUUACAUGUCUCAUGAUUGUGUGAUGUAUAAGCAUGAUAAAUGUGUUAUAUAUUUAAAUUUAUAAUCUUUGAAUAUUUAUAAUUAUGAUUCAUGCAUUAAAAUGACUUUUGAAAGUGUUCGCGAUCACGAAAUGGUCUUGGAAUAUAUCAAAAUUAGUCGGAAAGCAAACAUUUGUGCAAAACGACAGCUACCCGCCUGCCCCAAAUGGCUAGCUGCUUGGGCACUGCCCCAAACCCGAGAGCAAGCGGCUAGCCAUUUGCCUCCAAGCGACUAGCUACUUGGUCACGGUUUUUAUACAUUUCUUCCCCCUUUCUCUUGCUUUCUUCAACCUUUCUCUACUCUCUCUCAUGGCCGUUCAUCUCUUCUCCAUUUCCUCCUAAAUUUUCUUCAUUUCUCACUCAUUUUCAUGGAAAAAUCAAUCUUUCAAACCAUUACCCAUGCAUUUAACCUUCAUUAAACACUUUCCAAUCAUCAUUUUAUCACUUGUUUCUCCAAAUCUAAAACUUAAAACCUAAGUUUACCUAUUUCUCUUUCUUCUAUUUUAAUCUCUUUUUAGCUCAUUUUUUGUCCAAUUAAUACCAUACAUUGCCUUAAAUCAUCUCUAGGAUCAAUUUUAUUGAUUCAAGCACAUCCAUUUCACUUAAAUUCUUGAAAAUCUGAAUUUGGGUAUUUAAACUUGUUCUUGUUUUCAACAAUGGUUGGUAGUGAAAAAUCCAAGGGAAAACAUGUAGCCAAGAAGCACAAAGAAGAUCAUGGAGACCAUCUGGAGUUCAUAUUAACCCAUUUUCCGCAACCACCUUUUCAGAAACAUUUUCACGACAAAUUUAUGUCGAGGUUAGUGCUUGCCCCAUAUUUUGUCAAUCUUCGUCAUUUGGAGAAUUUAGCAAUUUUUCAUAAAUCUCUUAGUGAUUUUCUUAUUGAUAUGGGCUGGGAAAAUGUUUUAGUUCUUAAGGAAUGAUAUUAUGAAAAUUUAGUCAAAGUUUUUUAUUCGAAUAUGGUUAUUUCUUCGCAAACUACAGAUAAAAUUGUUACAAGUGUUGGGGGAAUACAUAUUGAGUUUGAUGUUGUGGAUUUAAAUCAUAUUCUUAGAACUCCAAAUGAAAGGUUGGACCAUUAUACUGGUAGAAGUAAAAUAGAUUAUCCGUGGUAUUCAGUUGAGGAUAUUGUUCGGAAAAUUUGUAGACGUUUCGAUUUGUCUUCUAAGUUUUGUAAAUCUACCUUGAAAUCUCAAGCCUUACCCCUUUAACAUAGGAUCCUUCAUUAUGUUCUUUAACAUGUCAUUAGUCCUAGGUCUAGACAUGGGGAUGAAGUUACCCGAUUAUAUGUGGCCUUAUUGGAUAGCAUUCUAUAGGGUGGGGUGCUAAAUGUCAGUUAUAUUAUUAUUCAUCAUAUGGUUAGCACUCUAUGUAUAGCUAAACAAUCCCUUCCUCAUGGAAGCAUUAUUACCUACAUUCUCAAACAUUUUCGAGUACCCAUAAUCGAACCAACCUUUUUGAAUCCUAAGGAAUUCAGAGAUGAAGCUAUAGCUAAUUUAGGGUUUAUAUGGGUGGAAGAUAAAUGGUGUAAACCAGAAAUGCAAAAACAAGGGUACUGCACUAGCUCCUACAGAUCAUUGUUUCUUUAACGAUGUUCUUCCACCAAACCAACUCCCUUGAUCUCAGAGCUCCACAGCGCUCACAUCCUUCGCCUUCCGAGGGUCCUUCCCAUUCUAUUUCAGCAGACCCUAAGGAUCCAAUGUAGCAGCUAUUGACUGAAGUGCAUUCUCUUUCCGAGCAGCAGAGCCAACUUUAGUCCCAGUUUGAGGCCUUUCAAAUUCAGUCCACUUCGGAGCAACAAUGCCUUUUUAAGCAGUAGCAGCGUUUAUUUGAUCAAUGGCAUCGACUCUUUGCUCAACAAUAGCAGCUUCUUGAUGGCCAGCAAUGACUUUUCGCUGCUCUUAGGUUUCCACCACCAUCCUCCUCAUCACAUCCACCCUCUCCAUAGUGUUCUAUAAUUUUUUAUCUUGAUUUCAGUUCUUCGUUUUAUUUUGCACUACAUUUUCAUAUGCAUUGUUGUUUUACUUAUGGAUUAAAGAUGAUUGUUGUUUGAUAUUUAAAUGUUUUAUAUUUGGAUGAUAUUUUAUGGAUUCUUGGAUAACUCUUUGGUUACUUGCAUGCUUGAUUUUUAUAUGUUUCUUGAUUAACUAUUGAGAUGUUAUUUUUGGUCCGAGCAUGGAGUUAUAGUAAUUGUUAUGAUGAAGAGGUAGAAGUCAUGUAUUUUGAUCUUGAAAUAUUGAUGCAUGAUUUUGAAAUAUUUAGGGGGAGCAUACAUUUGUUAAAGAUCAUGUAUUCAGGGAGAGUUCAUAGUUCAUUUAUAUGUUAAAUUAUGUAUGUCAUAUAUUAAGGGAGAGUAUAAAUGUCAAAAUACAUUAAAUGUUUGUCAUCAUAAAAAAGGAGGAGAUUGUUAGCCUAAAGGGCUAGACAUAUUUUAAUUUUGAUGAUAAAAAAACCUAUGUCUUAAGUAAUAUGAUAAAUAUUGCAUUUCACAUUUUCACUAGUUCUUGAAGGACAAUAUUUAUGCAAAUGAAUCACGUGAAAUCAGGCUCAAGGCACUCAACAGAUAACGGCUUGAUCAAGAACAAAGUUUAGGUCAUUGGAGUCAUUAUUGCAACAAAUUCUUAUAAAGCCGGUAUGAUUUAAUAUAUGUAUGGUUUAGCAUUUGAGAAGCUCAAUAUUUUAUUUAAUAAAUCAUUACAUCAUUGACAUUAAGUGUGAAAUGAUAAAAAAAAUGUGUAAAUCACACGUAAAACUAGUAAAUUGAUGGAAAAUAGAGUAAAUUAAUGUGGAAGUUGUAAAUUACACGAAGAAAUUGUAAACAAAACAAAAACUUAGAAAAAUGACAUAAAACUUGUAAAUUGACAUUAAGUGUGAAAUGAAACAAAAAAUUUGUAAACCACACAUAAAACUAGUAAAUUGAUGAAAAAAUGGGUAAAUUAAUGUUGGAGUUGUAAAUUGCAAGAACUAGUAAACAAAACAAAAACUUAGAAAAAUGACAUAGAAAUUGUAAAUUGACAUUAAGUGUGAAAUGAAACAAAAAAAAUGUGUAAAUACACAUAAAACUAGUAAAUUGAUGGAAAGAGGUAAAUUAAUGAUAAAGUUAUAAAUUAGAAGAAAAAAGUGUAAACAAAACAAAAACUUAGAAAAAUGACAUAAAACUUGUAAAUUGACAUUAAGUGUGAAAUGAAACAAAAAAGUUGUAAACCACACAUAAAACUAGUAAAUUGAUGGAAAAAUUGGUAAAUUAAUGUUGGAGUUGUAAAUUAUAGGAAGAACUUGUAAACAAAACAAAAACUUAGAAAAAUGACAUAAAACUUCUAAAUUGACAUUAUGUGUGAAAUAAAACAAAAAAUUUGUAAACAACAUAUAAAACUAGUAAAUUGAUGGAAAAAAGGAUAAAUUAAUGUUUGAGUUGUAAAUUGUAAGAACUUGGGAACAAAACAAAAACUUGUAACUAUUGCAUAAAACUUGUAAAUCAACAUUAACUUGUAAAUGUUGUGUAAAACUUGUAAAUCACACAUAAAAUGUAACUUGUAAAUGUUCCAUUUUAAAGUGGGAUCAUUCUAUAAUGCCGUAAUCUGCACUCAUUUAAUUAAAAAAGAAUUCAAAGCAAAACUAAAAGACACAAAUUACAUACAUGUCUAGGAGCCAUAUCAAAGGUGUUAUAUAACUUGUCCAAUUAAUAAAUUCUCUUAGGGGUCAUAACAUGCUCACUCAUUUCCAAAGCUAUUAAUGAUAAGAACUUUCAUCAUUAAUUGAUAUGGCCAGUGUAGAAAAAAAAUGAAAAACCCCUCCAAGAUCAAAGCACAAGGAUAAGUUUAGAAUUACACUUUUUAAAUUUUGGUUAAUAUAUAAACGUCUAUAUGAAAAUAGAAAAUCGUUUUGGAAUAACUUUUUUUUUCUUUUUUUAAUGACUGUAGAAAUAAAAUUUUAAAAUCGCCAAACCGAAAAGAAAAACAGGGGAAUGAAAAGAGAGCCCACGUUUCUCCUCUGUUUUGUUUUUAUUGUUAUCAAACAUGGGAAUGAAGAGAUCAGCUCUUGUCGCAAGCGCAAAUUUUUUUUUCUACCUUUUAAAUGCAGUUGAUUGUAAGUAUAUCCUCGAUCCCAAGUACUUAGAAGUAAAUUACGCAGGGGUCGUGGAUUGUGCGCGAAAGUGCUGGAAGCACCCCUUGUUUAUUAGGAAAAGCAGUUGAUUGUAACUAUAUAUAUCCGCGGUCCCAAGUACUUAGAAGUAAAUGCUCUUGGAAUUUCUAUUGCAGUUCAUGAGAUGUUUCCCUUUCAAAUAGCUCGUCUGAUACCAUUAACAUGUUCAUCUUUCUGUAGAUUGAUGUUAACAUAGGUUAUCCUACUGUUGCUAGUGGAGUUUUGGGCCUUGCCGUAAUUGGUGUAAUUACGACAUUGAUAGUUGACAUGGCUUUCCUUGUACAGGUAUGCAUGAUUGUUUUUUUGGCACUUGUAAAUGGACACCACGGAAAAGACAUGAUUUUGAGAUAUUGCACAAUAAUUUGCAUUUUUGCAUGCUGGAAUGUUCUCAGAAUGGUAUAAUGCUUCGCGUGUCUCUUCUUGCUCUUUUGUAUGCAGGCAAAUACUACAGAUGAAUUACCGGAGCGACUGAUUGGUGUUAUACGUGUUUCUCAUAUAGAACUCAAGUCUGCUAUUGUCCCAAAGUUGGAACCAGAAACAUCAUGACUCUGGCUCCUUUUCACCUCAAUUUUUUUUUUUUAAAUUUAAAAAAGCAUUUGUUUUAGGUAUACAUACAUGUAUUUUGAUCCCAUUUUCAUUGUAAUUUCUCAUUUACUUUGAAUGAAAGUCAUUGUAAUUUCCCAUUUUCUGAUUCUUUAGUUACUAUUUUUGGAAUGAGUGUGAUAGCAUUAAAGUUGGCUACUUGGUUUCUUAAUGUUGUACUCACAAACAAGUAAACUGCUCGAUUCCCAACUGCGACUUAACUGGUUUCUAACUUUUUUAUAUACACUAAUUUUUCUUAUUUAAUAAGUACUACUAUUAAAACUCAACAACGAACAAAGAUACUAAUAAAAAAAUGAUUUUCUUAUGAUGUUGUAGAAAUAAUUAUGGGUUUACUUAUUUCCACAAGAUCUAUAACAAGGUCUUGACUUCACGAAAUUCUUUUAAUUUAAAGCGCGCUGGUCUGAGAAGGUCAGUUUGAUGGAUUUAUUCCUUUUAAUAUUGGUCGAGAUAAUUUUAGUAUACUCAUAAAAAAUCUUACUCUGAUAAUGCAUGCCACAAAUGUUAUCAACAUUGUCUUGUGUUGUUUCCUUCAGCUAAAGAUCCUCUAUUAAAACAGGGUAGAAAUCAAAUGCUUAAAAUACCAAUUGAACAUAAAAUACAGAAGUUUAAACAAAAUCUAAUUGAAUAUUGCAUGAAACAUGAAUCAUCAAUUCAAGUUGUUCCUUAAACGGAGAAUCCAUCAAACAAAUCCAAAGUGUCUUGCAAGUCUGUAGCAUGACCAAAAAAUUGUAAAUAAGUUUAUAACCAAAUUAUUCCGGUACAAGAGAACGAGCAAGAUGAAUCAUGUACAAGAGAUUGGCCUGGUUCGAGAUAGCUUCUUCACUGUACCUGAAGGUUUGGCUCAAUCUCUUCUUUAGAAUUCUGUGCAUUUUGUAAUUACUCGUGUAAGCAGGCAUACAUCACCACCAUAACAAUAAUAAAGCAAGAGUAAUGAUACGGCCACAACCUCUUGUGCACAAACAAUAUUGUAUAAAUUAAUGUGACACAAUAUGAUUGCUUAAACAAAAAUAUCACAUGAUCGUCAUAAUUUAUUUAUUAGUAUUAUAUAUUUUCAGUAAACCAAUCAUAUUAUGCCACAUUAGUUGCUAUAAAAAUAAUUUGCUAGAUAGAACCAACACUUAAUUGAUACUCACCAUUUCAUUGAACAAGUUUUUUAUGGUGUCAUUGAGGUUGCCUUCCCAACAUCCUUCAUCAUCAUAAUCUACUUCGUCAUCAUCUUCUUCUUCGGUGAGUUUCACUUUGUUUAGCUUUGGUGUAUCUAUGACUCCUUGAGAGAAAAUCAUCAUCUUUGGGCAUCGCCUUGCAAUUACUUGUUUCAAGGACGGGAACUUGAGAGUGUAAUUACCCGAACAAAAGCUUGUUAGCCUUGGCAAACAAUCAAGUGUCAAGUACUUCAAUUUCUUGAAAACAAUGCAAUCUUUCGUUUCUUCUCCAACCGGCGAUUGUAUGAUUUCUUCUAUCAUUUUGCAAUCAGCUAUCCUCAUUAUUUUAAGAUUCACUCGACUUUUAGAUGUUGUGAUUGUCAACACAUUUAUCAACCCGUGACACUUCGAUACUUACAGAGACAUCAAAUUUUCUAAAUGCCACAAAGAUGGUACUAUUUUUUGCAACUUAUUACAUUCUGAUAUUUCUAGAGUUUCCAAAUUUGCGAAAACCUUGUUGGAUUCGGCAUUUUCCUUCCAGAGAUGCUGCACUUUGUGUAAUCUAGACAGCUUUAAAAAUCUCAAAUUAGGGAAUUCAACCUGAAAAUAAACAAAAUUAAGUUGUAAAUGAAAAUAUAUAUCCAAUCUCCACAGUCUUCCCCUGCAUAUUUUAUGGACAAGAUUAAUCACGGCAUUUUAUAUUUUAUUCCCAAAUUAGUAUGCUUUGCAGUAGGAUCCCAAAUAUAAGCAUCAGAUGAAUUACCCUUUGAAACACAUGAAUGAAAUCUGAUGCUAAUUCCAAUAUGAAUUAACUAGAAAAACAGAGAUGUAACACGCAUAAUUUAUAUAGUUCAUCACCUCAUGUUACCAGGCAUCUAAUUAAUUUGAGACAUUUUUAUAAUUCAUACUAUAAAGUUAGUUAAUAACUGCGGUUUUAUUGUUAAAUCAUAUAUAAAUUAAGACGACAUGCAAAAAGAUGAGUCAUUAAAUUUGAUUUGAUUCUAAUGAAAUUACAUCUAUGCAAAAGAAAGUGAAGCUAAGAAAAUAAUAAUGAUAAUCACCUUUUCAUCGAAGAGAGGUUGUACUUGAUCGACUAGCAAGAAGUUCUCUUCUAAUGUUAAUUUUUGAGGUUCCUUAUUAUCUACUAUCAUGUGCAGUUCAGAUGGAGAAUUAGAUACGAAUGUUUCCAUAUUAGGGCAAUUCUCAACGGUCAGAUACGACAACCAAGGCAGUUCAAGUAUAUUCCCAGUGAAGUUGCAGAAUCUUUUGAGGUUUGGAAGAUCCAUGAUUGUUAGACCCAAAAGUAAAGGAAAUAGUGGACCAAAAUGUUCUUCCUCGGCAUUUAGCUCUUCCAAAUGAAGAACCUCUUCUAAUGAAUCACAAUUCAUCACUUCUAGAGAGUUCAAAUCAUUCAAGCACCGUAGCAGAUUAGCUGGAAUAGCACUCAACAUAUUUGUGCAGUCAUCCACCACCAACUUAUCUAAAUUGUUGAAGAAGCCGACAGGUAGUGCUGGGCCAUGCCACAACUCUCUCAAAUGUGGAAAGUCUGAGAGUUUCAAAUUUUGCAAGUCACGGAAUCCAACCUACACAACCAAAACACUUGAACUAGAUAUAAACAUUUUAAAAAAAAAAAAUUUGAAAGGCACUAGAUAUAUACAUUAAACUUACAUUUUUUUGUUUUAACUUCUAAAAAAUCUAUAUACAAGGCAGAUGUAUAUAUAAAUGUGCAAGUGCAAGGGAGGUGCCUGAGCAAUUUGGAUGAAUCGAUUAACACAUACUAUUUCUUUGUAACACUUUUGUAUUGUGGAAUUAAGGUUGCCUUCCCGAUAGUUCAAUUCACCCUCUUCCUUUUUAGUCACUUACACUUUGUAAAGCCUUGGUGUGGAUGAGAUUCCCUGAGAAAAAAUCUUCAUGUUCGAACAACCUGUCAUAGAAACUCAUUCCAAUGAUGGGAAUUCAAGGGUGUAAUUCUCCAAACAAAAGCUGGUAAGCCUUGGUAAAUCAUCAAGUUUCAACAGUUUUAAUUCACUGAAAGCAAUACGAUUCUCCUUCACUUCUUCUCCAACAUGUCCUACGAUUUCUUCUAUUUUUUCACAGUAUGAUACAUUAAGAUUCACUAGACUACCACGAAUUCCAACCUUAAAAUAAAGAGUAGCAUUCAACUAGAUUCAAAACAUGUAAAAAUCAUAUAAUUGUUUUAUGAAAAUAACAAACCAUGAAUGUCUACUAGAUACUUUUUUCUUAAAGAAAAAAGGAAAAAAUAAAAAAUAGAAGUCCAGAAAAACAAAGAUAAUGAAAAUGCAUUUACACUAUUUAGUAUUAGGAGUGUAGAAACAAUUUCAGGUAAUUUUUAAAUAUUCUAAAUUCAUUUUUCAUCUUGAUGCUAGUUUUUUAAAAUUUUUAAUUUUCAAAUAUACCUAUUUUUAAAAUAACUAAACUAAAACGUUGUAUUUCCCCUUUUUCUCGAUAUUCAUGCUUUUAAAAAUGGAAACAUUUCUUGGAAAACACUUCCCAACGCAAUCAACAUGAGACUGUUACAGAGUGAAUAUUUGUAGAGUAUUCCCAGAUUUGAGGAAAUCUUUUAAUCAAUGGUCGAUUCAAAAUGAUCGUCGUGAAUUUGUGCUUAAUCAAUGGCAUAAUCAAUUCAUAACUAAACUAGAGAUAUUAACUACAUCUGAAUCUUUUCUUUUUUUCCAAUCGAAAUUUGAAGACCCAAGGAAAAGCGAAAUAUAUAUGAAUUUGUGAACUUAUAAGCUGAGUAACUAAGUAUCUUCUCAUUUAUGAAAAUCUUAUUUAUUAGGAUUUAAGGAAAAAAAAACAAUUAAAUUGAAUCAUAUUAUGCUGUUGAAUCGUGUUUAAAACAAUUAUAUUGUUUUAAUGCAGGUGAGCCUAAAAAUUGGAUUGAAAAUGUAGAAUUUAGAAUGGUGGUUUGAAGUACAAUACUUUUUUUCCCCCUUGAAGUUUGAAGUACAAUACUUGCAAUAAAUAAUUUGUGAAUGACUAUUAUUUGUAAACACAAAAAUAAUUAAAAAAACUUGUUGAAUGCUAUUUGAAAUAAAAAUUCAAAAUGAAUAUAGCAACCUUACCAAUGGAGGAAAAAUAUUCCGUAGAUUAUGACACCCAGAUAUCUCCAAAUUCUUCAAUUUGCUAAAAGACUUUGAAGCAAGCUGGUGGUGCCAUAUUUUUCUCAACUUAUCCAUCGAGCUAAUAUGUAAUACCUCCAAACUUGGAAGUUGCACCUGAAGCUAAAAAUUCAAUGCAAUUAGAGAUGGAUAUUAAUUAAAUUUGAAGACUCACCGAAAAGAGAUAUUAACAAUUGAGAAUAAAAUUAAUUUUAAAAAAAAAAACCUUUUCAUCAAAGAGAUGUUGAGGUUGCAUUUCAGUGUGAAUGACGUCUUCUGGUGAGGUGAAGCUACAUAGUUUUGGAAGACAAUGAAGCCGCAGGGAGUGUAGUUUAGGAAAAACCUUUAAUUCAUCUCUUCCUCCUAACCCCGUGCUGUUGACUACGCCUUCCAUUGACCCGCAAGCACCAAUCUCAAGAUGUUGGAGUCAUGGGCGGAUCCAAUUAAGGCCCAGGAGGGGCUUCAGCCCCCCCUGAACCAUUAAGUUUUCUUUUAAAUGUACCCCAAACACUUUCUGAAAAAGUUAAAUAAAAGAAUUUGGACACAUUUUUCAUAUAUUAAAAGACUUGUCGUUCAAUGGUAAGAGUGCUAUUUAAUGAUUUUAAAACCUUGGUUCAAAUCUCAUUAGCUACAUUAUUUUAUUUUUUUAAAUAUUUUGUGGAAGCUACUUCGAAAAAUAAUAUUUCUAUGCAUUUAAAAUACUACUUCAAAAAAUAAUAUUUUCACGCAUUUAAAAAUAAUAAUUUAUUACUAUUAUUAUUUAGAAUUUAAAAAAAUAAUAAAAUUUGAGUUUAUAAGACUUAAAAUGUAUUCAAGUGAACAUUAAAAAAAUCUAAGUUAAAUAAAAUUUUUUGAACUAAGCCCCCCCUCAUUUUAAUUUCUGGGUCCGCCACUAGUUGGAGUUGCUCAAGACUAUUAACCAUAGAAUAUGAAAACAGAUACUUCAGACGAUCACAACUCCACACGUUCACUUUUGUUAAAUUUUGACAACAAUACAUUCCCUGAAAUUGAUCGGGCCAUAAUUUUUCGAUGUUUCUUAAACCGUCGAGUUUCAAUUCCUCCAAGCGUGGAAAAGUAACCUGCAAAGCAAAACCGUACGUUUUUGUUCCUUCAACUACAACUUUUAAUAUAAUAUUCUUUUGAUGAUUGAAGAUCAAUCGUGAUAAUAUAUUAAUUAAUUAAUUAUUAAACAGAAAAUUAUCACCUUGUGAACAGGAUCAUCCUCUGCAAUGAUUCUGUGAAUCCCUGAGUAGUUGUUGGUUUCUCCAUGUUAGGCCCUAUAAAUGAGCAAAAACAAUAUAUAAUUAAUCUCUGUUGUUUUUUUUACAGAAAAAAAAAAAAGAAUGAGCCAAUGUCAAUAAUCCUACCAAUAAUUAAUUUCAACACUUACCAAUAAUCAUUUUCAAUUCCCGGCAAUUUUUCACUUCUACCUUUUGAAGCUGCAAUAGAUUUUUGGCCAUGGAGAAUGAGAAGAGAUACUUCAAUUUUUGACAGAACAAUACAUUUAUAAUCCUCAAGUUGCUGAAAGAUUGAUCUUCUCUGAGUUGGCUGUAGCAUAUGGCCUCCAAAUUGAUCAAUUCAUAGAGAGUCAGUGACUCCAGCAAGGGGAAGACUUUGCAACGAACCCCUCCAACUGAAACGACAAUAUGUAAAAUCUCAGAACAAGAUCUUACAUAAAGAUGCUUCAAUCGUGGAAAACCUUCCCUAUGGUCUAAUUCAUGAACAUCAUUCAGAACACCCUCCAGUUUGUCUAGAUAGAGAUCUUCAGUUCUCUUCAGCAACAAUUUCGUCCCAUAUUUCUCCAAAAGAAUGCUAACUCUUCCUAGCCCCGCGAGCAUCAUCGAUCUUGAUGUUCCAAAUUUGACAGGCCAUAGGCCCAGUCCUUGUCCUAUACGUAUCCUAUAUCUUUGCAAUUCCACAGAGACCAAAUUUCGCGGCAGAAUUUCGGCAUCCGGAACUUUUAUCUCUAAAGUAGUUAGCUUGGUCAACCCCUUUAACUCGACAAGACUGGCAUUACUUCCUCCUUCAACCUUCUCCCACCUUUUGAAACCAUCACCCAUAUACAAUUCUUCUAAUCGAGAUAAUUUUGAUAUGACAUUCGGUGCUAUCACCUUAAGCCUCCGACAAUUGCUCAAAUCUAGCAACCUUAACCGCGUCAAUUGUCCAAUUUCAAGUGGUAACUGGUCGAUAUUGGAACGUGCAAGGCUGAGAAUCUCUAAUUUCUUUAGCUCUCCAACUAUUGCUAUAUCUUUUAGUCUGCAACCAUCUAAACACAAUGUUUGAAGGUUAAUGAGGUGACCAAGUGAUGACGGUAAUGAAGAGAAGUGAAUUCCAGUAAAAUUCAAAACUUUGAGUCCUUCCGUCCCUUUAAAUAAGUGGUCUGAAACUUGCAUAGAGACAUCACCCUCCGUAUGCAACAAAAAUAACUCAAGACGGGGACAUUGCAACCUUUCAAGAAGCACUUGAAUACCUCUAUAAGGUAAAGAAAUAGCAAUUGGAUCUUCCUGUAUUGUCUCUUCCAUCUUUUUCUCCAAGCCGGCAACAUUUGGAAUAUUAAACAUGAGCAGCUCUUCUGCAAUUGAUACAGCAACUACACGGAUGACGUCAUGCAUUUUAACUUCAUCUUCAGCAUCACCGUCCAACAAUAAGCAUGAAAAUUUGAGUUUGUCGAUCAACGUAUGCACUCUGCUCCUUGCUUCUUCCAGUGUGUAAACGUUUUUAAAAUAGCCCAUACCCAUACCAUAUGUCAGUAAGUAAGGAACUGGUAUAGCAUGAUCUUCACUACGUAGACCACAAAGAAGGAACAGAGAUUUUGCCUCCUCACUUCCCAAGGAGUCAUAACUCAAUUUUAUGGAGGUGUACACAUUUGCUUGCAUGCCAUGAAUUUCUCCUAGAUUGGAACUUCUUAGCUGAUUCAAUGCAUCUUUCCAAAAGUCAAGCUCCUUAGUUUUCAGAGCAUUUGCAACUGUACUCAGUGCAACAGGCAAACCUCCGCAUCUUUCAACGAUCUCAUCUGCAAUCAGUUGAAAAGCAGAUAUUUUUGUUGGAUCACCCACUAUCUUCUCAAACAACUGCAAAGCUUCUUUUCUUGAUAAAGAAUCGAUCGAGAAAUUUUUCUGAGAAUUCAUAUCAAUGCACAAUAAAUCUCGACUUCUAGACGUUAGUGUUGAUGCGAGAUUUUGGUUCUCUGCUCGACCAUGACCAAGACCUGUCCUCAACUAACUCGACCACGAUCAGGAUCUCUCCUUGUAAGACUUCUUCUCUACAGACUCCUGCGUACACAGAAACAAAUCAGAGUAUGUCGGGUGUUUUCCGGCGUAAACCCUCCGACGUUCAAGUCAGAAAUGAAGGUUUCGAGUCCCUGGGAAAGUUAGCCACUAAUCUUAUGGCUUAUUUUCAGUAUCAAUUAUUCAGAGCUCUCUUUAUCUCAGUUUCAAUGUCAAAAAAUCUAACCAUUUUACCUUCGUUGGCUACCUUUUUAUAGGCUCCCUCUGAAUCUCGGCCACGACCAUUACCUCCCCCAACUCUCGGACGUGGGCGCUCCGUUAUCGUAGUCGUGGCUGGAUGGACUUCGUGCCAUGAUUCUCGGGUAGAAGGGCACGUCCUGCCAAUCGUCAUUGAUCGGGUCUCCUCACCUCGACCUCUAGCAGGAAUCGUUUUAUGCUCCUGGCAGGAGGCCGACUCCCGCUAUGGCCCCUUGGAGGGUGCAUUCGUGUACGAGCAGAACAAUCAUGCUCGUAUUCCCCUGCUACCAUACCUCUACGGAAUAUACCUGUUCGCGGCAUCCUGCUACCAGAUACCUGCUCAUCAUGGCUGGUCUUGUCGAGGUAUUACCCCCAAACAUCGGUCCCCUAGUUUCUGGUGUUGGGUAAUGCAGUGGACCAACAGUAGAAACUCAACAGUUCUGGCUUGCGCGGGAUAGGAAGAGGCUUUGAGGAGUUGUGUCGCAUUAAAUUACGGGCGAGGUGAUGUGGCAAAGAUCUAUCCUUCCAUUUGAAUUUCAAACUGGUGGCUAUGAGACCUUUGGAACUCGUGCCCUUAAAUGCUGACAGCCCGAGGGUUUAUUCUUCAUUAAUGAACCCAAAAUCCCGAAGAAGGAAUCCAUCUCUCAGCCCCCUUCUACCUCUCCGGUGACUGAAUAAUUGUUAGAGUGCAAUUUAUGCACUAGUUUUGCAUUGUUUACUUCUCUUAAUAUCGAUGUUUUGCACUUAAUAAUAAUGAUUUACUUGUGUUUUACUUUUGUAGGUGCAAUUCUAUUGAUUUGUGAUAAAAUUGAGGUAUACGAUGAUGUUUAAAGAUGAUUGUUCUCUUGGAGAAAUUUAGAGCGUCAGAAGAACUUUAUUGAUAAGGCGUGGGCGCGUGCUGUCAACUACGAACCUGCAGUUUUUAGUUUAACGUGUUUUGUAUUUUUAGUUAUUUUUGUAAUUACGAAUUUAAUAUUUUAGAUAUUAGUAUUUUAUUUUAAAUAGAAUUCUAGAGGAGAAGAGAGAGAGAGUAUUUAAGGGAGGAAUCUAUUGUGAAAAAUGGGGAUUUGGAUGGGAGAAAAAGAAAGAAACCCUAGAUCUAAUUUUUCUCUUCUCUCUAUGAAGAACUAAACCUAUUUUUCUGGUUGAAAGAUAAUGAAGCUUUGAUUCAUCACUACUGUGAAAUCUUUCUUAUGCUUUAAUUGUUUUAUUACUUUUUGGGUAUUUGUUUAUUCUCUGAAUUAGUUUCAUGAUUAUGUUUGUUAAUUAGAUAAUUGGCCACUAUUUAAUUAUCAACUUAAUCUAUUGUCAAUUAAAAGAUUCAUCGUAUGAAGAAUUUAAUGUUUGUGACAAAUAACAUAGCAGAGAGUUGUGUUGUGAGAAUAAAUAAUCUAAUUUAAAUGAAUCAUCAUAUGUGUUGAUUAGGAUUUGGGUCUCUCUAGUUUUUCAGGCUGUCAAUUGAUUAAAUCCUAUGAUCGUAUCUAGGGUUGUCCAUUGAUUAGGGAAAUAUCCAACGGUCGUACCUUGGUUAUCGACUAAUUAAGGAGAGAUUGGCUAUUAGAGGGUCUCAAUAGCUAUAACCGGUCUAUUCAUAAGUAAUAAUAAUCUAUAUUUGAAUUAAUAAUCAGUAGUCGAAUCAAGCUGAGUUAAUUCCUUCAACCAGAGCUUUCUCCAAUUUGAAUUACAACUUUAAUUUGCAUUCUUGUUAUUUUAAUUUGAUUUUUAUUAUUGUCAACAAUUCCCCCAUUUUACGUUUUACGUUUCAAAAGGAUUUAAAUAAUUACCGAUCUCUGUGGACACGACCCUGCUCAAUCACUAUACACAAUUUAUUUAGAGUAGGAAUUUAUUUUUGUUGGCUUCGACACCCACCAAAUUUUGGCGCCGUUGCCGAGGAUUGGUGUCAUUUAUUUAAUCCUUUUUACGUUUUACUUGGUGUAUGGUUCGUUCUUCUCGUACAGGUACACUUUCGUUUGAUCCUGAAAUUGAGAAGACAGCUCGCCAGCUGAGACAGCAGACGAAGCGAGCUAAGCAACGAUCAUCGUCGCCUUUGCUUUCUGAAAUAGAUACAGUACCUGAUUUAGUUGAAUCAUCUAGCGAUUCAGAAGAACAAGUGAUGGAUAGACCUGCACCUGUAGAAAGAACUCUUAGAGAGUUAGCUGAACCAUACUUGAAUCAACAACCACUCUGCAUUCAAUAUGUAGAUUUGGAGGUAAAUUUUGAAUUAAAGUCUGGUCUUAUUCAUUUAUUACCCAAGUUUCAUGGUUUUGCAGGUGAAGAUCCUCAUAAACAUCUUAUGGAGUUUCAUGUUGUAUGCUCAAGUAUGAGGCCACAAGGCAUGACUAAAGAGCAGAUUAAGCUGCUUUUCCGUUCUCUGUAGAUGGGCUAGCUAAAGAUUGGUUAUACUACUUGCCUCCUGGAUCGAUUACAACGUGGAAUGGUUUGAAGAAGCAGUUCCUUGAGAAAUACUUUCCUGCUUCAAGAGCUGCCAACAUCAGAAAAGACAUUUGUGGGAUCAGACAACUACCUGGGGAGACUUUGUAUGAGUAUUGGGAGCGAUUCAAACAAUUGUGUGCCAGCUGUCCUCAACAUCAGAUUUCUGAUCAACUUCUUAUUCAAUAUUUUUACGAAGGACUGUCAUUGAUGGAUAGGAGUAUGAUAGAUGCUGCUAGUGGAGGUGUGUUGGUGAACAAAACCCUUACUCAAGCAAGGGAGUUGAUCUCAAAUAUGGCUGCCAAUGCACAACAAUUUGGCAGCAGACAAGAUGCCACUUCAAGAACGGUGAAUGAGGUAAAUAUUUCUUCUGUUGAGCAACGUUUAGAUAAACUUACUUCUCUUGUGGAAAAGUUUGUUGUAGGUAAUGUGCAACAGGUGAAGACUUGUGGCAUUUGUUACAAUAUGGGUCAUUCAACUGAUAUGUGUCCUACACUUCAAGAAGAACCCGUUGAACAAGCCAAUGCAGUUGGAGGAUUUCCAGGCAUGCCUCAGAGGAGGUAUGAUCCUUAUGCACAAACAUACAAUCCGGGAUGGAAGGAUCAUCCCAACUUCAGCUAUGGAGUUAGGCAAUCAGGAUUCCCACAACAGUAUCCACCAAGACAACCAGCACCUCCACAGUCAAACUCCAAGUCAGGUAUAUCUCUUGAAGAAAUUGUUAAAUCACUUGCGACUAACACUCAACAAUUUCAACAGGCAACUACAACAAGCAUUCAGAACUUGGAGAACCAAAUUAGUCAAUUGGCGACUACAGUGAGCCGUCUGGAGUCUCAAGUAUUAGAGAGAUUGCCUUCACAAUCUGAGGUGAAUCCAAAGCAAAACGUUAGUGCUGUCAUCCUUAGAAGUGGGAAGGAGUUGCAAGAGCCUAGUAAGAAAGUGACAAAGCAUGUAGAAGAUGAGCUUGAGAAGAAUGAAUUGAUGCUUAAAUCUCAAGAUGCGGAACCCACCAGAGCGAAACCCCUACCUAUUGUGAUACCUCCUCCUUUUCCAAGCCGGUUUGCAAAAUCUAAGAAGGAGGAACAAAAGAAAGACAUCCUUGAGACAUUUCGCAAGGUUGAGGUAAAUAUUCCUUUAUUAGAUGCUAUAAAACAAAUACCUCGAUAUGCUAAAGUCCUUAAGGAAUUGUGCACCUCCAAGAGAAAAUUAAGAGGAGAUGAAAAAGUUCACAUGGGGGAGAAUGUUUCAGCAGUUCUCCAAAAGAAACUACUUCCUAAGUGCAAGGAUCCAGGUAUGUUUACUAUCCCUUGUAAAAUUGGUAGUGUUAGAAUUGAAAAGGCUUUGUUAGAUCUAGGAGCUUCUAUUAAUGUCAUGCCUCGUUCCAUUUAUUCAUCUUUGAAUGUUGGUCCAUUAAAAGAAACUGGCGUGAUAAUUCAACUAGCUGAUAGGUCUAAUGCAUAUCCUGAUGGAGUAUUAGAAGAUGUUUUAGUACAAGUUAAUGAGUUGGUUUUUCAUGCUGAUUUUUAUGUACUUGAUAUGGAGAGGAUAACUCCUUUAAUUCUGUCCCAAUUUUGCUAGGAAGACCUUUUCUUAAUACUGCUAGGAUUAAAAUGGAUGUACAUAAAGGGACUCUCAGUAUGGAGUUUGAUGGAGAGGUUAUAGAAUUCAAUAUGAAUGAUGCCAUGAAAUAUCCUAGUGAGGAACAUUCGGUAUUUUCUGUGGAUGUUAUUAACCCUAUAGUGCAAGAAGUUUUUUACAAGGAAAAGACGAAGACAUUUUAUGAUAGAAUGAUUUUGAGAAAGGAGUUCUCUGUUGGUCAAAAAGUUCUUCUUUUUCAUUCUAAGCUUAAACUUUUUCCGGAUAAAUUAUGUUCUUGCUGGGUUGGACCUUUUAUUGUUACUAAUAUUUUUCCUCAUGGUGCAGUAGAGAUUCGGAGUCCGACCUCUGACAAAGUUUUUAAGGUUAAUGGUCAUCGCUUAAAACCUUUUUAUGAAGGUUUUUUGGUGAAUAUUGUGGAGGAUGUGGCUCUCGAGAGUCCCAAUUAUGGAGAUUGAUGCAUAAAUGUGUCUAUCCAAAGACAUAAAACAAAGGCGCUUUUUAGGAGGCAACCCAAAGGAUUUAUUUAUUUUGCUUUUUGUUAUAUCUUUUGUUUUUAAUUUUGAUUUAAAUAUUUUUUUUAAAUAAUGUGUUUGCUUAUUUUGGCCAGAAGAAAAUUAUCGAUAAGGCGUGCCCACAUCUUAACUAAUAAGUACUUCUGUGAUUUUUAAAGUAAAAUAGUUUUAAGGCGUGCCCACGUGCUUAUUAGAAAAGUACUUCUGAAAUUUUUAGUGUCUCAAAGUGAUUCAUCACUAAAAAAAAAAAAACUUUUUAUUUAUUUAUUUAUUUAUUUUUUUCCUUCUUUUCUUUCUUUUAUAUAUAUAUAUAUAUAUAUAUAUAUAUAUAUAUAUAUAUAUUAUUUAUUUAUUUAUUAAAAAAAAAUCACUGUUAACAAAUCCCUAAUUCAAAAAAAAAAAAUUCACUGUUGAUUAUCUUUUUCUCCCGCAGCAACCAGCAGCCGCAGCCUACGCAGCAGCAGCAACCGUACGAAAUCAGUAGCAACCAUACGCACAGCACAUCCCACGCAGCAGCAGCAGCCGCGCGCCCCGCCACCAGCGCGCAACACAGCAGUGCGUAGAUCCAGCCCCGCCACGCAGCACAAACCAACAGCGCGAACUAGCUCUCGCGCGCAACACAGCCACGCAGCACCAGCAGUCGCGCGUAACGCAACGCAGCACCAGCAUCCCACGUCCAGCGAGUAGCAGCCACAGCCACGCAGACAGCAUCCCGCGCGGAACACAGCAGUGCGCAAGCAGCCCCAAGCCGCGCAGCAAGCUCCAACCGAGCAACAACGCAACGCAACCAGCCUACGCACUGUAUUCCAGCCAGGUAAAUCGAAAUCCAUGAGUGCAAUUAUUGUAACAAUGCCGAAGAGGAAAGAAUAUACUUCCAAGUCAUCGAAAAAGAUACCCGUCGCAAAGAAAUCUAAGAUUUCCGCUCCCACUACGGUUCCAUGGAACAAAAUUUCAUAUUCACGCCAAGCCGUGAGACAAAGAUCGAAGCAUGAAAAAGGCAUGAGUAUUUUACCACUUGCGGAAUCCAAUUUCGGAGGGUGCCUCGGAUUUGCGACUCAACAAGAGAAAGAGAGGUGUGGUCGAAUUCAAGGAGGGGAGAUUUCAGUUUACUGAACCAGGACCCACUCAACCUCCAAAGAAGCUUUAUGCUAGGAGUGGUGCUACCUCUGAUGACGAGUUUGACGACGACACUGCUGCCCCACCAACUAUUCCUUCUACAUCCGCACCACCUUUGAGUAUUCAGUUAGAGAAAAUGGAGCACAAGCUGAACAAGAUGGAGCAGAAUUUGGCCGCAUACUUCGAGAGUGUGGGAUUUACCCCACCAUUUCCGCCAAGCCCAUAGACGUUAUGUGGAUCAAAGCUCACAAUUCAGGGAAGUUUCUUUUUGCCUUUAAUCUUUUAUCCUUACGCUUUAAUUUUGUUGCGAGCUUUGAUUAUCUUACAUUGGGGACAAUGUAAGUUCUUCGUGUGGAGGAGGGAUUUUUGCAUUAUUGAUGCCUGAAAUUAUUAUUUUCACUCUACUCAUCCUUAAAUGAUUUUGGAGUUAGUAUGCUUCAUAUAUUAUUAUUUUUCUUUUCUUUUCCUUCUCACUACUUUUUUCCCAUCUAUCUCAAAUUAUUCAUGUCUAUUUUUAUUUUACCAUACUCUUUCAUCACUCACAUUUUAUCUUUCACUUUUCAUAUUACUACAUACAUCUUUCUCACUUCUUAUCAUUUUUACCUUUUCUUUUAUAUAUCACUCAUACCUUCUUCUCAUUCUACACCACUAUUGAUGGUUGAUUCAUUUGAAGAGUGUACAUGAUUUAAUGGCAAAUUUACUAACUUUGUGAGGAUUUGAGCUUAUGAGCAACCACUUUGCUCUAAUAUUUUUGUUAUAUGAAUAUCAAUCUUAGUUUGUUUAUUCUAGAACUUGCUUUGUUAUGCAUGUUGAAGCCGCAUUACGGGAUUUUAUGCAUUAAAAUGAUAAGGGCAAACCCUUUUCCAUUUUUCUAUUCUCGUAUUUUUUUUUCUCUACCCGAAGACCUUUAUUUGCUAUCUUUGUUUGAGCCUUAACCAUUACCCAUCUAAUUUUCUCCGUCUACUUAACCAUUUUUCUUCUUUUUGAGCCUCAAUUUAAGGAGAUUUUUGGACUCAUUGUGUGGAUAUAUUUUGUUACUUUUUCUACCUUGUAAUAAAGUUUCUCAAUUAGAUCAACAAGCAUUAUGCUUGAAUUAAAUUGUGCAAGGUUCGUUUCUUUUGUUUGAUUAAAAAAAAAAACAAACAAACAAAAAAAAAGAAAAAAAACAACAAAAAAAAGAAAAAAGAAUAAUCGAAAAAAAAGAGGAAAAAAAUGUUUACAUUCUUGGUGACUUGAGUAGAAAUAAGCAUUUUGAUAUCAUAAGUUCAUUUAAUGAGUUCAUUCUUCUCAUUUUGAUCUCUUUUUCUUUCGUAAACCUUUCUUUUUCAUUCAACCUAUUUAACCCCAUUACAACCGUUUUAAGACCCUUAGAUUUUUACAUUUUAUUCAUGUUUUGUGGAUUGAGAUGUGAUAUAUGAGCAAGAUGGUAAUAGCAUUCUUUGAUUUGAUUUGAGUGAAUAAAUGACACCCUAAACACUUUGAGUGCAUGGAGUGAAGUUAUUGAGAGGGCUAUUAAAUCUUGUUGCACUUGAAUUUUGAAUGGAUCUUCUUGGUGGUUGAAUGUUCUUAUUCUAUCUUAUGAGAUUUUAUGCUUUAAAAUCCUUGCCUCUCGAAUGUCGAUCAACUUAAUUUCUUGAGGUAUACUUGCUUAAAUUUGUUUUUGGAUGAGUUGAGAUGAGAAUUGAGUGGAGAUUUGGGAUUAAUCUUGAGUUAUAUGCUUGAGGACAAGCAUCAUCUUGGUGUGGGGGAAUUUGUUAGAGUGCAAUUUAUGCACUAGUUUUGCAUUGUUUACUUCUCUUAAUAUCGAUGUUUUGCACUUAAUAAUAAUGAUUUACUUGUGUUUUACUUUUGUAGGUGCAAUUCUAUUGAUUUUUGAUAAAAUUGAGGUAUAAGAUGAUGUUUAAAUAUGAUUGUUCUCUUGGAGAAAUUUAGAGCGUCAUAAGAACUUUAUUGAUAAGGCGUGGGCGCGUGCUGUCAACUACGAACCUGCAGUUUUUAGUUUAACGUGUUUUGUAUUUUUAGUUAUUUUUGUAAUUACGAAUUUAAUAUUUUAGAUAUUAGUAUUUUAUUUUAAAUAGAAUUCUAGAGGAGAAGAGAGAGAGAGUAUUUAAGGGAGGAAUCUAUUGUGAAAAAGGGGGAUUUGGAUGGGAGAAAAAGAAAGAAACCCUAGAUCUAAUUUUUCUUUUCUCUCUAUGAAGAACUAAACCUAUUUUUCUGGUUGAAGGAUAAUGAAGCUUUGAUUCAUCACUACUGUGAGAUCUUUCUUAUGCUUUAAUUGUUUUUUUACUUUUUGGGUAUUUGUUUAUUCUCUGAAUUAGUUUCAUGAUUAUGUUUGUUAAUUAGGUAAUUGGCCACUAUUUAAUUAUCAACUUAAUCUAUUGUCAAUUAAAAGAUUCAUCGUAUGAAGAAUUUAAUGUUUGUGACAAAUAACAUAGCAGAGAGUUGUGUUGUGAGAAUAAACAAUCUAAUUUAAAUGAAUCAUCAUAUGUGUUGAUUAGGAUUUGGGUCUCUCUAGUUUUUCAGGCUGUCAAUUGAUUAAAUCAUAUGAUCGUAUCUAGGGUUGUCUAUUGAUUAGGGAAAUAUCCAACAGUCGUACCUUGGUUAUCGACUAGUUAAGGAGAGAUUGGCUAUUAGAGGGUCUCAAUAGCUAUAACCGGUCCAUUCAUAAGUAAUAAUAAUCUAUAUUUGAAUCAAUGAUCAGUAGUCGAAUCAAGCUGAGUUAAUUCCUUCAACCAGAGCUUUCUCCAAUUUGAAUUACAACUUUAAUUUGCAUUCUUGUUAUUUUAAUUUGAUUUUUAUUAUUGUCAACAAUUCCCCCAUUUUACGUUUUACGUUUCUAAAGGAUUUAAAUAAUUACCGAUCUCUGUGGACACGACCCUGCUCAAUCACUAUACACAAUUUAUUUAGAGUAGGAAUUUAUUUUUGUUGGCUUCGACACCCACUAAUAAUUUCUUUCCCUCGGCGUAAAAGCUAUCGUCCCUGUCUCUAUUCCGCUGGGCCACAACUGCAGGUAUUAUCUCUAUUUCCUCGGUCUUGGAUUGUUAUAGAAAAUUUCUUUUUUCUUUGUUUUGAUUGGGUAGUGUUUGGUGAUAUUGUUCUGGUCAUAGUUUAGGAGAUGUCAAAAGGCAAAGAGGAGAUAGUUGAGAUUGAUGACGAUGAGUUAGACUUCUUACCUAGUCUGCUUGCCGAUCCUGCUUUUAACCCCGGGCUCCCCUUAAAACCCAUUAGAUCCAGUGUUGGGACUAGUGCUAGGAGGAUGUCUCCCCAAACAACCUCAUCAACCAACAAUAGCGGCGACGAGGGAUCUUCUGGUUCGGAAGACACCUUGAGUGAGGACCAGGGAGAAGAUGCUGGUGAAAUGUCCCCAUCAGGAAUGUCGCGACCAGAUAGAAGGAGCAGAAUAGGAGGUAGGGCUCUAUCGGAGCAUUAUGCUAUUGACUUUAUCACGUGCACGACCACAGUAGAUGAGCUUGAUAACCUCCGGGCUAGGUAUGGCAUUCCUGGUGAUAUACCCCUUAGGAUCCCAGGAAAAAAUAAUACUCCUAGUCGGCCUCCUAGGGGAUAUGUUACUCUGCUUUUAGAAAGUUUUAAGCUUGGGAUGAGGUGCCCUCUCCAACCCUAUUUUGCCCGAAUACUAAGUGGAUUGAAUCUAGCUCCUGGUCAACUGAACCCCAACGGGUGGAGGAUGCUUUCUGGUCUGCUUAUAUUGUGGGACAGAUGCUGCCAGAGCGAGCCCACAGUUGACGAGGUAAAGCACCUGUACCAGCUAAAGAGCAGUCCCAAAGACGCCGGCUGGUACUACUUCUAGUCAAGUACCAAGGCCAGGAAACCCAUAAUUGAUCCUUUAACUGGUGGUGGUGGGAAUUGGAAGAAAAAGUUCUUUUUUGUUGGGGGUCCCUGGGGUCAAGUUGCACAGAUUGACGGGAAGAACUAUCGCGUCCCACCCGGUUUCGUGGUCUUAGGUUGCUUGCUCGCUUUAGAUGUCUUGUACCCCUAGCUGUUCUAAUUUUAUUGAUUUAUUUCUAACCCAAUAUUUGCUCGUACUGCAAGUUCUUGGGGUGUACAUUACCCGCUCCAACCUGAAUCGCUCAAGGAGGUCGAGGCUGUGUUAGUCAACUCAUGCUCGGGUCGGGAGUUACUAUCUACUUACAACUUCUUUGAAUCUCGCCUGGUGCAUACCGAUCGUAAAAUGGAGGAUGCUGUGAUCAGGGCUUUGACUUGGAAGCGUCCUCGACCUCAUACUGCUAAGCACGACCAGAAUAAGGGUGCUCCACCUGCGAAACGGGUGAAUAUUGUGGAGCAGGUCCCCCUUUGAGGACUCUACCACCUCCUCCUGCCAAAGUUGGAGAAACUAGUGGAGCAGUUACUGACCCCACUUCCUCUUCUCCACCAUCUGGGUCAAAACCUCAUUUUUCCGACAAUUGAGCAAAGCAUCUAGUCCCCUAUAUGAGCGAGUUCUCUAGGCUACCUGGAGGACUUUAACGGCAGCACUCUAAGCGAGCUGGUGGGGGCUAUGCAGUAUAGUGCUUUUCACCUCGGAUGCAUGGCCACCUACUAUAAGGCGAAGGUUGGCCACUAUGAACGGAAGAUGAAGGAGGACAUUCAAUCGGCAAAAACCAAAGUUGAUGCUGCCGAGAGGAAAGCAGAAGACUUGAAUCUCGAGAAUCUGAAGUUGAUAGAGCGAGAAUCUCUCGUUCAAGCAAAGGCCAUUACUCUUGAGGAUGAGCUGACUAAGCUCAAGGAGGAUCUGCAGAGGCAGAAGGCCACCUACGAGGACCAGCUCGAAUCUCUCAAGAAUUCCCACCAGGUUUAGGUCGAGAACCUAGAGAAGGAGGCUGACAACCAAUAUGACCAGGGGCUUCGGCAUUCUUAUCGCUGCAUCAUGGCUGUCCUUGGGAAGCAGCGUCCUGAUCUGAAGAUGGACGACCUUGCUGCUGGUGUUGCUCAAUAUAUGGACGAGGAGGCAGCCAAAGAAGAUGUUGAAGAGUUGGAGCCAAAUGCCACCGAGGAGGGAGCCUCUCCUCCUCGUCCAGUCCCUACUGAUAUUGCUAAAGCGAGUACCCCUCCUGGAGCAACAGGUGACACUCCCCCUGCUCUUGAGAUGGAGCAACCAGUAGAGGGAAACCAGCUUACUGACCCUCCGUCCUCUUAAGCAUGUUUUGUGUUGUAGUUGCUCUUUCUUGUUUUUGAACAUUGUACGUUAGGAUUAAUAGCUUCGCAAACUAUUGGCAGUUUAAUAAGAAUGUUCUUACUUGCCUUCUGGUACUGUGGUUGCAAAUUUUUUUUUUUUUUUUAGAGUCUGCUCGCCUUGACUUGGCCGAGCAGAUCCUGACACACUUGGCUUUUGGUCUCGCCAUAAAACAGGCUUCGAGACUUGGCCUUUGCAUGGCUUAGAAAUUUUUCAAUGCUUGGGAUUCUGCUUACCUUCGCUUGGUCGAGCAGAUCCUGGCACGCUUGGCUUCUAGUCUCGCCAUAAAACAGGCUUUGAGACUUAGCCUUUGCAUGCCUUAGAAAUUUGUUCAACGCUUGGGAGUCUGCUCGUCUUCACUUGGUCGAGCAGAUUUUGGCACACUUGGCUUUUGGUCUCGCCAUAAAACAGGCUUCGAGACUUAGCCUUUGCAUGCCUUAGAAAUUUUUCAAUGCUUGGGAUUCUGCUCGCCUUCGCUUGGUCGAGCAGAUCCUAGCACGCUUGGCUUCUGGUCUCUCCAUAAAACAGGCUUUAAGACUUAGCCUUUGCAUGCCUUAGAAAUUUUUCAAUGCUUGGGAUUCUGCUCGCCUUCACUUGGUCGAGCAGAUUCUGGCACGCUUGGCUUCUGGUCUCGCCAUAAAACAGGCUUCGAGACUUAGCCUUUGCAUGCCUUAGAAACUUCUCAUAACAUUACAGCUGACUGAAAUUCCUCAUCGAUUCAUUAAUUGCUGAAUUCGGCUUACACGAAAUUGCUUUAACAUAGAAUAAAUAACAACGAGCGCGAAUAGAAAUAACUUUAAAACAUGAACAAGUCUUACUGGAAAUAUUUCCUGAGGUGCGCUGCGUUCCAUGGGCGUUUCACCUCGUGGCCAUUCGUGCGAGCAAGCUUGUAGGCUCCGGGUCCAGCCACCUCCUUGAGUCGAGUCUUUCGUAUUCGGAUUCACUCUUCUUAAUACCUAAUCUCCGAUCUUGAACUGCCGUACACUCACUUUCUGGUUGUAAUACCGGGCAACCCUCUGCUGGUAGACGGUUGAUCGCUUCGAUGCUUGUUCCCUCUUCUCGGUUAGCAAAUCCAGACUCAAGCACAUCUGGUCAUUACUUUCUUGCUCAUCGAAGUGAUCUGUCCAGUGCGUGGUCGUCUCUAUCUCAACUGGUACAACCGCUUCAUGCCCGAAGGCCAAGGCGAACAGAGUUUCGCCAGUUGCUGUUUUGUGGGUGGUACUGUACGCCCAUAAUACACCUGAUAGUUCAUCAACCCAUGCACUUUUUUUUGCUCCGAGCCUGAUUUUCAAAAGCCUCUUGAUUAUCUUGUUGGCGGCCUCUACCUGUCCGUUAGACUGAGGGUGAGUAGGUGAGCAAUACUUCAACUCUAUCCCGAGGUUCUGAUAGAAAUCUCUGAAGUUAUGCGUAUCAAACUGCCUGCCAUUAUCUGUUAUCAAGGCAUAAAGGAUCCCAUACCGACAGACCAGGUUUCUCUAUACGAAUUCAGUUGUCUUUUUCUCGGUGAUCUUGCUAAGGGCUUCUACCUCUAUCCACUUCGUGAAAUAGUCUAUUGCCACUAUUGCAUGUGUUGCUGCUCCUCGUCCCUUUGGCAACGGCCCGAUCAGAUCAAUUCCCCACUGAGCGAAUGUCCAUGGAGAGGCCUUAGAAGUGAGCUUCUCUGGUGGUUGGGUAGAGAAAUUUGUGAAACUCUGGCAACUUACGCAGCUCCUAGUCUUCUUCUGUGCAUCCUGGUGCAUUGUCGGCCAGAAAUAUCCCUGCCUUAGAACCUUGUGGGCAAGGGAUCUUGCACCAGAAUGGUUUCCGCAAACUCCUUCAUGUACUUCUCUCAGUACGUAAUCCGAGUUGUCCUCGUCUAAACACCGAAGAAAUGGUAGAGUGUAUCCUCGCUAAUAUAGCACCCCAUUAAUCAUCGUGUACCUUGAGGCCUGGGCCCUGAUCUUCCAAGCUCGUAGCUUUUCUGGUGGUAAUACCUCGUCUUUUAUGUACGAGAUUAUCGGGUCCAUCCACGAGCAUUUUUGUUCUAUCCGCAUCACCUCCAAAGUCUGCUCGAUGCUAGGGCUAGUCUUUACCUCCAAAGGGAUCGACUUAGGCAUUUUUGGGUCUGCUACGGCUGCCAUCCUGGCCAGAAUAUCUGCUCGACUAUUCUGCUCCCUUGGGAUUUGUAUCACCUCAAUCACCUCAAACUUCCCAAUCAUCUGCUUAACUUUCUUCAAGUAUCGUUCCAUCUUCUCAUCUCUCGGCUGAAACCUUUCACUGACAUGAUUUGCAACUAAUUGGGAAUCGGUUCGGAUUUUCACUCUAUCUGCUUUCAUUGCCUUAGCCAAUUCCAAACCCGCUAUUAGGGCUUCAUAUUCUGCCUGGUUAUUUGUAGCUGUGAAUUCCAGCUUUACAGCAUAAGAGAUUUCCUCCCUCUUUGGGCAUUCCAAGACAAUCUCUGCUCCAGACCCCUGCUCCCCCGAGGAUCCAUCCACCGACACUUGCCAUAUCCGGUCUUCAUUGUUUGCUGUAGCAGCCUCCAGCUGGUCGAAACAUACUUCGGGCUAAGCGAAUUCUGCCACGAAAUCGGCCAUUGCCUGGGCCUUUAUUAUUGCUCGGGGUUUGUAAUCUAUGUCGAACUCACUCAACUCUAUAGCCCACUUCACGAGCCGACCAGAAGUAUCCGGCUUGUGUAGAGUCUGCCGCAAUGGUUGGUUUGUUAUGACCGAGACAGGGAAUGCUUGAAAGUAUGGCCUCAGCUUCCGAGCAGCAACCACAAAGGCGAGUGCCCAUUUCUCCAACGGUGGGUAUCUGGUCUCGGCGUCGAGCAGGGCCUUGCUGGUGUAGUAUAUCGGAUACUGAACCCCUUCUUCCUCUCUCACUAGAACAAAAAUUGUGGCAUGAUCUGAUACCGCCACAUAUAAGAACAACACGUCCCCAUCCCGCGGUGUGGACAACAAAGGUGCUUGCUGCAAGUAUUGCUUCAAGUUUUGGAAGGCUUCUUCGCAUGCUGGGGUCCAUUCUGUUUUCUUUCCUCUCCUUAUCACUUGAAAGAAUGGCUGGCACUUAUAUGUUGCCUUGGAUAUGAAUCGGCUCAAUGCCGCCAACCUCCUUGUAAGGCUCUACGUCUCCUUCAGGUUACGAGGAGACCUCAUCUGCACGAUCGCCUGGAUCUUCUCGGGAUUCGCCUCGAUCCCCCUAUGACUCACCAUGAACCCGAGGAAUUUGCCCGACUCGACCCCAAAAGCACACUUCUCCGGGUUGAGUUUCAUCUUAUACUUCCUCAAAUGUCCAAAUGUCUCCUCGAGGUGCUCGACAUGUUCCUUCAGGAUUUUGACUUGGUUAUCAUGUCGUCCACAUACACCUCCAUUGUUCUCCCAAUUAGUGGCUUAAAGAUUUUGUUCACCAGCCUCUGGUACGUGGCCCCCGCAUUUUUAAGACCGAACGGCAUUACCCUGUAACAGAAAAAACCCUGGUUAGUAAUAGAUGUCGUGCUCUCUUCAUCCUGCUCGAACAUGGGGAUUUGAUUGUAUCCCGAAAAUGCGUCCAUGAAGCUAGCAGGCCAUGUCCGGCUGUUGAGUCUACAAGCUGGUCGAUCUUGGGUAAGGGAAAGCUGUCUUUCGGGCAUGCCUUAUUGAGAUCCGUGAAAUCUACACACAUCCUCCAUUUGCCAUUUGCCUUUUUCACUAACACCACGUUCGAUAUCCAUUCAGGAUAGUUAACUUCCCGAAGGAACCUUGCCUUCAAGAGCUUCUCCACCUCGUCAUUUAUAGCCUCAUAUCUCUCCUGGUUGAAGCACCUUCUUUUCUGCCUAACUGCCCGAGCACCUUUCUUUAUUGCCAGCCUAUUACAUGCGACCUCAUAGUCGAUUCCCGGCAUAUCUUCAUGCGUCCAAGCGAACACAUCUGCAUGAGCUCGCAGGCAUUGCACCAACUCCCGCUUCUGCUCUUCUUUAAGUCUCGACCCGAUUCGGAUUGUUUUUCCUGGAUCAUCUUGUCCUAGGCUUACUGUCUCCAGCUUCUCUACAGGUUCUUGUCUGCCAUUCUUGGCUUCCACUCGUGUAUCAAGGGAUGUAAUCUGCAUUGCUUCCCUUGUUGCUGUGGAGUAACAACUUCUGGCAAUUCUCUCGUCUCCUCUUACCACUCCAACUACCCCAUUCACCCAGUACUUGAGAUCUAGAUAAUGGUUGGAAAGUACCGCUUUGCUCAUCCUUAGAAAGGGACGACCUAAAAUCAUCUGGUAUGGACCCUCUUCAUCAACCACCACAAAAUCCAGUAUCAUGGUCUUUUCUGUCGGGGAACUGCCAAUUGUGAUGGGCAGCUCGACCACGCCUAGAGGAACCAGUUUUCCUCAUCCAAAUCCCUUCAAGGAGGUAUUGGUAUGCUCCAACCUCAAGUCCGCUAUCCCCAUCUCCUCCAGAGUUAACUUGAACAAAACAUCGACCGAGCUUCUCGUGUCUACCAGAACUCGGUCAAACUUCUUGCUAGCAGCGGUGACUUUAAUAACUAAAGCGUCCUCAUAUGGGUAUAGAAUUCCCUCUUCAUCCUCAUCUGUCCACAUGAUUGGAACUUGCCUGACUCUUGCUCGCUUGGCUGCUGGGGUGUUGAAGAAUAUUUUUUUGCUAGUCAUGGCAUACUUGGCGUAGUUCUUCCUCGACCUGUUGGAAUCUCCUACCAACGUUGGGCCCCCAGCAAUCACUCUUACUAUAGGUUGCUCGUGACUCAAGUUCCUAUCACUCUGCUCCCUUCCACCUGGCGAGGGCACCAUCGAGAAGGUCCCAUCUAUAAAUUCGUCCAGGUAUCGAUUUCUCACCAAAUCUUCAACAUGGGUCUUGAGAUCUCUAUAUUCUGUUGUAGUAUGGCCAUGAGUACCAUGGAACUUGCAAUAGCGUCCCCUAUCCCUCCUGCUCGGUAGCUUUGUUAUUGGGGUAGGGAAGUACAGUAAUCCCCGGUCCUUUAUGGCCUCGUACACCUCGUCCAGGGGCAUCUUCAAGGAAGUAUACCGCCCAUAGUCCUGGUUCUAGUCGAUCAUGUGCACUGCCCUUUCCCUGUUUGUGUUGUUCUGAACUGGAGGAGGUGGCAGCGCUUCCGGCCUGCUUCCUCUACCACCAUGGGGGUGUGGUUAGGGAUGACUACAUGUCAAAUCAUGCCUCCUCCAAGACUCCCUGGCCGGUGAACGAGGAGGUUGCGCCCUGCUGCGCUAAUAUUGUGGUGGCCUCUGAUGAGGCUGGUAAGCGGUGACCCAACCUCCUGUACCACUGCCUGAGGUAUAGUGGUCCCUCCUCUUGAUCGGUCUAUUUCCUUAUAAUGCUCUCUUCUCUUUCCUUCUCAACCCUUCUAACUGGUCUGUCUUGAUCCGUGCUGCCUUUUCCUCAUCAAUCUCUAUAUCCCUCUUAGCCUGCUCGUAAGCAGCUGCAUACGUCUGAAUAGCUGGGCUCCUCAAAUUGUACCAUAGCCUUCUUAUCUUCACUCCUUCUUUCAAUCCCCUUAAUGCCUGAGGAUGGAUGAAGGCUCCCAAGUCGAGGACAGCACGGUGGAACCUUUUGAUGAAUUCCCGAAAGGUUUCCUCCUAUCUCUGCUUCAUGCUCGUCAGCUCCAUCAUAUCAUCUUCCGGUGUCAUUGCCCCACGAAACUGUUCUGCAAAUUCCUGGCACAUCUGCUCGAAGGAUUUAACGUUCCCCCGAGGAAGUUUCCUAUACCACUCGCGUGCUCGUCCCUCUAGAGAUAGUGGGAACACUCUGCAUCUUUGAGCUUGGGAUAAUCCUUGCACCCCAGUUAUGUCGUUAAAGCGCUCUAUGUGCACCAAUGGAUCAGUUCGCCCCGAAUAUCUGAAGUCUGGGAGGUGGAAAUCCCUCAGAAUGACUGCCCUCAUAAUUUCUGCUGAGAGCGGGGAUUCUCCAUCUAGCAUUAUCCUCCACCCUGGUGCUUUGCUCCUUCCUUGCAUGUCAUCUAUUACCUGUGCUAUUAUGCGCACUUCUUCUUCCAACUGUACAGCACAACCAGGUCACGUGCUGCAACUUGGUCUCGUUCUUGCUCAACGUCAUGCAGGUGUUGCCGAAGUUCUCUUUCCUCUGCAUUCGCCAUUCCAUCAUCGUUGUUAAAGUUCUGUCUCCCUAGGGAUUAAUCUUCUCGUCUAUGACUUUCCCCCCGUAGAGAUUAGUUACCUCCCUCACCACCAGAUCUUCUGGUGGACUGGCUUCUCAUCAAGUUAUCGUGUCCUGGUGUCAUUCCGCCACUUCUCACCCCUUCCUCAUGAAUUCCCCUUCGUUCACUCCUCAUUUCGUGUAAGAUGGUUGUCAGGGUCUCCAUCUACUUUUCCAUCUGUUCCAUCCGGUCAUACAUGGCUUUUUUCCGUGCUUCAUUGGCUAUCUCUCUCAAUGUCAUGGACUCGUUAAGCCUCAAGUCACCUCCUUAUGCACUACUUCCUCCCACAUCCAUUGUUUCUUCACUUGCUUUCUUCUUCCUCUUUCUAUCAAUAGAAGCUUUUUUAUCAGCUCCCCACAGACGGCGCCAAAAUAUUGAUGCGAGAUUUUGGUUCUCUGCUCGACCACGACCAAGACCUCUCCUCAACUAACUCGACCACAAUCAGGAUCUCUCCUUGUAAGACUUCUUCUCUACAGACUCCUGCGUACACAGAAACAAAUCAGAGCACGCCGGGUGUUUCCCGGCGUAAACCCUCCGAUGCUCAAGUCAGAAAUAAAGGUUUCGAGUCCCUAGGAAAGUUAGCCACUAAUCUUAUGGCUUAUUUUCAGUAUCAAUUAUUCAGAGCUCUCUUUAUCUCAGUUUCAAUGUCAAAAAAUCUAACCAUUUUACCUUCGUUGGCUACCUUUUUAUAGGCUCCCUCUGAAUCUCGGCCAUGACUAUUACCUGCUCCAACUCUUGGACGUGGGCGCUCUGUUAUCGUAGUCGUGGCUGGAUGGACUUCGUGCCUUGAUUCUCGGGUAGGAGGGCACGUCCUGCCAACCGUCAUUGACCAGGUCUCCUCACCUCGACCUCUAGCAGGAAUCGUUUUAUGCUCCUGGCAGGAGGCCGGCUCCCGCUAUGGCCCCUUGGAGGGUGCAUUCGUGUACGAGCAGAACAAUCCUGCUCGUAUUCCCCUGCUACCAGAUACCUGCUCAUCAUGGCUGGUCUUGUCGAGGUAUUACCCCCAACAGUUAGUAUUAUUGUGCAUCGUCUCUUAUCAUCCGUUCUUUCUUUCUCAACAUUCCCAGAAGGAAUUCCAAUUUUAUCAAACUCGAGUUUUGUCCAAAUAUUAUCCAAUAUAAUCAGGAUCCGCUUCUCUUUCUUCAAUCUUUGACAUAGUUGAUGUGCUCUGUGGAAUAUACUAUCAUUCAAGUCAAAUUUCAUCCCUAAAUCAGAAGCUAGCUGGUCUUGAAUUUUCUGAGGAUCUAGGUUCUGUGUUAGCUCAGCCAUAACGACCUCAUCGAACAAGUUAUCUUCCAUCACUUGCUUUGCAACUUGCUUGACUAGCGUGGUUUUACCCACGCUGCCCAUCUCGUAGACCCCAAUUAUGUUGUGCUUAUUAUCCUUCAACGCCUCAACAACAUCCUGAAAUACUUUCAUUCUUGAAUCAAAGGCCGCGAAAUCUUUCACUUCCAUAUGUUCUGCCCGCUUUGGAGUAAGACGGUAGGAAACAUUAGAGAAGUUGCCUUUUCCCACGAGACUAGCGGCAGCUUCUGCGGCCUUUGCUGCUUGUUUACUGAGCUUGUAACGAGAAAUCAAGUUUGGGCACAAUCCUUUGAAACAGAACUUCUUAGCUCUAUCUUCAUCAUCAGUGAUGGAUUUUGCAGCGCCCUGAGUGAAUUCCUUGAUGCUAUUAAGCCAGUCUGCAACAUCCUUGUAAAUCUCAUCUCCUUGUUCAGUAACUUGAUGAACGGGUAUUUCCACCCUUUCUCUUUUAUAUUCCAGCUGCUUCACUUUAUCUUUUAGCUCAUCUAUGUAGCUCUGGUACAUGAACAUAUAAGAUAUUUGUCGUAUAAUCGGUUUGAACAGUGACCUUGCACCUUCUGAUACGAUGCUGGAAAAAGCAGCCAGACCCACUUCUACCAUUGCCUGCUGCUUAACAAAUCUAAUAAAAUGUCAAAGAAAGGAAUACAAAUAAAUUAAAAUGAACUAGAGGGAAAGACGAAAAAGGAAAAGACGGUAAACAGUAUCGCUACAUUGAUCUUGAAUCAACUGACACAUAAACAGAGCAUUUUUUCUUCUUUGUUAAGGAUCAGAGUUUUUGCUAUUAACAGAAACGUACUUCAAGUGUCUAAAAAAAACAACCAUAAAUUUACCAUAAAUGAACAAUAACUAUAAAACUCAAGCAAAACAAGCCAUAGAAUUUUUAUCUUGGAAAGUGGAUGGAAAUUAAGAAAGAAAUGCUAUAAAGAUCAAGCAUCAGAGAUUAUGCUAUUAAAAGAAAUUAAUUGAAGGUUUUAGAACAAGUGCACUUUAAUUAUGUGGGAUCAGAAAGUUGAUAAGCUUUUGUAAUCGCCUUGAAUAUUUAAGAACAAUUUCAAUGAGUAAAAAAUUUAUGUUACCUGCAGAGGAAUGUGAUUAUAGAGAGCUUAUGAGAGCAAUGACAAUGAUUUGCAAAAGAAGACUUAAUCAUGCAGCCCUUAAUAUUUAUUAAAUGACUUGUGAUCAUUUCUUUUAUGAAUAAAAUGCCAACAGCAAAAACAGAAAAAAGAGCCAAAUUUACUAAGUCUUAUUUUAUUUUUAAUUUCUUUUAUUUUCAUUCGCCGAAGAGGGAAUCUCUCUCUCUUCUUCUUCUUCUUUUUAAGGGAAUCUCCUUACCUAAUAUGACAAAAUGAAAGCAAUCUGUAAAUAGUACAAUAAUCAUAUAAUAUAAUAAGUAAAAAUACCCAUAUAUUUAUAAUAUUAAUGAUGGGAUCCAUAUGUUAAUACUAAUUAAAUUGGUGGACCAGAAUUUUUUUUACCAUACUUGUUUUCUAUAUAAUUAAAAUUGAAACGACAGAGAAAAAUUGUCGUAUUGAUUGUUUCGAAUUCGAUUGUGGAGUUCCGUUGUGGAUAGCACUUCCAAUAUUGAAAAUGAAGCUUUCAUCAACUUUCUCUCACGGACACGUACCGUCAUGCAUAUUGCAUUAUUUCCCUAGAAAAGCAAGAUUAAUUCUUUUAAUAAGCAAACGCGUAGGUGGGAAUCCAUUGACUAAACGAGUGGAACAACAAUAUCAAACCAGGACCUGUCUAUGGUACAGAUUCUGUAACAAACAUCUCCCGUCAUCCCACCAUCCGAUUUUCUAUUGUUCAGUUUCUCACUCCACAUCCAACCACAUCCAACGGCUGAUGCUGCAGUCUGUAGCUUACAGAUUCUGUAAGCUAGUCGAGUCCUAUCAAACCAAUGAUAAGCAUGCUCAAGAUGCUCAAGUGGGAAAACAAAUUAUGACAGAUAAUUCAAAAUCUGAAUCCGCCUGAUGGACGGGUUUGACCACCCAGAUCAAGAUAAGCGAGUCCAGGCAACUAAUCUGAACCAUUCUCCUUUAGUAACAGGGGAAUGAAAUUAUAUCGAUGAUAGAUAAUUUCAAAACAGGGGAAUGAAAACAGAGGAACCUGUUUUUCCUUCCUUUUCUUCCCCCCCCCCCCCCCCCCCCCCCCAACUCUUCUUCUUUUAUAUAUAUUUUCCUUGGAAUUUUUGGUAAACGAAAAAAAAUUGAGAAUGAUUUCAGGAAAACGGGUGGAUAAUAACUAAAAUAUUUAGUUUUAUAUAAUUGAUAAACGCGCUCACUAUUAAUAGAAUUCAUUAGAUAUCAUUAUUUAAAUAACUUCUUGUGAUUGAUUGAGGGUACGUUUGAAAUUUCUUUUACUUCCCAAUAAUUAAUUCUAUGUUGAUUCUCAGAAAAUUAAUUUUACGAAUAAUUUAGUAGGGUGUUUAGUAAAUGAUGAUUAUUUGACAGUCAAUUUUCAAAUAAUCUACUAUACAAAUUUGGUAAGUGAAAAUUAAAAGUGUAAUAUUCAUGUGCAAUGAUAAAAAUGUACUUGUUUGCUUAAUUGUACUUUAUUUAGAAUAUUAUUAUUUACAUCAUUUUUUUUAUUUACUGGAUUUUUUUAAGAGUAUAUUCUAUUUUCUUUAUUGCAUAUUUAUAUCAUUUUUUAUUAACUAUUUUAAUUUACAAUCAAACUAACUUUAAUAUUUUUUUAACUAAAAAAAUUGUUAUGCAGUUUGUAAUGUGCACAAAUGCUAACAUAUUAUUAAAUUGAUUAAUAAAUUAAGUGCAAAAAAGAAAAUGCAAAAAUUUAAUCUUUAUAUAAACUUUUAUGUACAUAAAACUAUUGCAAUCAAAGUAGUUCAUAAAAAUAAAAUAUUAUAUACAUGUGUAAAAAAAAAUAUAACUAUAAUAUUGUCCACUCAUUAAACUUGCAGCACUAUUAUUUCUCAAUCUCCCCAUCUCUCGACCUUUAGGAACAUUAAUACCAUGAUCUUCUUCUUGAAUUGGAUCUCCAUUUCCACAGUAUCAACAAGGCGAUCAAUUUGCUGUGACAGCCUUUCAACUCCUCCCACUUUCCUCCCUUUUGCAGCCGCUCUUUUUCCUUUUCUUUCUUUGAUAGCUUCAAUGGGAACAAACUCAUCUAACGACAAGUACAUUCUUCAACCAGAGUGGAAUUGGUAGUUGAUAUUUUACUACUCUCAGAUGGUGUCUAAACAUGGUCACCAGUGAUUGUUAUAUUAAAAAAAAUUCUAUUCAAUUUUUCCUCUGACUUUGUGUCGAUACCUUUCAUACAAAAUCUACUUGCUUCAGAAAUUUCUUACGUAUGUUGAUAUCAUAUUAAAGUGAAUUCACGAUCCUAUAUUAUUUUGCAUGACAUCAAAAUUUAGCCGAAUGGUAAAGAAUUUCCCUUUUUGUUUGUCCCACAACUAUAUAGUCUCAUUUUUGGCAAUAAGCUCACAAUAUGCACGGAAAUGAAGAUCUAUUAAAAACUUCCCUGUAAUAUUAAACACUAAACAAUAUCACUAUGUUGUGCAAAUGGUGCCUCGUCAACAAUUUGAUGUUCAUUUUGUUGCUCGGGUGAAUAUGACUACUUGCGUUGCGAGUCCAUGCUUUGUCGUUUGGAUGGAGGACGGGCCAUCUUUUUAUUUUAGAUGCUUUGAGAGACUUUUGAUUUAAUGAUUUCUGGUUAAUUAAUAAGACCUAUGAAAGCAUUCAAAGAAACCACUGAACUCAGAGGAAAGCCAUGAUUAAAUAUACUGCAGAGCAUAUGAGCUCGUUUUUUGAUCUCUUGAUCACUCAUAAGCUUUUCUAUACCAUUCACUAUAUCAUCCUUUUGAAUCGAUUUUGAUUGAUCAUCAGAGAUCAUGUACCCCACCUUGAGAUGAUUGAUCACAAAUUUGGCAUUGUAAUGUUGAUCACCUCUAAGUGGCCAUGCUAAAAUUGGGACUCGACAACCAAUUGCUUCUACUGUUGAAUUCCAUCCACAGUGAAAUAAAAAUCCACCCGUUGAUUGAUGACUCAAUAUCAAUAAUUGUGGCGCCCAUCCAUCUAUUAUCAAACUCUUUUUACCGACUUUAUUAUCCAAACCACUACGAAAAUAAAUGUUUCCUGCUGGUUUGUCCAAAUGACGUAAAGGAUCCAAUUUACCUGCACCACCUUGAAUUACCCAAAUAAAAGAUCGAUUUGAUGCCUCUAAAGCAUUGGCUAGUACUAAAUACUUAUCUAAGGUUGGAUCCACUUCAGUACCAAAUGACACAUAGAACACAGAUCCGCAUGAUUUGAAAUUCAACCAUUGAGCGAUCUCAUCUUCCGUCAUGUUAGAACUCCGCCGGUUGGUUCUCAUCUCAUGAUCACGAAGCAUUGAACCGGCAGAUUUGUAAAAUUGUUCAGGUAACAAUGGGCCCACUCCCCACACCGGCUUUCCCAAUUGAUUGGCUAAAUAAUUAAUAAAUGGUCCCUCAAGACCAUCACACGUGUUGAACAUCAACGCCAUUGAUCCCUCCACUUCCUUCAUCCAGUGUGGUUGAUCACCAGCUUCUGGUGGACCUAUUUUCUCGGAACCGGGUGCACCUCGCAGAGGUGGUGGACCACCAGGAGGGGGCCCAUGAGGCCUGUGUUUAAGGUCCGAUUCAAAUAAAGCCAUAUCCUCGGGUAACCCAGGAAGUAAACGGGCCUCUCCCGGUUUGACAUCUUGGAUGCGAGCCUGCCACAUGGCACACUCCACAGCUGCCGAGCAAGCACCAGAAGUGAAGAACCCAACAAUGGGAACUUCAAAAAUCUUGAAAACAUCAGCCGUCCAGCCCAUCAUAACGUCGAUGACUGCACAAACGGGUCGGCUUUCGGGUUCCCGGGUUGAAAGGAGGUUUCGAAGGCCUUGAAGCAUUUGGCUGUGCAUGACAACAUGGGGGUGAGGAGGCGAAGGUGGUGGUGGUGGUGGAGAUGAGGAGGGUAUUUCAGUAACUUCAAAGAGAGGGUAUUGGUGAAACGAGGAAGGGAUGAUGCUGGUGGCGGAAAUGUGAGAAGGAAUGAUGAGGGUAGAUUUGUAAUUACGAGAAGCGAUUUGCUUGCAUAAUUCAAUGCAUGGAAAUAGAUGUCCCUGACCGAAGAAUGGGACAAUCCAAAUCUCGGCCUCAGCAGCAGUAGCAACAGAGCUUGACAUCUUUAUGAAUUAUUUGAUACUUAAUUGUACUGUUUGCUUUUACCAUCUUUCAUAAAACACUCUUUGUUAUAUAUAAAGAGAUGACUUAAUGGAGAAGUAAGUGUUUUAGUUUUACAGUUUUACUAGUAGGUGAGCUCUGAGUUUGAUAAUUUGAUUGUUAGUUUUGGUUGGUUAGUUAUUAGAAAGCAUCUUUAAGAAAAUUCAUUCCAGUUUCAACUCAAAUUAAUAAUAUUGUUUAAAUUAAUUACUCAAUAAAUAAAUAAUUGGAGACAAAUCUAUUCAUAAUCUCACAUUUAUAAAAUAAAGAUUGAAAUAAGUUCUUGUGGGUUCGAACUCAAGCCCUCAAGCCGAGUGGCUGGAUCUUGACUACUUUAUAUAUAUAUAUAUAUAUAUUCCUUCUUUCAUUGAACAUCUUUUGUUAUAUAAUGAAAAAGAUAAGUUGAUAGAGAAGGGUUCUACUUUUACUAGUAGAUGAGCUUUGAGUUGAGAAGGUUAGCCCUCAAAUGUUCCUUGCUAAGUUAAAUAUCUACCAUCCAAAUCAACGUUCCUCAGACUAUUAUUCAAGUGAGAUGUCUGAAUAACAUACGCUUGAGUUCGGUGCCUAGCAAUUCGUGUGAUAGGUGAAACCAACCAAUAUGAAAACCAAAUCAAGUUGGUAGGUUUACAUUAAUUUAAAUUAACUUUCAAGUUUCAACAUUAUAACAUAAAUAAAUAGCAUAAGCUAAUUUUUAUUUUCAAGUAAACAUGUUUAUCGUUUACAAUUAAUUUUUCUUGCGGUAAAUGCAACACUAAGGAGUGAAGAGGGUAUUUUGUAGGGUAUACCCCCACCUUUUAUUUCAUUUCAUUAUUAAAAAAUAAAGGCUUGAUUCAACAUUCAAGUAAAAUUAACAAUUGCAUGAUAAAAUUACUUGAGAAUAAAAAUUAAAAUAAAAAAGAAUCAGCAACUAAAAAACGACGUACAAAUACCGCAUAGAAGUUUUUCGUCACGAGAUAUUUUUGGGUUGAGACAACACUUGUAUAACAGAGCAUACAUAUUGAAUGACGGUGAGAAUAAGAAGGAAAACGGCACCGCAGACCGAAAUGCCAGCCCAUGGAGUAUUGAAGUAAUUUUAUUUCAAGUUUGCCUCUCAUUUAUAGCAUGUUCUUUUGCAGUGAUCAUUCAAUCCUUUGCAUAGCCCAGAAAAAUAGAAGCUAUCAGCCAGCAGAGUGGUACCUCUGGAAAGGUUAUUUAUAAGCGUUGACGCUGCCUCCUUAUCCGGCAACUAGUUCUCAAUGAUUCCGUUCUGAACAAGCAACUCAACAUCCUUCGCUGUGUUCACAAGAUGAUGAAUAAGGAACAGUAAUCAUUUAUGUAAUUCUCUGAGUAAUGCCGUUGUUCAAAGGCAAUGAGAUUACGAAAUAAGGAUUCCGUUUCCAGCUGUAGCUUCAGUUUCGGAAUAUGCAAUGUCCUGUUUUUGAAUUCUAUGGCGAACAAAUCAAUGGCGAACAAAUCAUUGCUCUUGCUCAAACUGAAGUGGACUCCAGCUUGGUGGAGAUCAGUCACACUUGGUGCGGUUUUACCUUUGUGGUAUUGCUGACCUUCUUGUUUUUCCUGAUCCCUCGAUGAAGAUAGAUGACAAAUCCUUAGAAAAUCAAAGAAAUGCUCUACCCUAGCCUCAGUGUAAGGAGGGAAUUUUUGCUGAUUACCUUGUACCGCCUCUAAACCCUUGAAGUACUCGUAUGUGACUCUGAUGAUGGUUGGAUUUUCAUGUUGGUCAGGGAUUUCAAUUGCUGCUAGAGCAAAAAGAUCCUCAAGAAUGAAGAAAGGAAGCUGAUUCUCAAGCAACCACAUAUCAUACCAUAUAUCCUCUAUUAAAUAUAGUUUAUGAAACAUAUGAUCAUCUUUUUUUUGAAGUUGACGGAAAUGAUACCUCAAUAAGAGUUCAAUGAUGAAGGCAGCAUCUAGCAGAAUCAUUUCAAUGAAUUUAUCACUACUUAAUUCGAUUUUUUCUGCAUAAGAACCUCGUAAUUCUGCUUCUCUGAACUUUAUAACUUGAACAAACUCGUCAAAGCUUAUUUUGGUCCGUUGAAGAAAGUAACGCAGGUACCGCUGUUUAUGUUCUUCCAUGAACUGUAAGUUUGCUUUGCCAUGGUGAAGAGGGCCAAUUGAGACUACCUGAGGUGUAUAUGCCUUUUCAUUUAUCUGAUGUAAUCGCUCUGGAACUCUGUCGAUGCAGCAGUUUGAGGGCAAGGGUGACAAUUUUUCCAACUUAACCUGCAAGCACUCUUCCAUGUUAUAAACUGAAAACACGGUGCGAAAUUUGAUCCAUUCAACAGUUAAUAAGGCAUAGUAAUUUAAAAAGAAUUUUAAAAAAAUAAAUACAAGAGCAUUCUUACACGCACAGAAGCCCCUCAAUCCCUACUACUUACAGGGCUGUAGCCACUAGCCAGGAUUCAAUGAUAUACCGGACUGAACUAAAAGGAACAACUUUCUUAGGAAUAUGUUAUCGGCAUUUUCUCUGGCCUCAGGCCAUCAACAAAGCAGUUUCAAUGCGUCUUAUAUAAUUCCAUGGUUUAUUCCUUGCCUUCACAGAUGAUAUAGUCACAAUUCAUAUAUUCAUUUCUCCAGAUUCUGUAUAAGUGGACCAUAACUAUGGAAAACUUGAACCAUUUUUUUAAGAAUGCAACAGCCAUUUGAUUGGUCCAUGUCAGAAGUUAAUCUGGGGAAAGAAGCUUGAUCUAGCUAUAAAAUUCUCUCCUUCAAUCAGUCAGUUUGGGGCAGCAACAAGAUCAAAGCCACCAUGCAAAAAUUCACUAAAGUUUAUAUAAUAUUCACUAAAGUUCAUAUAAUAUUCUUGAACCUCAUCUUAAGUAAAGCAACAAAAGCCUUCACUGUUGCUUGACAACUUUAUUUCUCUAACACAUAGCAUAACAUUUUUAAAUUGCAUAAAACACACAAGUACUUUAGUUUGUAACAACACAGAUAAUAAAUACCAUUUUAUAGCUUUAACAAAAGCAUACAAAAUUCUUAAACCUAGCCUCAAGCAAUUCAUUAAUGCCACAAGGAUAUCUUUUUGCCUCCUACAGUUUUUAUUGUUCCAGAAAUUCAUAUAUUCUUCUUUAUCAAAUUAAGUAAUUUUCCUUUUUCAGAAACUCAAGAAGGUUUCAACCGCAUGGAAAUACAACACAAAAUUACUACUAUUCCCGGAUUAAGAAAUUCAUCAAUGCAAUAUAAACAUACAUUUUCAUUAGACAUCAGAAUCAAAGAAUCAUUGAUGCAUCAAAUCUGUACAGCCAAAAAAAAUGAAAACAUCAAGAGAAAAUACCAUAUGGACCCUUUACAACCCUUAUAAUGAGUUCAGAUCGCCUAAUCCAAUUUAAUAGAUUUGAGGACCCCGACAAUGUGCAAUACAAAAUUUCCCAAUACUAUUUAGAGCAAAGUCUAGAAAACGAAACUUAUAUAUUGUACAAAAUCAUGAAAACCAGAAAUGACAAAAAAACUGCAUAUGUAAUUUUUGGGUCUCUUCAACAUACUUCCAUCCAAAUCAAACAAGAAUCGAUAAAUUAACAACAUUCAUUUUAAACGACAUAUUACCACAAUAAAAAUUGUCAACCAAGCCUCAUAUUAACCUUUUUUGCAUUAUUUGGUAAAUAUAUUUGUUAUUCUCUAAGCGUAAAAAAAAAAAAAAAUGGACUUUCUUAAUCAAGAAUCAAAUAAUAUAUAUGAAUCUAAGUUGAAGUCAGUCUUGGGUUUGAUGAAAUAGCUUGCAUUGUGAUUUAGAUUGGAAAGGGAGUUGAUUUUUGCUGACUGAGAGAGAGAGAGAAAGUUGAGACAUAAGAGAGUGUUGCUAAUUUUCUAAACAAGGGUAACUGGGUCAUAGUUCAAAAUGAUGGUCCAAAAUUUACUAAAGCUAUUAAGGAGCCGAAAACCCAUAAUGGCUUCCCUCAAAUAAAUAAAAUUUUCAAGCAUAAAGUUUUUGUUUCUUCUUAAGAUUUCCUUGUCAUACUUACCCAUAAUUCGAAAAUGCCUGAUAUUGCCUGCAAAUAAACUUAUAUAUAUUGAUUAACAAUAUAAACAAGCACUAUGAGGUUUUAGGCCUGAAAGAACAUUAGGGUUGAAAUGACAACCAUCUAUUUAAGUAACAAAAUCUUCUGAUAAUUUGAUGCUUAAUAAAUUGAGCAGAGAUGACAUAUAAAUCAUGUUAUGACAUGGAAGUUAUGAUUAUAUUCAUCUUAAGAAUAAGAUCUUUCAGACACUGGCAGAUUAGUAUCAAAAUACUCAGCAUAAGACCUACAAACUAGAAAUCAUGCACUAAUACAUAAGUUGAUCUUUUAUAAGCUAUAAAACAAAUCUACUAUAACAUAAGAAAGUGGGAUUUAUCACCAGACAAAUAUUUUGGUGAGACUCAAGCUGAUGGAAGGAUAUCCAAAGCAACCUCCUUAAGGGAAGGCAUCACUUCCUGGUGAUGCAAACAUAUAUAUUUAUUACUCACUUUCUUGAGGACCUUCCAGGAACCUGGGUAGCACCUAGCGGGAAGUGGAAAAGAAAAAAAUGUAAAAUAUAAGUUAAACAGCAGGAAAACAGUAAGUGACUCUAGGCAAGCAUUAAUAUGUUGCCACAGGAAAAGCGUCAGUAACUAGCCAGCAAACCUGAAAAGGGUUCCUCCAUUGCGACCCUUAAAAUUGUGAAUGUAAUAUAUGGUCUCCAUCACAGGAAAAAUUGUUUUGGAUAGUGCAGCUAGCUUAGGGUAGAAGAAUGAUGGAUAAUCUUUAGCUCAUUUAAGGAAAUCCUCUCUGAUCCUUUCAUUGCACAUUCCAAAACAACUCUACUACAACCAACUCACCAAUUCUUUUUGUUAAGUCAUUGUUAUUUACUUUUUUUAAAAAAUAACCCUUCUGUGCAACAUUUUAGUGAAAGAUAUAACAUUAAUUCCCCUUCUAGAUUUCUGUGAGUGAAUCUCAAAUUAUUGUAUUCAUAAAUAGGAGCAAAAAACCCACUUUACUUUCAAUUUUUGCAAAACGAUACCAAUUGAAGGACCAAAAAGUUGUAAACAAGCAAUUCAAUGGAUGGGUAUCUAGAAACUGUUAUAUAGCAUCAAAAUCAUACUAAAUUUACAGAAAGUACAAUAAUAAUGAAAGAAUGGUGAAGGAUACACCCAGACCUUAUCCGGUCAAGCUCUCCAUUGAAUAUAAUCAGUUUCCGGGCAGUAUUGAAGACAGCUUCUUUGUAAAGCUCUUCAACCACAAGCAUUUCUACAAGACAAAAGAAAAGCAAAAUUAAUGACCUUAAGGAAUGAAUGUCAAUGAGAAGACAAGGUGUAAGACUACCAUUGACAUUAAAAUAUGGAUAGGCGACUAGAAACAAUUCAUCUUCCGGCUUCACACGGUCAGCCAUUUUGACCUUCUCAGUGAAUCCAAAAUCCUCAAAGAAUGAAGGUUUUGUUAGAUAGUCCAACUUAAAUGAUGCUCCUUCAAAGAGCGAUUUUCUUGCAAAUUUGACUUCAUUUGCCUCUGGGAAAAACUAAAAACCAAAUGACAGACUAUCACGAAACGAAUCAUGAACACAGAUAUCAGAUAAUCAGAAAUGGGCCUUAAACCGAAUACUAACAGGGUGGGAAAUGCAUACAGAAAACAUUAUUCAUACACCUUAUGCACAUGAAAUAUAUAUGUAGAGGGAUCCUCUUAUGAAUUUAGCUUAUAUCCUAAUAUGAGACAAUGAACAAUUGGAUGCCAUCUAAGGGCUAACAUUUGUUUGAUUUAUUAUAUGAAAAAUAAAAAUAAAAAACAAAACAAAACAUAAUUGAUUGAUGGCCUUUGAUGGAUUGCCUACACUCCUAAAGUGCAGAGAGCCUGAUUGAUGCCAUGCUUUAACUGGCCCACACACACUUGAUUUUAUUAUCUCUCUUUUCGAAUAUAUAAUCGUUGCCUUUCAUCCUGAACCAGCUGUCCUUCCAGGCACCAGCUGUGUUUUCUUCAAUUCAGUGAAACAUUCACUUUCUGGUAAGAAUAAACUUGUCCUUCCUCAAAAAUUCAGCUUCUGACUAUGAAGCUUUCUUUUUUGAAACAAUUACUAGUCUAGCAUAAUGCAUCUAAUUGAGGACAACUCAGAAUUGAAAAAGCCAUAUUUUAAUGUCUGCUGUUGGGACCUCAAGACUAGGAACAAAAAGCUUCUUUCUAACAGUUGCGUUAACAAGUGGAAAUAGCUUUUUUCUGAAGGACCGAACAUUGCAUUGAAAGAGUCAACAAAAGGACUGGCGUCAUAUUUAGUCCAGCAAGAAUUUUGUGGACUUAACACAAUGGUUAAUAAUUCGCCCAGCGGUCACUUUGUCCAACUCUGGCAAUCUUGACGGUGGAAAUGCAUCUUUCAAAUGUUGGCAGGCUCUAGCUUCUUGAUGUACUGUUGAUAGAAAUGCAUAUUUCACAAGUUGGCGGGCUCAAAUUGCCGAGACUUUGGUUUCUUGCAUUUCAAACCCACAAAUAAAACUUUGGUAGAACCCCAGAAAGAGCUACACCUCCCAAAUCUGAUGACAAAUGAAGAGACCAUGCCUAGUGCUUGGUUCGGCAAAUGAGUAAGUCUGAAACAAAUUUAGGGAAACCUUUCCCACAGAGAGUCAUAUUGAAGGUUACAAUUUGAUGACUUUGUCCCUCUGUUGCCCAUAACCUUCUUUAUCUCUUUUCUUGGUCAUAAAUAAUCAAACAUAUAUUAGUCGUUGGAUGCAAUCCACUCACUGACAUCUCAUGUCCACAAUCAAUCAUCCAUAUUUUAAUAGAAAUGAAAACAUUUUAAUUAAAAAAGAAUGAGAUGGGAACAAAAUCAAACUUGGCAGACAAGGGUCUAUGUGAUUUUAAAGAUGCUUGGUGAAAGUCAUAUCCAAGAGUUCAACAGUCAGUUCUAUCACCUAUGGCAAAGUAACCACCACAACUAAAGCAAUUACAAAACAUCAAGAAGCUUGAACUUGGCAAGAGUUCUCAUUAACAGUAUACUUCAGAAAUUAGGACACACUUAAAGUGCAAGCUUUUGGAUUUAUUUAAGGGGUUAGAAUCUCCUAUGGUCACAGCUAACAAUUACUAAUCACAAAUCCCAAAAAACAGAUAUGCAAAAAGCUGCAAAAGAACAAUAUUAGCAACUGAUGUCUGCUUUUGCUCGGACAAAGGUUCUCAUAACAAAGGACUUAGUGAUUGUCUGUCACAUGUUUAUGUUAAGGGGAAAAAGGAAGUUUGUUUUAGUUAAUCUCAUGUCUAAUGGCAUUCAUAAGGAACCCAAAAAUAAAAGAAAAAAUAAAGAGUUAGUACGUGUUUCUUGCAGCAUAAAGAAAAUUUAUCAUCCAUGAAAAACGUAGUAUGGAAAAAGCUAACUCAUUUAUACGCCAACGGAGAAAAACUUGUCGUCCACCCACUAAGGACCCACCAUUGGCAGGUCUGAUGGAUCCCAUGGAUGGGAACCACAAAUUUUUUUAUUUUAAAUGACAUCGGUAUUGUACCCAUAUCAUUUAGUUUGUCGAUUCCACUUAUGGGACUCGUCAAACUUGCCAAAUGGUAGGUCCUCAGGGGGCAGGCGCAUCGCUUUAGCAUCCUUCUCCACCGACGACCAAAUCUGGACUCAUUUAAAAAGAAUACAAAGCAAAACCAACUGACACAAAUUGCAUAGAGGUCUAGGAGCCAAAUUAAUGUUGUUAACUCAUCCAAUUAACACAUUUUCUUAGGGAUCAUACCAUGGUAUGACAUUUCAAAAGAAACUAAAAGGAAAACAACUGCACAAAUUGACCUGUUGAAGGUGUUCACUGCACAAAAUGAAGGGGGCAGAAAAAAAAGGCAGAAACCCUCAGCUGCUUGCUUGCAAAUAUUAGGACCAGAUCUUACAUUUUCCAAAUAUCACAACUGAAUGCAUAGGGAAAAGUAAAGAGAACUGAUAUAAGAAUAUACAACCCACUUAAUUAUGGUUCUAAACAAGUUCCCUAAAUCAAUUUGUGGAGUUCGCACAUUAUAAUAAUGUAACAGGCUCAUUAUCCACAACACAAUCAUCCAAUUUCAAGCACGAUUAAAAAUUCACCUUCUCCCUGUUGCUCCUUGUUUUGCUCCCUGUUGUGUCUCUCCAGGCAGCACCCAUACAAUUCAAGUAUCUUUCCCACAACUUCUGCAGCCAAAUAACAACAAAUAAUUAAAUAAUUCAUUCACUUCAGUUUGACUGAUUUAUUGUUCAAAAAUGACAUAGGAGUCAAAGAAAGAACAAACCCAAAUGUUCCCAUCACACGUGUAGUUACAUAGCUUGCCUCAGAUCCUAAGAGCUUGGCCAAUCCAAAGUCUGAUACUUUUGGGUUCCAUUUUCUAUCAAGAAGAAUGUUGCUUGACUUCACAUCACGGUGUACACAUUAUAAUAAUGUAACAGGCUCAUUAUCCACAACACAAUCAUCCAAUUUCAAGCACGAUUAAAAAUUCACCUUCUCCCUGUUGCUCCUUGUUUUGCUCCCUGUUGUGUCUCUCCAGGCAGCACCCAUACAAUUCAAGUAUCUUUCCCACAACUUCUGCAGCCAAAUAACAACAAAUAAUUAAAUAAUUCAUUCACUUCAGUUUGACUGAUUUAUUGUUCAAAAAUGACAUAGGAGUCAAAGAAAGAACAAACCCAAAUGUUCCCAUCACACGUGUAGUUACAUAGCUUGCCUCAGAUCCUAAGAGCUUGGCCAAUCCAAAGUCUGAUACUUUUGGGUUCCAUUUUCUAUCAAGAAGAAUGUUGCUUGACUUCACAUCACGGUGUACAAAUUUGGGUUCUAAACCUUCAUGCAAACAUGCUAGCCUGUAAGAGAAAUAACCAUUAACAGUUAUCAAACAAUAUGAAGAAGAUUAGAGCAGACUAGGGACUUCAAACUUGUAAGUGAUCAUUAUAAGCAGCUUCAGAUGAUAAGGUGAUUACCAUAUUAUAAACAUACUUAAAAAACAUAACAGUAUGCAUAAUUUGACAAAACAACUGCUAGUUACAAGGCCUAAAACAUCAAAAUCUUUGGCUUUAGCCAUUACUUUUGAAAUUAGAAUUGACCAAAGGAUAGCCACGAGAUUAUCAGUUUGCCCAUGCACAAUUUAGGACCAAAACGGUCAAUCAUAUAUAUAUUCAAGAUUGGUAAAGAAUCAGCACUGAAAUGAAGACAAGAAAACUCACCCUUUUGCAGUCCCAAUGGCAAUCUUCAUUCGAAUAUCCCAUGUCAGAGGGCUCACUGAUCCUACAUCACCAUGCAACCAUUGCUCCAGAUUGCCAUUGUGGACAUAUUCAUACACAAGCAUCCUAAAUGACCAGUAAAAAUUGCCGAAAAAAAAUUUCAGAACUUUCUUUCUAUUUUCAAUUAACCAUAUGAUUUUAAAAAAAGUGGCACAGGAAAAUAAAUGUACCUUUGAGCACCAUCUGCACAAUAUCCAAUUAGACCCACCAACUUCUUAUGCCUGACUUUACCAAUGACUUUAAACUUCUUAUACCAGUGACGCGAUCUCGCUGCAACACUCACAGUUGCAUUCCCCUGUUUCGGGUCGUCUCCAUUGGGCUAGGAUCCAAUUUAAUCCAUGGCCAUGUAGCUGCAAAACAAGUCGUUCUCGAGGUCGACCGAGCUCGUCGAAUUACCGAUCUGAAAUGAGAUGCACCCCGUCUGGAAUCCGGUAAUGCACCUCGGACUAUGAUGAAUGGUUGGACGGGCUACGUGCUAGUAGAUUCGGGUUCGGAUUUGGCGGAUAUUGCCUUUGCAUUUCUGGAGAUUUAAGAGAGAGAUUCAUAUUUGGGGAAUGAGUGAACGACGAAUAGGGACGGUGCUUUAUUUUUUCAUUUCUUCGAUGGUGCCGUUGCAGGGAUUUAUCCACGCCAUAGCCCAAAAGUGGGAUAUUUACUUAAAUACACCCUCAUAAUUUAAAAUUUUUCAUAUAUACUUUUUUUCAAUAUGCAAUUAUAAAAUUACCCCAAUUCAAAAUCUAAUAUUACAAAAUCACCGAUGUUACAAUGCCCAAGAUGCUUAUGCUGCUGUAAGUUCGUGCUUCUUCUGCUGCUGGUUCUAACACCACAAAUCCGCUACUUUCAUUAGAAAUUCACCAAACUAAGGCUGGAAAUUCACCGAAUUAAAGGUUAUUUACCACAUUUACACUUAAUUUUUACUUCAUAAAGAGAAUUUAAGAUUCAUAAUUGUUGGGGUUAUACGCAUUAGGGUUUUAAAAAAUAAAUUGCCCAUGCGAUUUUGGUCAUUAUUGUAGUUGGCCGAGUUAUUUGUUUCACUUGCAUACUUGCUGAUAAUGUUUCUUCACGAUUCAUGUAAUGAAGCUUCUUGAACUUGUGGAGUUGAAAUUGAAGAGAGUGAUUUCAAGGGAGCUCACUCUCCUUAUAAUGGUUAUGGGAGUUCCUAAUUAAAUAUUAAGAGGGAAUUAGAUAAAACAAAUAUUAUCCUUGUGACUACUCAGUCAUGGCUACACUGAUUUAUCUGUUAGAUCUGUGUUUGGUUUUACUUGUUGUUUGUAGUUGGACUUCAUCCAUGGGAAUUAUAAAUUAAUUUUCUUCAGCUGUGUAUGCAUUCAUUAUGUCGCAAUCUGGGUUUUCUCCAUUAUUUGCUAUGAACCUUCAAUUUACAAUUUCUAGUUAUUUCUUACCCAUAUUAAAUGGAUUUCAAAUAAUAUGUUAAUGAUUAAAUGUCCAUUUGGCUUUUUAAUGGUCCAUCAAUAUAUUUUUUAUAAUAAACAAAAUUUUCAUUCUCUCUAUUCGUUGACAAGCCAUAUUAAAGUAAAUUCUUUUUCAUACUGUCAUUCACUUAAAAUUAUGUACAAAGAUUUGAAUCCAAUGAGAUAUAGAAGUGAAAACAUAUUUAGCUUUUUUUUAGUUUUAUGUUGUAAGCAUUAUGUUUUAUCAUGAAAGGACUUAAAUCCAAGGAGAUAUAGAAGUCAAAACAUAUUUGAUGCUUGUUGUAGUCGUGUAAUGAAUGCUUUACUCGGCUGUAAUUAUGUAAUGAAUACUUUAAUCGGCUGUAGUCGUGUAAUGAAUGUUUUACUUGACUAUAGUCGUGUAAUGAAUACUUUACUCGACUUGUGUGUCGUGUAAUUUUUUUGAUUGGUCUAGAAUAUAUUAUUAUGCAACUUUUCAAUCGUUUUAUAUUAUAAUUAAAAUAUUUUAUGUUUAUGCAGAUGGAAUUAAAAAUUAAGGAAUCUGAAUACUUCAAAGCAAAGAUUUCUAAUCGAUUAUAACUAGAUGCUGUGAAAGACAUAAAUAAAUAUCAUCCUUGUGAGUACGUAAUAUCCCGCAAUAAAAUCAGGGUAUGCAAUUGAGUACAUCAUAUAUAUAUAUUUUUUCCAAUAAGAAUGGUGAUUUUAUUAUUGAUGUAUAUGAAUUUUAUUAGUGGUGAUUGUGAAUCAUUUUUGUUGUAGUACUUGGAGGUCCUAUCCCAUGGCCUUGAUGUCAACAUAUAUUGUCAACAAGAUGAUGUUACACAAUUUCGAAAAGCAUUAGCUGUCAAAUUAUUUGGACACAGGUCGUUGAAACCAACUACAUAGUGUUAUACCUAAAAAUUUCAUUGUUGUGAUUUUGCCAUUUUUUGGAUUAAUUAUCAUAAGAUGUAAUAGUUGCAAUGGGGAUGUCGUUAACAUUUGAUAUCAUUAAAGAUGAUUUUACAUAUUCGAGUAACUUUAUAUAUACACGACGGUAGUCGGGUAACUUUAUAAAUACACGAUUAUAUUCGAGUAAGUGAAUAGACAACAAAAAUUACAACAAAAUGAUAACACAAUUCAAUACAUCGAACAAGAAAAGCUUUUUUUUUUUUUACAUCAAAUAACAUCGAUCCAAUACAUGUGAGGAUCAUAAUAAGUUUCAAGGGAAUACAAGUUGCUACUCAAUUAUCAUAGCUAAAAUACCCAAGCAAAUAUAGUUUUUUUGCUUCGUCGUGAAAAUAAUCUACAUCAUCAUCUGUCAUAAUUGAAAUGGGAGGGAUUGGAUUGAAUGUCUUAAGCUUGAACUUCAUUUCAAUGUCAAAUUUAGAAAUAUCAACGGAAAUAACUCAAGAUAUUCUUUCAUGUCAUAAUAUAACACAUAAUUAUACAACAAAUACAAAAAAAAAUCAAAUAAGGUAUAAAACGAAAUGUGGAAUCGUUUGUCCAUUUACACAACUACCAUCGUGUAAUUGCUUGUUUACACGACAGUAGUCGUAACUUGCUAAAAUAUACAAUUAUAGUCUAGUAAAUAGUCAGAGGAUAUAUUUAGAAAAAAAUGUAUUCUUUACACUAACAGAAUCCUAGGUGUCAUAACGGCUACUAUAUUUUUCUUAUUUACACAACUGCUAUUGUGUAAAUUCAUACAUACACGAUAAAAGUCGUGUAAGUUGCAAAAAUAAAUGACUACAACCCAGUAAAUAGUCAGAGGACAUAUGUCUUCUCAAAAAAUAUUUUUCUUGCACUAAUAGAAUGUUAGGGUCUAUAACGGUUGAAACAUUUUACAUAUAUGCAUAACUGUAGUAUGUAAAUUCAUACGUACACGAUAGUAGUAGUGUGACUUAUUAAAACACACGACUAUAAUCUAGUAAUAGUCAAAGGACAUAUCUACUGAAAAAAUAUAUAUAUUUUGCACCAAUAAAAUGCUAGGGUCUCAUAAUAAUUGGAAUAUUUUACACAUUUUCACGACUGCAAUCGUGUAAAUUCAUACCUAUACGACAACAGUCGUGUAUGUCGGGUGCAGAACAGAAUUUUAGCAACAAAUUUAGGUUUUAACGAAUGUAGUUAUAAAACCCAUCAAAUAACAGUCAUAUGAUGUAAAUGUAAUGAAAAUGUGAGUUGCUUUAUUGUUUAUCACAAACCAAACAAAAUCCUAAAUAUAAUAUAAUGCCAACAAAAUGAAUAAAUAACACAAAAUAAAAAUAAAGUUUCAAAUACCUUAUUCAGGAGAUGAAUAAUGCACCCAGCUCAAACCAAAAUCUCAGUGCAUUAGCUGUGCAUGAGUGAUUUUGAGAGUAUGGAGUGAGUUUUUGUUGUGUGGAGUUAAAAAGAGUAAGAAGUAAAGAGUGUUGAAGGUGAGUUGUGUGUGAAAUACAAGUAUGCAACCCAAGAGGGGGGGUGAAUUGGGAUUCUAAAAAUUAUUCAAUUUAUAAGGAAAAACUUAAUGCAAAUAUAAUCCAAAUUCAAAGCAAUAACAAUUAAGUUGAUCACAAUAUAAAAAGAUAAGGGAAGAGGGAUUCAAACACAGAGAUUUUUACGUGGUUCGGCCAACCUCGCCUACGUCCACGCCUCCAAGCUUUUUGGGCUUGAGGAUUCCACUAAGCAAGCCGCCAAGGCUUCAAAUGCUUACACUUGACUUCCAAGGUGUCAAUAAACCUUUACAACAAGAGAUUAUCCCCAAUCUCUUAACCUAAGUGUAUCCCAACACUUACAAUCACUCAAAGUAAAAGAUUACAAAUUGUUUUGCCUCUCACAAUAUAUAAGAUUACACAAUGAUGCUUAAUAUGUGAAUAGAUGAAGCAAGAAUGUGUUUUAAGCUUUAUGAAGAUUGUAUUCUCGAAUAUUUGCUCAAAGGUCGUGUUGUGAUCAAUCUUCUUUGAAUUUGAAUGAGCUUAUUUAUAUCUGGAGAUGAAAAUCUAGCCGUUACAAACUGUCGGACAGAAAACGGUUUGCCGUUAGCCAUAAACGGUUAACCAUUUCGGUUGGUCAAAGUUAGCGUUGGGCCAGAUUUCAAAUAAACGGUUUGCCGUUUAGGAUUAACCUUUCGCCGUUAACUUCCAGAGACCUGCAAGAUGAACAUUGGUUAUCUGUUUACACUAAACGGUUAAGGACUUGCGUGAAGUGGCUUCUCUGGAUAUUAUCGGUUAAUCGUUUGUAAUAAACGGUAAGUCGUUUGACUCCAAUAACCUGCAAAACAAACUAGCCUUAUCAGGUUUUGUUAAUUAGUGCUAGAGGAGGACAACCUUCAAUUCUGGACGUUAUCGGUUAACCGUUUAAAAUAAACGGUUCACCGUUUAAAAUAAACAGUUCACCGUUAAGUUCCAGUUGCCUUUCCAUCCUUGGUGUUUUCCGUUUUUCAUAAACGAUUAGAGCUUAGGCAAUAUGUUGCUUUCUGGUGUUAAUCGGUUAACCGUUUUAAAUAAACGGUUCACCGUUAAGUUCCAGUAACCUUCCCAUCUUUUAUGUUUUCCGUUUUUCAUAAACGGUUAGAGGUUUAGGAAAUAUGUUGCUCUCUGGCAUUAAUCGGUUAACCGUUUAAAUAAACGGUUUACCGUUUAUUUCCAGAAUCACACUUUAAAACAGAUUUUAUAGAAAAUCAUUUUUGAAUUUGAAGGUCCAUCUUUUAUGAAAGAAUGAAUGGAAUGAUUAUCAAGACUUUUGUUUAUUAAGGAAUAGCUCCAAUAUUUUUAUCAAAAAAAUUUAAAAUUUGUUAUCAUCAAAAUCAAUAUUAUUAACAUAUUUAUGUUAACAGUGUGUUUUAUAUUUUUUCUUUAGGGAUAUUUUAGAUAAUGUACCACAUAAAAAGGUAUAUGUAGAUAAUUUUUAACUAUGGGGUAUAUUUAACUAAAUACCCCAUUUUUAGGGCAUCUUUAAUUAAAAACCCCGUGCCGUUGAGACUUGAGAGCUGGACUUUUUUUUUUUACUACUUUCACUUAAAAAAGAAAAUGAAUAUUAUAUAAAAACAACAUAGUUUUAAUUAAUUUUAAAUAUUAUAAUUUUUUUAUUAUUGUUUAUAUCUUAAUUAUGGGUUCCUCUAUGAUGCUGUAAAUUUUUUUACAGCAUCAAUAAUGUAUUAAUUGUGAAUCAUUAGAUCUAAUCAAUGGUAUACAAUAUUUGUACUAAAAAAAUAAUUUAAAAAUAAUGGUAACUGUUCAAGUGGAUGGAUAAUUUUUGUAAAAUAAUUGUGACCACCCUUAGAGUUUGAAACAAUUUUAAUUAAAUAGUAUAUUUAUUUAAAAUGACUUUUCAGCCCUCCUUUAAAUUUGUAAUAUGAUAAUCUCUUUUAAAUAAAUCUUCCAAAAUCAGUUACCAUUAAGUAUAAAAUAUAAUAUCAAGUAUGUUAAUUAACACAAAGUCUUUUAAUAAUUUGUAUUGUAUGAAUUUAAUUACAAACCAUUAAUACCUAAACAAUAAUGAUAAUAGAAAGCAUUGCAAUAACCUAUUUUAUACAUGUUUUAUUAAUAAUAUUUUAUGAAUCACAACAAAUGAGAAAUAUUUUAUUCACCAAUUAUUAUUGAAAAAUAUAUAUGUCUAUAUAACUAUAGAGUGAGAAAUAUUUUGAUUUAAUUUUUUAUCAAAAAAUUAAACUAUUUAUUUCAUGCAAUUCAAUGGUGGAGGAUAUAACAUUAUGAAAUGUUGCUUUGACUUUUAAUAUCAACCAUUAGACUAUGAGAUAUUAGUGGCUUAAAUAUUGUGCCAAAAUUUUAAGUUAAAGUAUCCCAAACCAUAUCUUUAUAAUGGAAAUAUAAAAACAUACAAUGAUUUUUUUCCUCAUUUUGUCCAUUAAAUAUUAUUUGAUGUAAUAUUUUAUUUAUUAUCACUAUUUAUUAUCAUAAUAAAAGUAAUAACUCUUCGCAGCAUAAAAAUUUUAUAAUUACUAUCAAAGAAUAACAAUAAAAUUAUCUUUCAUGAUUCAUAAACUAAAGUUAAUUAGGAAUAUGUGUUAGAUUUAACUUUUAUGAAAUUAACAAAGUAACAUUUGAAAAAUAAAUGAAAACAAGCUUGCGAAAGUUAAAUUUUAUAAGGCUGAGAUAAUUUCCUACCAUGUCAAUAAAAAUCUAAAAAUAUAAAUGAUUUUCUUUCAAUUUUUUUCCCACGUAAAUAUUAUUGGAGGCAAUAUUUUAUUUAUUGUCACUAUUAAUUAUCAUAACAAAAGUAAUGAUUCUUAAUAACAUAAAAUUUUAUAAUUACAAUAAAAUGAUAUCAAUAAAAUAAUCUUUCACGAAACUAAAGCUCAUUAGGAAUAUAUAUUAGAUUUAACUUUUGUGAAAUUAACAAAGUGAUAUUUGAAAAUAAAAUGAAAAUAUAUAGGCUUAUAAAACUUAAAAUUCCUAUCAUGUAAGGGUAUUAAUUGUAAGAUAAAUAUAAAGUUAAGAGAAUAAGUAUGUUAAAUGGGUGUUAAAAAUAAUACAUACUUCAUGAUCAAUUAUACAAUGACCCUUAAUAUUAUAUAAAAUAAUGAGUAUUUUAAUAUACGAUAUUCAAUUUUAUUAAAACAUGUGUGAUCAAGUAAUUUUUAUGUUACAAGCAAUCUCAACAAUGAGUUUAUUGAUGUAACUAUGACGUUUAAUUAAGUAUAUGUACUUAGUUGUGUUAUUUAUUACUAUUAUAUCAUAUAUAAAUUUUGCAAUUGCAACUUAUUUAUUUGAUUUGUGUUAAAUAACCUACCAUUAUAUUUUAAACUUAAUGGUAAUAGAUUUUGGAAGAUUUAUUUAAAAAAGAUUAUCACAUUUCAAAUUUAAAGGAGGAUUGAAAAAUAAUUUUAAAUAAAAUAUGCUAUUUAAGUGAAAUUGUUUCAAACUCUAAGGAUGGUCAGAGUUAUUUUAUAAAAUUCUCCACCCCUUACACAUUUGUUAACCGUUUACAAUUAUUUUUAAUUUUUUUACUACAAAUAUUGUGUACCAUUGAUUAAAUCCAAUGGUACACAAUUAAAAAUAUUAUUGAUACUGUAAAAAAAUUACAGCAUCAUAGAGGAACCCCUUAAUUAUAUAACAUUAAUCUUUUAAAAAAAGUUAAAGAUAAAAUUGAUAGAUUUAUGAUUAUAUAUAUAUAUAUAUAUAUAGACACACAAUCAUUUAUAUAUAUAUACCUAAAAUAUAUAUAGAACCACUUAUGAUUUUUUUUCGAGUUCAGAUUUAUGAUUUUUAGUUAAAUUUUAAAUUUAUGAUUUGAUACCUAAUUUUUCAUUCAGGAAAGGGACAAGGUAGAUUUUUAUAAACUAAUUUAAAGAAAAAUGAUAGAUUUAUGAUUUUAUUAAUAUAUUAAUAUAUAUUAUAAUUAAUAAUAAUAAUUUUUGAAUAAAUAAUCACUAUAAUUAAAAUAUAAAAUAAUAAUUAUAAUAAUUAUCCAUUAAGUACUUUUUAGUAAUUUGUUACAAUCUAACUCAUUCCGAAGCCAAUUCCAAGAUAAAAUAAACAUAUCAAUGAGAUGUCAUUCCAUUCCGAUUUCAAUUCUUGUAGGUCAAAUAAAUAACUUAUUCUGAUUCUCAUUCCCUAUUCCGACUAAUGACAAGUAAAUGCAACAUUAUAUAUAUAUAAACCUUUUUUUUUUGCCUUUGACUCGAAUUUAAUGGUUAGGCUCGGGCCUAAAUUCAGAGCCCGAUUAAAUUCAUAUCAGGGUUCGGGACCUACAUGCCCGACCCGACCUGACCUGACCCUAAAACUUUAAAAAAAAAAGUUUAUAUAUAUAUAUAGUUUAUUAUUUAUGUAAUAAUAUGGUUACGACCUUAAGUAAUUUUUAUUUUUAUGUUACUUCAAACAAUUUCUAAAGCUUUUAUAUUGUAAUGUAUAUGGGGAGGCUAUGUCCAAUUUUUAAAUUUUAAAUUAACUAAAAAUUAAAAAAAAACUGUAAAGAAAGUGUGAUUGGGCUUGAGCUUUCAAAUAAUCGGACCUUUUUAGGCUUGAAAAUUUUAUGUCAGUUACAGAGUCAGGCUCGGAAAUGACUAAGCACGGGCCUGACUCGACCCACUGCCAUCCUUGCGAAUAUACUAUUGAUCCAUUACGAGCUCAUUAGUUAAAUUCAUAAUCACUAUAAAUGUGUUACUAUCAUUCAAAACUCAUACAAUCUAAAAUUGUAAAUACACAAAAAGGUUUUCAAAGACUUCCAAAAGAAUGCCAAUAGUCUAACUCUCUAAUUUAUUUCGCAUAGGAUAUGGGUCGGGUCAACUAAGCUAAACUAAUGUUGAAAAAAAGAAGCAAAUUAAUGUUGGAGUGGUCAAUUGGUCUUCAAAAUUGUAAGAAUAAAAAAACUUUGAAAAAUAACAUAAAACUCAUAAAUUAAAAUUAACUGUAAAUUAAACAAAGAAAUUGUAAUCCACACAUAGGAUAGCUUGGCAGAAAAAUAAGAAAAUUAAUGUUGGAGUUGAAAAUUGGCCUUGUGAAUUAGAAGAAAUACAAAAAAUUAAACAAACCAGCAUAAAACUCGUAAAUUCACAUUAAGUGUGAAAUGAAACUAAAAAAUUGUAAAUCAUACAUAGGACUAGAAGCAUGACAUAAAACUUAUAAAUUGACAUUAAGUGUGAAGUAAAAUAAAAAAUACGUAAAUGUUGGUAUUUAUUAUAAUCAAAUGUUGUCGAUGCCAAUGUACAAGUGUACACAACAAGUAAUAAAGUGAUGAAUAUUCAAGAUCGUUUCCACAUGGAUUGAUGUUGCUAAAAAUGUUACAGCAAUCACAAUAGUGCAAUCUACUUUAAUCUCGAAACUAACAAAUGUAAAGUUGGUUAUAUUGAAAUUGAUAAUUGUGACAGAAUAAAAUGAAACAAUGCAGUAAUGAAAUAAAAUGUGUCGAAGAAUCAAUUAAGAAUAAGAUAGUUAAAUGAUCAAACUCUCUUUAUGGGCUGACUGCUUUUUCUCAAGUUAGCACCAGUUGUUACAGCAAUUGCUACAAUACUGGGCAGAAUUAUUUUGCAUCCUCAGCUGUCGCGUGUUGAAAUUCUCACACCCUUAAGUAUAUUAGCAAUGACCAGUUGCUAUUCUACCUACGGCAUGACCUUAUGAACCUUUAUUCUCUCCACCCUACAAGGUGAGUACCUAUGUCUAAUUUGUCAUAAAUCUUAACUUCAAGUAUAGCCCUUAUGGGAUUCAAGAUAAACUUAAUCUAGGAAACUUAAAUUAAGAUCAAGUAUUACUCUAAUAAUAUCCGCUAAGACAUGUCCUUUUGCGGCUCUAUCUUAAUUUGAACUAUUAAAUGGGUGGUCAACCGAAAUAACAGUCAUAAUAAUAACUAUUAGAGUAAAAUGCUACAGCAAUGACAUAGCAAUUCAUAAAAACAGUCAAGAACCCAUUAGAUUGUUUGUCACUCAACUACAAGCAAAUUUAGUUCAUAUUCUGAAAGAGAAAAACAAAUAUCAAAAUAUUGGUCAUGAAAUACAUCGGUUCAAUCAAUGAGUAAGGAAAAAAAUAAGUAGAGAACAAUGAAGAUUGAAUCCAAAUAACUCUGCUGGAUUCUUCACUGAUGUCGGAUUGGUUCCCUUGAAUUCAGAUUGUUUUCUUCUCUUCCUCUCGAUUUUUCCAAUGUUAAUUCCUUGCCGCCAUUUUAUGUGGUGCGUGCCUCCUUUUAUAACUAAAAACUAGGGCAAACAAAAGCCUCGGGCAUGCAUGAGUUAAAUUAGGAAACUGCAGAUCGCAAUUAUGCAGCUGACCCACGCUAAGUUUUCUCCCUCAGUGCUCCAGGAUUGCUACAGCAAUGGUUGCUCUAAUAACGGCUAUAACACUGCACUGUUCCCGGUUGUGCUUCACUUCUUUUGCGGCCAUAUUCUUUCCUUCUCUUGUUAGUCUAAUAUCUUAGCAUCCCUUCAUGCAUUAUAAACUUCUGAAAACCUACAAUUAUACAUAUGUUUUUAGCACAAAUUACUUUAAUUCAAGCAAAACUUAUUAAGACUCAACUAAAAUUAAUGUUUAUGCAAAAUAUAACCAAAAUAUAAUAAAAACACCUCAUUUACUCUCUAAGUGAUGAUGAUUUAAGUCUAGAAUUGUUGUAAUAACUCUCAUUUCAUAGAGUUAUCAGUAAACCACACAUAAAACUAAUAAAUUGAUGGAAAAAUGGGUAAAUUAAUGUUGGAGUUGUAAAUUGCAAGAAGAACUUGUAAACAAAACAAAAACCUAGAAAAAUAAAAUAGAACUUGUAAAUUGACAUUAAGUGUGAAAUGAAACAAAAAUUUAUAAACCACACAUAAACUAGUAAAUUAAUGAAAAAAUGGGUAUAUUAAUAAUGGAGUUGUAAAUUAGAAAAAGAAAGUGUAAACAAAAUAAAAACAUAUAAAAACGACAUAGAACUUGUAAAUUGACAUUAAGUGUGAAAUGAAACAAAAAAUUUGUAAACGACACAUAAAAUUAGUAAAUUGAUGGAAAAAUAGGUAAAUUAAUGUCGGAGUUGUAAAUUGCAAGAAAAACUUGUAAACAACACAAAAACUUCGAAAAAUGACAUAGACCUUAUAAAUUGGCAUUAAGUGUGAAAUAAAACAAAAAAUUUGUCAACCACACAUAAGACUAGUAAAUUAAUAGAACAAUGGGUAAAUUUAUGAUAGAGUUGUAAAUUAGAAGAAGAAAGUGUAAACAAAACAAAAACUUAGAAAAAUGACAUAGAACUUGUAAAUCAACAUUAAGUGUGAAAUGAAAUAAAAAAUUUGUAAACGACACAUAAACUAGUAACUUAAUAGAAAAAGGGGUAAAUUAAUGUUUGAAUUGUAAAUUGCAAAAAGAACUUGUAAAAAAAAUAAAAACUUAGAAAAAUAACAUAGAGCUUGUAAAUUGACAUUAAGUGUGAGUUAAAAAAAAAAUUGUAAACGACAUAUAAAACUAGUAAAUUGAUGGAAAAAUAGGUAAAUUAAUGUUGGAGUUGUAAAUUGUAAGAAGAACUUGUAAACAAAACAAAAACUUAAAAAAUAACAUAGAACAUUUAAAUUGACAUUAAGUGUGAAAUGAAACAAAAAAUUUGUAAAGGACACAUUAAACUAGUAAAUUGAUGGAAAAAUGGGUAAAUUAAUGUUGGAGUUGUAAAUUGAAAGAAAAACUUGUAAACAAAAUAAAAAUUUAGAAAAAUGACAUAGAACUUGUAAAUUAACAUUAAGUGUGAAAUGAAACAAAAAUUUGUCAAUCACACAUAAAACUAGUAAAUUGAUGGAAAAAUGGGUAAAUUUAUGUUGGAGUUGUAAAUUAGAAUAAGAACUUGUAAACAAAACAAAAACUUAAAAAAAAUGACAUAGAACUUGCAAAUAGACAUUAAGUGUGAAAUGAAAUAAAAAAUUAUUAAACCACACAUAAAACUUAUAAAUUGAUGAAAAAAUGGGUUUUUUGUAAACGACACAUAAAACUAGUAAAUUGAUAAAAAAAAUGGGUAAAUUAAUGUUGGAAUUGUAAAUUGUAAGAAGAACUUGUUAACAAAAAAAAAAUUUAGAGAAAUGACAUAGAACUUGUAAAUUGACAUUAAAUGUGAAAUGAAAUAAAAAAAUUGUAAACGACAUAUAAAACUAGUAAAUUGAUGAAAAAAUGGUAAAUUAAUGUUGGAGUUGUAAAUUGUAAGAAGAACUUGUAAAUAAAACAAAAACUUAGAAAAAUGACAUAGAACUUGUAAAUUGACAUUAAGUGUGAAAUGAAAUAAAAAAUUUGUGAACGACACAUAAAACUAGUAAAUUGAUGAAAAAAAUGGUAAAUUAAUGUUGGAGUUGUAAAUUGUAAGAAGAACUUGUAAACAAAAAAAAAAACUUAGAAAAAUGACAUAAAACAUAUAAAUUGAUAUUAAGUGUGAAAUAAAUAAAAAGUUUGCAAACCACACAUAAAACUAGUAAAUUGAUGGAAAAAAGGUAAAUUAAUGUUGGAGCUGUAAAUUGUAAGAAGAACUUGUUAAUAAAAUAAAAACUUAGAAAAAUGACAUAAAACUUGUAAAUUGACAUUAAGUGUGAAAUGAAACAAAAAAUUUGUAAACGACACAUAAAACUAGUAACUUGAUAGAAAAAUGGGUAAAUUAAUGUUUGAGUUGUAAAUUGCAAGAAAAACUUGUAAACAAAACAAAAACUUAGAAAAAAAUGACAUAGAACUUGUAAGUUGACAUUAAGUGUGAAAUGAAACAAAAAAUUUGUAAACGACACAUAAAACUAGUAAAUUGAUGGAAAAAUGAGUAAAUUAAUGUUGGAGUUGUAAAUUGUAAGAAAAACUUGUAAACAAAAUAAAAACAUAGAAAAAUGACAUAGAGCUUGUAAAUUGACUUUAAGUGUGAAAUGAAACAAAAAAUUGUAAACCACAGAUAAAACUAAUAAAUUGAUGGAAAAAUGGAUAAAUUAAUGUUGGAGUUGUAAAUUAGAAGAAGAACUUGUAAACAAAACAAAAACUUAAAAAAAUGACAUAUAACUUGUAAAUUGACAUUAAGUGUGAAGCGAAAUAAAAAAAUUGUAAACCACACAUAAUACUAGUAAAUUGAUGAAAAAAAAUGGGUAAAUUAAUGUUGAAGUUGUAAAUUGUAAGAAGAACUUGUAAACAAAACAAAAACUUAAAAAAAUGACGUAAAACUCAUAAAUUGAUAUUAAGUGUGAAAUGAAACAAAAAAUUUGUAAACCACACAUGAAAUUACUAAAUUGAUGGAAAAUUGGGUAAAUUAAUUUUAGAGUUUUAAAUUGUAAGAAGAACUUGUAAAUAAAAUAAAAACUUAGAAAAAUGACAUAGAACUUCUAAAUUAACAUUAAGUGUGAAAUGAAACAAAAAGUUUGUAAACGACACAUAAAACUAGUAAAUUAAUGAAAAAAUUGGUAAAUUAAUGUUGGAGUUGUAAAUUGUAUGAGGAACUUGUAAGUAAAACAAAAACUUGUAAUUGUUGUAUAAAACUUGUAAAUCAACAUUAACUUGUAAAUAUUGUAUAAAACUUGUAAAUCACACAUAAUAUUAAUAAAUGUAACUUGGAACUUGAAUAAAAAAAAGUAAUUAUCUGCUACUUAGGUAACAAGUUACCUAUUUAUUUAGAAUUAGUGGUAGAAAUUUUUUAUUCAAAUUUACUGAUUCACGUCAAUUACGGCAUCAAUGCCGUAAAUUUUGUUACGGCAUUAUAGAAUUACCCUAUCUUAGAUAAAAAGAAUUGUGUAUGGCGAGGUCGGGUGCUUGUUGAUAUAUAUAUAUCUUCCUUUCCGAUCAAAUAAAUCCAUAAUUUUUUUUUCUACUCUAUGCACCUAGACAAUAAUGAUGAAUAAAUUACAAAUAUAGAGGUAGAUUCAAAGAACAUAGUUUUUUUACACAUGUAAACACAAUUUUCUGAUCAUUUGAUUAGAAAAAAAAUGAAGGGUCAAGAUUAGAUGGCAUAGGUUAUUCAUAAUUCUCUCAUUAAUGCUCUAUCUCCAUCCUCUCUCUCUCUCAUUUGAGCUAAAUUUUUUUUAUAUGUUCUAUUAUUUAUUUUGUUUAUUCUAUCCGUAAUUUUAUAUCACUAUAAUUACCAUGAUAAAAUUUGGAUAAUUUCAAUGAAAAUAAUUUUUUUUAAACAAUACGAGGUGAUCACCGAACUUUUCAUUUGAUAUCAUUAACUAGAACAAAGCCACAAAGCCAAUGUUCCGAACGUAAAGGUAUGUGUUCUGGUCUGAGUGGCAAGGGAUAACAUCUUCUUGCAUAAAAGAUUAAUGACAUCAGAAUUACCGUAUUUAGGAAAGUGGAACAUUUAUAUGGACAACCUAUAAAAAAUUUCAAAAAGCUAAUGGGCAGAAAAUAAGUAUUUUAAUUCAAAAUUUUGUACUUGAAUUUUUCUGUCCUUUUUACAGCAUUGAUAAUGGGGUUGUUAUAAAUCUUUUGAUUUAAAUAUUUUAAUCUUUAUCAUUAAUUUAUUAAGUGAAUAAAUAAUUAGUUAAUUAAUGGCGUUACCUUUAAAAUCAAGUUGAUAAUUCAAAUUAAAAGAGAUAUUUAUGAAUUUAACACGAAAAAAGAGAAGUUGCAGCGACAAUUAAAGUGUCAAUCACAUUUAUAAUUUCAUCUGUAGUGAAAGUGACAGGUCCAAUAGGCAAUAUACAAAGAGUGUGUGUAUGUAAAAUUGUGAGGAAGUGAGAUGCUGCCGUUGGAUGAAUUGAAUGGACAUGAUUCAUUGUCAAUGUGGGACCUACAACUGAAGGAAAAAAACUUUAGUCAUAGGCUUUACAUACUGGUCCACAAAUAAAAUGAAGGGAAAAUGACAAUCAACCUCUUAAUGUUUGGGAAAAAAAAUAUAAAUCUCUUUAGCAUCUAAAAAAAGAUACGUAACUUCAUUCUUGUUAAUAAAUUUUAUUUGUUUUAAUGAUAAAUUUAUUUUUAAUUUUAAUCAAUGUUAUAUCCCUAUAAUAAAGAAAUCAAUAUAAUAACUUAAGGCAUGUCAUCAAUGACGUGUAUAAUGAAAUCAAUCACUUUUUAUUUAAAACUUAAAAUUGAGAUAUAAUUACUUUUUACCCAAACUUUUCACUUUAUAAUAGUAAUUGUAAAUUAAAAAUAAAUUUACUAUUAAAAAAAUAUAAUUACUAAUAAUAAGGAGGGUUAUGUGCAUUUUUUGAAAUGAUUUGCAAGCAUUUGGGGCUCAUAGUCCUUUCAAAGAAAAUGAAUUCAAUCCCUCCUUUCUCAUCUCUAUCUCUACAUAAAGAAAAUGAAUUCAAUCCCUCCUCUCUCAUCUCUAUCUCUACACUUACCCCCUGCAGAUGGCUUAUUCUUCAUUUUUUCUUGGUAGAGGAUAUAAGGGCCCGUUUGGUAUUGUUUUUGAAUUAGUAUUUUCUAAAAAUAAAAAUGAGAAUGAAAAUGGUAUUUUGCAGUUACUGUAUUUCGAAUUUAAAUAUGCGUUUGGUAUUAUUUUCUGUAUCCUAUAUUUUAAAACUGAAAAUAAAAAUAUGUGUUUGGUAGACACAAUUGAAAAAGAUAAAAAUAGAGAAUAUGCGUUCGGUAGUACUAUUUUUAAAAAAUAGUUUUUACUAAACAUUUAAAUUAUAGUAAAAAAUAAUUGUUUAAUUAAUACAUAUACUUAAUUUAAACAAAAUAAGUAUAAAAAAUCACAUAAUGAUAAAGUUUUAGUAUUAGCAUUAAUAGAAAAAAGUUUUACAUUAUCAUUGUUUUUACAUUAUAAUUAAGUUACAUAUUACAACACAUAAAUUAAACAAAAUAAUUAUAAAAAAAUUACAUGAUAGACAUCAUACAUUAACACUUACUGGAGAUAAAUCAAAUUCAAUAGUGUACAAUGUACUUUCAAGUUACACUUAUUUUAUGAAAACAAGCUCUAAUGACAACAAUGUCAACUCUGAACUACAAGUAUUUAUCCUCGAAGCGGAUUGAUCCCAAAUGAAAUUGCACAAAACAUAAGUCCAAGCAAAACCAAGAAUCCAUAUUUCUUUAAAUCCCACCUAAAUUCGACCAAAAAAUUCAAGAUUUACAUGUCACUACUAGGAAAAUGCAAAUUAAUGAUAGAAAUUUUAUGACACAUAUCAUUGGGUCACUGGUAUAUCAAAAAGCAUGACGUAUUCAUGACUUUUAUCAUACUGACAUUUAUAGAUGAUGGAUGUAUGUUAUGCAUGUAAUUUACAUAAUGAGCAUGCAAAUAUAUGUCAUGACAUGAAACGACGUCGUUCUCUAUUAUUGAGUUAUUGAUUUUAACUACUUUUAUUUGUACACAUGUCAAAUUUUGAUUGAAUAUUUCAUCAGACAUAGAAAAAAGCUUACCUGCACUAUAUUUCAUAGUAAACCAAAAAAUUGCUUAAAUGUGAAACUCUUCUCUGCUCUCACUGGUAACAGCAGUUGAAAUGAUCAUCUAGCAAAAUGAGAUAUAUGAUGCGUUGCAUACCGUGGCAAUCUAAGCGAGGAAUCCUUUGACUUUGGCAAGCACGAGAUCGUUGACCUUCCAUUGGCGACGAGUAGCAGUCAUGGCUAUGGCUUUGCUUGCUCCUUUUCUCAAACUCAGCACCAUUAUUGGAGAAUUGCACCACACUUAAUCGAUAAAAAUGUACGACAACAAACAAGUUGAAGCUAUAACAAAAUAGAUGGAUUGAGAGAAGCAUGCCAAAAUUGCUCUUGUGAGGGUUCUGUUUAGCUGUCUAAGGGUCUCAAGGCACGAUUUGGCAAUGAAAUUUGCAGGCAUUGAAACGCAUAAAUCGGACAAAAGAAGGGUAAGUAUCUCAAAACCCUAAUUUUUGUAAGAGUGAGCAAGUGAUUGUGUAUGUUAAUGUGAGUGUCUGAUUGUUUCUGUGUAAUAUUGGGGGUUAUUGUGGUUGAAGAUGCACAAAAAUUCAAUCAUGUGACUACUUGACAUUACAAAAAUUCAAGAGAUGAUCUCUACUGUCAUCUUUAAAUUCAAAUCUCGGUAGCGGCAGCGAGCAAACAUCGCGCGUCAUCUUCUGUCUUUCUUUUCCUCUCCAAAGCCAAACACCAAAGUAAACAUGUUGUGGUGAGUCCAAUUGCUCAUUUAUUUUGUUGAAUUUGGUGUCUAAUUGAUUUAAUCUUUGAGAUCUACGGUUUGUUUCUCUUUUUAGGUUCUGAAAUUGGAAAAAAAUUGAAUCUUUAUUACAAUGAUGAGAGCCAAGCUCAACAAUAAUUAAAAAGUUAAAAAUAAGAUUCUAUUUCAUGAAAUUUUAUAGUUGAGUAAAAGAGAGAGGGUAUUGAUUGUUCAGCGAAAACCAGUUGAGAAAUAAAGCAUUAUGAGCAAUGAAGAUGAGGCUAAAUCUGAAGAGAUGAUGAAGAAUGAGAGUGCUUUUCUUCUUGCUUGGUUGGGUAUUGGUGGAAUCAUUCUUUUUCAAAGUAUUGCUCUUGCGGCUUCAGGUAUGUUAAUUGAUGAAAAAUAGAGCCCUUGUUGUUAAAUUUUGUUGAUGCAUAUAUCGCUUUGCUUUUCAAUUCCUGAUGAGUAAUUUGGUAAUUUAGUUGAAUUUUUGUGAUUUUUUUCUCUUUUGCCUGGAAGAUUCCUUGAAUUAAAUAAUUAGUACACUUGAUUAGAUUGAUUUCAUAGAUUAGUUAUUAGUUAAAAACUAAUGUGCCAAUUGUUAUCCUUAAAAGUGUAAAUUUUAGAGUUUAAGAGUAGACUUGAUUGUUCAAAUUCAGGGAACAAAGAUUAAUUUUUAAAUAACAGCUUCGUAAAAUUAUAAUAUUUGUUGCCAAUCAGUUGCUUUUGCAUGUUAUAGAAGUUUAAGCCGUCGCAGGAAGUGCCUAGUGCUGGAGUUUUUCUAGAUUGUAUUUUCCUCUCAUUUCUCUUGACAAUUGAGCUGAAGUCCAAACAAAUGACAUACCAUCAGAUUUCUAAACAAAAUCUCUAUUUAAUAGCUAAGAUAUUUAGGAUCUUGGUCUAAUGAACUUGAGACCAACCUCCAAGUCCACAUGAAAGUGCAGUCGCAUACAAACAUAUGGUGAACUAGUUGGUAAAAUGCAUCAAAACCUUGCAUGUCAGCCUAAAUCUUAGGUACACGAUCAUGUAAAUAUAAUCAAGUUGGCUAUCUUUUGUAAGAUUUGCUGGCCCUGCAAAACGAACCAAAUUAAAAAUUGAGUUCUUAACUGAUGUGCAUGUGCUCCAGAUAGGUUUCGGAUAUUUUAUGAAGCUCAGUAUUUAUUAGUUGUUUCCUCGAUUAUUGAAUCAUUCAAUGGUAGUUGCAUGUCUCAUUGAUUGCUAUUGAUAAUGCUUUAAUUCUUUGUUGCUGUUUUUUUACUUUUUCUGCAGUUGUUAACUGCAGUUUCCUGUUGUUUUCCUGCUGUUUUCUACUAUUUUAGUUGUUGUUUCAUGUUGUUUUCCUGAUGUUUCCUAUGAUUUUACAUGUUGUUUGCUGCUAUUAGUGUCGAUAGCUGCUGUUUUAUCUAAUGUUUGGUGUUGUUUUUCGCCACUUUUCUUUUUGUUGUUUUACAAUAUUUUCGUUCAUUAUCCAUUACCUAAUUUUGUAGUGGGGACAAAUUUAUUAGGUACUAGGUUAAUGGCAACAUGUUGACAAUGGAUCCAGCGACUCAAAUGUAUAGAAUUCUUAAGCAUACAAACCAUGAAUACCUUUUUCAGGUUGUUUAAAUUGUGAAAAAAUAUGAAUUUUUUUGUGGGUUUUUUUUAGACUAUCGUUUACGUGAAUACCUCUCAAGCAACUGGAUAUGUUGGUGUUCUUAUAAUAACAAGGUAUGUAUGUUCCAUUCUGCUAUUUUUGUGCUCUUUGGUACAUGGUUUGAGGAAAUUAAAAUAAUCUUUGUUGAUUAUCCGCUAAUAAAUUUUGGUAUGCGACAUAAUAUUUAAUGACCUAUGUGAGAAUUAAUAUUGUGACAUUGUGUUUGAAGCAUCUGAUUUCUGUUGAUUGGUGCUAUUCAUUGUAUGGUUUUUUAGAAAUAAAAUUUUAGUUGCAAGAGACUUCAUCUAAUUUUGAUUUUGUAGCUACACUUGAAUCUUAUUCAUGUAGUUGUGUAGCUUCGAACAUCAAUGGUGGUUUUUUAAAUCUGGUGGCUAAAACAGGAAGAACAAUGUUGUGGCGAAGAUUUUUUGUUAAAUUAAAAGAAUUUAAGUAAGUUAAAUAUAUUGGCUCAUCGAAGAAGGCAGAAUUUUUUUCCUCACUGUUAUAUCAUGCUCCAGAUCUACUGUAUUUGAGAUGGAUUAUACAAGCAUAGGGAAUUGACAAUUGAUCAUUAUGGGAGCAUUUUAAACAUGCCCAAGUUAGAAAGUAAAAGUCAGCAUACUCAUUUUCGUUGUUGCAUGUAUAUUGAUGAAGUGUUGUUCAUUAAUUGCUACGCUACCAUCAUGGAAAGCAUAUACUGAUGAAGUGUUGAUUCAACUAUGAAUUGUUGUACUUAUUUUAUUUGAUAACUGAUAGCUGAUAGUGUUGUAGAUGGAUUUGCUAAUUAUGAUAUAUGAAUUUGAAUUAUGAAUUAUGGUUUAUGAAUUAUGAGAUUUUGAGUGUAUUGUAGAAUAUUAGUUGUUUUUUAGCUGCUGCUGCUAAAAAUAAAAAAUUCAAUUCUAAAAAAAAAUAAUAUUGAUAAUUCAAAUUUGGCACCAAUAAUAUAUUUUAAUUUUAAAAUUAAUCUUAAUAAAUCUUGCCAAAUAAUAUUUAAAAUAAAUUUAAUUUCCUACCAAAUAUAUUUUAAAAAAUUGUCAAAAUUCCCUCUAGAUUUAAUAAAGUUUAAAAAAUUAAAUAAUUUUAUUAUUUCUAGACUAAUUAAUUAAAUGUCAUCUUUGUAUGACAUAUAAUAGUCAUGCAUAAAAAAUGUUUAUGAUAUAAACUAGUCAUGCGCGAAUUUUUUUAAUUAAAAUAAUUAUGACACAAUCGUGACAGAUAAUAUGUCAUGUAUUAGAUGAAGUAUAAAAAUUGUUAUCUAAUUUUCUUAACAUUAUAAUCAAGGACGGUUAUUCAACCGUCUCUAUAGCACAUGAUGGGUAAAAGCCGUCAUAAAACCCUUUUUUUUUCUAAUAGUGUGUGUAGGCGCCCACUUUGAUUUAAUGUCAUAAGUUUCGCAGAGCCAUUCAUUACCAUCCAAUUGUACUUUUUGGAUGUCAUCCUUCCACUUUGUUUUAAUUCGAACUCAUCAGUAGUCUUUGAAUCCUAUAUACAUUUUUAGAAAUUUUUUUUUUAAACUAGAAUUUAUGAGAUGAUAUAUACCUUCACUCAACCUUCGAAAAAAUUAAUUCAAAAUGUGCAAUCCUAAUUCCUACGACUAAAAAUAAAAUCACAAGCAUUGUUUUGGGGGGGGGGGGGGGGGGGGGGGGGGGGGGGGGGGGGGGGGGGAGGAAGAGUGAUUGAAUUCUUCCACAUUUUCUUUUUCAUUUAUAUGUGGGUCCCACGAUGUAAAGUGCUUGACUUAAGUUAUUUUAUUCUUUAGCUGCGGGUGACAGCAAAUUCUAUUCAUACAAUUCAUGUCACAGAUAGCAUCUCAUAUCCACGCAAUUCACAAUUUCCGGAUAUCCGCAUGUAUGCUUUUGUAUACUUUUCAGUUUACACUCUAUAAAUGAGAAGCCGAUAAUACGUUGAAUUUUUUUGAUCUACAAUUGUAUUCAACAAAAUGUCUUUCAAUGAUAUUAAUCAAGAAUUAUAAAAGAAAAAUUCUAUAAUAAAGUGAUUAAAACUGUAGUGUCAAUGACAUGAUAAACAUAAAUUUUAUAAAGUUCACAUAAAACUAGUUAAUGAAAGGUAAAAUAAAUAUAUUAGUAUAAGAGUGGUGAAUUUGUGUUUUAACAUCACAAAUAAAAUAAAAACUUAUAAAAAUAAUAUAAAACAUUAAAUCAAUAUUAAAAUUUCAUUAAACAAAAAAUAAUUUAUUUAUUUAAUUAAAUUAAACAAAGAAAAAAUGCAUUCAUCAAUUGAAAACAAAAAAAAAAGUGAAAUAAAAACAAUUGGAAUAAGUUUUAUUGAUUUUGAUUAACCAUAAAUUCUAUAUUUAUUCUAAGAUAUUCAUACUUUUUUUUUUCAUUUUCUAUCAUAGUAUUAUUUACUGCACAAGUCCAUUAAGCAAAAUUAUUUUUCUUGAUGUGGAUCAAGGCAAAAUAAAAUAAAAAGAUAUCCUUAUAUUACUAGAUAUAUAUGAUAUAUCAAUAAAAUUAGAUCUAAUUUUCUGUUUUAUACAUACUUCAUUCAGCUUUUAACUAUGCUUCUCACUUUUGUUUAAAGAUUAUUUGGGGUUAUUGCCGAGGAAGUUUUGAAGGAUGUAAAAUUACCUUAUCUUAUAAACAGCUUUGAAAAAUUUGAAAAGAAUAGUUAUUCAAAUUCCAAUUUUGAGAAUAAAUUUUAUCCUUAAUAAAAUUCACAUUUAUCAUCACAUGUGUUAAAUAAACCCAAAGCUUCGUUAUUCAAUUUAGAAACAAAAUCAGCAAAUAUAUAAGGUGAUCAUUAUUAUAAUGAGUUUUUAUUUUAUACUUGCAAAGUUUUUAAUAAUUCUUAUGUUAAUUUACUUGUUUUACAUUGAAUUUACAAGUUUUAUGUUUUAGUUAGCUAAUUGAUGUUUUAUUUUACAUUUAAUGUUGAUUACAAGUUUUAUGUUAUAUUAGAGUUUUUUUUUUAUUUACUAAUGAUACACCAAUUUACUAUUUUUAUGUUAAUUUACUUAUUUUACUUUCUAUUUACAAUUCUUAUGUUUCAUUUACAUAAUUUAUAUUUUAUUUUACAUUUGAAGUUGAUUUACAAGUUUUAUGUUACAUUUGUAAGUUUUUAUUUUGUUUAGUAAUAAUACACCAAUUUACCGCUCCUAUGUUAAUUUACUUAUUUAAUCUUUGUUUUACAAGUCUUAUGCUCCAUUUUCACAAUUUUAUGUUUUGUUUUAUACUUAAUGUUGAUUUAUAAGUUUUAUGCUACAUUUAUAAGUUUUUUUUUUUUCAUUUACAAAUAUACACCAAUUUAUCACUCUUAUGUUAAUUUGCUUAUUUUACCUUUCAUUUACAAGUCUUAUGUUCUAUUUACACAAUUUAUGUUUUAUUUUGUACCUAAUUUUGAUUUACAAGUUUUAUAUUACAUUUCUAAGUUUUUGUUGUGUUUACCAAUAGGACACCGAUAGCCACUAAUUGACAUUAAAAAGUGUACAUUUAAUAGGGAUAAAACUAUCAAUUUUUUACUUACAGUGUCGAUUAAUGCAUUCAUUAUUCCUAAAUUAUCUUAACACUUUCCAAAUAUAUAUGUAUGUUAAAUUAAUUUGUAAUAUGUUAAUUUUAUUUUAAUUUUAUAUUGUAGAUAUAUUUUAAGAAUAAAGAGGAGUUGGAACUUGGAAGCGAGAAACAAAUAAGAAUUGCUGGAACCAUUUGGAAUGCAUUAUUGAGGAGAUGUAAUAAAUUAAAAUAUUAAAUAAAAAAAAGUGAGCAAACAUGCUCGUAAUGGUCAAGUGGCUAUUUUGCCAAUUGACCAUCACACUUCUCUCUCUCUCUCUCUCUCUCUCUCUCUUUAUAUAUAUAUAUAUAUAUAUAUUAUAAAAAAAUAAUAAAAUAAUAAGAAAAUAAAAGAAGAGGAUGCAUUGCUCACCUAUAAAAGGCGAGCGGAAACAAGUAGUAGAGUGAGGGAGAGAACAAGAGGGAAGUUGAGGAAUUCUUUCCUUUUUUUUUAGAAGUUUGUUAAAUAAAAUGAAUGUUUUUCUUUUCAGUAUAACUGUGGCACAUUAGGUAUUUGAUCCCAUAUUUAUCCACACAAAUGGUUAGUUGAAAAUUAAAUGGAAAAAUAAGUAACUGGCAAAAGAAAUGCAAAAUAUAAAUUUGGGAGAGUAUUGUAACCAUAAUUUGAAAUCCGAGAGUGGAUCUCGUAACCUUAGCAUAUUUUUAGAUUGAUUCCUAUUAAUUUCUUUUCCAACAUUUAAUUUUCUUUGUGAAAUAAAUUAAGUAGUAGAUUUUAAAUUUCAUGUGGUUUGACCUCGGACUCACCGGAUUAUAUUAUAAUUAGACACUCUUAUACUUAGGAGUAAUAACACUUUUGAGUCGUGUCAACCACUCUUAUGUUAAUUUACUUAUUUUACCUUUCAUUUACAAGUCUUAUAUUCUAUUUACACAAUUUAUAUUUUAUUUUAUACUUAACGUUGGUUUGCAAGGUUUAUGUUCCAUUUGUAUGUUAUCAUUUUGUUUACCAAUAACACCCUAAUUUACUAUUCCUAUGUUAAUUUAAUUCUUUUACCUUUCAUUUAUAAAUCUUACGUUUCAUUCACACAAUUUAUACUUUAUUUUACACUUAAUAUUGAUUUAUAAGUUUUAUGUUACAUGUGUAAGUUUUUAUUUUGUUUAUUAAUAAUACACCAAUUUACCAUUCGUAUGUUAAUUCAAUUCUUUUAACUUUCAUUUAUAAGUCUUAUGUUCUAUUUACACAAUUUAAGUUUUAUUUUACACUUAAUAUUGAUUUACAAAUUUUACGUUACAUUUGUAAGUUUAUAUUUUGUUUACCAAUAAUAUACCAAUUUACCAUUUCUAUGUUAAUUUAAUUCUUUUUCCUUUCACUUAUAAGUCUUAUGUUCUAUUUACACAAUUUAUGUUUUAUUGUACACUUAAUAUUGAUUUAUAAGUUUUAUGUUACUUUUGUAAGUUUAUAUUUUGUUUACCAGUAAUUCACCAAUUUACCAUUCCUAGAUUAAUUUGCUUUUUUAACCUUUGAUUUAUAUGUCUUAUGUUCUAUUUACAUAGUUUAUAAUUUAUUUUACAUUUAAUGUUGAUUUACAAGUUUUAUAUUAAAUUUACAUGUCAUAUGUUUCAUUUACAUAAUUCAUGUUUACAUACGGUAUUGAUAUCGUGAUUUUAAUCAUGGCAUUAUAGAAUAACCCUAAAAUUGAGAGGAAAACUAAAUUUUAUAAACAAGAGUUUUCCAAAUUAAUGACAACUUAUAAUUAUGCAAGUAAUAUAGUUUUCAUUGAUUUAACUAUUCCAUUUAUAGAUUUACAGGAGAGAGGAAAGAGAAAAUUGGAAUAGGAGAAAAAAUAAAAUUAAACAUUAAAAAAAGAAGAGAGAAAAAUAUUAAUGAAGUUAGAAAUUCUUAUCAUCUAAUGUUAACGCUUCAUUCUUAUUUCCAUUUUACAACACUCAAUCAUCUGACAUUAUUAUUAUUGUUGUUGUUGUUGUUGUUGUUGUUGUUGUUAGUACUACUACCACCAUCUUCUUUACCAAUCCUCAGAUAAAUUCAUACUGAACGAUCUUUUAGCCAAAAGUUUCAGCACACUUAUCCUUAGCCAGACCUAACUUUAAGUAUGCAAAAUGAAUUUAGAUUUAGUGUUGAACUGAGUUUUUUACUAGUUCUUUAAAAAGAUACAAUUAGUAGUUAUUAAAUAAGAAUAUAAAACUAAUUAAAUCUUAAAUCUUAAUUAUGUAUUGUUGUACAUGCAUGUGAGGCAGCUCGGGUCAACAUUGGAUCCAAAUCCAUGGCAAAUAACUCUCCAAAUCCAUCAUUUCCUCUAUGACAAAGUGAUCAAAUGGCCCCUUAUUCUCUGCUCCAUGAUGUGCUAAUAAUUUAUAUGUUAAUUUAAUAUUUCAUUAACUUAGUUUUAUGUCAAAUUAUAUUCUCUUAUGUUAAUUUUUAUCUUAAUUUUAAUAUUUUGUUGUUUUAGGUAUAAUCUAGGACUAGAGAGGAGUUCAAUCAUAACAUUCAGAAAGAAAUUUAAUUGAGAGAAUCAGAAAGGGAAAAAAUAAAGAAAUUUAAUUGAAACAAAUCAAGGAAGAUUUACCAUCAUGCAUGCAAUCACGUGGGGGGGGGGGGGGGGAGGGGAGCAUUUAAGAUUUAGUUGACAAAUAUGGCAUGUACGUGAACUUGGGCUUUUGAAUUUGCAAUAUAAUGGCCUAAGAACUUAAAGGUCGCUUGGCUUACUUUUGUGAGUUUGUCUUUUUAAUCCUUUUGGGUUAAGGAUUUAAAGGUCACCGAUUGAGCAUUACAAAAAGAAGAAAACAGGGCAAAAGCCGAAGUAGCCUCACGAAUAGAAUCAGGUAGAAGCACCCGCAAGACAUCUAGAGAGAAGCCAGAUUAAUUCUUGAGUUUUUCUUUCCCUCUUCUCUAUUGCUGUGCUUGAAUGUUCCCUACAAUGUUUAUGAAUUCUUUUUAUAUUCUAAUGAAAUAAUUUAUUUUGCUAGGGCUACAACGUAGCCUAACUAUGAAAUUUAAUUCCAUAAAUCUAUGUUAUUUUUAGUUUAUUAUUCCAUGAUUGGGUGUUCAUUAUUGUACUUAAUGCUUUUAAAUAUCUGGCCAAUAUUUGAAUGAUUUGAGGAUAUAUAAUGAGAGCAAGAGGAGAUUUAUGUAUUUUUCCUAUAUGUAAUGGAUGUCAUGAAUUGAACGAAAGACAGAGAUGUGCCAACGUGAUUCAUGCAGUUUUAUCUAAGAACUUCCAUAGAACUUAAUGAAUUUUUACAUAUUUAAAUUCACUUAGAGAUAUAGUUAGUUAAUAUAUGAGGGUAUUUUUUUUUUAUAUUAUUCGAGAUAAGAUAUUGAAUAGAUUAGAGAAAUUUACUAUCAAUAUGCAUGAUAAUCUUUAAUAGGAUCGAUGGAGGAUUAAAUUGGAUUGGUUAUAGGGAAAUCAUAUGUCCUAAUUUCUAAAUCUCUUGGUGAUUUUUAUUACUGCUUGCAUCUUUAUUUAAUUUUUAGUUAUUUUGUUUUAUCUAGUUUUUAAUCGAAAUUCACUUAUUCAGUUAUUCAAAUAGAAUAGGGUUAGAAUAAUUGAAGUAACUAAUAAAAUAUACAAUCUCUAUAGGAUGAUACUCUAUUCUUUAUUAUAUUACUCGUGUUGACUACUACACUUGCUAAUACGCAACAAGUUUUUGGCUCCGUUGCUGGGGAUUUUUUGGAUUAGUAUCGACACCAACUAACCUUAGUUUAAUUUCAAUUUUAUUUUUAUUUUUAUUGUUUUUAUUUUAUUUUCAUUUUCUUGUUUAAUUUUAUAAGACAUUCAAGAAGUUUUGAUUUAUUGCCUUUUGAUGCAGAGAUUGAAUGUACCUAUAGAAGGCUCAACAGGGAAAGAAGAGAAGCUUUGUAGGAAUAACAACUAAUUAUGGCUAAAAAAACAAUACAAGAAAAUAGAGAUGCAGGACUUUUACGAGAUUAUGUUGUGCCUACAAUUAGUGGUACUCGCUCAAGCAUUGCACGCUGUGCCGUUCAAGCCAAUAAUUUUGGGAUAAUCCAGAUGAUUCAGAUGUCAGUACAAUUUUUUGGGAUGCCGAAUGAUGAUCAAAAUGUUCAUAUUGCAAAUUUCCUAGAAAUUUAUGACAUAUUUCAGUAAAAUGGUGUCUCAGACAAUGUUUUCAAGCUAAGGCUUUUUCCCUUCUCACUUAGGGACAAAGCAAAAGAAUGGUUGAACUCGCUCCCUACUGAUACAAUCAUAACAUGGGAUGACUUAGCGCAGUAGUUUUAGCAAAGUUUUUCCCUUAGUAAAAGCAACCAACUUAAGGAAUGACAUCAUAACAUUUGCUCAAUUUGAGAUAGAGUCACUAUAUGAAGCAUGAGAUAGGUACAAAAACCUACUAAGAGAAUGUCCACAUCACGGUCUUCCAAUUUGGCUUCAGGUAUAAACAAUUUACAAUGGUUUGGGAUCUACUACUAGAACAAUGAUUGAUGCUGCAGCAGAGGCACUUUAAUGGGAAAAACACCACAAGCAACUUAUGAAUUGCUGGAGGAGAUGGUCUCUAAUAAUUACCGGUGGUCUUCAGAGCGAUCAAUACCAAGGAGAACUGUAAGAGCCCAUAAUGUUGAUGUUGUCACAUUUUAACUGAACAAAUGACUGCUUUAUCUAAUAAGCUGGAACAUCUGAAUAUUAGUGCUAUUCAAACGCAAGUGUGUGAAUUAUGUGGGGGAAAUUACACCAUUAUUAACUACCAAGUUGGAAGUCCUUUUGCGUCGUCAUCUACUGAACAAGCUCAUUAUGCGUCAAACUUCUAGAGGUAACAAAACAACCCGUAUUCUAAUACCUUUAAUCCUGGCUAGAGAAACCAUCCGAAUUUGUCAUCGAAAAACACUCAAAAUACAUUGAAGCCACCUCUAGGAUUUCAAUAAUAAGAAAAGAAGUCAAAUUUAGAAGAUGCUCUUACCCAGCUUAAAACGAAUAUGUCUCAAUUCAUGACCAAAAUACAGACAACUUUUGAAAAUCAAGCUGCAUCAAUCCAGAACCUCGAGGUACAAGUAGGUUAGAUUGCAAACUUACUAUCCAACAGACCACAAGGCUCCCUGCCAAGCAACACUGAGACAAAUUCAAAGGAAAAAAAUGAAUGCAAUUAUGGUUCGAAGUGGUAAACAAUUUAAAGAGUCUCCAAAAGAAGUAAAGGAAGUUGAAGAAGAUAACAUGGAGCAAAAUAAGGACACCACUAGAACACUUGAGACAACAAGUUCAGAAAUUCCACUAUCACAACAAUCAACACUAGUCAAAGCCUAUGUCCCUCCAAUCUUGUUUCCUUAGUGUCUUCAGAAAAAUAAAUUAGAUAAGUAGUUUUCUAAAUUUCUUGAUGUUCUUAAAAAGUUGCAUAUUAAUAUUCCUUUUGCAAAUGUUUUAGAACAAAUGUCGAGCUACACUAAAUUCAUGAAAGAAAUUUUAUUUAAACAAGAGAAAACUAGAAGAGCAUGAAACAAUGUUGUUAACUAAAGAGUCCACUGCAAUUUUACAGAAUAGAUUACCACCGAAGUUGAAAGAUCCAGGGAGUUUUUCUAUUAUUUGCAGUAUUAGAAAUUCUUAUUUUGAUAAAGCUUUAUGUGAUUUAGGUGUAAGUAUUAAUUUAAUCCCUCUAUUUGUUUUUAAGAAAUUAGGACUUGGUAAACCAAAGGCAACAACUAUUUCUCUUCCAUUGGUAGAUAUGUCUAUAAAGUAUCCAAGAGGUAUGAUUGAGGAUGUACUUACGAAGAUCGACAAUUUUAUAUUUCUUAUAGAUUUUAUUAUUUUGGAUAUGACUGAAGAUCAGGAAUGCAAAUCAUUUUAGGCUGACCAUUCUUGGCCAUGGGAAGAACUCUUAUUGAUGUCCAAGAAGGAAAACUAAUCAUUAAGGUGCAAGAUGAGCAAAUCACUUUCAAUGUAUUCGAAGCAAUUAAAUGUCCAUCUAAAAUCGACACAUGCCUUUAAAUAGAUAUCAUUGAUAAAAAAAAAAGUAAUUGAAAGCUUUCACAAUAUAAUGUUGAAUGACUUAUUAGAAUGAUGUAUUAUUCACUCUGGGACUACUCAAUUAGAGAGCUUGGUAGGAGUCCUUAUCGACCAAAACCUUCAAUAGAGGAACCUCCAAAACAUGAGCUUAAGCCUCUACCCUCUCAUUUGAUAUAUGCUUAUUUAGAUGAUAACUCUAAGCUACCAGUUAUUAUUUUUUUUACCUUGACAGAUCUUGAACAGGAAAAGCUACUUCAUGUUUUAAGAGACCACAAAACUGCUCGAGAAUGGACUAUUGUUGACAUCAAGGAAAUAAACCUUUCAAUUUGUAUGUACAAAAUUCUAAUGAAGGAGAUUUAUAAGCCUACAAUGUAGCCACAAAGAUAGCUAAAUCCAAACAUGCAAGAAGUGGUUAAGGCAGAGGUGCUUAAAUUGAUGGAUGCUAGGAUAAUUUACCCAAUUUCUAAUAGUUUACGGGUGAGACUAGUGCAAAUGAUACUAAAGAAGUGCAAAAUGAUAGUCAUGAAAUAUAACACCAAUGAACUUAUCCCAACAAGGACAACCACAGGUUGGCGGAGUAUGCAUGGAUUAUAGGAAACUUAAUGUUGUUACUAGAAAAGACCACUUUUCACGGCCUUUGUUUGACCAAAUGUUGGAGAGAAUUGCUGGCCAUACUUACUAUUGCUUUUUAGAUAAAUAUUCAGGCUAUAAUCAAAUCUUUAUAGCACUAGAAGAUCAAGAGAAAACCACCUUCACAUGUCCUUAUGGAACAUUUGCUUAUAGAAGAAUGACAUUCGGUUUAUGCAAUGCACCCACUUUUCAGCGUUGUUUAAUGGUUAUAUUUUUUUAUAUGGUGGAGAGAUUCAUUAAUGUGUUUAUGGAUGAUUUCUCGAUUUUUGGAUCUUCAUUUGAUCAUUGUUUGAACAAUUUAGAUCUAGUUUUGCAGCGAUGUGAAGAGACCAACUUAGUUUUAAAUUAGGAAAAAUGUCACUUUAUAGUGUAAGAAGGCAUUAUACUAGGUCAUCAUAUUUCUACUAAAGAAAUUGAAGUGGAUAGAGCAAAGAUUGAAGUCAUUGAGAAGUUACCGCCACCGACUUCCGUGAAAGCUAUAAGAAGUUUUAUAGGCAUGCCGGGUUUAAUCGACGUCUUAUUAAAGAUUUUUCAAAGGUAACGAAACCUUUAUGCAACCUUUUACUCAAGGAUGUUCUUUUUAAUUUUACUGAUGAGUGUUUGCAGGCUUUUAAUACUUUGAAAGAAAAACUAACCUCCGCUCCAAUAAAUAUGGCAUCUCAUUGGGAUCUAUCUUUUGAGCUUAUGUGUGAUGCGAGUGAUUUUGUUGUUGGAUAGUUUUUGGGUAGUGGAAUAAAAACAUGUUGCAUGUCAUUUAUUAUGCAAGUCAAUCUCUGACAGACGUGCAAUGGAAUUAUGCUACUACUGAGAAAAAGUUUGGCUGUUGUGUUUGCACUAGAAAAAUUUCGCUCACAUUUGAUUUGCUCAAGGGUGAUAGUUUACACUAUUCAUUCCGCUCUAAGUAUCUAUUCAUAAAGGUAAAUGUAAAAUCAAGACUGAUCCAUCAGGUGCUUUUACUAUAAGAAUUUGAUUUAGAGAUUUGAGACAAGAAGGGAUUUGAAACUUUGGUGGUGGAUUACUUAUUUCGGUUAGAGCAAAGAGAGCAAAAAGAUAAUGUAGUGGUUUCAAUUAUUGAAGAAUUUUCUAAUGAAAAGUUACUAGUUCUUUAAACUUUUGAAUGUAGAAUUUUCUAAUAAAAAGUUACUGGUUCUUUAAACUUUUGAAUGUAGAAUUUUCUAAUGAAAAGUUUCUGGUUCUUUAAACCUUUGAAUGCAGUGGUUUCAAUUAUCGAAGAAUUUUCUAAUAAAAAGUUACUGGUUCUUUAAACUUUUGAUGCACCAUGGUAUGCAAAUUUUGUAAACUAUUUGGUGAGCAUCAUUGUUCCUUUUAAUUUAUCAUAUCAACAGAGGCAAAAAUUCCUCUCAUAUGCCAAAUCUUAUUUUUGGGAAGAUCCAUUCUUAUAUAAGUAUUAUUUAAACCAAAUCAUUCAAUGAUGAGUUCUAGAAGAAGAGAUGAGAUGCAUUCUAUAGCACUGUCACUCCUAUGAGGUUGGUGGACACUUGGGUGUAUCCAGAACUUCAGCAAAGGUGCUUCAAUCAAGUUUUUAUUGGCCCAUCUUAUUUAAAGAUGCUUACAUUUUUGUUGCUACUUGUGACUAAUGUCGAAGAACUGGUAACAUUUCAAGGAAGAAUAAAAUGUCGUUAAAUAAUAUUCUUGUAGUAGAAUUGUUUGAUGUUUAGGGAAUCAACUUCAUGUGUCCAUUUCCAUCUUUCUUCAAGAAUAAAUAUAUUCUAGUGGCUGUUGAUUAUAUUUCUAAGUGGGUCGAAGCUGUUGCUUUGCCUUCAAAUGAUGCAAGGGUCGUUGUGAAUUUUUUAAAGAAAAAUAUUUUCUCACAAUUUGGCACUCCAAAAGCCACUAUAAGUGAUGGUGGGAAAUAUUUUUGCAAUUGGCAAAGCCCUCUUGAACAAAUAUGGAGUUACACAUAUAGUUGCCACUCAUUACCAUCCACAAACCAGUGGCCAAGUUGAAGUCUCUAAUCGGGAAUUAAAGAGAAUUUUGGAGAAAACUGUAAAUGUGUCAUAGAAUAAUUGGUCGAAAAAACUAGACGAUACACUUUAGGUUUAUCAAACAGCUUUGAAAACACCUAUUGUUAUGUCUCCUUAUAAUCUAGUAUUUGGAAAAGCAUGCCAUCUGGCUGUUGAACUUAAGCAUAGGGCAUAUUGGGCUAUGAAGAUUUUGAACUUUGACAUGCAAGCUGCAGGAGAGAAGAGAUUGUUGCAACUUAAUGAAAUAGAUGAAUUUCUCAAUGCAACUUAUGAGAAUGCUCAAAUCUGUAAAGCCUGUACUAAAAAUUUGCAUGACAAACAUAUCCUCUGACGUGAAUUUUAGGUUGGUCAAAAGGUUUUAUUAUAUAAUUCUUGACAUUGAUUCUUCCUAGGUAAGUUGCGAUCAUUUUGGUUGGGCCCUUUUACAAUAACACAAGUCUUUUCGUCUGGCGUGGGAGAAAUUUCUCAUUAGGGAUGGCAAAAAUCCCCACGGGGACGGGUACUCUCGGGGAUUUUCUCCAUUCGGGGAGGGUAUGGGGAUAAUUUCAUACCCAAUUUCUUAUUUGGGGAAGGGACGGGAAAUUUUUUUUAUCCAAUUUCUUAUUCGGGGAGGGGACGGGGAUGAAGUAAAAUCCCCAUCCCCUACCCAUUUCCCUAUUUUAAUUUUUAAUUUAAUUUUUAUUUUUUAAAAUUACUAGUAAAUAAAUAAUAAAAUUUGAAUUAUAAAAUUAUAAGUAUUGGUAAAAAUAAAAAAUAUCAAAAUAUUUAUAUUAUUAAACUUUUAAGCCUAAUUAACUAAUUAAAGUCCUAAAUUUUUAUUUAAGACAUUAAAAAGACCGGACAGAUUCUAUUAGCCCAAAACUUUUGUUUUAAUUUUAAUAUUCAUUAAAUAUUUUAAGCUUAAAUCUAUUUUUUAUUUAUCUUAAAUCUAUUUUUUAUUUAUUUUUAGAUGUUAUAAUUGCCCACAGCAAAUCACAAUUUUAAUAUCUAAUUUAAUCUAAUAUUUGCUCUUGAUUUGCUUCGACUUAACUAUUGUGCUGUAAAGGGAAUAGUCCACAUUUAUAAAGUGUCCACGCCACCAUUGAAAAGUUAAUUUAGAAUCUAAAUUUGAUUUUAUUUGUAACAAUUUUGUAUUAGGCUAUUAAUUUGUUCAUGAUAGUUUGUAUCUCUUACAUGCUGCAUUACUUACUAAUUUAAUGUAUGUGACUUUUGUAAUGGAUAUUGAUGUAAGAUAUAUUUCGAACUUUACUUUUAUUUGAAUUUUUUAUUUUAAUAUGAUUAACUCAAAAUCGAAAACAAAAAAAAUGUAUUAGUUAUUCGAGGAUCGGGGACCCUCGGGGAUCCCCUGUUAUUAUUCGGGGAGGGGAUGAAGAUUCUCUUAAAUAAUUUUGACGGGGAUGGGGAGGGGACGGGGACAUACGCAAAAUAUCAGGGAUGGGUACGGGGAGAUUGGUCCCCUCCCCUCCCCUCCCCAUUGCCAUUCCUAUUUCUCAUUAUACAAACAGGUCAACGGUCAUUGAUUGAAACCCUUUUGGAUGAUUCAUUUGAUAAAUACAAGAUAGCUAUUGGGAUGUCUAAUCCUGAAUGACGACCCAAGACAGUCAAGCUAAUGACUAUAAAUUAGGCACUUCUUAGGAGGCAACCCAAGCUUUCAAAACUUCACUUAUUAUUAUUUUUAUUUUGUAUUUUCAUUUUUCCUUAUUUCAUUUGUUAUUCUUUUCUUUUACUUAUUUUAUUUUAUCUAGGUUUCUGCAUAAGUUUGAGGGUCGACGAUCAUCAACUUUGCACAUGCCUUUCAACGACUCAACUACAAGUUCACAUCUUCAAGUGCAAAACUGGGGAGUUUCUCUUUCCUUUUCUAUCUAUUUACAUUAAGGACAAUGUUGAUUUUAAGUUUGAGGGUGGGAAUAUUUGCUUUCAUUUAAAAAUAAAUAAAAUUUUGUGUUGUUUGUAUGUUGUUUUUAUGCCAUUGAUGAGUAUAUGGUUGAAAAUGAAUAUGGUUAUGAGAAACGGAUGAAUAUUGUCUUAAUUUAUAAUUGAUUCUUGUUUUAAUUUCUCUUGAUUGUGAUUAUUUAAAUAUCUGGAACACUUAUAUCGAUUCUUUCAGAUUGUUUACCUCGAUUCUACAUUACUUGUGUUUACCCUGGCACCACAGUCAGAAAUAGUUACUUAUAACCCUUAAGAGUGAAGCUAUCCUUUAAUAAUUUGGGCAUAUGUACCAUCAAUAUGUAAAGGAUAAUCUAUCAUGAAAAAAAGGCUACCUUAAGGGGUAGAGGUAAAAGCUCCUUACUAUAUAUAUAAGAAAAGCAAAAGCAUGUGCUUUACGAGAAAUCCCAAGAAAAUACAAAUUUAGGCAUGUGCAUUUUUAUUUUUUAUUUUUAAAAAAUCAAGAUGAUGAGGUUAGUUUGACCUAUUUUGUUUAUUAUUUGAUACAAGGGCUGUUGAUAUUGAAAAUUUUUAGAGUGAGUUUUGAUUGAAUCAAUUUACACACAAUAGAAGAAUCCAAUGUGGGAUGAGGCUGACUAUUGAAUUAAAGUUAGAGCUUUGCCGAUAUUUAUAAUUUUCUUUGAGCUAUAUACUUUAUGCAAUCUCUGAGGCAUUUUUGAUGAUGUUUAUGGGUACCAUUGCUGAAAACCCUCAUGAGACUUUAACUCGUCCACUAGAGCAGCCUAGGGGUUUAAAGGUUUGUUGCAUAUGCUAAAUGCAAUCGUGAUCACCAGCAAAAGUGGUUCAAUUAGGAUUUUCUUCUUGUAGUUUCCGUUUUAGUUUUUACUCGAGAACUAGCAAAAUGUUAAGUUUGGGGGUAUUUGAUGUGCUAAUAAUUUAUAUAUUAAUUUAAUGUUUCCCUAACUUAAUUUCAUGUCAAAUUAUAUUCUAUUAUGUUAAUUUUUAUCUUAAUUUUUAUAUUUUGUUAUUUUAGGUAUAAUAUGGGAUUAAAGAAAAAUUGAAUUAGAAUAUUCAGGAAAAAAAUCUGCUUGAAAGAAUUAGAAAGGGAAAGAAAUAAAGAAAUUCAAUUUAAACAAAUCAAGCAAGAUUUACCAUCAUGCAUGCAAUCGCGCGGGGGGGAGGGGGGGGGGGGGUGGGGGUUGUGGAGCAUUGAAGAUUUAGUUGACAAAUAUGGCAUGCACGUGAACUUGGGUUCUUGAAUUUGCAAUAUGAUGACGUAAGAAUUUAAAAGCGGUUUGGCUUACUUUCAUGAGUUUGUUUUUUAAUCCUUUUGGGUUAAUGAUUUUAAGGCCAUCGAUUGAGUAUUAUACAAAGAAGAAAACAGGGCAAAAGCCAAAGCAGGCGCAAAAACAAAUCAAGGAGAAGCAGCUACAAGGCAUCCAAAGAGAAGCCGGAUUAAUUCUUGGGUUUUUCUUUUCCUCAUUUCUAUUGUUGUUCUUGAAUGUUUCCUAAAAUGUUUAUGAAUUCUUUUAUAUUCCUAUAAACUAAUUUAUUUUGAUGGGGCUACGAUGUAGCCUAAUUAUGAAAAUUUAAUUUCAUAAAUCCAUGUUACUUUUAAUUUAUUAUUCCAUGAUUGAGUGCUCAUUAUUGUGCUUAAUACUUUUAAAUAUCUGGCCAAUAUUUGAAUGAUUUGAGGAUACGUAAUGAGACCAAGAGGAGAUUUAUAUAUUUUUGCUCUAUGUAAUGAAUGCCGUGAAUUGAAUGAAAGACAAACAUGCGCUAGUGUGAUUCGUGCAGUUUUAUCUAAAAAUUUCUAUAGAGCUUAAUGAAUUUUUACAUAUUUAAAUUUACAUGGAGAUAUAGUUAGUUAAUAUGUGGGAAUAUUUUUAAUAUUAUUCGGGAGAUGAUAUUGAAUAGAUUAGGGAAAUUCACUGUCAACAUGAGUAAUAAUCUUUAAUAACAUAGAUGGAUGAUUAAAUUGAAUUAGUUAUGGUGAAACCGGAUGUCAUAGUGUCUAAAUCUCUUUUAGUGAUUUCUAUUACUAAUUGCAUCUUUAUUUAAUUUUUAGUUAUUUUAUUUAGUUUUUAAUUUAAAUUCACUUAUUUGGUUAUUCAAAUAAAUUAGAGUUAGAAUAAUUUCGGUAUCUAAUAAGAUAUACAAUUUUCGUGGGAUGAUACUCUACUCUUCAUUAUUUUACUUGAGCCAACUAUUAUGUACACUUGCUAAUUUACACAACACUCCAUCCGAAGGCUCAAACGAAAAUCUGUCGUGCUUGUUUUCCACCGAUUAGCGUUGUCCCAAUAUGGUUCAUAAUCAACGGUGUAAAACAGUUUGAAAACUGCAUCGAUGGAUAUGUUCACUUCUGGGACUGUGCCGCUCCACCGUAGCUAUUACACCAUUGGAUUUUUUGAGUACCCCUUUGACUUGAUUGUAAAACUAAAAAUGACUCGGUCGAACCAGUGCACGGCUUGAGCAAUUGUCACUAGAUCUACGGUUGAUUGUGCUGCGAAAUUUUGUUCAAGUUCAGGACAUUGGUGGUGCAGUGCAGCGAUAUCAAAUCGUCGGUCGCUUUGUUGCAAAUUCUAAUUGUUUGGGGCUCGGGUCCGAGCCUAUAACAUUUUUUAACAUCCCAGCUAGUUGAAAAUUUACAUACAAAUAUAAAGUUAGGGUAGGUAGCAAUCCAGGGUUUUGGUUCUACGGGGGGCCAAUAAAGAAAAUAAAAACUAAAGCUGGCUGUAACACUAUAUCAGUAAAAUUAAGAUGCUAAUAUCGUAGGAGUUAUCAGGCGAAGCCAAAUUGAACUUGGGAAACCUUAGAAGUGUUCAAUUUUGACCCCGAUUUUUCAUUUUUAACUUUUUAGGACUUUCGAAGAUUAAAUAGUCAUGGACUUGGCUUUUUUCCUUUGUGCUUCAAUUUUUGUAAAUGUUGGUCCGGGUUGUCUUACCUUGUGGUUCAUUGUUGUAAAGAAUUUUAAUAAUAAUGGAAACAGAGGAUCCAUCGUGGUCUCUUUGGAACAUCCGAUAAAAUUAGAACCGAUACGGAGAAUGAAGAGAAUGCACCAUGGAUGAUGAAAUGAAGCAACAAGACAUUCAGUUUUCACAACUUAUACUCCAAGCUUAGUAUCUAAAUUUUCAUAAAAAUGAAGUGAUUCAUUGCAUCGGAUUUGGGAGCCCGGAGGACUUUUGAUUUUGCAUUUUACAAGUAAAAUCAAUGGGGAAGAGGAUUCUAAACUUCACAAAAGUUGAAGAAAAUCAAAAUAAGUAAAUUCAACUUUUCUCUCUUUAGACUAUCUUUUACUUUUCACUCUCUUUAUAUUGACGUGUUUUCUUUCUUUUUCUGUUAUACUAAAAACCAGGGACUAUUUCUAUUUUUUUAAUAAAUCCAAAAAAAUUAAUUUCAACGCCAGAAAAACUUCUAUUGCCUAUUAUUGAUUUCUGUUAUAGCAAUUGUUCAUGGAUUUCUGCUGAAAAUUCAAGAGAUUGACAAAUUGACAAACCUGCUGAAAAUUCAAAACUUCCGUUGAUUUAAAACUUUUAUUGCCUAUUAUUGAUUUCUGUUCGUGGAUUCCUGCUGAAAAUUCAAGAGAUUGACAAACCGCUCUCCUACAUAUAAAUUUAAAUACUGACAUGGAGGUCUGGUUGCAAGCCGACAAAUCAACUCGACUAGAUUCAUCAUCAACAAUAUGUAUUAAUUUGAGCUUGAAUAAACUAUUAUUAAUUUCCUACUUUUCCAAUUCUCAGAUAAACUGGAAAUCGAGCAACCUUUUUACUCUGGCCAUCUGAAUUCCAAGCAACUUUAAACUUCUCCAUCAUAUUGUCUGUCAAAAGCUCAACACCCCUGUUCUUAGCCGUCUGAUAACCUGAACUUGACCGUAUGAACGUUAAGUAAUCAUCUAAAUCCAUCAACUUCUCUAAAACAAACUGAUCAAACGGCCCCGUAUUAUCCACCCCAUCUACAGGCUCAAAUGGAAAAUCAAUGCUCAUGUACUUGUUCUCCACCAAUUUAUGUUGUGGUUGCCGAAAUGGCUCAUAAUCAACGGAGUGAAAUGACUUGAAAACUGCAUCUACGGACUCGUUGAUUUCGGGCCAGUAGUAGGUCCAUGCCGCUAUUACUCCAUUAGGUUUUUUGAGUACCCAUUUUACUUGUUUGUAAAAUUGAGGCAAGUCAAACCAAUGUAGUGCUGUAGCAAUUGUCACUAGAUCUACACUUGAUUGUGUUGCCACAUUUUGUUCAAGCUCAGUUAUGGACAUGGUUGGAGGAGUAAGUUGAUACCGAAUGUUGGGGAGCUUUAUUGCGAAUUCUAGCUGCUUUGGGCUUGUGUCUGUAGCAAUGACAUUCUUGUAGAUUGGUGCAAGCUGAAGACAUAAUUGAGAAAAAAUAUAAAAUAUAGGAGGCUAUAACAAAAGUACACAAAAUUGAGAAGGCCAUAUAUAAAAAUUACAUAGACAUGGUGAAAUUUCAACCCAUACUCAGUUUUUGUGUUUUUUUUUUUUUCAUCCUCAAGGUUGCCGGGAUACUCUAGUUCCCCCCUCGGUAGUUAGAUAAGAUUUUUCUGUACUAGUCUCACGACUAAAUUUCCAGAUAAUGUGGAUAUUGAUUUGUAGAUAAUACAUACAUAAUUAAUCAAUGAAAAUAAUAGGGAUUUAACUAGGGAUUGGCAAUGGGAGGAGAUCGACAUUCCUGUAUCUAUUUCUGAUACUCUACUUGUAUCCUUCUACUCUCCCCGUCCUUUUUAAAAUUGCUUGAGGAUAGGGAUGGGGAUCCCCAAAAACACCCGAUCCCGAACAACUGAUUUUUGAACUUGAUUUAAUCAUAUUAAAGUAAAAAAAUAAAUCAUUUAACAACACAAACACAUCAAAACAAACUAAAAUCAUUAAAAUCAUUUUCAUCAAACUAAUUAAGUUAGUGUCAUCAAAAUUACAAGAUAAUCGAUGAAAUUAAGUAAAAAUAGAACUUCAGGGUUGAACACAUACAUAAAAGUUACAUGGUAUAAACCAUUAAGAAAAUUAUCUUCGUCAAUCUUCAAGUGUUCAUAUCUAUUAUGAUAUUUUUUUUAUUUAUAUCCAUACCAUCACAAUUUAAAUUUUAAAUAUAAUUACUAAAAAUUUUCACAGAAAUAAAAUAAAAUAAAAAAUGGGGAAACGAGAGAGAUGAGGAAUUCACUGAAUCCUCAUCUUCUCCCUGUAUAAGAUAUUGAGUGUUAAGUUAUCUCUGUUCGUUCCCCGAAUUUUAAUUAAGAUACAAAAUUGUUCCCACACCCUACACAAAUGGGAAAAAUCCUUCAAGAUUCGUCCCAUGAGAAUUUCUGCUAUCCCUGAAUUUAACAGUUAUAUAAUUCAACUUUCUUAUAGCUUGGGAUCAGAAUUCUGAAAUAUUAAUAUCGAACUUUUGUAUUAUUCAAAAAUUAAAUCUAAAGAUGUGAAAAGUAAACUUACGGAUGCAGCGGCCUGGCCGCUUCCGGUGCCGACGUCCCAUACAAGCUCGUGUUUGGGUGUUUUAGAGGCAAUGAAUUUGAACAAUUCUUCUGGAUAAUUUGGUCGUGCUUCCGCGUAUUGCUUUGCCUGCUUAACGAACAUAUCUGCCAUCUUUUCUGUUUUUUUCUAAAUAAGUGUUGACAAUAGAAUUGAGAUAAAUCUACUGAUCACUUGUUUCGUUUCUUCUUUAUAUAGGUUUUAGAAUUUGAUGUAGUAGACGAACAGACAAAUUUUAGUUAGAAAUUAAUUUGGUAUGGUUUAUCUGGGGAAGCCCAGAACGAGGACAAGCUCAUAAAGCGUUAAAUUUUGACCGAACUUUUCAUUCUUCCUUUAAUUUUCAAAGAUUCCCUUUUCUUCGCAAAGAUGAUGGUAUGGACUUCAUCAAUGAGCCCACAUCAACUCCACUUAGAGAAUUUUUUUGGGAUAAUUUUGUCAUUAAUUUAAGCUGUUAAAGGUAUCUAAAGAAGUAUUGAACUACUACUUUGCUCUCUUAUGGGGUUAAGAUGGCGGAGUUUAAAGGCAGAUUCACCUCAUGACCAUUAGGAGUUCAAGCUUCCAAUGGAGAAAAUAAUUUAAAAAAAAGUAAUGAGAUGAUUGUUUGAAUUAUUAAUUAGAACCAUUAAAUUUAUUAAAAUAAUCGUGUUAAAUUUAUAAAAAUAGGUCCACAAAUUCAUAAACCUAUAAAAUUUAAAUUUUGACUUUGAAACAUAUAAAAGCUCAUGCUUUAAUUAAAAAAAUAAAUGUUUACAGUAGUCAAAUUUAUUAUUAUUUAAUUUAGCCCUAUUAAAUUUACUAAAGUAACCUCUACAAACUCAUUAAUCUAUAAAAUUUUAGUAUUGAUUACAUUUUGUUAUUAUAUAAUUUAAUCCUCUGAAUUCGCUACCAUUUGGAAUUGGCUCUCUAUUAUUACUCGAUCUAGUCCAAGUUCAAUCAAAGUUGGCUCUCUAUUAUUACUUGUUCUAGUCCAAGUUCAAUCAAAGUUGGCUGUCUAUCAUUGACACUUCUCGUUCAGGUUCAAUGAAAGAGAUCAAAGCAGAGUUUGUUUGCGAUUCAGUUUGUGUAAAUGCAUGUAGGUCCAGGUUGUCUUAUUUUGUGGUCCACUGGUGUAAAGAAUUUAAAAAGUAAUUGGAUAAGAGGAUGCGUCUUGGAUGAUGAAAUGAAGCAAUAACACAUCUUCAUGUGCAGUUUUUACGACGUGCACUCGGUAUGAUUAUGAAUAAAAAAAUUAUUAUCCUGUGGUGUAUUUUUUAUCCUGUAAUUAAUUUUGUUUGUCUUUUAAUAUUGUGUGCUUUUAUAUUAUUUUUUGUACACGUGUCAUUCAUUGUUUCACUACUAUUACCAUGCUCCUAAAAACCUUACUUUUUUUUUUUUUCGGAAGAUGCCGCAUUUGCUUGAUUUCAACAUUGGCAUGCUCGUCCUUCUUACGCUUUUGUCUUUCUAUAAUCAUCAUAUUCAAUGGCAAAAUUUCAACAAGAUAGAGCAAACAUUCAACAAAGAUAAGUCUUCUUAUUGGAUUAGGCAUAGAUUUUUAAUUAAUUUGUUAUGGAAGUUGGUGGCUAUCCACUAUCAGCUUAGAUCAAUUUAACUAGCUAUACUUAAUUAGCUAAGUUAUUUGGGUGAGCAAAGUCUGUUAGUAGUAAAGCUCGGAAAAUCACCUAAGAAAAAUUGAAAAAGGACCAUCAAAUAUACACAGUUUGCUUUGAUUGGCCAUUCAACAAAGCAUCUGAAGAGAUUGGAUGGCUAAAGAGCUAAGGCUUGGCUUUGUUUUGAUUGGCUAAUGGAUCCUAUAAAUAGAGAGCACUGCUCUUCGUGAUUUGUAUCCUAAAUUGAAACCUCAUCAAUUACAAAAAUAUCACCUUCCUUUGUAUCAUCUAUAUAUUAAUUUAUACUUUCUACAUAUAUGUUGUCAAUGAUUAUAACACGUUAUUAGUUAGCACGACAAUCAUUUUGGUACAGGAAGUAUCUUAUCCCCUGCUCUUUUAUUUUAUCUAUUUAAUUAAUAAAGCUAUCUUUAUAAAUAUACUCUGAAGUUGUCAUUAAUUUGGAUCUUCCACAUAAAAAAAAUAUGACUAGCUAUUGUAUUUCUUCUUGUUUAUUUUAUUUUAUUUUUAUAAUAGAGGGGCUCUAGAACGAGCUAAGGUAAAACAUAUAGGGAGUAAAUAAUCCCAUACAAAUCAUUUGCAAUAAAACUAACAACCCCUGGAGGAGGAAUAGAAAAAAGAUGCAAUCCCAAGGGCAGCUCCAAGGCAUAAUUUGUUAGGAAGUCCGCUGCGAAAUUUGCUUCACGAUAUAUGUGGUUGAUGGUUAUAACCCAAUUUCGCUUGAUGAGAUCUCUAAUGGAGCGGAUGAGGUGGGUAUACUCGUUGAUGCUCUCCAUCUCUAAUGGAGCGGAUGAGGUGGGUAUACUCGUUGAUGCUCUCCCUGUGGCUGUUAACCAUCUGAACAACACAGUGGCUAUCCACUUCCACGUGUAAAAACCAAGCACCAUGUUGCCAUGUUAAAAUUAAUCCUUGGUAAAGGCCCCAAAGUUCUGCUGCAAUAACUGAACAGACGCCUAUGUUGAAGCCAAAGCCAGUGAGCCACAUGCCUUGGUGGUUGUGUAUGAGACCUCCAGCACUUGAUGCCCCCAACUCUUUUCUUGCUCUGUCUGUGUUUAGCUUGCACCAGGGCCAGUUAGGUAACUUCCAGGUGAUCAAUCUCUCAAUUUCUCUUGAUCUCAACAACCAAAGAUGAGUUGUUGAUGUUCUAAAUCUCCUCAACUCUAGCUUUAAUAUCUUGUAUUAUACUAAUACUGUCCAUUAUAAAUAAAGAUAAAACAAAACCUUUUUCAAGUCACGGUGUUGUGCAAAUUUUAUUGAACUCGCAAGUGCACGAAUCUAUUGUAGAAUAGACUAAUGGUGACGAGUGUCGAUCCCACGAGAAGGUGGAUUUUAAUUGUGUGUAGAAUUAAUUUUGUAAAUGGGUGGUUGGAUUUGUGGUGAAAAUGAUUUGGAUUAUCCUAAAAUUCGAAUUAAGAUGGCAAGAGUAAAUUGAAGUGAAAAUAUAUUAAAUUGACGUACUUGGGUAUCUGGAUCCGUAUCAACAUGCAUCAUGGGCUAAAUAUUCUUUAUUAAUACCAAUUAAAUCAUGAGGGGGGAAUCCACAUCUCAUGAACCACACUCUAAUCAAUAUGGUGCUAAGGGCUUAUCGUGCCAAAUAAUACUAACCUUGUAUUAGGAAGCCAGUGAAACCAAGGCGGUACUAAACAAGAUUAUUAUUAUUUGUCGACGAGAAGUCAAAACAUCCACAAACACUAGAGGGGAAUAGAAAAUAAAUUUACCAAAUAAAGCCCAUGACACAUGUUGAGACUUCACCUUCAACCCAAGCUUGAAAGAAAAUUAGUCACUCAUAAUUGAACUAGGGGAAAAAUGGGAAUUUAUUAAAAUACGUAGAAAAUACAAGAUAGAGAAGGAAUUAUAGAUCCCAAAAAUGGAUUCAGAGAUAUCAAAUUAGGGGGGGAGGCCCCCUUUUUAUAGAUACAUUGAGUAAAUCAUGGCCAUCGGAUUAAAAACAGUUUGGACGCUCAGGAUUGCGCCACGUCAUCAGUCAAUAGUACGCGGUUUGACCACGCGGGUGAACAGUAACACGGUUUGACCGACUUUGAACAGUAACGCGGUUUGGUUGAAAAUAAUCCUGUGUAAUGCAUGUACCGUACGCGCAAGUUUUGGUCCACUAAUAUGCUGCCACGUCACCAUCAACAGUUCAUAAGAAUUUUAGACCAACAGAAUCAUGACACCUCAUCAGUCAAUGCCAUGUCAUCAAUCCGUCUAUGUGAACAGUGUCGUGAACAGUAACGUAGACAGUACCGUACAUGUAAAUAGUACCGUACAUGUGAACAAUGCCAUUUUUCCUUUUAUGCUCCUCCUAAGGUUUUCGACCGUCCUGAGUUCAAAAGUGAUGUCCGUUUUGCCGUCUGAUCUCUCGUUUAUUGUGAAAUGACCAUGAUGCCCCUAAAAUACAUAAAAUACUUAAUUAAAAUAAAACACACGGAAUUAAAUCAAAAGAAGGUUACAUACAUAAAAGUAAGGGUGUUAGUAAAACUUGAAGUAUAAAAUGACGAUUUUCUCCUUUAUAAAUAUACAUUUUCUAACACUCAACACACGGGUUCUUUGUAUAUCAGCCUAUGUGGAUCCCACGAUUGAUAUUGGUUUCGUCUAAUUAGCUGGCGACGGUGACGAACUCAUUCUCUUUUUUUUAAUCAAACUUUCAAGCCCUAACUUUAUCCAAGUUCUUCACAAAAAUUUGAGGCUUAUUUCCAAGGGUAUUUUAGGUCAAGGAUGGUGGCUUUGAAGGUUUAUAGAAGCGGCUUGUGAGGUAGAUCAUUGUUAGAUAGAGAGAGAGGUAGAGACAAAGAGAGAGAGAGAGAGAGAGAGAGAGAGAGAAGAGAGCUUCAGUUCAGAGAAGAAAAUGGCCAUGGGGAUAGAUUUUUUGCUUAUCAAAAUUUUUAGAUUUUAGGUUUCCAUGUACACCUCAUUAAAACAGCAUAGUUUCUAGAUAAUUUAAUUUAAUUUUUAAUAAUUACUACAUCAAGCGAAAAUACAACUUGUGGUCUGGUUGUUUAACGUUUAAAAUUAAAAAGCUAAAGCUUAGAAGUCUACGGUUCGACUCCUAGCGUAUACAAAAUUAAAAUUUUAUUUUGUUAAUUACUGAUACCUUAAUGUCACAUAUCUUUGAUACUUAUCUAUUAAGUGCAGAAAAUGUCCCAAAUGCAUGUAAUUACUGAUACUUUUUAAUAAAGUGUCACAAGAUAAGUGUCAACAAAUACCAUUUUUCUUGAAGUGUUAAUUAAAAAAAUUCGAUUUUACCCUCAAUGAAUUACACAGUAAACAACAAUAAAUUAACGGAAGGGUGUUUUGAGCUUUUUUUUUUUUAAAGUAUGGAUGAAAUGAACUGUUGUUUGAAUAAUAAGGAUGAAUUAGGCUAUUGCAACAAAUUCAAGGGAUGAAAAAGGAUUUUUCUCUUUUACUUAGGUGCUGUUUAUUUUUUAGUUUGAAGUUUGAAUUUAAUUUUUUUUAGACAUUUGUUUAUUUUAGGUUUUUUUUUUAACUUAUCACUUAUUGUCAUAUAGUUUAUCUGAAUAGAAAAAGUAGAAAAAGUUCACUUUAUUUGAAGUCUGAAGUCUAAAUAUAUAUUUUUAAUUUCAAAUCUCAAAAAUACCCUUAACAAUUCAUGUAUUUCUAAUAUUAUGUAUAAACCUUAUAUUUUUGUAUUAUUCUUGAAGUUAUUUUUCUAAUUGCUUUAAAUUUUUAUUCACAUGAUAACAUUAACUAAACUGAAAUAUUGAACAAAUCAAAUUAUGUUAAUUGUGAUGAAUCAAAAAUAAAAUAAUAGUGUUGACUUUAUAAUAAACUUUAAUGUUAUAAUUACAUCUUUCAUUAAAAAAUUAAAAGAAGAUCAACAAUGAUAAUAUUUUUUUUAAUGUUACCAAACUAAUCAACCUGUGAAAAUUAUAACUGUGAAGAACAAAUAUAUGCACCACUUAAAAUGAUAUUUAUGCCAAAUUACUAGUUUUUAGGAUUUUCUCUUUAGAUGUUGAAAAAGAAAAACAAAGAUGUCAUUCAAAUAUUUUCAUUCAUAUUUAUUCAGAUUUUAGUUAAAUUCAGAUCUAUUCAGAUUUCAGAUUAAAAAAAAAAAUGCAAUCUUAGUUUAUAGGUACAGGACUCCACUCUAGCAUGGUUUUUAAUAUAAAAAGAGAGAGAGAGAGGAGAGAGAAAAUGGAUAAAAGAAAGAGUAAUGAUAAAAAUUAAAAUAAUGCUCGUGGGCAUUUUAGUCAAUUCAAGUUGAGAUGAAUGGAAAUCAAAAAAUAAAGAGGAAACCUAUUUGAAGUUUUAAACCGAUAAAAAAAAUAUUUUAUGUUGUAUUUCUCCCGAUACCCAUUAAUUAAAUUUUAAAUUUAUGAUUAUCCUUUAAACAUCCCUCUUAAUUUCAAAAAUAGCCCUUUAUUCUUUUCCACCAUAAUGGUGUUUUAAGCGAUACAUAAAAUGUUUUUCUACCAUAAUUUUGAAUUUCAAAAACUUGCUUUAGUGUUGGUUAAAAAUAAUUAUUUUUCAGGAUUAAUAAAAGUUUCUUAUCAUAAACUCAUUGUAAUUUUUUCUUAGUUGACGAAACUCUACAAAACUGAAUUUGUGUCCCUAGCAAUGCCACUUUGAAGCUUUUACAAAAUUAAUUGUGAUGUCACUGAUGUGUCUAUUAUUUUAAGCUACAAUCAAGGCAUAAAACCUUGUCAAUCUUGUAAUAUGCUGGUGUUGGGGAUUUGGCGAGGGUAUUGUAAUUAAAAACUUCAAUUACAUUAAAAGAUUUAGGAAUAAUGUUUUAAUUAUAGAUUCAUAGCGGAAAUCCUUUUUUGGGAUCCUUUUAUUAAGCUGUAGUCACAGUCAAAUAAUCAUUUGGCUUUAAGUUUUUGAUAUAUAUAUCUAUAUAUACAUGCACACAUAUACAUACAUACAUAUGUAUGUAUAUAUAUUCAACAGAGAAGAUUGAAACUAUAUGUAACACAUUAGACUGAACUUGCCCAUGAGCUAUCUGAUCUAAAAUUAUUGAUGAACUAGACAUAGGGGUUCACCUUGUAGGGAAAAUAGAAUCUAGAUCGUUUAAUGCUAUAUUUAAUAUUGGCGUAACAAUUGGACACUAUUAGAUUGCAUUAGAUAUAAGAUAUCCAACAAGCGAUAGCUGAGAAUGCAUAAGGGAUUCUACCCAGUGCUGUUGCAACAGUUUCUCAAUUAGAAAGACAGUAAACACCAUUAAGUCACAUUGCUUUUAUCCCUCUGUCUGACGUGAUAAUUUUCUUUACUACAUUUUUUAUUUAUUGUAUUUUUAUUUUAAUUAGUUUAUUAGUAUUAUUAGUCGAUUUAUUUCCAAUUAAAACAAAACUGCGUUGUUAAGAUUGUUAUAGCAAAUAUGAUAACAUAAAUCCCUAUGGAGACGAUCUGGAUACUCAUCAGUAUAUUACUUGUUGUGUACACUUGAACAUUGACAUCCAUAGCAUUAAAGAUUUUACACACCACAUAUUUACAAAUUAAAUAAGGCUUUGUACAGUUUAAAAUAAGCACUUAGAGCUUAGCUUGUUAGAUUCAAGUAUGUAAGGCUUUCUCAGUGGCAUUUUCAGCACUCCAAGUCUGAUAACUCUCUUUUCCUCAAAUGGGAUAGAGGUCUUUUGGUUCUAGUUUUGGCAUAUGUUUAAGACAUGAUCAUCACUAGCUCCAGCUCUUUUAUAGUUCAACAGGUUAUUCAAGAAAUGCGUUACACAUUUGCUUUAAAAGACUUGGCAAAGCUCCAUUAUUUUCUAGGCAUUGAAGUCAUAAAGACUCAAAAUAUAGUUCAUUUAUCUCAAGCCAAAUAUAUUGUCGACAUUUUAGCAAAACAUGGACAUGGCUAGUUGUAGUCCAGUGCCUAUACCUAUGUGAACUGGUCAUAUCUUAAAGACUUAGGUGAUGAAAUUGAUAAUGCAUCUUAGUGUAAAAGUGUUAUUAGAGCUUUGUAAUAUGCCACUCUCACAACGCGAGAGCUAGCCUUCUCAAUUAACAAAUUAAGCCUAUUUUUCUUACGUCCAAGGACUCAUCAUUAGGAAGCAUGAAUACGACUCUUGAUAUACUUGAAGGGUACUUUACAUUUUGGAUUGCAUUUCUAUAGUUGUCGUGCUAUGCAGUUAAACUAUUUUGUAUAAUAUUAUUGGGCUUGUGAUAGAGACGAUAAGGAUUUGCAAUAUAUCCAGGUCCCAACUUGGUUUUAUAGUUAUCUAAGAACCAAUCAGUGGUCUUUCGAUCAAGCACAAAGGCUGAGUAUAUAGCUUUAACUCAUUCAACUUAGCACCAUGCCUAUAAUCUGGUGUGCCAAUCAAGAAGCAACUACUUUGGCGUAUAACCCCAUUUAUCAUGCUAAAACCAAACACAUUGAGCUGGACAUACAUUUCAUUAGAGACAAAGUUGUAGCCAAGCAAAUUCAAGUUUGUUUUAUACUAAGUGCAGACCAAACAACUAAUUUGUUAACCAAAGCACAUACUUUUAAACGGCUCUAUUACUUGCGUAGCAAGUUGAAUGUUCAUUCUAGACAUUUUAACUUGAGGGAGGUUGCAAGUGAAUCAGAUGUUACUUGAAUGCAGAGCAUAUGGUGCAGCCAAUAGCAGCAGAUCAACUACUAAGCUAAUGUAGCAGAAUUAGCUAUUUGGUUUAACUUGUAUUAAGCAAAGCUCACGUGAGCAUAACAGAAUAAAAAGCAUUUAUAACGGAAUUAGAAGCAUGUAGAAUUCAGCACUAUAAAUAUGUAACGUGCUUUCAUUUCAAUUAAUUAAUUAGAAUCUUCUACAAGUUUCUUCAAAAUAUUCUCUCUCGUUUUCUAGUAUUUCUUGCUACUUUCUUACUUGCCAAACAUCUUCCAAUAUUCUAAUAUUGUACAAGUCAAAAUGUCAAACCAGUGCAUGGCUUGAGCAUUAAUUGUUGACACGACUCAAAAGUAUAUUACUCCCAAGUAUAAGAUUAUCUAGUUAUAAUAUAACCCGGUAAAUCCGGGAUCGAAUCACAGAGAAUUUAAAAUCUAGUUGUCAAUUUAUUGGACAAAGAAAAUUAAUUGCGGUAAAAGAAAUCACUAGAAAAAAAAUUAAAAAUAUGCUAAGGUUUCGAGAUCCACUCUUAAUAUUCAAACUAUAAUUUUAAUACUUUCUCAUUUAUAUUUUUUUCUCACUUUUACCAGUUAAUUAUUAUAUCAUUUAAUUCUAUGUGUGUGGAUAAAUAUGGAAUAAAGUACCUAAUGUGCCACAACUGUAUUAAUGUAUCGACAUUAUGUCAAAAUACCAUAUAGAUCCAAAAGAAUGUAUAAAUUAACAUGACAUAAAAAUAACCAGAAAAUAAUAAAAUAAACUUAAAAACUCACUUUGAGAAAAUAAUAAAUUUAAUAGUUUGAAACUUUAAGCUUUACCCUUCACCUUAGCUUAGUAAAAUUAGCCACUCAUAUUGAAAGAAAACACAACAUUCUUUUUAUUUGAUAAACUUUUGAAAUAUGUUAUAAAGAAAAUUGAUACAAAUGGAAACAAGAAAAGAAAAGUAAGAAAGAAAGAAAUUCUUCAGCUGCACCCUUGGCUACCACUCUCUCUCUCAGCUCUUGGCUCAACUCCCCCCUAAAUUGCUUGCAUCCCCUUGCCUUUUAUAGGUAAGGGAAGCAUCUUCUUUUCUUUUCUUUUAUUAAUAUUAAUAUUUUAUUUUAUUUUUAUAUUAUAUAUACAUAUUGAAAGGGGUGAUGGCCAGGAGGCGUGAUGGCCUCUUGACCAUCACAAGCAACCAAAUCAUAGCUGCCUUUUGUUCUUUUGUUCUUUUUUUUAUUUUAUUUAUUACAUCUCCUUAAUGAUGCAUUCUAAAUUGCUCCAACAGUCCUUCUUUGUUCCCGCUUUCGAUUCCAAUUCCAUCUUUAUUCCUGAAAAAUAUUUACAAGAUAAAAAUUAACAUAUUACGAAUUAAUUUUACAUAAAAAUAUAUUUGGGGAGUAUUAAGAUAAUUUAUAAGUAAUGAACACAUUAAUCGACAUAAUAAGUGAAAAACUAAUAAUUUUAUCGUUAUUAAAUGUACACUUUUUAAUGCCAAUCAAUUGUCGCUUAGAUCAAAGGUUGAUUGUGCCGCCAUGUUUUAUUCAAGCUUAAAAAUGGACAUAGGACAUUGCUGGUGUAGUGAACUGUAUCGAUUGUUGGUGGCUUUGUCGCAAAUUCUAAUUGUUUUGGGCUUGUAUUCGUGCCUGUGGCAUUUUUUAAGAUCCUAGGUCUGAAAAUUUAUGGAACGACUUAAAAACAUUUGAUUUACUCUCAAGUGUAAGAGUACCUAGUUAUAAUAUAUCUCGGUGAGUCCGAGGUCGAUCCACAGAGAAAAGAUUUAAUUAAUUUAUUUUAUUUUAUCUAAAAUUUGAAAAUAAAACUUAAAUACAAACAACUUAAUUUAAAUAAAACUAUGAAAUUGAAUUAGUUAGGGUUGUGGAUUCACUCUUAGUUGUAAAUAAAACUUAAUAAAUUCUUUUUGCCAUUUUUUUAGAUUUAUUGCCCAAAAGAUUCAUUAUAUAAAUUAUUAUUAUUUUCCCUUUAAUUUUAUAAUGGAUUAAGUAUUCAUUGUGCCAAAAUUUAAUUUGUCUACAAUAAGUCAAAAUACCAUUUUACCAUACCUUAUAUUAAGAUAAAAAGAAUUUAUUGUGCCAAACUCCCUUGUUUGUCUACAAUAAAUCAAAAUUUCAUAAUAUAAAAUGCGUAUAAAAUUAAAUAGAAAAUAACUUAAUUUAUAAAAUUAAAAAUAGAAUUUGAUUAAAUCAUAUUUAUUUCCUAAGAGUUCACCUUCCCCUAACUAUUAAUAUUUAGCUAAACAUUUUUUUAAUAAAGGAAAUUACUAAAAUUGAAAAACACAUAAUUAAAAAUGGAAUUUGAAAAUUGAAAUAAAACUAAUUUUAUUGAUUGAAAAUAAAUUACAAAGAGAGAUGAAAAGAAGAAUUUGGGGGGAAAGAAGAGAAGAGAAGGUGUGGAGAGGUGUGUUCACCCCCCCUCUAUUUAUACUAAUACAUGGUAAAUUCUCACCACACAAAUAAAAAAUCUAAUUACAUCUUAACCUUACAUUUGUCCCACUAAUAAUCCCACUAAUGAAACAUAAACCUAACUUAUCCACUCAAGCAUAUCCAAUACAUUCCACUAACAAUUACCAUACCUAACAUGAUAAAAACUUAUAAUUUUAUAAUUGCCACAUUUACCGUGGUAAAAACGUAAAAAUUUACAACAAAAGUCUUGGAUCCUCCUCGACAAUGACAUAAUUUCUCGGACUUCCGGAAUCCAAAUUUAACAUCCAUACAUUUGAUCGGAGCCUCAAAUUGCAUGAAAUUAUUAUUUUUACCUAAUAAACAUAAAAUACAUAAAAUCAAAUAUUUAGAAAAAUAAUUAGAAAUUCACAAUAUGUUACACAAUUACAAAUAUAAAUUACAUUAAUAAAAAAAUAUAACAUUUUAACCCUUAAUAAACAUGCAAUUUUUAACACUAAUCACACCCCCCAACUAGCUUAUUGCUAGCCCCUAGCAAUUAAAGCGUUAUAUUAAAUUAAGAUUUACAAAAUUCACAUGCAAGUUAAUAGUUGUUCAUCUAUCCUCUAAAUUACCAAAUAAAUAAACUCUCCCAAUUUUUUUUUUAAAUCUUGGUCGUCCACUCAUUAUCCAAAAUAUCAUAAACCUUAUUUUCUGCUCAAGUAAUUAACACAAUACUUAUGGGGUUUCAUUAAAAGAAAACAAUAUUUUCGUUUUAAAACUCAUUAGAAAUUCUAUCUUCAGGCAGUAGAUUAUUCAAGCUUUUUUUUUUAAAUUGCAUUUUUAACCCAUGUAGCGAGCUUUAGGUCAGUGUCUCCCAGACCAGUUGACCUUAGGACAAUCCAUAACUAGGCCACCUUUCUUUGACUUUAAUGACUACCCAUAUUGAAAAACUAGGAGAAUUUAUUUGUAAGCUUUAGGUUAUAAAAUUUGGCAAGUUGUUUGUGAUGGUUCAUUCAUGCCUAUGACUAAAAAUAAAGUAGGAGAUGAUAUUCAAAAACCUUCAAGUCAAUGAAGUGAGUUAGAAAAGAAAAAGAUAUCUUUAAACUCUAAGGCAGUGAAUGCUUUGUUUUAUACUCUUGAUAAGAAAGAUUUUCUUAGAGUGUCUAGUUGUAAGAGUGCUCAAGAAAUAUGAAACAAACUUGAAGUUGUCUAUUAAGGGACAAAUCAAGUUAAAGAGUCUAAGAUUAGUAAAUAUACUCGACAAUAUGAAUUUUUCUAAAUGGAACAAAAUGAGAGCGUGUAUUCUAUUUAUACUAGGUUUACAUAUAUUGUGAACACAUUAGAAGCCCUAGGAAAAAUAUUUUCGAAUAGCAAAAAAGUUAAGAAAAUUAUUAGGUCUUUACCAAUAGAAUGGAGACCUAAGAGAACUGCCAUAGAGGAAGCUAAAGAUUUAAAUACUUUGCAUAUUGAUGAUUUAAUUGGUUUUCCUAUUUCAUAUGAGGAAGAUUUGACAGCAGAAAAAGACAAUAAGGAAAAAAAAAAAAAAGAAAAGCAUUGCACUUAAAGCAUCAAAGCAUGCGAGUGAUGAGGAAAGCGAGCUUGAUGAUGAAGAUAUGGCUAUAUUGUCCAAGAGGUUUAAAAAAUUCUUCAAGAAAGCCGGUGAGCGGAAAAGAUUCAGAAACUACAAGAACCAAAAGGAGAAGAAGGAGCUAAUUACUUGUUAUGAGUGCAAGAAUCAUGGACACAUACGAUCGGAAUGUCCUCUUCUCGAAAAGCUUAAGAAGAAGGCAAUAGUAGCCAUAUGGGAUGUUAGUGAUAAGGAAACAAGUGAUGAUAAAGAGCAACAAGAGAUGUAAAAUCUAGCUCUCAUGGAAUUGGGAUGAAUCGUUUGACGAACUUGAUGAAGUAAGUGAUCUACCUAUGAUUAAUUAUAUAAUGCUUUUAAGGAAUUGCAUGAUGUAUGCCUUAAAAGGAAAAUGCUAGAACUUUCAAAUGAAAAUGAUGUCUUGUAAAAUGCAAUGAUUCAUUGAAUAAAAAGAUCAAGGGAUUGGAAUUAGAUAAUGAAAUGUUGUAUGAUAUGAUUACAUCAUUUAAAUAUAAAUAAAGUACUUCAUAUGAGCAUGAAAAAUCACAUGUUGAUAAAUUGAUAAAAGAAAAUGAAGUGCUUAAGAAAAAGAGUAAUGAACUCAACAAAAUUUUGUUAAAAUUCACAAGUGGUCAAAAGAAUUUAGAAAAAUUGCUGAACUCUAAAAAAUGUGUAUUUGAUAAAGGAGGACUUGGGUAUAAGCCUAGCUUGACUUGAAGCAAAAGUAUUUUAGGAAUUACUUUGUUAAAGCUACCUCCACUAGUGAUCAUAAAAUUAAUUGUCAUUAUUGCAAUCAAAAUGGUCAUAUGAAAUAUAGAUGUCUAAUGAAAAGAAAUGCAUUCAAUGGAGUCAAAUGUGUAGCUCCAAAAGGAACUAUUGCUAACACUCAAGGACCCAAAGAAAUUUGGGUACCUAAGACUUGAAAUUUCCUCUGCAUGGUUUGAAGAAGAAAAAGAAUAAACGGCACCUGGACAGUGGUUGCUCAAGGCAUAUGACUAAAAUUAUUCUUGGUUUUCAAGUUUUACCAAGAUUGAAAACAGUAGAGAUGUGUCAUUUGGAGAUAAUUCAAAAGGAAAGAUUAUCAGUAUCGGUAAUAUUAGUAAAAAAUCCUCUACUCUUAUUGAAAAUGUGUGUUUGGUUGAAAACUUGAAAUACAACUUACUUAGCAUUAGUCAAUUGUGUGAUAAAGACUAUAGAGUUAUCUUUGAUAAAUCGAAAUGUGUUAUUGAGAAUGCAUAUGAUGGCAAGAUUUUGUUUGUAGAAAAUAGAUGUGUUAAUGUUUAUAUCAUUAAUAUAGAUUGUGUAUCUACUUAUGAUAAAUGUUUCUCUACAUUACAUGAUUAUAGUUGGUUAUGGUAUAGAAGACUAGGUCAUGCAAGUAUGGAUUUGAUUUCAAAGAUUUCAAAAAAUGAUUUGGUUAAUGGCCUUCCAAAAAUUAGUUUUCAAAAAGAUAGAAUUUGUGAAGUUUGCCAAUUUGAAAAAUAAAUCAAAACUUCUUUAAAAAAAAGAACCAUGUCUCAACUUCAAAACCACUUCAACUACUUCACAUGGAUUUGUUUGGACCUUCUAGAUAUGUAGUUUAAGUGGCAAAUAUAUGCAUUUGUGAUUGUGAAUGAUUAUUCUAGAUACACAUGAGUAUUGUUCUUUGAUAAUAAGAAUGAUGCCUUGGAUGCAUUUAGAAUUUUCUACAAAAAGGUUCAAAAUGAAAAGGGAUGUGCUAUUUCUUGUAUUAGAAGUGAUCAUGUGGAGAAUUUGAAAAUCAUGUAUUUGAGAAUUUUCUAUAAAAAGGUCAACACUGCUUGUUAUGUUUUAAAUCAUAUGUUUAUUAGACCUUAUCUCAAUAAGACUCCCUAUGAGCUUUGGAAAGAUAAAAAACUCAACAUUGGUUAUUUCAAAAUUUUUGGAUGCAAAUGUUUUAUUUUGUAAACAAAAGAUAAUCUUGGCAAAUUUGAUCUAAAAUCUUAUAUUGAUAUUUUUCUUGGUUAUUCAAAUACAAGCAAAACUUAUAGAGUGUAUAAUAAAAGAACUUUGGUUGUGGAAGAAUCUAUGCAUGCUAUAUUUGAUGAGUCUAAUCCUUCCUCUACGGAGAGAGUUGUUGUCGAUAAUAAUAUAGAUGAACAGUCACAACAAGGAUUAUCAAAAGAUAAACAAGAUGAUGCAUCACAUGAAAAUAAAGAGGAUAGACAAUGAGAAUAAAUAAAUGAGGAGCAACAAGAAGGUACAUCUCAAACACUCCCCAAGGAGUGGAGGUAUGUUUCCCCUCAUCCGAAGGAUUUAAUUGUAGGUGAUCCUUCAAGAGAUGUUACCACUAGAUUAUCAUUUAGAAAUACUUGUGAGCACGCUGCAUUCAUAUCUCAAAUUGAACCAAAUUCUUUGCAGAUGCGAAAAAUGAUGAAUCUUGGAUCAUGGCAAUACAAGAGGAGUUGAAUCAAUUUGAGAGAAACAAUGUGUGGAAAUUAGUUUCUAAAUCGGAACAUCAAUCUAUUAGGCACUAAAUGGGUAUUGAGAAAUAAAAUGAAUAAAUCCAGUGUGGUUGUAAGGAAUAAAGAUAGAUUAGUGGCUCAAAGAUACAACCAAGAAGAAGGAAUUGAUUUUGAUGAAACAUUUGCGCCUGUAGCUAGAUUAGAAUCCAUUAGGAUGUUGUUAGCAUUUGCAUGUCAUAAAUAUUUAAUUUUUAAUCAAAUAGAUGUCAAAAAUACUUUCUUAAAUGGUUAUAUUAUGGAGGAACUUUAUAAGUUUUCUAAAGCACUGUAUGGAUUUAAAACAAGCACCUAGAGCAUCGUAUGACAAGCUUAAAAAUUUCUUGCUGGAUAAUGAGUUUUCAAUGGGAAAAAUGGAUACUACUCUCUUUGUUAAGCAUAAGAACCAAGAUAUACUUGUUGUUCAAAUUUAUGUUGAUGAUAUUAUCUUUGGUUCUACUAAUGAGUUUUUGUGCAAGGAGUUUUCAUCUUGUAUGAUGAGAGAAUUAAAGUAUUUCCUUGGACUUCAAAUCAAACAAAACAAUGAGGGAAUCUUCAUCAACCAAGCUAAAUAUGUCAAAGAUCUACUCAAAAGAUUUGACAUUGAUGACUCAAAUCCAAGAGACCUCCAAUGAGCACAACAAUCAAGCUUGACAAAGAUGAAAAAGAUAAUAAGAUUGAUAUAAAAAUGUAUCGAUGUAUAAUCAGCUCUUUACUUUACUUAGCCGCAAGUAGACCUGAUAUCAUGUUUAGCGUAUGUUUGUGUGCAAGAUUUCAAUCAUGUCCCAAGGAAUCUCAUUUGCUUGCUGUGAAAAGAAUUUUUCGUUAUUUGAAUAGAACUAUAGAUCUUGGCCUUUGUUAUCCUAGAGGAACCUAUAUAGAUUUAACUUAUUAUUCGGAUGUCAAUUUUGCUGGUUAUAAAAUCGAUAGGAAAAGCAUUAGUGGAACAUGUCAUUUCUUAGGUCAUUCUCUUAUUUCAUGGUUUAGUAAGAAACAAAAUUCGAUUUCACUCUCAACCACCGAGGCAGAAUAUAUUGCCGUAGGUAGUUGUUGUCCACAAACUCUUUGGAUGAAACAAACACUUAGAGAUUAUGAAUCUUGAACAAAUUCUUAUCAUGUAUAAUAAUAUUAGUGCUAUAAAUCUAUCAAAGAAUCCCAUUUAGCACUCUAGAACCAAGUAUAUAGAGAUUAGACAUCAUUUCUUGAGAGAUUAUGUUCAAAAGGGCAACAUUGCAUUAGAAUUUAUCUAUACAGGAAAAAAAAACUUGCCUAUAUUUUUACAAAACCUCUUUGCGAAAAAUAAUUUUCAAAAAUUUGGCAUAAACUUGGGAUAAUGAAAUUUUCGCAUUAACAUCUCUAAUCAUGUUAUUGAAUCUAUUAAAAUUGAUUGAUUGAUGAUUUGCUUAUGAUUACAAAGUUUUUAAGCAUGAUAAAUGAGUGAUGUAUUUGAAUCAAUAAUCUUUGAAUGCUUACAUGUCUCAUGAUUGUGUGAUGUAUAUGUAUGAUAAAUGUGUUAUAUAUUUAAAUUUAUAAUCUUUGAAUAUUUAUAAUUAUGAUUCAUGCAUUAAAAUGGCUUUUGAAAGUGUUCGGGAUCACGAAAUGGUUUUGGAAUCGAUCAAAAUUAGCCGGAAAGCAAACAUUUGUGCAAAAGGGCAGCAAAGAGACAGUUACCCGCUUGCCCCAAACCCGAGAGUAAGCGGCUAGCCAUUUGCCUCUAAGCGACUAGCCGCUUGGUCACGGUUUUUAUACAUUUCUUCCCCCUUUCUCUUGCUUUCUUCAACCUUUCUCUACUCUCUUUCAUGGCCGUUCAUCUUUCCUCCAUUUCCUCUUAAAUUAUUUUCAUUUCUCAGUCAUUUUCAUGCCAAAAUCAAUCUUUUAAACCAUUACCCAUGCAUUUAACCUUCAUUAAACACUUCCCAAUCAUCAUUUCAUCACUUGUUUCUCCAAAUCUAAAAAUCAAAACCUAAGCUUACCUAUAUCUCUCUCUUAUAUUUUAGGCUCUUUUUAGCUCAUUUUUUUUAUCCAAUUAAUACCAUACAUUGCCUUAAAUCAUCUCUAGGAUCAAUUUUAUUGAUUCAAAUACAUUCAUUUCACUCAAAAUCUUGAAAAUUCGAAUUUAGGUAUUAAAGCUUGUUCUUGUUUUCAACAAUAGUUAGUAGCCAAAAAUCCAAGGGAAAACAUAUAGCCAAGAAGCGCAAGGAAGAUCAUGGAGACAAUCUAGAGUUCAUAUUAACACAUUUUCUGCAACCACCUUUUCAGAAAUGUUUUCACGAUAAAUUUAUGUCGAGGUUGGUUAUUGCCCCCUAUUUUGUCAAUCUUCUUCAUUCGGAGAAUUUAGCAAUUUUUGAUAAAUCUCUUAGUGAUUUUCUUAUUGACAUGGGUUAGAAAAAUGUUUUAGUUUUCAAGGAACGAUGUUAUGAAAUUUAGUUAAAGUUUUUUAUUCGAAUAUGGUUAUUUCUUUGCAAACUACAAAUAGAAUUGUUACAAGUGUUGGGGGAAUACAUAUUGAGUUUGAUGUUGUGGAUUUAAAUCAUAUUCUUAGAACUCCAAAUGAAAGGUUGGAACAUUAUACUGCUAAAAGGAAAAUAGAUUAUUCGUGGUAUUCAGUUGAGGAUAUUGUUCGAAAAAUUUGUAGAUGUUUCGAUUUGUCCUUUAAGUUUUGUAAAUCUACCUUGAAAUCUCAAGCCUUACCCCUUCAACUUAGGAUCCUUCAUUAUGUUCUUUAACAUGUCAUUAGUCUUAGGCCUGGACAUGGGGAUGAAGUUACUCGAUUAGAUGUGGCCUUAUUGGAUAGCAUUCUAAAGGGUAGGGUGCUAAAUGUCAGUUAUAUUAUUCUUCAUCAUAUACUUAGCACUCCAUGUAUAGCAAAACGAUCCCUUCCUCAUGGAAGCAUUUUUACCCACAUUCUCAAACAAUUUUGGGUACCCAUAAUCGAACCAACAUUUUUGAAUCCUAAGGAAUUAGGAGAUGAAGCUAUAGCCAAUUUAGGGUUUAUAUGGACGGAAGAUAAAUGGUGUAAAAACCAGAGAUACAAAAACAAGGGUACUACAUUAGCUCCUAUAGAUCAUCGUUUCUUUAACGAUGUUCUUCCACCAAACCAGCUCCUUGAUCUCAAUGCUCCACAGCGCUCACAUCCUUCGUCUUCUGAGGGUCCUUCCUAUUCUACUUCAGCAGACCUUGAGGAUCCAAUACAGUAGCUAUUAACUGAAGUGCAUUCUCUUUUUGAGCCGCAGAACCAAUUUCAGUCCCAGUUUGAGGCCUUUCAAAUUCAGUCCACUUUGAAGCAACAACGCCUGUUUAAGCAGUAACAAUGUUUAUUUAAUCAACGACAUCGACUCUUUGCUCAACAACAGUAGCUUUUUGAUGGUCAACAACAACUUUUCGCUGCUCUUGGGUUUCCACCGCCAUCCUCAUUAUCACAUUCACCAUCUUCAUAGUGUUCUAUUCUUUUUCAUCUUGAUUUUAGUUCUUUGUUUUAUUCUGCACUACAUUUUCAUAUGCAUUGUUGUUUUACUUAUGGAUUAAGGAUGAUUGUUGUUUGAUAUUUAAAUGUUUUACAUUUGGAUGAUAUUUUAUGGAUUCUUGGAUAACUCUUUGGUUACUUGCAUGCUUGAUUUUUAUAUGUUUCUUGAUUAUCUAUUGAGAUGUUAUUUUUGGUCUGAGCAUGGAGUUAUAGUAAUUGUGAUGAUGAAGAGGGAGAAGUCAUGUAUUUUGACCUUGAAAUAUUGAUGCAUGAUUUUGAAAUAUUUAGAGGGACCAUACAUUUGUUAAAGAUCAUGUAUUCAGGGAGAGUUCAUAGUUCAUUUAUAUGUUGAAUUAUGUAUGCCAUAUAUUAAGGGGGAGUAUAAAUGUCAAAAUACAUGAAAUGUUUGUCAUCAUCAAAAAAGAAAAGAUUGUUAGCCUAAAGGGUUACAUAUAUUGUAAUUUUGAUGAUAAAAAACAUGUCUUAAGUAAUAUGAUAAAUAUUGUAUUUCACAUUUUCACUAGUUCUUGAAGGAUAAUAUUUAGGCAAGUGAAUCACGUGAAAUCAGGCUCAAGGCACUCAACGUACAAUAGCUCGAUCAAGAACAAAAUUUAGUUCAACGAAGUCAUUAUUGCGACAAAUUAUUGUAAAGCUGAUAUGAUUUAAUGUAUGCAGGGUUUAGCAUUUAAAAAGCUCGAGAAGUUGUGGGUAAAAAUAUAAUUUUUAAUAUAAUAUUAUUGUAGAAAAAUUCAAAUUGCAACGGUAACUUGCACUGUAUUAAGUGGUGAGCCGGCUAGUUAAGAGGCUAAUCGCUUGCUUGCGGGUUUUGUCCAUAAUGGCUAGUUUUUGUAUCAAAACUAUAUAAAAUCAAAUCCAGUUCAUUUUUAAAGACUUUUGCAAGUAUAAACAAGUGUAAACAAUAUAUUUUAAGCUUCUAAUUCGCAAAUCAUCAUAGAUUAAAUAUUCAUUGAGUUAUUAUUAAGAGGUUAAUAUCGUAGAGGUUACCGGGCAAAGCCAAAUUGAACUUGGAGAAUCUUAGUAAGUGUUCAAUUUUGACCAGAAUUUUUCAUUUUCAACCUUUAAUUUUCAAAGAUUAACCAUUAUGGACUUGCUUUUUUUUGUUUGUGCUUCAAUAAGCUAGUCUUCUUUCACAUUGCUUAAUUACAAAAUUUUACUACUAAUACAUCAAUUUAUUAAUUUUUUAUUAUUUUACUUUAUAUUUACAAGUCUUAUACUCCAUUUCUAAAUUUUAUAUUUUAUUUUACAAAUAACGUUGAUUUAUAAAUUUUAUAUUAAAUUCACAAAUUUUCUGUUUGAUUUACAUAAUCUAAGUUUAAUCACAAUAUUGAUACCAUGGUUUUAGUCACUACUUUAAUUAACAACUAGAUACGGAAAAAAAUAUAUAUUUUAACUAACUCAUUACAUGAAGCUUUUAAUAUAUUAUAUUCUAAAAUAAUUAAAAUAUAUAAGACAAAAAUCCUGACAUUCUUGCUGUUUUUGGAACGUUAUAGUGGCAACUUUUUAUUUUAUUAUUAUAUAAGAGUGAAAAUCAAAUCUCUUCCCUAUCACUAAGUAGUAUACUUCCCAAAAAAAAAAAAAAAAGAAUUUGACUGUCAUUUAAUUACAUUAAAAAAAAUGUCAUAGAAAGUGUUGUGUCACUUUUAAUCAGAGGAUGGGAGUGCAUUACGACUAUUGUAUAUAUGUUAUGUUUUCAUGAUGAUGUUGUUUAAAUAUUUAGUGCUUAUUUGGUAUGACUUAUUUAAUAACUAUAAGUGUUUAUUUAAUCUCAUAAGUUCCUAUCAUAAUUUUUGUUAUUGUUUGGUUGUUUUUCUAAUAGAGUUUUUAAAACUUAAAUAAGUUAUUUUAUCUCUACUAGUAAAAGCUCCAAUUUUGAGCUUUUGAGAGUAGAGGCUGAGAAGUUUUUUUUUUUAAAUGUCAAAAUAUCUAAAAUAUCCUCUACUUAUUUAAUAAUUGUAUUUAUUAUUUUCAUAAUAUAACUUUAAAAAACUUGCCUAUUAUAAUAAUUUCAUAAAUUUUUAAUAAAUAUUUUUAUUGACAACCAAACAACUAAAUAUUUUUUAGUAAAAACUCUAUUUACAAAAGCUCUAUUUAAAUAAGCUCUACUUUAAAAGCUGUACUAAACAGAGCCUUAGACCGAUACCUAAUAAUAACACAGAGCAGCUCGAGCCUAGCUCACCCAACUAAUGAAAAAGAAAAUGAUUUAGCCUCCUGCUAUUAGAUAGGUGUAAUGCAUGCAAGUAAUACACACAUUUAUUCAAAAGAAAAUACAUUUAUUUAUUCAAAAGGAAAUACAUUUGUAUGACAGAUGUAUAAGUAAUGCAGUGCCAAAAGUCUUCACUUAAAAGUUGAAGGCAUAUCAUCAAAACAUGUGACCCCUAGGGAUAGAAACUUGAACAUUCACAAUGAUCAAUGCAACUUGUCCUUCAUUGUUCCAGAAGAUAGCUAGGCACAUUAAUCCUCCAACAUUUCUCAAUGGAUUUCAAAAUCAUCGACAAUAUAUAGCUUUAUGGUUCUCUUUUUUUUAUUCACAAUUUUUUUAUUCUAAUAUUGAAAUUAAUUGGUAACUGCACAGAACUGACAAUUUCUUGGCACUCAUUUUGUAGGGAAUUGAGAUUGUAACUUACAAAUUUAAUAGCAUUUUGAAGCCAAGGAAAUCUAGUCUCAAUUAAUAUGACUCUAGCUUCAGGAGAUUAUGUCUCUAGACAAAUACCGAUGAUCAUGAAGUGACGGAUGAAUUCUAGUGAUAUAUUCCUUAAAUCGCUUAUAUAUUAUGAUUUUUUUCAGAUCUAAUGACCCAGUAAUUAUUUUUGAGCACAUAUAACACCUAGAUCAUUAAUAAUGGUGAUCAGCAUUGUUUUAAGAUUUAGAGCAAAUUAUGUGAUAGCCUAGGGACACUUGGCCGAAUGUUACCUACAGUUAAAACAAGAUGUUUGUUAAAAUAUCUCAAUGAAGAGUAAGAUGGCGGGAAAGCUGUAGUUCAAUAUGCAGAGAUCUUUUGGCAUUUGGAAACAAUAAUCUUGAAGGUUCUAGAUCCUCACAACGAUGAAAAGGCCAGAAAUUGAUCAACAAAAUGAAGGGUGCAUAAUAUGCAGCAAGUGAAGACAACAGUACACAACGGUCUUAUCAUCAUUGUGCAUAUUCAUCAAUUAGUCUCAGUCAUAAAUCAACAAUUGUAACAGUUGUAAGUAUAGUACAGAGACCUUAUGUAAAAAGCAAGUGAACUCAUGAAUAAAGAUGUGCUGGUUACAUCAAAUUAUUCUGUGCAUUGCUUUCGUAUUAUUCUCUGCACAAAAUAGCCAUCAUUUUAUGUAAUUUAAACUUGGUAUCGGAGCUCUCAUUCCAGAAAUGGGCGUGAUUCAAUAUCGUAGUUCAACUGAAGAGGUUGACCUUAGUGAGCAAACACUUGAAACACCAGCAGUAACACAACAGUCAUCAUCCUUAAUUAUUGCGCAAAACUCCUCUCAAAUUUUCCUUUUCAGUUUCCACAGAACUUGACAGAACUAUGUCAUCUAGAGGACCAUGGUCAUGCCUGCCAUACGUCGCAAUGGUCUGGAGCACCUCAUUAGUGACUCACAAGACAUACCAACCAAAUAUAUCAUCAGUACUGAGGAUGACGGCACAACCAAAUCAACACUAAGACCAAAUUUUGUGAUGUGUUGCAAACCGGACCAACUACUCCUUAGUUGGCUUCUUUCUACAAUCACAGAAAGUAUUAUUUGUGCUGUGACUCAUUGCACAGCUUCUCUUGAGUUGUUGACAGUGCUGGAGAAAAUUUACUCUUCACAGUCCAUGGCUAGGUCAAUAGUGCUAAGGAUGCAACUGCAUAGCACUAGAAACGACAAUAUGAUUAUCAGUGAAUACUGCACCUAAGAUGAGAAAUCUGGUAACGGAACUUGUUACUGCUAGAAAGAUUGUCUCAAAUGAAGAUCUCUGCAACCACAUUAUCACAGGACUUGACAGAAGCUAUGAGUCUGUGUUGGGGAGCCGGACUUCAAUGCUUUAAAACAUUCCUUUUUGAAGAACUCUGCUCAAUCCUCUUAAGCCAUGAAGCAAGACUUGAACAGCAAGCACCUGCUGAAGCACAAGCUGCCUAUGAGGCAAAUGUCACCAUGAAACACAAGUGUGGGAUGAAUGAGAACAAGGAAGGUCAUGGGAAAGGAUACAAUCCAAACCAAGGACCUGGAAAGUCUCAUGGAGGCAGAGGAAGCAACAAUAACAGCUUAAGAGGAAGGGGCAGAGGUAGAUAUGGAGGAAAGAAAACAGUCUUUAAGCCUGAUGUCACCUGUCAUAUUUUGCUUCAAAGUUGGUUACACUACAGAUGAGUGUUGGCACAUACGUGAGGAAGACUUUGUGCCCAGAAACAAUGAGCAACAACACCAAAGAGCGGCCUUUGUUGUAGCUAAUGAAGGAGUGCUUGAAACAGGGUGGAACCUAGACAGUCGUACGACAAACUAUGUGACUAAUGACCUCAACAACUUGAGCAUGAGAUCUGAGUAUAAAGGUAAUUCCUUUCUCAUGGUUUGAAAUGGACACAAAUUAAAAAUAUCACACACUGGCACAAUACUAUUUCCUUUAUCUUUUGGUAAAAAAAGAACAUACUUGACUCUUAAGAAUGUUUAAUAAUGUUCUAUAUGUACUUGAUAUAACCAAUAAUCUCCUUAGCAUAUCAAGUUUGAUCUCAGAAAACCAUCUUAAUAUCUUGUUUACUGAAAAACAUUGUUGUUGUAAAGGACAAGCUGGGGAGUGCUCUUCUUCAAAGAACGAAUCAUGGAGGACUGUUUGUGGUCAGUAGAACUGCUGAAAAUAAAGCGGGAAGUGUUGCUGUCAAUUCUCUUUUAAGUUCACAGUCUUUGUUUGCAAUUAUAAUAGAGUCAAAUUCAGUUGAGUUUGAUUCUAAGUCGGCAGAGUUUGAAUGUGUUCAGUCUAUUGAGUCGAAUAAAAAUCGAGUUGGAUAUGUGAAGCAAUUAGACCUUUUAGAUAGAAAGUUUGGUCAUCCAAGUGAUGCUGUCCUCAAAAUAAUAGUGUCAAGCUGUAAUAAUAUCUCAGCCUUAAAUAAAAAAGAAUCAAGUUCCUUUUGUUCAGCCCAUAUAUAUAGAAAGAACCAUAAGCUAAGCUUCAAAAAAAGCUCACGGACUAAAACGCAAGCAACAUUAGAAUUAUUGCACAAUGAUAUCACCUAUUCCAUUAGGAGAAAGGUACAAAUACUGAGCAUAGUAGAUGACCACACUAGGACAUUUCCACUCAUUAACAAAUCUGAAACAACAAAAAUCUUUAUAAAAUUUAAAGAACAAGUGGAAAGAACAUCAGAAAAGAAAACUUAAGUGCUUAAGUGACUGAGAGGUGAAUUUAGGCCAUUAAAGGGUAUGUAGAGAUAUGAGGAAUAGUCUUUAUAUAUUCAUGCCCUUACACUUCAAUGAAGAAUUGAGUGGAACUGUAUAUAUGCCACAACCAGAUGAAUUUGAAAGCAAGGAAAAUUGGAAAAACCAAGCUAUGUCUGUGAUUGGAAAAAGCACUAUAUGGCUUAAAGCAGGCACAAGGAGUCUGGUAUAAGAAGCUGAGAGGAGUUUUGCUGACUUGCGGAUUCAAAAUGCAAUCUCAGACAAAUCGCAGACACAUUAUUAUUUCUCGGGAAGAAUAAGGGAAAGUCAGUAUAUGUACUUAUAUAUGAUGAUGACAUAUUGAUCACAGGAAGUGACCAAAGAACGACUGAAGGCGUUAUCAAACAAUUGAAUGAAAGUUUUGCUUUUAAAUUACCUCGCAUACCCAUCUAUUUUAUGCAAAUUGAAGCAAAAAGAGACUGUGGAGGGAGGCACUCGUGCUAAGAAAAGUAUAUACAGGAUCUACUAAAGAAAACCAAAAUGUUACAGCUAUAAGAAUAGUACGGAGACCUUGUAUGAAAAGCAAGUGAACUCAUGAAUAAAGAUAUGUCGGUUAUAUCAAGUUAUUCUAUGCAUUGCUUUCAAAUUAUUCUCUGCACGAUAGCCAUCAUUUUCAGUAAUUUAAACUCUUACGCUAAUUGGAAAAUGCACUGGCUUGCUUCUGCAGUAAUUUGGUUGUUGGAUUGGACCAUUGAUUUUAAGUGAUGAAGACAAAAUUCAACAAGGAACACAUACGAGCCACAUGGAAAAAUUCAUUUUUAAUCAUUAUUAAUCACAUAAUAUGAUCCAUGUAGCAAAAAUUAAAUUUAUUAUUAAUAUGAGCCAAGGACUAAUUAUUUCAUACAACAAAGACAACAUUAUGGUAUUUGUUAUUUAGCUUUAUUAUAUGUUGUUCCCUUUCUAUAAAUAAGACUUCGAGCCGUAUUGAAUAAAUAAGGUGAAAGUUAAUUAUCUGCAAUCAUGACAUAUUCCCAAGAUUCAAAAAUCAAUUCAAAUGCCACCUAACAAUAUUUAUUAAAAAUUAAAAAAAUAAAUAUAAAUAGAAACAAAUUAAUGAUUUUCGACUACCCCAAAAUCUAACACAUUUUUUAUCCUGCUGAUAUCUAAAAUCUUGAUUCUCUCAAACUAACAAGAGUUAGAAACAAAACCUAGUCAAAGCAGUGGAUUUAAUUAUACAUUUGUAAAAAUUAUGGCAUCAUCCAUUUUGGAUGCCACAUUAUUUUUAUAUCUAUCGCAAUUUGAUGAGGCAAAGGAAAAAUGAUGACUUUUUUCGAUGAGACAAAAGAAAGAUGGCUUGUUUUUUAAUGAAGAACAAAAAAAUGACUUCAUUUUAGUGAGGCAAGAGAAUAUUGAUUGUUUCUUUUAUCUUCUUCACUGCUUGUUUCGGUUGCAAUAUUUCAAAUUAGUGCAUGAUUAAAAUUCUGUUUUUAUAAAAUCACAUCACAGAUGAAGAUAUGUGGAAAGACAAUUAUCGACGAAGAAGACAUACUUAACAUUUCGUGCUAUAAACAUGAUUCUGCAGCAAUAAUAUAGAGCUCACUAACUUGAUACGCAUAAAGUUGGUUUUGAAGCAAAAUGCUAUCACACAGAAUCGUGGUGAAAAUCAUUGACAUGACAAGGUCAUAGUCGUGCUAAAAAUCAUGGUUACAAUUAUGAUUGACGUCAUGAUCUUGAAGAAAUCAUUAUCAACCUUAUAAUGAUAGUAUACAUCUGGAUAUCUUAGAUACAUGAUGCGUAAACAGUUGAUUUAAUUGGUUAUAAAGAUAUCUAUCCCUGUUAAGAUUACUAUUAAAUUUUAUUAGCUUUUAUAUUCCUAUCUAUUUUAUUUUUUAUGACGAUGCCUAACAUAUUUUACUCUUGAAAGGAUAUAGAUACUCAAAGGGGAUUGCAUCAUAAAGAAAUGUGUUUAGCUGGCAGUAUAACUACACUAACUAUCCUUUGAAAUAAUAAAUAUUUUAUGAGUUUGUAAUCAUUUGAAGCUAAGAUAAGUGCCAUCUUAGGUCCUGUUGAGAUCUAGUUGAAGACUCUAGAACAUUCACGUUCAUAUUACCAAGUUAUAACAAAAUUACAUAUCUAUAAUGCUCUGUAUUCACUAACAGUAGAAGAAAUCUUUUGAGUUUCAAAUAUAUUCGCAGUAAUGAAUUUCAUAUAGAGAAAAUAAAUGAGAAUAAUACAGAAUGUCUCUAUAUUACUUCUAGUGUCUUAGGUAAAAAUGUAUAUUGGAAAAGCUUUCUACUUUUUGAUCUGACUUAUAUUCAUACAACGAUAAAACUAGUUGGGAGCUACACAAUCAUGAACCAAAGACUUUGUGAUUCAAAAGUUUUUAUAUCUCAGUCACCUAGGUCAACUAUGAUGAGUAGAAUUAUCGAGAAUUCUUAUGGACAUCAUUUAAAGAAUCUAAAGAUUAUUCUCUCCAAUGAGUAUAGUUGCACUACUUGUUCCUAGGGUAAAUUAAUUAGCACUUAGACCAUCACAUUCGAAGAUUGGUCUUGAAUCUCUAUUGUUCCUACAAAUAAUUCAGGCAUAUAUAUGUGGACUUAUUAGCCCAUCUAGUGGUCUAUUUCAUUAUUUUAUGGUCUUGAUUGAUGCAUUUGACAGUAGUCAUAUGUUUAUUUAUUAUCUAUAUACAACAUUGUAUUUACUAGAUUGCUUGCACAAGUUAUUAAGUUACCUGCACAAUUUUAAGAUUAUCUAGACAAUGCUAGUAAGUUUACGUCUAAAGUUAUUGGUGAUACUACAGUUCUUUGGGAUUGAUAUAGAGCACCCAAUAUCACAUAUUCAUACUUAGAAGGGAUUGGUAGAAUCCUUCAUCAAACUGCUUUAGCUGAUUAUAGGAACUUUAUUGUUUCAUACUCAAUUACCUAUUUUUGCAUAUGGACAUACUAUUUUGCAUGCUAUGGUACUAAUACCUAGAGGCAUACUGCCUAUCACCAAUAUUCCUCAUUGCAAUUAGUACAUGGCAUCAACCUAAUAUAUCUCAUUUGUGCACUUUUGGCUAUAUUGUGCAAGUUCUUGCGACACCCCCCUAGUGUACUGAAAUAAGACUUCAACGAUAUUUUGAAUUUUAUGUGCAUUUUGACUAUCUAUUAUCAAAUGUCUUGAACCUAUUACCAAUAAUUUUUUUACCGCAUGCUUUUAUGAAUUUCCAUUUUAAUGAGAUAAAAUUUCCUUUGUUGGAGAAAAAAAAAAAAGCCACCAUAUGCUGGGAAUGAGCUUUUAUAAUAAGUGACAAAAUUGUCUCCUCUAGAUUACCACACCACUCAAAGUGAAAAUGAAAUGUGGUGAAUAAUUCUCUUACAAAAAAUUAUAAAUCGCUUGUUAGUUGUAUUUACAAAUGUAUCGAAAGUAAUCAAGUCAUAUGUACUGGUUGCAAAUGUACUUGGCCAAUUAGUUGCUCCUAAUUUUAAUAAAUAAAAAAAACUAUUUGAAUCGUCUAUGGCACGCCUUAAGUAUUGUAGACCCAUUGGCUCAAAGGACAACAUUCUGCUGAAAAGAAAAAUAAAAAGUUAGGAUCUGUUAUCAUGAAUGAUCAGGCUCUAAGUGAAAGUGGUCCUUCAAAGCAAAAGGUCCUUGAUGAGAACUAUGUGCCUACAGUAACACUACCUCCUAAAGAGACAAUUACCUUAAAUAUGGCCAAGCACUUGAUGUGGCUUAGUGAUGGUUGUCGAAGCCAACAAAAAUAAAUUCUUACUCUAAAUAAAUUAUGUAUAGUGAUUGAGCAGGGUCGUGUCCAUAGAGAUCGGUAAUUAUUUAAAUCAUUUUGAAACGUAAAACAUAAAAUGGGGGUUUUGUUGACAAUAAUAAAAAUCAAAUUAAAAUAACAAGAAUGCAAAUUAAAGUUGUAAUUCAAAUUGGAGAAAGCUCUGGUUGAAAGAAUUAACUCAGCUUGAUUCGACUACUGAUCAUUGAUUCAAAUAUAGAUUAUUAUUACUUAUGAAUAGACCGGUUAUAGCAAUUGAGACCCUCUAAUAGCCAAUCUCUCCUUAACUAGUCGAUAACCAAGGUACGACCGUUGGAUAUUUCCCUAAUCAAUAGACAACCCUAGAUACGAUCAUAGGAUUUAAUCAAUUGACAGCCUGAAAAACCAGAGAGACCCAAAUCCUAAUCAACACAUAUGAUGAUUCAUUUAAAUUAGAUUGUUUAUUCUCACAACACAACUCUCUGCUAUUUAUUUGUCACAAACAUUAAAUUCUUCAUACGAUGAAUCCUUUAAUUAACAAUAGAUUAAGUUGAUAAUUAAAUAGUGGCCAAUUAUCUAAUUAACAAACAUAAUCAUGAAAAUAAUUCAGAGAAUAAACAAAUACCCAAAAAGUAAUAAAACAAUUAAAGCACAAGAAAGAUCUCACAGUAGUGAUGAAUCAAAGCUUCAUUAUCCUUCAACCAGAAAAAUAGGUUUAGUUCUUCAUAGAGAGAAGAGAAAAAUUAAGAUCUAGGGUUUCUUUCUUUUUUUCCAAUCCAAAUCCUUCACAAUAGAUUCCUCCCUUAAAUACUCUCUCUCUCUUCUCUUUUAGAAUUCUAUUUAAAAUAAAAUACUAAUAUCUGAAAUAUUAAAUUCGUAAUUACAAAAAUAACCAAAAAUACAAAACACGUUAAACUAAAAACUACAGGUCCGCAGUUGACAGCACGCGCCCACGCCUUAUCAACAAAGUUCUUCUGACGCUCAUAAUUUCUCCAAGAGAACAAUCAUCCUUAAACAUCAUCUUAUAGCUCAAUUUUAUCACCAAUCAAUAGAAUUGCACCUACAAAAGUAAAACACAAGUAAAUCACUAUUAUUAAGUGCAAAACAUCGAUAUUAAGAGAAGUAAACAAUGCAAAACUAGUGCAUAAAUUUCACUCUAACACUUAGAAUGAAGAAAAUACACAAAUUUUGCUCACAAAAAAAGGUGUGGAAUCUUAAAGAAACAAUCAUCGAUGAUAAUUUGCGUUUAUAGUAGCCACUGGUUUAAUAAAUGAUGAUAUUGAACUGUAAUCCAUUGAUAUGUAGAUUGAGACAUGAUUGGCCUGCAUAGGAAGAAGCAAUCCAUAUGAAGUUGGCUUCUUUGGCAAAAUGAUUAUUUUUUAAUGUAACCUAAAUACCUACUUGUAUUAAAUCUGUUGGAUAUAAAUAGAUAUUUUUUAAGAAAUGUAACUAAAAGAAUAAGGUCGUUAUAUAUAAAGCACGACUCAUUGCACAAGGUUUUUUUAUAGAGACUAGGUAUUGACUAUGGGAUACCUAUUUAUUGGUAGUGCAUAUAGUUACAUUCCAAUUCUUCUAUUUGAGAGGCUUGAUACGCAUUUAAUAGAUAAGUGAUAGGUUUUUGUGUGUAUGAAAACUCCUAAAGGAUUCAAAAUGCUUAAAGCAUUGUAGUCACCACAUUGUAGCUUGUAUUCUACAAAGCUAUAGAAAUCUUUAUAUGAAUUGAAACAAUCUUGACAUAUCUGAUAAAGUUUCCUUAGUGACUACAUGAUCAAGGAAAGAUACAUGAAUGAUCUUAUUUGUCUUCGUGUAUCUAUAAACAAGCUAAAAUCUAGAUUUGCUAUUGCAGUAGUCUAUGUUGAUAAUAUGAAUUUGAUUGGAACUCUCAAAGAUGUCCAAAAGCCUACUGAUUAUUUAAAAAAGAGAGUUUAAAAUGAAAAAUUUUGGGAAAACUAGAUACUAUGUAAAGUUAUAGAUCGAGCACAAAUCUAAAAAUAUCUUUAUUUUUUAGUCAAAUUAUUAUGAAAAGAUAUUAAAAUGUUUUAAUAUGGACAAAACUUCUCUAUCAAUUACCCCAAUGGUAGUUUCAUCUCUUGAUCUUAAAAAGAUUCAUUUAAUCCUAAAGAGGAUGAUGACCAAGUGCUUGCUUCAUCAAAUACCAUAAGUUGAAUGCCCGUUGGUGCUUUAAUGUAUUUAGCCCAAUGUACUAUAGCUGUGUUCAAUAACUUGUUAGCAAGGUUUAAAUCUUGAAUUGAGCUAGACGACAUUGGAAUGGUGUUAAACAUCUUUUUCAUGAUCCUCUUGGAAUUAUCAAUUUCAGUUUAUUUUAUUCUAGUAAAUUAACCAAAAAUCUAAGUCUUAUUAGUUUUGCAGAUAUCCUCAUAAAGCUUGUUCUUAGAGGGGUUAUGUUUUUACUUAUACUAAAUAUUGAUUUCUUAAAAAUAUGUGAAGUUGACUCUUGUACUUGCAUUUUCCAAUCGCUUUGAGAUCCUUGUAUUGCAUGAAGCAAGUAGAGAAUACUUAUGGUUGCGGUCCAUUAUGCAUCAUAUCCAGGAUGCUGAUAAAUUAUCUUCAAGUGCAGACAUCCAAACGGUAAUAUAUGAAAAUAAUGUUUCUUGUAUAGCUCAAUUCAAGAGAGCAUAUAUCAAAGGAGAUUGAAAAAGCUUACCUCACCAAAGUUCUUCAAUACUCAUGAGCUCCAACAAAAUAAGACGAUCGAUAUCAAGCAGAUACAUUACACAAAUAAUUUUACAUAUAUGUUUAUUGAAGCUCUAUGCAUAUCAACAUUUUAGAAAAUAGUAUAUGGCAUCAGAAUGUGCCAUUUAAACAGAAUAUCGAGACGAUCAUUAGUUGAAUGCUCAUCAGGAGAAGAAAAAAUUUACCAAAGAAGAAUUUCAAUAAUUAAAUUGGAUACAUCUGCACGAUACUCGUUUUUUUCCCUUUGAAUAGAUUUUUCUACAAGAUUUUAGUGGCAAAGGUUUUUAAUUAGAUAAUUUAAACCACAUGCAGCCCACUUUAUCGUUCGCUAAAUUAUAUUUCUUUUGGUUGAGCUUUUUUUCUAUUGAGUUUUUCCAUAACAAAAGUCAAAUACAAUUAUCGUGAAGUGGUGGAUACCAAAGUGGGGGUGUUAUGGAAAUUAGUGAUUUAAAAAACAACUCAAGAGAUUUGACGGCUAAAGAGCUAAACAAGUCAAUCAAUUGUGGGUAUUAAGGUCACGAUGUGUCCUAAGGCUUGGCUGUGUUUUAAUUAGCUGAUGGAUUCCCUGAAUAGAGAGCACUACUCAUUGUAAUUUGUAUCCGAAGGCUUGGCUGUGUUUUAAUCGGUUGAUGGAUCCUAUAAAUAGGGAGCACUGCUCUUUGUAAUUUGUAUCUGAAAUUGAAAGCCUUAUCAAUUACAAUAAUAUCAUCUUUCUUUAUAUCAUCUAUUUAUCUAUUUAUACGUCUUACCUAUAUUCUCAAUAAUUAUAUUAUAAUUGAUAUUUUUAUUGUUUAUUGUGCACUGAAUAAUUCUUUUUUUAACCUUUGCUUACUAAUAGAAUUCUUCUUUUUUUUUUAAUAUUCUCUUUAGCGUAUGAAAUUGAUACAAUUUAUUUUUUUCGAUUUUAGUACUUUUUUCGUUCAACUACUUAGGAAUUGUUUGGUAAUGAGAUGAUGUGGUUUUUAAUAUACAGUUGUUGGGAUAAAAGCUAAAUUUGUCAAAGAAAAGCUUAUAGAUUAUGGUAAAUAAUAAAUUUUGUAUUAAUUUUUAUAUUUAACAAUUAUUACAAAAAUUAUGAAAUAAGAAAAAAACCACCAGCUAGGCAGUGGAGCCACAACGUAGUGUGUUUUACCAAACACCCAAACAGAUCCCUAACUAGGGUGUUUAAAUGUCUACAAUUAAGAUUAGUUUAGAAAAUAAGGUCCUAUUUAGUAUUGAGGGGCUAUCUACAGCUAAUGUCGAACAAAAUUGUAACUAUGAAAUAAAAGUUAACAAUAUAUAGUAAAUAUAAUUUUUAAACAAUAAUUUUGAUAAAAUUAAUAAAGGCAUAAUAUUUUUUUUUCAUCUUAUAUGUAUAAAAUCAAAUAAACUUAACUUCUAAACUACAACAACUAAUAUUUACCAAACACUUUAAUGUUGUAUCUUAAAAUCUAUAACUAUCCAACCUCAAUUUUAAAUAGGGCCCAAGUAUGGGUAAUGCGUGGGAUUUAGCAUCUCACAACUUACCUAGCGUGUUAUUAGUGAAAUUACAUUUACAAUAUUUUUAGCCCACUUACGUAGAUGGAUCAACUGGCUGUUAACAUGUUCUCCACCAUGGUCACCAGAGUUCAAGAAAAGGAUUUAUACUGUUUAGUAGGUGAAGUUUCACAUUUCCAUCCAAAUAUUUUAUUAAAAAAUAAAUCAAGAGUAUUCAUUGUGAAAAAGAAGUUUUUGUCCAAACAUUAAAAGGAUCUUCCAAAUUAAUGUAAAACAUAGAGCACAAACGAGUUAAUACUCAUUUAUAUAUCAAGUUAAACGGGUUAAUUUUGUGUUAAUUGUGUUAUAGAUAGGCAAGAGUAAGAGACACAAACAAGAUCAAAAGGAUUAUCUUAGAUGGAAAAUUCUAUAAUACCAUAACAAAAAUUACGGUAUUAAUGCCGUAGUUAUUUUAUACUGUUGGAUGAGAUCAACGAUGUACAAUAAUUAAAAUAUAAUAAAAAAUGUAAAUUUUUUUUCUUUAACCGGUUUACAACUGGUUAUUUAUUUAUAAAAAAAUAAAUUUAACUGGCUAAAACAGUGGGGAAAAAGAAGCGGUUUUUGUUUGCCUCCAAUACUCUUUUCCUGCUGAUAAUUUAGCAAAAACAGAGGCAAAAAAAAGCAAAAAAGAAGAAGCCCUACAACGACGUCGUUGAGGAGAAUCGAGCUGAGUCCUUGAUCGUGAAGCGGUUUUCAGUCGACGAUAACGACCCGAAGUCGGCGAUUGAUACCGUAAUCGGCGCCAGCGAUUAAUAACCAUAUAAUCCUCUGCUGCCCUUAAUCUUGUUGAGGGGAAGAGAACCACGGCAAAUUACUAAUAAAAAUAAGGCAAGUUGCAGGCCACUGAUUCUCCUCUACCACAUUCGCAUUGUCGUUAAUUUCAACAUGUGUUUUUUUUUUUUACAAUUUAUUUGACCAAGACACACAAAUAUAUAUAGAGAGAGAGAGCAUGCACUAGACUUUGAUAUGAUUUUUUCUUGUUAUUACAAGUAUUACUUGAAUACAAGUAAUAUGUCCUGUUCUGAAAACACAUAUUGUCGAAUUAUGUAAUGUUCAUUUGGUUCGUAUCUUAUAAUUUCUCUAGUUUAUUCAAUCUGAUUUGCUGACACUUAUGCCCAAUAGCCCUAGUUUCCUUUUUUACAAAUCCACUUAGAAAAAUUUCUUUGUUAGUGGUUCUAUUUUUAUUUAUUUAUUUUUGAGUGAUUUGCCAAUGUGUUAAAAUUGUGCUUGGAUCCUACAUAUUGGUAGUUAACGUUGAUGCUUUGAUGGAAUUUCUAAUAGAGUGAGUAAAUUUUGUUGAAAUUUCUAAGUAGAGUCUUCAAGUUAUUUGUUGAAAUGCCUGAGAGAAACAAUGUGUUUGUAUAUGUUCUAUUAUUCAAAUAUGAGGUAUGAAAAUGAAAAUAAAAAUUUUGCGUUUGGGUUAAUUUUCUAUUGUAUUUGGAAUGAUUUGCUGUUGUUUUUUAGUAAAAUUUUUCUAGUGUUUUGGGUUUCAUUUGCUGCAGUUUUUAGGUUAAAUUUUCUACUAUUUCUGGGCCAAUUGGCUGUUGUUUUUCAGUUUAAUUUUCUACUAUUUUUAGAUAAAUUUACUGCUGUUUUUGCGUUAUAUUUUCUGCUGUUUUCAAGUAAAUUUUUCGGUGUUUCGAGCUUCAUUUGCUGUUGCUUUAGGUUAAAUUUUCUACUGUUCCUGGGUCAAUUGGCUGCUGUUUUCAGUUUAAUUUUUUGCUGUUUUUAGAUAAAUUUACUACUAUUUUUGGGUUAUAUUUUCUGUUGUUUCUUGGUAAAUUUUUUCUAGUGUUUUGGGCUUCAUUUGCUACUGCUUUUAGAUUAAAUUUUUUGUUGUUUCUGGGUCAAUUGGCUGCUUUUUUCAGUUUAAUUUUUUACUCUUUUUAGAUAAAUUUACUACUAUUUUUGGGUUAUAUUUUCUGUUGUUUUUAGAUAAAUUUACUAUUGUUUUUGGGCUUCAUUUGUUGCUGCUUUUGGGUUAAAUUUUUUGCUAUUUCUGAGUCAAUUGGCUGUUGUUUUUUAGUUUAAUUUUUUACUCUUUUUAGAUAAAUUUACUACUGUUUUUGGGUUAUAUUUUCUGUUGUUAUUAGAUAAAUUUUUUGCUGUUUUUGGGUUUAAUUUGUUGUUACUUUUGGGUUAAAUUUUUUGCUAUUUCUGAGUAAAUUUGCUAUUGUUUUUCAGUUAAAUUUUCUGUUGUUUUUGGAUAAAUUUACUGCUGUUUCCAGAUAAUUUUUUUGCUGUUUUGGGCUUCAUUUACUGUUGUUUUUAGGUUAAAUUUGUUGCUGCUUCUGGGGUAAAUUUGCUGCUGUUUUUCAAUUAAAUUUUUUGUUGUUUUUAGAUUAAAUUUUUUUCGUAUAUUGGGCUUCAUUUGCUGCUAUUUUGUGUUAAAUUUUUUUUUGUUCUAGGUAAAUUUAUUACUUUUUUUAGUUAAAUUUUUUGUUGUUUUUGGAUAAAUUUACUACUAUUUUUUGGGUUAGAUUUUUUGCUGUUUUCUGGUAAAUUUGCUGUUGUUUUGUGCACAGAGCUGGUCGAAAAAUGGUCAUGAUGCAUUUUGAAUGCAGAAUGAUGGAGACUGGUAGUAAAAGUUGCUUGUGUUGUUUUUGCUGCUACUUGCUCCAUUUGAGCUUCUAGAAAUUGUUAAGGGUAGCGGGGAAGAAGAAAGAGAUGAUGAGAAAUGCAAAUUGUUUGUGAGCUUUAGAUUGAUGUACCAAGCCAAUAGUUAUAUUGCAAAAUAUCUGUUUUUUUUUUAGUUUGUUAAUUUUUAUUUUUUUGGAUUAUAACUAAUGCUGUAAAUAGUUAUUGUUUGUCACCGUUCUAGAAGCAAAUACUAGUCUAACUUUCUAGGAAAGGUGUUCCUAAUUCUUGGUUGGGUGAUUGAAUUUUGUAUUGAAAUGUUUAUUUCUAAAAUAUUUUUAGAGGAUCCAAAACUUGUGAUAUUUGACAUUUCUUUUUGUGCUUAAUAUCUUCAUGUACAGGUUCUUGUAAACUUGAAAAUGGCAGAAAAUGUAAAAUGAGAAUGAUUUCAAGGAGAAUGAUAAUGUGAACCAAGAAAAUGAAAUUUUAAGAAAAAAUCGGCCUUUCAUUGAGCAUAUUUGCACCUCGGAUUAUGAUGAAUGGUUGCACGGCCUACGUGCUAGCAGAUUUAGAUGCGGAUUUGGCGAAUAUUGGCUUUGCAUGUUUGGAGAAUUGAGAGAGAGAGAUUCAUAUUUGGGGAAUGACGAAUAGGGACUAUGUUUUAAUUUUUCACUUUGUCGUUCUUGUCUUCUAUGGUGCCAUUGAGACUUGAGAGCUGAGCCUUUUUUUUACCGCUUUCACUUAAAAAGGAAAAUGAAUAUUAUAAGGAAACGACGUAGUUUUAGUGAAUUUUAAAUGUUAUAAUUUUUUGUUGUUGUUUAUAUCUUAAUUAUAUAACAUUAUUUUUUAAAAUAAGUUAAAGAUAAAAUUUAUAACAUUUAUAUAUAUACCUAAAAUAUAUAUAGAACCACUUAUGUUAUGAUUUGUUUUUGGGUUCAGAUUUAUCAUUUUUAGUUAAAUUUUAAAUUUAUGAUUUUAUACCUAAUUUUUCAUUCGGGAAAGGGACAUGGUCGAUUUUUAUAAACUAAUUUAAAGAAAAAUGAUAGGUUUAUGAUUUUAUUAAUAUAUUAUAAUUAAUAAUAAUAAUAAUUUUUUAAUAAAUAAUCACUAUAAUUAAAAUAUAAAAUAAUAAUUAUGAUAAUAAUUCAUUAAGUACAUAUAUUACAUGCAAGGAAGACUAGGCUCGACUUUUAGUCUAAUUAACUUGACCUGAAUUUUUUGGCCUUUGACUCGAAUUUAAUGGUUAGGCUUGGGUCUAAAUAUUAGAGCCCAAUUAAAUUCAUAUCAGGGUUAGGGACCUAUAUGCCCGACCCGACCUGAUCUGACCUAACCAUAAAACCUAAAAAAAAUGUAAUAAUAUGAUUACGGCCCUGAAUAAUCUUUAUUUUUAUGUUACUUCAAACAAUUUCUAAAGCUUUUAUAUUUUACUGUAUAUGGGGAGGCUAUGUCCAAUUUUUAAAUUUUAAAUUAACUAAAAAUUAAAAAAAAAACUUUAAAAGAAAGUUUGAUCAGGCCCACGCUUUCAAAUAAUAGGGCCUUUUUGGGCUCGAAAAUUUUAUUUCAGCUAUAGAGUCAGGCUCAGAAAUGGCUAAGCACAGGCCUAACUCGACCCACUGCCAUCCUUUCGAAUAGACUAUUGAUCCAUUAUGAACUCAUCAAUUAAAUUCAUGAUCAUAGUAAAUGUGUUACUAUCAUUCUUUUGUUUGCAAGAACAACUUGUAAACAAAAUAAAAAUUUAGUAAAAUGACACAGAAUUUGUAAAUUGACAUUAAGUGUAAAAUAAAAUAAAAAAUUUGUAAAGCACACAUAAAACUAGUAAAUUGAUGGAAAAUUGGGUAAAUUAAUGUUCGAAUUGUAAAUUGCAAGAAAAACUUGUAAAUAAAAUAAAAAUUUAGAAAAAUGACAUAAAACUUGUAAAUUAACAUUAAAUAUAAAAUGAAACAAUAAAUUUGUAAACCACACAUAAAACAAGUAAAUUUAAGGAAAAAUGGGUAAAUUAAUGUUGAAGUUGUAAUUUGCAAGAAGAACUUGUAAGCAAAAUAAAAAUUUAGAAAAAUAACAUAAAACUUGUAAAUUGAUAUUAUGUGUGAAAUAAAACAAAAAAUUUGUAAACCACACAUAAAACUAGUAAAUUGAUGAGAAAAUGGGUAAGUUAAUAUUUGAGUUGUAAAUUGCAAGAAGAACUUAUAAACAAAACAAAACCUUAGAAAAAUGACAUAGAACUUGUAAAUUGACAUUACGUGUGAAAUGAAACAAAAAAUUUAUAAAUCACGCCUAAAACUAGUAAAUUGAUGGAAAAAGAGGUAAAUUAAUAAUGGUGUUGUAAAUUGCAGGAAAAACUUGUAAACAAAACAAAAACUUAGAAAAAUGAUAUAAAACUUAUAAAUUGACAUUAAGUGUGAAAUGAAACAAAAUAUUUGUAAAUCACAUAUCAAAAUAUUUGUAAAUCACAUAUCAAAAUAUUUGUAAAUCACAUAUAAAACUAGUAAAUUGAUGGAAAAAAAGUUAAAUUAAUGAUGGAGUUGUAAAUUAGAAGAAAAAAGUGUAAACAAAACAAAAAUUUAGAAAAAUGGCAUAAAACUUGUAAAUUGUCAUUAAGUGUGAAAUGAAACAAAAAACUUGUAAACCACAAAUAAAACUAGUAAAUUGAUGGAAAAAUAGGAAAAUUAAUGUUGGAGUUGUAAAUUGUAAGAAGUUGUAAACAAAACAAAACCUUAGAAAAAUGACAUACAACUUGAAAAUUGACAUUAAGUGUGAAAUGAAACAAAACAUUUGUAAAUGACAUAUCAAAAUAUUUGUAAAUCACACUUAAAAUUAGUAAAUUGAUGGAAAAAGAGGUAAAUUAAUGAUGAAGUUGUAAAUUAGAAGAAAAAAGUAUAAACAAAACAAAAACUUAGAAAAAUGAUAUAAAACUUCUAAAUUGACAUUAAGUGUGAAAUGAAACAAAAAAUUUACAAAUCACACCUAAAACUAGUAAAUUGAUGGAAAAAGAGAUAAAUUAAUGAUGGAGUUAUAAAUUGCAAGAACAACUUGUAAACAAAACAAAAACUUAGAAAAGUGACAUGGAACUUGUAAAUUGACAUUAAGUGUGAAAUAAAACAAAAAAAUUUGUAAAUCACAUUUAAAUUUAGUAAAUUGAUGAAAAAGAGGUAAAUUAAUGAUGAAGUUGUAAAUUAGAAGAAAAAAGUAUAAACAAAACAAAAACUUAGAAAAAUGAUAUAAAACUUGUAAUUGACAUUAAGUGUGAAAUGAAACAAAAAAUUUGUAAACUACAUAUAAAACUAGUAAAUUGAUGGAAAAAUAGGUAAAUUAAUGUUGGAGUUGUAAAUUGGAAGAAGAACUUAUAAACCAAACAAAACCUAAAAAAAUGACAGAACUUGUAAAUUUACAUUAAGUGUGAAAUGAAACAAAAAAUUUGUAAACCACACAUAAAACUAGUAAAUUGAUGGGAAAAAAGGUAAAUUAAUUUUGGAGUUGUAAAUUACAAGAAGAACUUGUAAACAACACAAAAACUUUGAAAAAUGACAUAGAACUUGUACAUUGACAUUAAGUGUGAAAUGAACCAAAAAAAUGUGUAAAUCACACAUAACACUAGUAAAUUGAUGGGAAAAGGAGUAAAUUAAUGUUGGAAUUGUAAAUUGCAAGACAAACUUGUAAACAAAACAAAAAUUUAGAAAAAUGGUAUAAAACUUAUAACUUGACAUUAAGUGUAAAAUGAAAUAACAAAUUUGUAAACCACAUAUAAAACUAGUAAAUUUAUGGAAAAUGGGGUAAAUUUAUGUUGGAGUUGUUAUUUGCAAGAACAACUUGUAAACAAAACAAAAACUUAGAAAAAUAACAUAAAACUUGUAAAUUGACAUUAUGUGUGAAAUAAAAUAAAAAAUUUGUAAACCACACAUAAAACUAGUAAAUUGAUGGAAAAAUUGGUAAGUUAAUAUUUGAGUUGUAAAUUGCAAGAAGAACUUGUAAAUAAAACAAAACCUUCGAAAAAUGAAAUAGAACUUGUAAAUUGACAUUAAGUAUGAAAUGAAACAAAAAAAAUUGUAAAUCAUGCAUAAAACUAGUAAAUUGAUGAAAAAAAAGGUAAAUUAAUGAUGGAGUUGUAAAUUAGAAGAAAAAAGUGUAAACAAAACAAAAAUUUUUAAAUAUGACAUAAAACUUGUAAAUUGACAUUAAGUGUGAAAUGACACAAAAUAUUUGUAAACCACACCUAAAACUAGUAAAUUGAUGGAAAAAAUGAGUAAAUUAAUGUUGGAGUUAUAUUUUGCAAGAAGAACUUGUAAACAAAACUAAAACUUAGAAAAAUCACAUAAAACUUGUAAAUUGAUAUUAUGUGUGAAAUAAAAAAAAUAUUUGUAAACCACACAUAAAACUAGUAAAUUGAUGAGAAAUGGGUAAGUUAAUAUUUGAGUCGUAAAUUGCAAGAAGAACUUGUAAACAAAACAAAAGCCUUAGAAAAAAAUGACAUAGAACUUGUAAAUUGACAUUUAGUAUGAAAUGAAACAAAAAAAUUUUUAAAUCACACUUAAAACUAGUAAAUUGAUUAAAAAAGAGGUAAAUUAAUUGUUGAGCUGUAGAUUGUAAGAACAACUUGUAAACAAAACAAAAACUUAGAAAAAUGACAUGGAACUUGUAAAUUGACAUUAAGUGUGAAAUAAAACAAAAAAUUUGUAAACCACAAAUAAAACUAGUAAAUUGAUAGAAAAAUGGGUAAGUUAAUAAUUGAGUUGUAAAUUGCAAGAAGAACUUGUAAACAAAACAAAACUUUCGAAAAAUAAAAUAGAACUUGUAAAUUGACAUUAAGUAUGAAAUGAAACAAAAAAUUUGUAAAUUAACAUUAAGUAUGAAAUGAAACAAAAAAUUUGUAAAUCACAUCUAAAACUAGUAAAUUGAUAGAAAAAGAGGUAAAUUAAUAAUGGAGUUGUAAAUUGCAAGAAGAACUUGUAAAAAAACAAAAACUUAGAAAAAUAACAUAAAACUUGUAAACUGGCAUUAUGUGUGAAAUGAAACAAAAUAUUUACAAAUCACACAUAAAACUAGUAAAUUUAUGGAAAAAGAGGUAAAUUGAAAUUGUAAAUUAGAAGAAAAAGGUGUAAACAAAACAAAAAUUUUUAAAAAUGACAUAAAACUUGUAAAUUGAGAUUAAGUGUGAAAUGAAACAAAAUAUUUGUAGACUACACCUAAAACUAGUAAAUUGAUGAAAAAAUGGGUAAAUUAAUGUUGGAGUUGUAAUUUGCAAGAAGAACUUGUAAACAAAACAAAAACUUAGAAAAAUAACAUAAAACUUGUAAAUUGACAUUAUGUGUGAAAUAAAAUAAAAAAUUUGUAAACCACACAUAAAACUAGUAAAUUGAUGGAAAAAUGGGUAAGUUAAUAUUUGAGUUGUAAAUUGAAAGAAGAACUUGUAAACAAACCAAAACCUUAGAAAAAUGACAUAGAACUUGUAAAUUGACAUUAAGUGUGAAAUGAAACAAAAAAUUUGUAAGUCACACAUAAAACUAAUAAAUUGAUGGAAAAAUAGAUAAAUUAAUGUUAGAGUUGUAAAAUACAAGAGGAACUUGUAAACAAAAUAAAAAUUUAGAAAAAUGAUAUAGAACUUGUACUUUGACAUUAAGUGUGAAAUGAACUAAAAAAUAUGUAAAUCAUGAUUAAAACUAAUAAAUUGAUGGAAAUGAUCCCUGGGUUAGCUCAUUUAAUUGACUGCACCACUACUGGAUUAAUAAGCUAGACAACUAGCUAUUUGGGUCAAAAACCUAAAUAUAUCAUUUAGUGGGAGGCUCCAUUUAAUUAGCUUAUGUGUAAAGGGCCUUAUGUUAUUUUACAAGGUGGGUCCCCUAUAGAAAAAGCAAGUAACGUGAGUUUUGAUUUUCAUUAUUUGGAGUCUAGGGUUUUCACUAAAGGGAGAUAUAAAAAAGCUUAUUUUCUCUAAAGAAAAAAGAGCAGCUCCUUUAUACAAAGAAGAGAAAAAGAUUUUUCUCUUAGUUAUUGAGAGAAAAAUUUUCUCGUGCUAGUUGCUUUGAUAGUGAUAAAGGCGUCCACACGUCAAGUGCAGAUCGACCCUGAGUCAUAACCUGGAAGAUCAUUGUGACAGUUCGUGAUCUAACAAGCGUAGUGGUGACGGAUCGUGAUCUAACAGGAGUGGUGGUGACAGAUCGUGAUCUGGGAGCCUAAAUCACUUCAAUAGAAAAAAGCCAAAUCGAAUUUUCAAGGUAUGAUUUCUAGAUUACAAAUUCUUAUAUAUGGUAGGAGAGCUAUCUUAAAAGGUUUUAUAAAAAUUUAAAAAUUAUAUUUUUCUCCAACAAUUGGUAUCAGAGCCAUCUCAUAUUAAUAUAUAAGAAUAUUGUAUGAAAUCAAUCUUGAAAUUUAUAUAUUAGAGUGGCACAAUUUAUUCAAAUAUAUAUUAUUAUUUUAAUAUAUGAAUAAAGCAUGUUUUUAGUUUGUCUUAAUUCAUGGUUAGAUUUUACGCUGUAUUUUUUCUUCGGAUCUGUAACAAGAGGGGUGACUUUUCAUCACAAUGUUUCCCUCUUGAUUUAUUUUACUGUUAUAGAAUUUUUGUAAGCCAAAAUUGGCCUAGGAAAUUUGUAAAUCAAUCAUGGAUGUCAGAUCAUCGGAAACGAAGGCCGGAUAUUUUGACAGCAGCAACAAACCAGCACGUGCGGCCAGCAAUGGCCAGCGGCACGCACUGCACGUGCUGCAGCUGCAAGCAAUGCUGCCAGCAGCGUGCAGCUCCUGGGUUCCGUCAUUUGGUGGCUUUCCGGCGUAGUGGCAAUGGUUAAAUCAGCGUCGAACUUGGAUGAACAGUGACUGGCUUUGUGGUGAUGGCGGAUGGGGAGAGUAAAAGAUGGAUUCAGGGUUUCAAUGGUUUUUAUCAUUCAGAUCCCUAUGGCUCCAUAUUUUUUUUCUUUUUGGGUAGACACGUUUAAAUUUUUGCAGUUAAGUCCAAAAACAGUAUUGGGCUUAAUGAAUCAUAGUUUAUGCUCAAUUUCAAUUGGGCUUAAUGGAUUAAAAUGCAUAGAUAAAAUUGAACACAUUAAGACGGAAGGGUGGAAACAUUUAAAGCAAGAUUAGUAGCCAAAGGGUUUACUCAGAAAGAGGGAAUCGAUUAUGAGGAAACUUUUUCUCCGGUUGCUAUGCUUAAAUCCAUCAGGAUUCUGCUCUCCAUUACUGCAGUGCUAGAUUAUGAAAUUUGGCAAAUGGAUGUCAAGACUGCCUUUCUUAACGGGUAUCUUGAAGAAAACAUCUACAUGCAGCAACCAGAUGGAUUUAUACAAAAAGGCCAUAAACACAUGGUAUGUAAGUUGCAGAGAUCCAUUUAUGGAUUGAAGCAAGCAUCCCGGUCAUGGAACAUCAGAUUCGAUCAAGUGAUUAAAUCGUUUGGAUUCAUUCAGAACAUUGAUGAACCAUGUGUGUACAAGAAAAUUCAAGAAAAAUCUGUAGCCUUCCUAAUUCUUUAUGUAGAUGAUAUUCUCCUAAUUGGAAACGAUAUAGGAGUAUUGACUACAAUAAAGAGUUGGUUAGCAAAACAAUUUGAUAUGAAAGACCUGGGAGAGGCAAGUUAUAUUCUUGGUAUCAAGUUACUACGAGACCGAAAGAAUAAAACUUUAGCCUUGUCUCAAGCGGUCUACAUCGAUAAGAUAUUGGCUAGAUUUAGCAUGGAAAAUUCCAAGACUGGUUUAUUACCAUUCAGACAUGGAAUUACAUUCUCUAAUGAUCAAUCACCUAAAACAUCUGAAGAGAUAGAGAGAAUGAGACGAGUUCCCUAUGCAGAAGCUGUGGGAAGUCUCAUGUAUGCCAUGCUUUGCACUAGGCCAGACAUCUGUUUUGCGGUAGGGAUGGUUAGUAGAUAUCAAUCUAAUCCUGGACCUGAACACUGGACUGCGGUCAAGCAUAUAAUGAAGUAUCUGAAAAGAACUAAAAAUUAUAUGCUUGUGUAUUCUGGUAAUGAACUCAUUCCAGUGGGUUAUACUGAUUCUGACUUUAUGUCAGAUAAGGAUUCCAAAAAAUCAACUUCCGGCUAUGUGUUUACAUUGGGAAGUGGAGCUAUUAGUUGGAGGAGUGUGAAACAAUCUUAUAUCGCAGACUCCACAACUGAAGCUGAAUAUGUGGCUGCAUCCGAAGCUGCAAAAGAAGCUGUAUGGCUCCGCAAGUUCCUACAAGAUCUUGAGGUGGUACCUGCUGUAUCUGCACCCCUGAAACUAUUUUGCGAUAAUAGUGGUGCGGUAGCUCAAUCUAAGGAACCAAGGAACCACAAGAAACAAAAACAUAUUGAGAGUAAGUAUCAUCUUAUAAGGGAUAUAGUGCAAAGGGGUGAUGUGGAGGUUACUCAGAUUGCGUCACAGCAAAAUUUGGCAGAUCCUUUUACUAAGGCCAUACCUGGGAAACCUUUUAACUUGCACUUAGAAUCCAUGGGCAUGCGUGAGAUGCCAAAUAUGCUUUGAGAGCUAGUGGGAGAUUGUUGGGAAAAUAUGCUCUUUAAAAGCAUAUGUGUUUAUUUAAUUGUAAUAAAUAAUUUUUCUGAUUAAUAAAAUAGAUGAGGUAUUUUAUUCAAAUAUAUUAAUUGCAUUAAUAUUUAUAUUAAAGUCCAUUUAAUCAUAUUAUAUGUAUUUAUGUGAUCACCAUGUGGAUUCACAGAAGACAUAAAUACAAGUUAUCUUAUGAUUAAAUAAAUUUAGUUCGCAGUUGAUAAAUAAAGUUGGGCACUUUAUUUAGGUAUAGACUGUAAUAAAUUCAUUGAAUGAUUUGUCUUAAUCAUGUAUGAAUUUAUUGGUGUAGUACGACUACAUUGAACAUGAUCACAUAUGAGAUUUAAUUAACUUUGUAAUAACUGUCAGACUUAUUAAAUCUCAUAGGCGUUGAUUUUACUGUAAUCUUAAUCUUGAGUUAAUUAUGAUUUCAUGAUUGUAAUUGUUAUUCCAUUUGAGUUACCAAUGGGCACGACACAUCCUUGUGGUCAAGAUUACCCGGUAUCUUGGUGGGAGCAAUUAUGAGUAUUGGAGUUAUGGAUUAACAAUAUAGAAUUUGUACAACACAUCUCUUGAUGGGUUUCUGAACUAAACAGACCUCAAUUACAAAAAGAUUUCAACACCCAAGUGUCAAUAGGAUUCUGAACUAAACAGGCCUCAAUUACAAAAAGAUUUCCCAUACCUGAUUUCACAAUCUUAGGGUAAUCCUUUUUCCAGUGACCUUUCUGUCCACACUUAAAGCAUUUGCCUUUCGGCUUGCCAUCUUGCUUGGUAGACGGUUUCUUUUUCCCAGCUUUCUUCUUACCUUUGCCUUUCGGCUUAGGCCCAGAAGAUGAACUUUUUUCAGUAAUAUUUAUGCUUCCCAGAGAUUUCUCAGCACGAUAGAUCUCUUCAGCAGAAUGGAGUUCGUUCAUCAAUUCAGUUAAGGUCAUGUUUCUUUUGUUCAUGUUAUAAUUGACCUUAAACUCAUUGAAUGUUUCUGGUAGAGAUUCUAGCACCAUGUCAAUCUUUGAGUUAUCAUCGAUUUGUGCUCCCUGAAUCUCAGCCUCAUUCAAAUAGUCCAUCAUUUUGAGGACAUGAUCACGAAUUCUUGUGCCCUUCCCCAUUUUACUGUUCAUAAUUCCUUUCAGCGCUGCUUGUCUCGCUGAGCUAGUACUCUGCCCGAACAUCUGUUGGAGACUAUCCAUUAUUUCAGUGGCAGUCUCCAAGUUCUGAUGUUUGGUCUGCAGAAUAUUAGAAAUCGAGGCUAAAAUGUAGCACUUUGCCAUUUCAUUAGCCUUUUGCCAUUUCUCAUAAAGCCUCCUCUGAUUUCUAUGAGCAUCAUCCGCUGGAACUGGAGGGCAUGGCUGGGUUAAGACAUAUUUAUAAUUUUCAGCAGUCAGGACAAUGAAUAUAUUUCUUUUCCAAUCUAUAUAGUUCUCUCCAGUGAGUUUGUUUUGACUCAGAAUAAUAGUAAGUGGGCUCAGGGAAGACAUUUUUUGAAAAUAAAACAUCCAUGCAUAAAUAAUUUGAAAUAAUAUUCAUAAUAAAUGACAAAAAUGCAUAAAACCAUAAAUGCAUUUUAAUUUAUUGUAACGAUAAUCUAAUUCCGCUUUGACAAGCUAUCCGGUGGGAAAGUCAUGUCUAUACUUACUAGACCCAAUUACCCAUUGGAUUAUUUACUUUCAUGUAGAGACAUGAUAAAUAAUUAUCGUUAUCUUUUUGGGCCUAAAUUUGUUAACAGAGCUUCGUUGGAAAGGUUAAUAACAAAUUUUAGUUGAGUGUAUAACCAUUGUUUCAAUCUACGUAUUUUUCAUAUCAAUAGUCACCGUUGGGGUGAACAAUUGAUUGAAAAAUAUUUCAAUUUUAUCUUUGAAGAAGUUCAUCAAAUAAAAUAUCUAAUAUAUAUACCCUCCGAAGGGAGCAUCACUGUAUCAUGAAGUCGAGGUAUAUAUAUAAUUUUAUUAUUGAACUAACAAUGGAGCCCUUGGGAAAAUUAUCUUGAAUUUUCCCUCUCCCACUCAAUAUUUUAAAAUUGGUUUUUCCUUUUUAAAACAUACAUAUUGUUAAUUGCAUGCUUCCUAUAAUAUUAUCUAGAUGAUAUCAAAUAUUAUUAAGCAUACGCAAAUUUCAAAUAAUAUAAUGAAAUUCAUUAUUAAUGAAUGACAUGUAUCAUUAUGCAUAGAGUGGCACUACCUAUUCUAUAUGACAUGUUAUCAUGGCAUGUGAUCAUCCAAAACAUAACAUAUAGAAAAACAAUUAAAUAAUCUUAAUUCAUGGCUUUCCUAAUAAUGAAAAAUACAUUAACCCCAAGCCUAAUCUUCAUUGGGCUUCUUGUCAAUGUCCAUCUUCGAUAAACUUGUCUUUGUUAAUGGACUAGGGGAAAUUGGGCUUUUAAAUUUAUAAUUGGUCCAAUUUUAAUUUUAAAUAAAUAAAAAAAAUUUUAUAAAAUUUUUGGACCAAAAAUAAAUUUAAUGUAUUUAAUUUUGUCUAUGCAUUUUAAUCCAUUAAACCCAAUUGAAAUUGGGCCUAAAACUAGGAUUCAUUAAACCCAAAACUAUUUUUGGAUUUAAACGCAAAAAAUUAAAAAUAUUUCUGCCUAACUGAAAAAAUAUGAAACUAUAGGGACCUCCAUGAUAAAAACCAUGGAACCCUAAAAUCACAUUUUUCUUUUCCUCUUCUUCCCCAGCCGCCACCAGUAAAAAGCACCAGCUUCUGUUCCCGGUCAACCGCCGCUGUUCAGAGACGCCAGCCGGUCUCCGACACAUCUCUGACGAGGAGCCAUCGCCAAUACGCCGGAAACAAGCCAACCCUGCGAGCGCUACUUGCUGGAACGCACGCUACUUCUGCGCACGCUGCUGCUGCGCGUACAGCGCGUGCCGCUGGCCAGGCUGGCCGCACGCGUCGCUUGCUGCACGCAGCGCCCGCUGCUGGCAGCGUGUGCUGCCUGCUGCGCGCAUUGCCAGCAUGCGCUUGCAGCGUGUACCGCUCGUUGGCUGCAGCGAGUGCGCUGGUCGGUGGUCGAUGUCAAAAUUUCCGGCCUCCGUCGCUUUCAGCUCGUUUUCCAGUGAUGAUUCUUCAGUGAUUUACAAAUUUUCAACGCAAAUUUUGGCUUACAAAAUUUCAAUUACAUUAAAAUAAAUCAAGAGGGAAACAUGGUGAUAAUAAACCACCCCUCUUGUUACAGAUCCAAACAAAAAAUACAGUAGCACAUCUAACCAUGAAUUAAGACAAACCAUAAACAUGCUUUAUUCAUAUAUUAAACAAAUAAUAUAUAUCUGAAUAAAAUGUGCCAAUCUAAUACAUAAAUUUCAAGAUUAAUUUCAUACGAAAUUCUUAUAUAUUAAUAUGAGGCUGCUCUGAUACCAAUUAUUGGCGAAAAAUGAGGUUUUUAUAAUUUUUAUAAAACCUUUUGAAGAUCGCUUUCAUAUAAUAUAUAAGAAUUUGUAUUCUAGAAAUCGUACCUUGAAAAUCCGAGUUGGCUUUUUCCGCUGAAAUGAUUUAGGCUCCUAGAUCACGAUCCGCCACCACCACUCCUGUUAGAUCACGUUCCUUCACCACCACGCUUGUUAGAUCACGAACUGUCACCAAUGAUCUUCCAGGUUAUGACUCAGGUUCGAUCUGCACUUGACGUGUGGGCGCCUUUAUCACUACCAAAGCAACUAGCACGAGAAAAUUUUUCUCUCAACAAUAGAGAGAAAAAUCUUAUUCUGCGAUUUGUAUAAAGUGGCUUCUCUUCUUUCUUUUGAGAAAAUAAGCCUUUUAUAUCACCCUUUAGUGAAAACCCUAGGCUCCCAAUAAUUAAAAAAAAAAACUCACGUUAUUUGCUUUUUCUAUAGGAGACCCACCUUGUAAAAUAACAUAAGGCCCCUUACACAAAAGCUAAUUAAAUGGAGCCUCCCACUAAAUGAUAUAUUUAGGCUUUUGACCCAAAUAGCUAGUUAUCUUACUUAUUAGUCCCGUAGUGGUGCAGUCAAUUAAAUGAGCUAACCCGGGAAUCAUUUGGGAACAUACAAUAGUGGCUACAAUAAUUAGGCCUGUAAUUAAAUUAGCCCAAUUAUUUAAUUCCAAAUCUACUCCACUAAAAGAUUGGAACUGACUUCCAUAAUUGUAUGCUCGAAUAAUAAUUCGUCCCAAGCCACAUUAAUUUCUUUACUGCACAAUCCUUUGUACCACAUCGUUAAUUAAAUUGAUAUCUCAACUGUCCAAUUAAUUUAAUAACAUCUUAUUCCUUGAUCCUUACUGGUUUUCUCUAAUGAUCAUUUUCAACAUACUAAAUAUGUUGACACACUCUGGCCAGAGAAUUCUAUGAUCAAGUGCCGAAAACCCAUCAAGAGAUGUGUUGUACAAAUUCUAUAUUGUUAAUCCAUAACUCCAAUACUCAUAAUUGCUCCCACCAAGAUACCGGGUAAUCUUGACCACAAGGAUGUGUCGUGCCCAUUGGUAACUCAAAUGGAAUAAAAAUUACAAUCAUGAAAUCAUAAUUAACUCAAGAUUAAGAUUACAGUAAAAUCAACGCCUAUGAGAUUUAAUAAGUCUGACAGUUAUUACAAAGUUAAUUAAAUCUCAUAUGUGAUCAUGUUCAAUGUAGUCGUACUACAUCAAUAAAUUCAUACAUGAUUAAGACAAAUCAUUCAAUGAAUUUAUUACAGUCUAUACCUAAAUAAAGUGCCCAACUUUAUUUAUCAACUGCGAACUAAAUUUAUUUAAUCAUAAGAUAACUUGUAUUUAUGUCUUCUGUGAAUCCACAUGGUGAUCACAUAAAUACAUACAAUAUGAUUAAAUGGACUUUAAUACAAAUAUUAAUGCAAUUAAGAUAUUUGAAUAAAAUACCUCAUCUAUUUUAUUAAUCAGAAAAAUUGUUUAUUACAAUUAAAUAAACACAUAUGCUUUUAAAGAGCAUAUUUUCCCAACAACAACUGCAUCUACGGACUCGUUGAUGUCGGGCCAGUAGUAGGUCCAUGCCACUAUUACUCCAUUAGGUUUUUUGAGUACCCAUUUUACUUGUUUGUAAAAUUGAGGCAAGUCAAACCAAUGUAGUGAUGUAGCAAUUGUCACUAGAUCUACACUUGAUUGUGUUGCCACAUUUUGUUCAAGCUCAGUUAUGGACAUGGUUGGAGGAGUAAGUUGAUACCGAAUGUUGGGGAGCUUUAUUGCGAAUUCUAGCUGCUUUGGGCUUGUGUCUGUAGCAAUGACAUUCUUGUAGAUUGGUGCAAGCUGAAGACAUAUAAUUGAGAAAAAAUAUAAAAUAUAGGAGGCUAUAACAAAAGUACACAAAAUUGAGAAGGCCAUAUAUAAAAAUUACAUAGACAUGGUGAAAUUUCAACCCAUACUCAGUUUUUUUGUUUUUUUUGUUUUCAUCCUCAAGGUUGCCGGGAUACUCUAGUUCCCCCCUUGGUAGUUGGAUAAGAUUUUUCUGUACUCGUCUCACGACUAAAUUUCCAGAUAAUGUGGAUAUUGAUUUGUAGAUAAUACAUACAUAAUUAAUCAAUGAAAAUAAUAGGGAUUUAACUAGGGAUUGGCAAUGGGAGGAGAUCGACAUUUCUGUAUCUAUUUCUGAUACUCUACUUGUAUCCUUGUACUCUCCCCGUCCUUUUUAAAAUUGCUUGAGGAUAGGGAUGGGGAUCUCCAAAGACACCCGAUCCCGAACAACUGAUUUUUGAACUUGAUUUAAUCAUAUUAAAGUAAAAAAAUAAAUCAUUUAACAACAUAAACACAUCAAAACAAAGUAAAAUCAUUAAAAUCAUUUUCAUCAAACUAAUUAAGUUAAUGUCAUCAAAAUUACAAGAUAAUCUAUGAAAUUAAGUAAAAAUAGAACUUCAGGGUUGAACACAUACAUUAAAGUCACAUGGUAUAAAUCAUUAAGAAAAUUAUCUUCAUCAAUCUUCAAGUGUUCAUAUCUAUUAUGAUAUUUUUUUUAUUUAUAUCCAUACCAUCACAAUUUAAAUUUUAAAUAUAAUUACUAAAAAUUUUGACAGAAAUAAAAUAAAAUAAAAAUUAAAAAUAAAAAUUAAAAAUGGGGAAACGAGAGAGACGAGGAAUUCACUGAAUCCCCAUCUUCUCCCUAUAUAAGAUAUUGAGUGUUAAGUUAUCUCUGUUCGUUCCCCGAAUUUUAAUUAAGAUAUAAAAUUGUUCCCACACCCUACACAAAUGGGAAAAAUCCUUCAAGACUCGUCCCAUGAGAAUUUCUGCUAUCCCUGAAUUUAACAGUUAUAUAAUUCAACUUUCUUAUAGCUUGGGAUCAGAAUUCUGAAAUAUUAAUAUGGAACUUUUGUAUUAUUCAAAAAUAAAAUCUAAAGAUGUGAAAAGUAAACUUACGGAUGCAGCGGCCUGCCCGCUUCCGGUGCCGACGUCCCAUGCAAGCUCGUUUUUGGGUGUUUUAGAGGCAAUGAAUUUGAACAAUUCUUCUGGAUAAUUUGGUCGUGCUUCCGCGUAUUGCUUUGCCUGCUUAACGAACAUAUCUGCCAUCUUUUCUGUUUUUUUCUAAAUAAGUGUUGACAAUAGAAUUGAGAUAAAUCUACUGAUCACUUGUUUCGUUUCUUCUUUAUAUAGGUUUUAGAAUUUGAUGUAGUAGACGAACAGACAAAUUUUAGUUAGAAAUUAAUUUGGUAUGGUUUAUCUGGGGAAGCCCAGAACGAGGACAAGCUCAUAAAGCGUUAAAUUUUGACCGAACUUUUCAUUCUUCCUUUAAUUUUCAAAGAUUCCCUUUUCUUCGCAAAGAUGAUGGUAUGGACUUCAUCAAUGAGCCCACAUCAACUCUACUUAGAGAAUUUUUUUUGGGAUAAUUUUGUCAUUAAUUUAAGCUGUUAAAGGUAUCUAUAGAAGUAUUGAACUACUACUUUGCUCUCUUAUGGGGUUAAGAUGGCGGAGUUUAAAGGCAGAUUCACCUCCUGACCAUUAGGAGUUCAAGCUUCCAAUGGAGAAAAUAAUUUAAAAAAAAGUAAUGAGAUAAUUGUUUGAAUUAUUAAUUAGAACCAUUAAAUUUAUUAAAAUAAUUGUGUUAAAUUUAUAAAAAUAGGUCCAUAAAUUCAUAAACCUAUAAAAUUUAAAUUUUGACUUUGAAACAUAUAAAAGCUCAUACUUUAAUUAAAAAAAUAAAUGUUUACAGUAGUCAAAUUUAUUAUUAUUUAAUUUAGCCCUAUUAAAUUUACUAAAGUACCUCCACAAACUCAUUAAUCUAUAAAAUUUUAGUAUUGAUUACAUUUUGUUAUUAUGUAAUUCAAUCCUCUGAAUUCGCUACUAUUUAGAAUUGGCUCUCUAUUAUUACUCGAUCUAGUCCAAGUUCAAUCAAAGUUGGCUCUCUAUUAUUACUCGUUCUAGUCCAAGUUCAAUCAAAGUUGGCUGUCUAUCAUUGACAGUUCUCGUUCAGGUUCAAUGAAAGAGAUCAAAGCAGAGUUUGUUUGCGAUUCAGUUUGUGUAAAUGCAUGUAGGUCCAGGUUGUCUUAUUUUGUGGUUCACUGGUGUAAAGAAUUUAAAAAGUAAUUGGAUAAGAGGAUGCGUCUUGGAUGAUGAAAUGAAGCAAUGACACAUCUUCAUGUGCAGUUUUUACGACGUGCACUCGGUAUGAUUAUGAAUAAUGAUAUAUGCAUAGAAAAUAAUACAAAAUUUAAUAAAAAUUAUAUAAAAAUAAAAAAUUAUUAUCCCGUGGUGUAUUUUUUAUCCUGUAAUUAAUUUUGUUUGUCUUUUAAUAUUGUGUGCUUUUAUAUUAUUUUUUGACACGUGUCAUUCAUUGUUUCACUACUAUUACCAUGCUCCUAAAAACCUUACUUUUUUUUUUUUCGGAAGAUGCCGCAUUUGCUUGAUUUCAACAUUGGCAUGCUCGUCCUUCUUACGCUUUUGUCUUUCUAUAAUCAUCAUAUUCAAUGGCAAAAUUUCAACAAGAUAGAGCAACAUUCAACAAAGAUAAGUCUUCUUAUUGGAUUAGGUAUAGAUUUUUAAUUAAUUCGUAAUGGAAAUUGGUGGCUAUCCACUAUCAGCUUAGACCAAUUUAACUAGCUAUAGUUAAUUAGCUAAGUUAUUUGGGUGAGCAAAGUCAGCUAGUAGUAAAGCUCGGAAAAUCACCUAAUUAAAAUUGAAACAGGACCAUCAAAUACACACAGUUUGCUUUGAUUGGCCAUUCAACAAAACAUCUGAAGAGAUUGGAUGGCUAAAGAGCUAAUUAUGUCAAUCAAGCGUGGGUGUUCUGAUCAUGACGUGCCCUAAGGCUUGGCUUCGUUUUGAUUGGCUAAUGGAUCCUAUGAAUAGAGAGCACUGCUCUUCGUGAUUUGUAUCCUAAAUUGAAACCUUAUUACAAAAAUAUCACCUUCCUUUGUAUCAUGUAUUUAUUAAUUUAUACUUUCUACAUAUAUGUUGUCAAUUAUUAUAACACGUUAUUAGUUAGCAUGGCAAUCAUUUUGGUACAGGAAGUAUCUUAUCCCCUGCUCUUUUAUUUUAUCUAUUUAAUUAAUAAAGCUAUCUUUAUAAAUAUACUCUAAAGUUGUCAUUAAUUUGGAUCUUCCACAUAAAAAAAUAUGACUAGCUAUUGUAUUUCUUCUUAUUUAUUUUAUUUAUUUUUAAUUUUUUUAUAAUAGAGGGACUCUACAAUGAGCUAAGGUAAAACAUAUCGGGAGUAAGCAAUCCCAUACAAAUCAUUUGCAAUAAAACUAACAACCCCCGGAGGAGGAAUAGAAAAAAGAUGCAAUCCCAAGGGCAGCUCCAAGGCAUAAUUUGCUAAGAAGUCCGCUGCGAAAUUUGCUUCACGAUAUAUGUGGUUGAUGGUUAUAACCCAAUUCCGCUUGAUGAGAUCUCUAAUGGAGUGGAUGAGGUGGGUAUACUCGUUGAUGCUCUCCGUGUGGCUGUUAACCAUCUGAACAACAUAGUAGCUAUCCACUUCCACGUGUAAAAACCGAACACCAUGUUGCCAUGCUAAAAUUAACCCUCGGCAAAAGCCCAAAGUUCUGCUGCAAUAACUGAACAGACGCCUAUGUUGAAGCCAAAGCUAGUGAGCCACAUGCCUUGGUGGUUGUGUAUGAGACCUCCAGCACUUGAUGCCCCCAACUCUUUUCUUGCUCCGUUUGUGUUUAGCUUGCACCAGGGCCAUUUAGGUAACUUCCAGGUGAUCCAUCUCUCAAUUUUCCUGGUCUCAACAACCAAAGAUGAGUUGUUGAUGUUCUGAAUCUCCUCAACUCUAGCUUUAAUAUCUUGUAUUAUACUAAUACUGUCCAUAUUCCGUUGAUGGAAUAGGAAUUGACUCCCGCAGAACCACAAACGCCAAAUAGUAAGUCCAAAGAAAAUAUUUCAUUCAAUACUCGAGUCCAUUUGCCCUUUGCUUAGUAAAUUCUGACACAGCCAUUCUUUUAGAUCAGUCCUGAAAAACCAAGGACAAAAGCUCCCAGGAAUUAAGCGAUUUCAAAACGUUUUCGCGACCACACAGUCUCAAAUCACAUGUAUGGUAUUCUCAAGAGUUGAGCCACAUCGAUCACACCAACCGUCCACCAGCAAAUGACGCCUUGACAAUUCAAACCUUGUUUUUAGUGUAUCAUGCAACACCAACUAGAUGAAAAAACAAAUGCUCUGGGGGCCUUGCCAACUCCAUGCAAGACUCCAUAGCUUCUCCUCGUCACUUAAAAUGGUCUUUGAUAGAGCAUGGUAAGUUGACUUCACAAUAAAACACCCCUUUGCUGAUUCAGCCCAGAAAACUUGGUCUGCACCAUCAUCUGCCAAAGGAGGCUUGUAGGAAGCAAUCCUCAAAAGAAUAUUAUGUGGUAAUAAGAAACUAAAACUCUCCCAUAGCCAAUUUCCAGCAUUGUCAACAAAGUCCAUUGCUUUCCUAUUUACUAAAUGGUCCGGAACUGGAGCAAUCUCAUAAUUAAUCCGGGGUUGAUUUUUAGUUACCCAACAAUCCCACCAAAAACGAACCGUUUUACCAUUCCCAACAUUCCACCGAAUCCCCCUCUUCACAGCAUGCCAAAUUUUCCCAGAGUAAGAACCAUAUCUGGUUGGCAACUCAUAUGGUAAAAUUUUCGGGUUCACUCCAUAUUUCAUAAGCAACACUUGUGACCACAGACUUUUUGGAUUGACAGCAAGGUUUCAGCCCACUUUCAUCAACAAAGCUUGAUUCAUUACGUCCAUGUUCUUAAAACCCAAGCCACCACAACUUUUUGGACGACAAAUCAUCCCCCAACUAACAAGGCUCAUCUUCCUUUGAUUAUUAGCAUCGCUCCACAUAAAUUUCCUGCAAGCUUGUUCAAUUUUACUUUUAACACUAGCCGGCAAAUUCGUAGUUUGCAUUGCAUAGAUCGGAAUAGUCUUCAGCACUGACUGGACAAGAGUUGCUCUUUCUGCUAAAGAUAAAUGAUUGGCAUUCCACCAGAGAGGCGUUGCUCAACCUUGUCAAUAAUGCUCUGAUAAGCCCGCUUUGAGACUCUAGAAUGUAGGAGAGGCAUUCCUAGAUAAGUUCCCAGAUCUUUUAUUACUGAAAACCCAAGCAGUUCACCUAUCUGUUUAGCCUCAUUUGCUUUAACAUUCUUGGAGAAAAAAAUUUAAGUUUUAUCCUUGCUGACCUUGGCACCUGAGCUUGCAUAGAAAGCAUCAAGGAAAGACCAAAUAAAUCUAGCUUGAUCACAAGUUGCCUCAGCAAGUAGGAGAAGAUCAUCACAAAAAAAAAAGAUGGGUGAUAGGGGUCCCAUUUCGAACCAGUCACAUUGGUCUCUGAUCUCCCAUAUUUACAGCAUGAGCAAUGCCAUGGCUGAGUCUCUCAAUGCACAAAACAAAUAUAUAUGGGGAAAUAGGAUUCCCCUACCUAAUUCCUCUAGAUGGCACAAAAUUCUUGGUUAUCUCCCCCUCCCAUAAAACAUUCAUCUGAACUUGAGUAAUACAAUCCAUGAUUAGUUGAACCAAGUCAGAAGGAAUUACAACCUCUAGGAGCGUGUCAUGGAUGAAACUCCAAGUGAGCUUGUCAUAGGCCUUUUCAAGUCCACUUUAAUUGUCAUUUGCCCCCUCCUACCAAUUUUUCACCGCAUGGAGUGAAUCACCUCCUGAGCAAUAACAAUAUUCUCUGUUAUAUGACGCCCUGGGACAAAACUUGUUUGUUGAGGACCAACAAAAUGAGGUAGGAUCGUUUUUAGCUUGUUGGCAAUCAUCUUGGUGAUUGUCUUAUAAACUAAUGUACAUAAGCUAAUGGGGCGAUACAUUUUUGAAGUCUGAUGAUGAUCAUUCUUAGGAAUCAGAACUAAUAGUGUCCUAUUAAUCUCUGGGGGAACUUUGCCUUGACUGAAGAUGCUCUUAAUAAAAUGACAAAAGGAAGGCCCAACCACCCCCCACUGAGACUAGUAAAAAAUGGCAUGCAAACCAUCAAUCCUUAAGGCUUUUAAGGGCUUCAUACUAAAAAUAGUGCUUUUAAUCUCAGCUUCAUCUAAAGGCCCUUGUAAAAAAGACAAACUUUCUGCAUCUAUCACUGGAAAACAGCCCCGAAUAUGGUAUUGCUGAGACGGGAUGUUAUCCUCAAAGUAUAACUUGGAAAAAAAAAUGUACAAUAUGGCAUUUGAUAGCUUCAACUUCAUACAACUAUUUCCCAUUCUCAUCUUUAAUAGCCAUGAUCUUGUUUCUCCUUCUUCUAGUCAGUGUCUUCUGGUGAAAGAAAGCUGUCUUUCUAUCGCCGUGCAUAAUCCAAUCUUUUCUAAACUUUUGCUUCCAAAUAGCUCUUCUUGAGUAAGAACUACUUCAAGUUCUCUUUUCAAUUUUAAUUCAAGCCAAAUGAGACCCUUUGUAGUAUAGUCCUUAAGAGCUUUUUUAAUACCACCAAUGUGAGCCAUAGGUCUUCUUUACCUUUAGAAGAUAUUACCAAAAGAAUUUAUGUUCCAGUGUGAGACAUUGCGAGUGAAAGAAAAGGCCGAUUGGAGGUAGGGUUCUAUAGGAUUCCAAUUCGAAGCAACAAAAUUAUCAAAAUCUUUGUGUGUGAGCAAAGCCGCCAAGAAUCAAAAUGGUCUCUGCCCCUGACCUCGUCGCUCUUCUUUAUCAAAACGAACUGAUACCGGUCUAUGGUCUGACUGAAUUUUCGGUAAAUGAAGCACAAAGCUAUUUACAAAUUUAUUCAGUCAAUCCUCAUUGCACAUUGCCCUAUCUAGCCGUUUGAAGAGAGCCCUACGAGACCAAGUGAAUCUAGGACCCGUAAACUGAAGGUCAUAUAAAUGUUGGGUGCAAGCGGAAGUGCAGAAAAUUUUUUAUUUAAGAACAGAGUAUUUUGCUGGAAAUUUCUGAAACUUUAUUGCUUAAUUCAUUUUUUCGUUUCUCUCUUACUUUUCAUACAACCAGAGUUCUAUAUUUAUAUGCAUUAUAGACAACUCUAGAGAUUACAUUAAUCAUGCUUUACAUUUCCAAAGCUACAUUGCAAACAUCAAUUCUACCCUUUACUUCAUGUUGAAAAACAAACCAAAUAACCCUUCAAACUUCUUGCUCAAUUUACUAGAUUACUAAUUAUAUCUCAACACCCCCUCUUAAUUAGUAAUCUUCAAUUGCUUCUUGAAUUUUUCAAACUUCUCAAUGUUGAUUGCUUUGGUCAGAAAAUCUGCUGGCUGCUCAUUAGUGCUGAUAAACUCCAUAUUAACUUCUCCUUUGCUUACUAAGUCACGGAUGUAGUGAUAACGCAGCUCAAUGUGCUUAGAUUUAGCAUGAAAUACGGGGUUUUUUGUUAGAGCAAUGGCUGACAUGUUGUCACAAUAAAUUAUUGUUGCAGCAUCUUGAUUGAACUGCAAAUCCUUGAGAAUUCUUCUAAGCCAAACGGCUUCACAAGCUGAUUCAGUUGCUGCAAUGUACUCUGCCUCCGCUGAGGAUAAAGCUACUGACUUCUGCUUCCUUGAGCUCCAUGAAAUCACAUUUGUACCAAGACAAAAUAAAUAACCUGAUGUGCUUUUUCUGUCAUCAAGGGAACCAGCCCAGUCACUGUCAGUAAAACCAACAAGCUUGCAAUUGUCUUCUUUUUCAUACAUGAUCCCCUGCUUUUUUGUUCCUUGAAGAUACCUUAAGAUUCUCUUUGCUGCAAUAUAAUGGGACUUCCUUGGAUCAUUCAUAAAUCUAGAAAGAACACUAACUGAGUGCAAAAUGUCAGGUCUUGAGUUGGUUAGAUAAAUCAAUGAACCAACCAAGCUUCUAUAGAUUCUUGCGUCAGCCUUUUCUUCUUUUUCAUCAUGUUUCAAUUUUUCAUUCAAACCCAUAGGAGUAGGUGCUGGUUUGCAUUUGAACAUGUGGAAUUUCUUCAACAAAUCUUCUACGUAUUUUUCUUGACAAAAGAAGAUUUUUCCUCUGGCUUGCUUCACUUGAAUGCCAAGAAAAUACUUCAUUAAGCCCAAGUCAGUCAUCUCAAAUUCAUCUAGCAUGCUUUUUUUAAACUCUUCCACCAUUUUCAAAUUAGCGCCACAAUAAAUUAGAUCAUCAACAUAAAGGCAAACAAUAAGGAAAUCAGUACCUUCCUUUUUGACAUAAAGAGAAGGUUCACUUGAGCUUCUGUCAAAUCCAUUUUUAACAAAAUAUCUAUCAAUUCUACUAUUCCAUGCUCGAGGGGCUUGCUUCAAGCCAUACAAGGCUUUUCGGAGUCGAUAAACUUUGUUUUCUUCACCUUUUACUUCAUAUCCUUUAGGCUGCUCAACAUAAACCUCUUCUUCAAUUUCACCAUUUAGAAAUGCCGAUUUACAUCUAGCUGAAACACAUUUAAUUCCAUUUGGGCUGCCAGGGCAAGAACAGUUCGAAUAGUCUCCAUUCGAGCUACGGGAGCAAACGUUUCUGUAAAAUCAACUCCAGGCAGCUGAGAGUAUCCUUUGGCAACGAGCCGCGCCUUAUAUUUUUGAAUUGAACCAUCUUCAUUGUACUUGAUUUUGAAGAUCCAUUUCAGCCCAAUUGUUUCUUUUCCAUUUGGAAAAUUAACCAUCUCCCAAGUUUUAUUUUUCACAAUGGUGGCCAUUUCCUCGUUCAUUGCUUUGAUCCAAUCUUCAUUUCUUGAGGCCUCCUCAAAGUCUUGAGGCUCACAAGAAAAUAAAGCAAGUUCACAUGACUCAUAAAUUUCUCUCAUUGACUUUAUCUUCCUUGGAGGGCUUUCAUCAUCCGAAGAACUUUCUGCUGCUGAAUUUGGAGAAUUUGGUUCCAAAUUAUUUUGCUGUGAAGAAUUUGGUGGAGAUACAGGAGCUUCAAAAAAGCUAGAUGCCUGAGAUUGAUUGUUUUCCCACUGCCAAGCUGAUGCCUCAUCAAAUACAACAUCUCUUGAGAUAACAAGCUUAUUUGUUGUAGGAUUCAACAACCGAUACCCUUUAGACUCAUCACUAUAGCCAAUAAACAAAUAUUUUUCUCCUUUUCCAUCAAACUUCUCCCUGUUUUGAGCUGGAAUAAGAGCAUAAGCAAUACUCCCAAAAAUCUUCAAGUGAUCAACAGUUGGCUUUCGGUUGUGCCAAGCUUCAAAUGGAGUUUUGUCUCUAACAGCUUUUGUAGGAGACCUGUUGAGGAUGUACAUAGCUGUAUGACAUGCUUCUGCCCAUAAGUUGUUAGGAAUGCCUUUGCCUUUUAACAUGCUUCUUGCCAUCUCUACAAUGGUACGGUUCUUUCGUUCUGCGACUCCGUUUUGUUGCGGACUUCGGCUGACAGUAAGUUGUCUUUGAAUUCCAUUAUCCCUGCAAUAAUUCAUGAAUGGAGUGUAGAUAAAUUCACCACCACGAUCAGUUCUCAAGGUCUUCAUUUUGCAUCCACUUUGCCUUUCUGCAAGAGCUUUAAACUGAAGAAAAGUUGAGAAAGCUUCUGAUUUUUCAUUCAAAAAAUAAAUCCACAUCAUCCUUGUAUAGUCAUCAACAAAAAGAAUGAAAUAUCUCCUGUUAUUGAGAGAGAGAGUCCUUGUAGGACCACAAAUAUCAGCAUGCACCAACUCCAACGGAGCUUUGGCUCUCCAUGAAUUUUUAGGAAAUGGAAGUCUAUGCAUUUUUCCAUAUAUACAGCCCUCGCAAACUUUUUCAUAUCUUCCAACAUCAGGUAAGCCAAUCACCAUGUUCUUUUGCUUGAGCAAAUUCAGCCCUUUAUAGUUUAAAUGGCCAUAUCUAAGAUGUCAUAAAUUUGACAAAUCUGAAUUUUCAGUUUUGAGAGCAACAUUCUCAUCAAGUGGCAUAACAAGAGGAAAAACUUUGUUCUUUGACAUUUCAACAACGGCCACUGUGUGAUUAUUAGUUUUAUCAAUAAUUUUGCAUUUUUCAUCAUCAAAAUAAAUUGAAAAACCCUUUUGAAUUAGCUGCCCCACACUCAAGAGGUUUUGAGUUAAAUUUGGAACAUAAAGAACGUCAGAAAUGAGCUUUUUGUUACCUCCCUUUGUAUGGACAGCAAUAGUGCCUUUUCCCACAGCUUUCUGCAUCUUUCCAUCUCCAAGCUUCACUUGCGAAUUAAAACUUUGGUCAAGGCUGAUGAAAAUUUCACGUUCUCCAGUCAUGUGGUUGCUGCAGCCGCUAUCCAAGUACCACAAAUUAUAUGAUUCAUGUUCAGCACCUUUACUUGAAUAAAACAAGUAAUCUCCAUCACAUUCUUUUGUAAAAUUUGCCUUAUUUUUGCCUUUCUUAUUUUGAUACCAGCAAUCCCUUUGAGAAUGGUUAGGAAUGCGACGCCUUGUGCAUUUAUAACGACAAUCUUUUGAUUCAUAAUUAGACCGAUUACAAAUGAUGCACUGAGAAUCUGAAUUUUGCUGUGAAUUCCCUCUGUCAUUUUUCCACUUGUUGCGGUUGUCGUUAUGUUCUCUUUGCCCUUUGCCACGCUGUCCGUUUCUUUGAGACGAGCCUCCAUUCUUCUGGUCUUUUUUGCUGCUUUUAUUCUGAUCUGAAAAGCUUGCUCUGUAGGCUGACUUGAAGGUCGAUUGAUUCUUUGCUCAUGAGACCGUAAUGAUCCUGACAAAUCUGAAAAAGUCAUCUUAGACAAAUCCCUUGAUUCUUCAAUGGCUGCUGCUACAUGAUCAAACUUUGGAGGAAGACAUCUCAGCACCUUUUCAUUCACCUUCUUGUCUUCAAUGGAGUCCCCGCAACCUUUAAUCUGGUUCACAAUCUCAGUAACUCUACUGCAAAAAUCUUGAACUCCUUCACUGUCUUUCAUUGAUAAAUUAUCGAACUCUUUCCACAAAGUCUGUAACUUGAUGGUGACUGCCUUUUCGGAACCUUGAAAUUCUUGUUUUAGGAUUUCCCAAGCAUUUUUGGCCUUUUUGACACCAAAUAUUCUGGGGAAAAUUGACUUACUAACACCUUGCUGGAUAUAUCGAAGUGUCGUGGCAUUUCUCUGUAUGUUUUCUUUGUACUGCUGUUGAUGUGCUGGAGUCCAAUCUGAAGAACUUGCUGAUUCUGGUGGUUCAGCAUAUCCAUCUUCAACAACAUCCCAUAAAUUCUGAGAGAGGAAAAAGGUUUCCAUUUGAUUACUCCAAUAUUCAUAAUGUACCCCUUCAAAUAUUGGAACUUGACUGGGAGCAUAUGAAAAUAAUGUGGGUAGGGUAUUUGAUGUCAUUUUGAGGGUGUUUUGGAAAAGCUCUGAUACCAAAUUUGUUGGGUGCAAGCGGAAGUGCAGAAAAUUUUUUAUUUAAGAACAGAGUAUUUUGCUGGAAAUUUCUGAAACUUUAUUGCUUAAUUCAUUUUUUCGUUUCUCUCUUACUUUGCAUACAACCAGAGUUCUAUAUUUAUAAGCAUUAUAGACAACUCUAGAGAUUACAUUAAUCAUGCUUUACAUUUCCAAAGCUACAUUGCAAACAUCAAUUCUACCCUUUACUUCAUGUUGAAAAACAAACCAAAUAACCCUUCAAACUUCUUGCUCAAUUUACUAGAUUACUAAUUAUAUCUCAACAAUAAAUUGCUUGAUUGGAACUAGUUUAAAAAACUCCUACAAAUCCCACUUCUAUGUAAGGAGCCACCUUUCUUUUUCGAAGUAUAAAGGAUAGCAUUGAAAUCACCAAUGAUGAGCUAAGGUCCGCGAGUGCUGUUGGCUAGUCUUCCACGAUAGUCCCAAAGGUUUUGUCUAUUAGUUUGAACAGGGCUUGCAUAAACAGCAGUCACCCAUGACAAAAAGCCACCAUUGUUAAACAUUCGAAAAUGAAUGAAUUGCUUGUGAUUUAAAGACACUUCGACCUCCAAGAAGUCUCUCCACAAAAGCCAGAUUCCCCUAGAGAAACAAAUUGCUCCCACCAUGUGGGACUUGACAAAACCACUUUUCUUGAUGAAACCAUCCGCUCUUAUCCCACUAAUUCUCAGUUCCAUAGAACAACCAUGGCCGAUUAUAAGUCUUUGUCAGAGACACAAAAGCACUGUGAAAUUUUAGUGAGCCAGCCCCUUGGGCAUUCUAAAACAUUAUAGAAAUAAGCAUUAAAAAAAAUAGAUAAAGAUAAAAGGGAGAGAUAGGGAGCCUUACUCAACCAAGGUCUCAUAACCCAACUCCAUAUCCUUCUCAUCUUCUAGAGAAAUAUCAUCCUCUGAAGAAUCAAUACCCUUACCACUGUCUCCCAUAUAGUCACUGUCAUCCUCAUCAUAAUCUAAAGUCAUUGUUCCUACCAUAAUCAAGAGGUUCAUCUUGGGCUUUGGCAAGCUGACCGUUAUCACCACCCACAAAGAAUCCAUGUUGAGGCUCAGCCAGGGUGGGGUUUGUGGAAUUUGUGGGACAAGCAUGUGUGCCCUUUUGAUUUUAAAAAAAAAAUGGCGGUAUGGAAUAGGGGGUUUAAGCUAGUUGAUACGAAAAUAGGUUAUGGGUUCAUUGCAACAUGUGCAUGAGUUUUGCUUGAAUUACGUACACUUUGCGUGGUUUUUGUGUUGGUGGACUAGAACAUGUAUGUCACUUAAAUACGAUCCCUCACGUGACAAUAACUCUGGGCUGGAACAAGUUUGUUUUGGUGUAAAAGUAUAAACUAUAAUAUUUAUUAUAUUUUGAGAUAAAUUAUAUAAUUUAUUUGUUAUCAAUACAUUUUAGUCUUCAAUUUUCAUUCUAAAAAAUUAUUACUUUUUUAUUGCUGAGUUUUAGAAUUCAUGACGGAUCUAGGGCAUAUUUAGAUUUUUUUUUUUCAAAUUUGGAGCAGAUAUAGUUUUUUUUUUUUUUGAUCUAGAUAUAAAGCGAAAAAUAUGGAUUCAUGACGGAUUUGGAACAGAUACGAAUCUUGAUUUUUAUUAUGGAUCUAGAUCUGAAGCAGAGUACAUCCAACCCAUAUCUGUCCCAUUGCCAUCCCUAGUUUUAUCGUUUUCGAAGCUUGCUUCUUUUGUUUUGUUUCAACUCUAAGGUUAUACUUGGCUGGCCCUUGUUUGUUUGAGCUCGGAUUAGUAGGUUCUAUGUUUGUGGCAUUAUUGGAAUCUCCUUCCUCAAAGUUCGCUAACACUGCAAAACGAGAAUCCUUUCCAUAAUUGCUCCGUUGACCUUGCCGACCUUGCCCCGAAUCCUGCUGAAAUUCAUUUCCUUCUGCAAGCGAUCCUUACCCUUUCUGGUGACCACCAUCGAAGGGCCAAAUUUAGGAUAACCACCGGGAGCUAAAGCAUCACCCUUUUCUGCCAUCGCAUCCACCCUGUCACUAGGGAUGGCAAUGGGGAGGGGAGGGGAGGGGACCAAUCUCCCCGUACCCAUCCCCGAUAUUUUGCAUAUGUCCCCGUCCCCUCUCCAUCCCCGUAAAUUUUUUUUAAGAGAAUCUUCAUCCCCUCCCCGAAUAAUAAUAGGGGAUCCCCGAUCCCCGAAUAACUAAUACAUUUUUUUUGUUUUCGAUUUUGACUUAAUCAUAUUAAAAUAAAAAAUUCAAAUAAAAGUAAAGUUCGAAAUAUAUCUUACAUUAAUAUCCAUUACAAAAGUCACAUACAUUAAAUUAGUAAGUAACGCAGCAUGCAAGGGAUACAAAUUAUCAUGAACAAAUUAAUAGCCUAAUACAAAAUUGUUACAAAUAAAAUCAAAUUUAGAUUCAAAAUUAAAUGUGGACUAUUUCCUUUACAGCACAGUAGUUAAGUCGAAGCAAAUCAAGAGCAAAUAUUAGAUUAGAUUAGAUAUUAAAAUUAUGAUUUGCUGUGGGCAAUUAUAACAUCUAAAAAUAAAUAAAAAAUAGAUUUAAGAUAAAUAAAAAAUAGAUUUAAGUUUAAAAUAUUUAAUGAAUAUUAAAAUUAAAACAAAAGUUUUGGGCUAAUAAAAUCUGUCUGGUCUUUUUAAUGUCCUAAAUAAAAAUUUAGGACUUUAAUUAGUUAAUUAGGCCUAAAAGUUUAAUAAUAUAAAUAUUUUGAUAUUUUUUAUUUUUACCAAUACUUAUAAUUUUAUAAUUCAAAUUUUAUUAUUUAUUUACUAGUAAUUUUAAAAAAAUAAAAAUUAAAAUGGGGAAAUGGGUAGGGGAUGGGGAUUUCACCUCAUCCCCAUCCCCUCCCCGAAUAAGAAAUUGGGUAAAAAAAUUUUCCCGUCCCUUCCCCGAAUAAGAAAUUGGGUAUGAAGUUAUCCCCAUACACUCCCCAAAUGGAGAAAAUCCCCGAGGGUACCCGUCCCCAUGGGGAUUUUUGCCAUCCCUACCUGUCACCGCUAAUAUCAUGAUCCAAAUCUUCCGUUGCGCGGUCAGGACAUAGCUCACUGGUAUGCCCAUAUUUUCCACAAGUGAAACAUAUAUGGAGAAGACAUUUAUACACUUUUUGAACUUUGCCAUCUAGUACGAAUUGAGAUACAAUAGGCUUGUUAAGUGCUAUAACAACCGCAAUACAUGCAAACUUACCCCCCACGGUUGAUUCAGUAUUGUAGUCUAUUCGAACGACUGUUCCAAUAAUCUAACCAAGCAUCCGAAGGAUUCUUUUGUGGUAGUAACACAUAGUGGCGGACCUACAGCUGGGCUAGACCGGGCUAGUCUAGAAAAUAUCAUUUAAACCCCUUGUCUUUAGAUUAAUUCUAUAUAAGAAUAGAGUUUUUACUUUAUUUUUAUAUAAGUCCUUAAUUCAGUUGCUUUUAUGUUUUCAUCAAAUUUCAUAAAACAAUAGAGUUUUUACUUUAUUUUUAAAUAUAUCCCUAAUUCAAUUAUAUUUUUCUAUUAGUGGCUUAUUUUAUAAAAUGAUUAAAUUAUAUACUUAUUGAAUAGAUUGAAAACAUUAGGGGUCUAAAAUGUUAUUACUACUUUAAUUUGUUUUUAAAAUUUUAAUUUAAAAAAGUAUGUCAAUGUAAUAUAACAUUGUCACUAGUAUUAAAAAUAGUAAAAAGAUAUAUAAUAAAAAUUAUUAACAAUUUCAUAAAAUUUUUAUGUGAAUAUUGAGAUUUUAUUUAUUAGUUACAUUAACUAAGAGGAUAAGUUAGAAAAUAAAAUUUGAGUAUUUUGAUAUGAUUUUUUAAAGUGAGUCAGAGUGUCUGGCAAAGAAAUAAUUACGCACAAAUACCUUUUUACUAGGUUAGAGUUUAGUUUAUUAUUGAAACUCUUGACAACUAAUAUUUUUAUAAUUUAAAAAGAUGAAUAAAUUUUAAUUGUUUAAUUUAUUUAAGCUUGGUAAUUAAGUACUUUUCAAACAUAAAGUUCUAUUUGCAAUAUUUUAAUUGAUUAUAAUUACAUGUAUUGAUUUAUUCAAACUUGAAAUUCUUAAUUGAUUUAUUAAUUCUUAUAUAAUUAGAUGUUACUAUAUGUUGCAAUGUUAGAUUCCAUAAUUAAAAAAUAGUAUUUUUAUAUUUGAAUUAUCUUUUGUUUUCUAGUCUUUUUGUAUACUUAUUUUUAUUUAAAGUACAUAUUUAUAGGGUUUUUUGUAUCCCCCUUAUUUGAUGUACUUUUUUUACUUAUAAAUGUUUAUGUUCACUCCAAAAUAUAAAAUUUUUAAUUUAGUCCGGGGUAAUAUAAAGUUCUGGGUCCACCCCUGGUAACACAGGGCUAUACCAGGAUGCCUGAUCCAUGCAAUAAUUGUAUUAAUUGACUCUGUAAAACUAUCAAAGUGAGGAGUCCAUGGCUGCAUGACUAGGUAGUGACCCAUGAUUGUCCAUGGUCCUUGAGUCAAAGCAAAAUCCGCAUCACCCUUUGAACGAAAUCGAACGAGGUAGUAACCGUUAUCCAAAUCAAUGACCGAGAAACCUAAAGCCGGCCUUUAAAGAUUUUCCAAUGUAUUACAUAGGACCUUGUAGCCUAUGUGAUGUCCUAGCAAUUUAACUAUCACUGAAUUCUGCCAAGGUUUUACGAGUUGCUCAUGGAUUAUUUUUGAGAAAGAGAUAGAUGGUAUGUUGCCACCAUCCCCUACAAUGAUAUCCUCUGAUCCAAAGACUAGAUCAUCCUCCCCACCAAUCAUCUCCUCUUCAUUCAUCUUCUCUGACUCCAUUAACUUAUCUCUAAAUGAAACGUGCUCAGGGUUGUCACUAUCGUCGCCUUGGGCUCUAAACUUGGCCUUCUUCGUAGCAUGGCCAUCAUUGAUUGGAAGGGUUAGGUCCUUCUCCAUCUCUCUACUUAUAGUAUCUUUCUAGCGUAUUUUGAGUUGUAAAAGGUUUAUUAUUUAUUUUAUAUUACUAAAGUUAAAAGCAAGGACCAAAUUGUACAAGACAAAAGCAGAAGUCAAGACCAAAGUGUACAAAACCAAGAUUGAAGCAUAAAAAAUUAUAAUUGGAUCCUUAAAGUAUCAAGACUGAAGCCUACUAAUUUGAAGCCACAUAUUUGAAUAUUCUAAAACCCCAGAAGAUAAAUUGAAGAUGACAAAUCCACUAAAGCAUGAAUUUGAAGCCUACAGUAUUUUUGGUAAAAAUUAUUUAUCUUGAAUUCUACCUCAGCAAUUAGAAGCCAUAUGUCUCAAUAAGUCACCUGGAAGCUAUGAGACUCAGUAACAUAAUCUAGCUCAUCUAACUGAAAGGAAGUCAUUGCUUGAAUUGAUAUGAAGUCUUAAUUGAAGACAAAAUUCCUCACUCAAUUAAAAUAAGUUUUAAUAGUAAUUUUUCAAAUUAACCCAUCAUCACAACUCUAGGCUUUACAAAAUGACAUCAUAAUUGAAGAUAUGUGGAAAGAAAAUUAUUGAUAAAGAAGACAUGCUCAACAUUUCAGGCUUUAAACAUGAUUUUGCAACAACAAUAUCAAGCUCGCUAACCUAAUAGGCACAAAACGCGCUAACCUUACAGGCACAAAGUUAGUUUUUGAAGAACAAUUUUAUCACAUAGACACAUGGUCAAAAUCAUUAUCAUGAUGAAGUUAUAGACAUGCUAAAAAUCGUGGUUACAAUUAUGAUUGAAGUCACAUUCCUGAAGAAAUCAAGCAUUGGCUGAUAUUAUGCAAAGACAAACUAGGUUGAUUGAGGGGAUGGCUCAAGGUGGUGGUCCUGCUCAGAAUGCUAGAGCCGGAGGGUAAGGUGCUGCUGCUAGAGGCAGAAUGGUGGCAACUUUAGAGCAAUUCCAAAAGUUGGGGCCACUUGUGUUUCGUGGGACAACUGACCCUAUGGCGGCUGUUGGUAUGAAUUCAAAUGUUAUUAGUGUCAAUGUGCAAGUAUACACAAUAAAUAAUAUAAUGAUGAGUAUUCGAGAUCGUCUCCACUGGGAUUGAUGUUAUCAGACUUGCUACAACAAUCUUAACAGCGUAGAUUUUAUUCUAAAUUAAGAUAAAACAAUUAAUGAAAUUAAUGAAACAAUUUUAUUCUAAAUUAAUAAAACAAUUAAGAUACAACAAUCAUGUCAAGCUCAAGGAUAAAACCGAUGGGAAUAUAGAGUAGUUAAGUGAAUAAACUCUCUUAAUGGUUUUGACUAUUUUUCUAAUGUUUGGCUCGGUUGCUACAACAUUUGCUACAGUACUGGGCAGCAUCCUUAUAUAUCCUCAGCAGUCGCAUGUUGGAUAUCUUAUAUCUAUAUGCAAUCUAAUAGUAAUUAGUUGUUAUGCCAACAUAAGAUAUAACAUUACACACUUAUGUUCUAUUUACCCUACAAGGUGAAUCCCUAUGUCUAGUUCAUCAUUAAUCUUAGAUUAAGCAUGGCCCUUUUGGGACUCAAGUAAAACUCAAUCUAGGAAACUCAAUCUAAAACCAAGUAUUGCUUUGAUAUGUUCCACUAAGAUAGGCUCUUUUGUGGCUCUUCCUUAGCUAAUAUCAUUAAAUGGGUGAUCAGCCGAAAUAAUGAAUAAAAAUAAAUACUAUCAAAACAAAAUGCUAAAGCAAACAUGCAGCAACUCAUUUUUUCAGUCAAUAAACCAUCAAGAUUGUUAAUCACUCAACUACAAAUAAAUUUAGUUCAUAAUUUGCAAAAGAAAAAUAAAAAACAAGGUUUCAGUCAUGAAACAUAUCCCAAUGAAUAAAAAGUAAACAAGAAAACAAGAGAAGAGUAAGAAAGACUGAGUUCCCGCUUGAUUUCUGCAAAUUCUCCUCUUCUACAACCCUCAAUCUUUCUCUUGAAUCAUGUUUUUCUUUUGUUUCUUUGUGAUUUUUCUCUUUGGGUGACGGCUCUCUCUAUUCAUUAUGAUGUGUGCUUCUUGUAUAGCUGAAAAUUAGGGUAAGCGGAAGCCUAGGGCGCACAUAAGUCAGACUAGAAAACUGCAUAUCGCAAUUCUGCAAGUAUCCCACGCAGAAUUCUCUCUGUCGUUGUUCUAGGAUUGCUACAGCAAUGGUUGCUAUGGCAACAGCUACAACAACUGCAUUGUUCCAGAUUUGUUUUAAUUCUUUUGUAGCCAAGUUCUUUUCUAUCUUUUGCAAGCCUAUUGCAUCAGCAUUCCUUCCUUGAAAUUUGGGCUUCCGGACACCUACAAUUAUGCAUAUGAUUUAGUACACAAAUUAUUCUAAAUCAAAUAAAAUUUAUUAUGAAUAAACUAAGAUGAAUGUUUAUGCAAAAUAUAACAAAAAUACAAUGGAAACACAUUAUUUACUCUCUAAGUAUUAUGGAUUUAAGUCUAAAAAUGCCAUGAUAACUCUUAUUUCAUAGAGUUAUCACACCCCCAAACUUAAACCAUUACUUGUCCUCAAGAAAUGACAACAACACUACACAAUCUUGCAAUAAUUAACUUAGCUCUAUCAUCAAAUUUGCAAGCAUUUUUCAACCCUCAGAUCACACUCUUAAUCACACAAAAUAGUCAUAGCAGUUCAGUUAUACACUUAGGCUUCAUUUUGUCCAAAAUGUGUGUGUGCCACUUUGAUCAAAUUCCAGAGGUGCUACAACAUUACAGAGACAUUGCAUAUAAUUCAAAGGUGGAACACAAAUAUAUUCACAUAUGAGGGAGCAUAAUUCACAAAUAAACUCAAAUUGUGCUACAACAAACAUAAUUAUUAUUUUUAGUUAAACCUUUCAAUGCAACAUUGAGCUUUCAUGUGAAUGCCUAUCACUUGUAAUGACGACACCCAAUUACUCACUCAAAGUACAUGUCAAAGUUGUUGCAGCAACACAUCCAGGAUGUCAUACCUAGGUCUUACCUUUGGCCGCCUUUGACUCAAGGCUGAACAUGAGGCUCAUGAAUAGACUAGGUUACUCAGUAUCCUAGGCAGCGGACCUCUUUAUUUUUCAUUCCUUCAUCACCAUUUUUUUUUUUUGUAAUUUUUUAUAUAUAAUUGUUGCAGCACUGCUAAUAGCUCUUAUUGCCUUUGGACUAAAGUCUACAUAUAGGGUGCAUACUCAACCCUGGUUACUCAGUAACUUAAACCAUUGGAGCAGAAUUUAUUUCAUAACAGGCACAGUCCAACAAAAAUUUUCCCCCAAACUUGAUAUAUUUUCUACUCUUUUUUGGUUUUCCUGGCUCUGCUAUAAUAUUCUCAUAAAACUCAACCAAAGUCUAAGUGUCAGGACAGAAUUCCAACCUCCAUCUAUAACUAUCUCUACUUGGCAUUCUCAUAAAUACUGAACAACAUUAAAUUUAUCUUCAUUAGGUUUUUAAAUCCAUACACAAAUAUUAGAUAAUAGAGCUUCACACAACACACAACACAAGCAUAAACACAUGCACUCAGAAACACAGCCCCCCCAAACUUGAGUGGUGUAGUGUCCUCACAAGCACACAAAACAAAACCACAUAAACCAGACAUGCAUACACUAAAUAAAAGAACAUGCAGAAUGAAUCAGAAAAUUAAAACUAAAUGAAAGAAAAAUUUGGCAAAAAGAAGUAAAAUAAACUAACGGGUAGGGGUACUCCCCUAUUGCUGGAAGCACUGCUACAACAUAGGCUGUAAAGGAUCACUUCUUCUUUGAUCCACUUCUCAAACGUUCUUUAUCAUAAAAUCUGAUCAAUCCAUUUGCUGCUGCAAAAGCAAGAAAUGCAUAUGUUAUUUGAGAAUCUUAUGUUAUAUGUCAUGCUGUAAGUGAUGCUGCAGCAAUUCCCUCAUGUUCUUUUUGUCCACAUUUGUUUUUACUUGCUGCAAUUUAACACAAAGACAAAAAAUUAGAUGCACACUUAAAAUAAUAAAAAGACAAAUUAAAUAAUUUAAAAACUAAAUUCAAUGCCUUAAAAACUUGAAACAACUUCCCUUAUUGGGUUCCCUCCCAAUUAGUGCUUGAUUUUAGAUUUUUCAGCCUGACAUUUCUUGUUUGCUCAACCUGGAUCCUUUAAAAAUCGAUCCUUCUAUAGGUUGUUAACAUCAGCUCCCAUAUAGUACUUCACUCUUGGCCCAUUAACCUUGAAUUCUUGUUGGUCUGGAGUGAGUUCCCUUUGUUAUAUUUGCUCGUCAAUUCUGAAGGGUUGCUUCUCCCCUAACCAUGUUAUGUUAGCUGCUCUACGAUCUUAAUCAUCAAGUUCUUCAAAUGUUACAACAUUGAUUUCUUUUUUACUGCAACAACUGUGUAAUCUCUCUGCUACAGCAAAAUCCACAACAUUGAUAAAAUUACAAUCUUCAAUCUCAUCGGGAUUCUUCAUGGCAUCUAGCACAUUGAAUGUAACAUGUUGGUCAUUCACUCUCAUGGUUAAUUCUCCUUUUUGAACAUCAAUGAGGGUCUUUCCCGUGUCUAAGAAAGGUCUUCCUAGAAUGAUUGACACUUCCUUGUCUACUUCAAAGUCUACCACAAUGAAAUCCACUGGAAAAAUAAAUUUAUCCACCUUCACCAACACAUCUUUAAUCUUCUCUUAUAGUUAAGCAUGAGAUAUGUCAGCAAGUUGUAGAGUCACCGUUGUUGGUCUAGAUUCACUAACUCCCAAUUGCUUAAACACUGAUAAAGACAUGAGAUUGAUGUUAACCCCCAUAUCACAAAGUGCUUUACCACUGUAUUUAGUGCCUAUAGAGCAUAGGAUAAUGAAGCUUCCUGGAUCCUUCAUCUUCUGUGGUAUCUUACUCUGAAGCAUUCGGCUGCACUCCUGUGUUAGAGCAACUGUUUCAAAUUCUCCAAGUCUUCUUUUCUUUAUCAAGAUAUCCUUAAAAAAUUUUACAUAGUUUAGCAUUUGCUCUAGAGCUUCUACAAAAGGGAUAUUGAUAUGUAGUUGUUUCAGCACUCCCAAGAUUUUUCUGAAUUGCCUGUCUUGUUGCUGCUUCAGAAACCUUUGAGGAAAGGGUGGUGGAUAUUUAAACUGUUAUGUUGCAGCAGGUUGUGCAAACUGCUUCUCUUUUGUUCUACUCGGGUCUAUUGCUAUUGGUGUUGUAGCUUCCUCACCACCAGAUGCUGGAUCAUAACUUUCUGCAGAUGCUGUAGCAGAAUUGUGUAUUUGCAUUGUGAAAAGUGAAAGACUGUGACUCUUUCUUCACUUGAGUGUCUUCUUGGCUUUUGUUAGACUCAAUUCUUCUUUUUGGUGCACCAACUGAACUAUCAACAUCCUUUCCGAAUCUCAAGUUAAUUACUUUGCAAUGCUCUUUCCCUUCUCUUCUUGGGUCCUCUGUGUUGCUGGGUAAACAGCCGUGAGGUUUGUUGCUUAAUGCUAUAACAAGCUGUCCAAUUUGAUUUUAAAAUUUCCUCAAGGAUGCAGCAUGACUUUAGACAACUGCUUUAUUCUUCACAGUAUAAACCUUAAUUAAAGCUUCAAGGGAGCUGAGUCGAUCAUUGUUGAUGCUUCUUUGCUCUUGAUUUUGUUGAUAAAAUCCAGGUAGUUGAGCAGGUCUGUUCUGUUCACUAGGUGCUGCAGCAGUUUGAUUCUAAUUACUCCAUGAAAAGUUUGGGUGUUGUUUCCAUCCAGGAUUGUAAGUGUUUGAAUAUGGAUUGUUCUGGUUCUGUCUAUUGAAGCUGCCCACAUAGUUGAUUAACGCUGGAUUUCCAAGACAAUUGUCAAAUAAAUGCCUCUCUCCACAAUAAACACAAGAUACUUCAGCAACUUAGUUGGCAGAUGCUGGAGCAGUGAUCAUAGCUUUCACCAUAUUUGUUAAUGAGGUUACUUGGGCUGACAAUGUUGUCAAGGCAUCUACGUUAUGGACUCCUGUUGUUGCUCUUACUGCAGCUUAUCUGUUUGAUGGCCACUGAUAGUUAUUGUUGGCUAUCCUCUCCAAAAUUUAAUAAGCCUCAUUGCAAGGUUUAGAUAACAAUGUCCUAUUUGCUGAAGUAUACACCAUCAAUCUAGUGCUUGGGUUGAGACCAUUAUAGAAAGUUUCCAAUUAUAUACAUCAAAGUAUACCACGAUGAGGACAUCUCCUGUGUAACUCCUUAAAUCUUUCCCAUGCAUCAUACAAACUCUCAUCUUCAAGUUCAUGGAAAGAUGUGACCUCAUUCCUCAAUUUUGCAUUCUUGGUCAUGGGAAGUAUUUCAUCAAAAAUUUAUCAGCCAAGUCAUUCCAUGUGGUGAUAGAAUCUGGUGGUAAAGAAUUCAAUCAUGGUCUUACUAGAUCUCUCAAAGAAAAUGGGAAAAUUCUGAGUCUCAAUGCUUCCUGCGAUGCUCCAGCAAUCUUGAAAGUAUCACUUCCAAAAAUAACUUAAGGUGUAAAUGAGGAUCUUCGGAUGGCAAACCAUUAAAUUGCCCUACUAUUUGAAGCAUUUGAAACAUCAUGCGUUUGAGUUCAAAAUUGUCAGCUUGAACGUCGGGUCUAACUAUUCCCAGAUGUAUGGCUUGAGGAGUCAACACUGCGUAGUCUCGAAUAGCUCUCUCUCUAACGUUCGCCAUGUGAAUAAUGUUGUUGUUCCCUGGUUGCCUUGGAAUAUAUUGUCCAUUUAGACUUUCAUGUACAUUGACUGGUUGUAUUUCCUCUCUACGGUUCAAGUUUCUCAAAUCUUGCAAAUCAUCCAUUGCUACAGCAGCUUGUAAUUCUCGAUGCUCUCUUCUCAAUCUCCUUACAGUUCUUUCAAUUUCUGGAUCAAACUGGAAUUCAACAGAUUCAUAUUUCCGCAUGCAAGGGUUGCUAGAUCACCUAUGUAAAAAAAAAUAAACAAAUCAAAAAAAAAUUAAAAAUUAGCAUUGUUAACGUAUUGGUAUGAAUUCAAAUGCUAUUGGUGUCAAUCUGCAAGUGUACACAAUAAGUAAUAUAAUAAUGAGUAUUCGAGAUCGUCUCCACUUGGAUUGAUGUUAUUAGACUUGCUACAACAACCUUAACAGUGCAAAUUUUGUUCUAAAUUAAGAUAAAAUAAUUAAUGAAAUUCAUAUACUAAUUAAAAUAAAAAUGCAAUAAAUAAAAUGCAACAAAGUAAACUAUCACAUCAAGCUCAAGGAUAAAACCAAUGGGAAUAUAGAGUAGUUGAGUGAAUAAACUCUCUUAAUGGUUUUGACUAUUUUUCUAAUGUUUGGCUCGGUUGCUACAGCAUUUGCUACAGCACUGGGCAGCAUCCUUAUGUAUCCUCAGUAGUCGCAUGUUGGAUAUCUUAUAUCUAUAUGCAAUCUAACAGUGAUUAGUUGUUAUGUCAACAUAAGAUGUAACAUUACACGCUUAUGUUUUAUUUACCCUACAAGCUGAAUCUCUAUGUCUAGUUCAUCAUUAAUCUUAGACUAAGCAUGGCCCUUUUAGGACUCAAGUAAAACUCAAUCCAAGAAACUCAAUCUAAAACCAAGUAUUGCUUUGAUAUGUUCCACUAAGAUAGGCUCUUUUGUGGCUCUUCCUUAGCUAAUAUCAUUAAAUGGGUGAUCAGCCGAAAUAAUGGCUCGGGUACCACUCCUUCAAUGAGGUGUACUUGGCCUCCUCACUUUUUGGGGUGUGAACUAGUUCACCCAAAAACUCAAAUAUUACUUUCUCUCUUGCUCAACAAAAGUGCUUGUGCAGAUGGACCAAACUGAAAAAUAGCUGCUCCAAAGGUACACCGGAAACCCCAAAAAGAAAGUUGGACUCCCUCUUUUCUAUGCCUUAUAAAUAGCUAUCAAAUUUGGAUAAGUUGGAGAAGCUGGACCUGAUUGAUCAAAAUUUUUCAUCUAUUUAUGGGGACGAACCACCAAAUAUGUGUAGAGGGUGAUGCAGGGGUACCCCACCAUCACCCAUAUUUUAUUUUCUAGUAGUUGGAAAGUAUAGAUCGCUCCAGUGAGUACUUCAAUGCCUUUCUUGGCCGUCUGAGAACCAGUUCGUCAGUUACCCCAAGAUCCAUCUCUUUUAAGGGCACAUUUCCUCUACAUGCUCCAAGGACAAAAAUAAAAUCCCAAGGCUCCUUUCCUUGAAGCCCUCUAAAUGAUGGUUAUAUAGGAGAUUAAUUCUUUUUUAUUUUAUUUAUUUAUUUAUAUAUACAUAUCAUCUCUUUUUUUUAUAGCACCAUUAUUAGGAAUACGUAAUCAUCCUUAUUUUCAAAUACAAUUGAGUGAUGGAAAACAUAAAACAUAAGGUGAUACUCCACAUUGGAGUAGGAAAAGAUGAUAGGUACCAAAGAAAAAAAAAUUUUUUUUUCAAAGGCUCAAAGGGGUUAACUAUGUAUUCUUUAUAAUAGGGUUGGCUAAAAAACUCAAACGGACCAAAGAUGGCCUUCUAUCAUUUUUUAGGGCUUUAAAUAAUCUUUCAUAUCCACUAGUUCAAUGGACUUUUAGAUGCGGCUGCACAAACUUUCUCUUUUUUUUUUUUUACUUCUUUUUUUUUAAAGAAAAUAUUGAGAUCUUGUACAAUAAAUUGUGAAGCUGUAUAGGCAAAUAGAGUUAUUCUCCAAGGAUAAUAGGCUAAAAAAACUCACUUGGUCUUUUCAUGAUAUGUACAUUCCUCCAAAUUGCUUAAUCAAUUUCACUCAUCAAAUUUCUCAAUUUACGUUUCAACAUGCAAAGGGAAGAACAUAGUGUAACAUAACUCAAGGCCAAAGAUAAUACAAAUACCAAAAUUUAAAAAUCAUCAUAUUAUCCAAUGUUAAAAGAUCACACUGAAAAAGAAAACUCUUUUUUUUUUUCUUUUGGUUAAAGAAACACUAAAAAAUUGGGACUGAUUGCAGAAACUUAAGGGAGAUGAUUAAGAGAAAAAGAGAAAAAGACAGAAAACAAAAAGUUAGAAGACAUUUUUUUUUUGGAAACAAAACACUAAACUUAAAAAGAUGCGUUUCUAUAGACACUACAUUCUAUAUUUUGCCAUCUUCGACUAAAAUUUUUAUCCAAAGGUAGUCUUUACAACAAAAAUUAGUAAAAAUAUCAUCAGGAUUGAGACAUUCCACAAUUAUCAACUAUUCCCUUCCCCCAACCUGAGGAGACAUUGUCCUCAAUGUCUAAAGAAAGGAGUAGAGUUUAGAAGAUAUCACCUGGUCACUGCUGGAAAUAUUUACAAAUGGAGAGUUAAAUCUAAUUUACAUUUUUUACGAGAGUUACUGCCAUCGUCAUCAGUUGCCCAAUCCAACGCCAAAGUCAUGGGAUCUGGCUCUGGUUUGUAAGCGUGCAAAAGAUCAAAUAACUCAUUAGCAGUAGGAGCACAAAUGAAGAGUUUUUUCGCUGAGGAUGGAAUGAAAUAAUUUUUUAUUGCAUGAUUAAGAAAUGUUAUUAAGUCAUCAUAAAAGUUAUCAACAUUUAACAACCGAUGGUUUUUUAUGGAUAUUCAAAUGGGCCCAAGAAUCAAAUGUAAUUAGCGCCUCCAAAGUUGCAAGGUCUCCUGGCAAGAAAAUGAAAGCGUCAGCAUGAUUUAACAUUUCAGAUAUUCUUUUCUUGCAUACCUGAGACAACUAACUCUUCUCCAGUUGGUGGGUUUGGUAGACACAAAUAUUUUUAAGUUGACUGCUUAAAGUUGCUGCCAUUAGAACAAUUCUAAAAAGAAACAAUUUGUGAGUGCUUGAGAAGGAGCUUCUAUUUAAGGAUCUUGGUGACGAACAUAAUGAUAUAUAUCUGUAAAUAGGGUGGUGUGUUUGUCAAAUGACGCGUGAAGCUUUUAGCUUAAUAAUUCAAAGGCAAACAAUGAAAAGAAAAAGCAAACAGUAAUUAGAUAUAUAUAAAAAAAAAGACACACAAUAAUAAUAAUAAUGCAAAAGAUAAAAGAAUAGUAAAAUAAAAGGAUAUUUACUAGUAGUUGUGAUUGUGGCUCACAUCUUCCUCUGGGUCGAGGAUAGGCUUCGCAUCCAGUUUUCUUAUAAACUGGCAAACAAGGUCUUUUAGAGUCAGAUUCCCAAGACUAAAUUGUGCACUUUCCUUUUGGAAUAGCUUCCACAAAUUUUGAAUUUCACGUUGCACAUAUCCGCUCGGAUACGUCUCAAGAGAUCGUAAGAUAUCAUCCAACGAUUCUUUACUCAUGCCAUCCUUAACGAAUUUGAUUUUAUCUUCACGAUUUACAGAAACCAUUCCUAAAGUUUUACAACGUGGCUUUUUGCAAGCAAGUUUUACACAGUGAGAACAUUCAGAGCCAAGUCGCUUAGCUCUUCUUUUCUUAGCAAAUGUACUUUUACUAAAACCAGGCAUGUAGGAAAUGAAUGGAUCAGAAAACUUACCUGCCAAUCGGACCUUUGCUUCAAUUAAUCAGCGAAUGUCAGCAGGAAUCCCAUUGAUCAUUAACAAAUGCAGUCAUUCACAACGAGCUUUGUAAAUAUUCUUAAGAGCAUUUUGAGGGAGAGAAGGAAAACGUUGAUGCAAAUUUCACUGUAUUUCUUCCAUGCUUGACAUUGAGGUUUUAGUUAUUGUGGGAAACUGAGAAUACCGACUUAAAAAGUCACGAAGUACCGUUAUCCGCCAUUUAUACGGGAGAGUGAAUCAAAACAAAACGAAUUAAAUCUGCAAAAUCAAAUCAAAAGUGAAGAAGAACAACAAAAUAAAACAAAAACACAAGAAAUAUAACUCACCUUCAUCCUUUUAUUGAAUUUACCUCUAGUUCCAAUUGCAGAUUAUAAAUACCAUCCUAUAUUUCCUUGAGUUGUCUUUCUAGAUCUUUGACGUGGGAUACUAACUAUGGUGGUUGUAGAUCCCAAAAAAUCUGAGCAAUUUCCUCAAGUGAAAUUUUACAUGUAAAAGUUCUUUAAGAUGUUCGAAAAGGAAACUUCUCAUGGAGGUACUCAUGACAAGUAUCAAAAUUUGAUGAGCUAAAACAAAAUUGUCAAACAACACACAAUAAAAAACAAUGCAAUGCACUCUAUUCAAGGCAUAGGGAAAAGGAAGGAAAAAAAUCAAACAAUUCAAACUAUAAAGUAAUAGUAAAUCAAAUUCGUAAAAAGUUAAAAUGAAAAGGCUUAAUUAAAAUUUGGUUGGUCACUCAAAUUGAUUUCGGUAUCUGCUUCACGUGGUUGGUAUUCUAGAUAUGGUUUCAAUCUUUGACCAUUAACUUUAAAUGUGACAUCAUCUUUUGGAUACUCAAUUUCUACGGCUCCAUAUGGAUACAUAUUUUUUUACAACAAAUGGACCAUUCCACUUUGACUUUAACUUCCCUAGAAAUAAAUGAAGACGAGAAUUAUAAAGCAACACUUUUUGACCAAUUUCAAAUGUUUUUCGAAAAAUUUGGUUCUUGCCUUAAUAAUUCUGGAAUUCUCAUAUUCAUCAUUCCUUAAUUCCUCAAGUUCAUUUAAUUGCAAUUUACGCACAUUACCAACAUCAUCAAGAUUUGAAUUAAAAGCUUUAGUGGCCCAAAAUGAUUUAUGUUCAAGUUCAACUGGUACUGGCAAGAUUUUCCAUAAACAAGCCGAUAGGGUGACAUUCCUAAAGAUGUUUUAAAAGCAGUACGAUAUGCCCAAAGUGCAUCAGUUAGUCGAAGAGACCAAUCUUUACGGUUUGGAUUAACUAUCUUUUCUAAAAUUUAUUUUAUCUCCCUAUUUGCUAAUUCAACUUGACCACUUGUUUGAGGUUGAUAAGGGGUAACAACUUUAUGUGUAAUUCCAUAUUUCUUCAUUAAGGACUUAAAUAGCUUAUUACAAAAAUGCUUACCUCCAUCACUAAUAAUGGCUCGAGGUAUUCCAAAUCUGCUCAAAAUAUUUUCUUUUAAAAAGCGGAUCACAAUCUUGUGAUCAUUGUACCGACAAGGAAUCGCGUCGAUCCAUUUUGAAACAUAAUCAACAGCAACUAAAAUGUAUAUAAAUCCAAAUGAUGAUGGAAAAGGGCCUAUAAAAUCAAUUUCCCAACAAUCAAAUAUUUCAAUGACAAGGAUUAGGUUUAAAGACAUCAUGUUUCGCUUUGAAAUAGACCAUACCAUUUGGCAAUUCUUACACACUUUACAGAAUGCAUGUGAAUCUUUAAAUAAUGUAACCUAAUAAAAUCCACAAUGCAAUAUUUUUACAGCUAUCAUUUUUAAAGAAAAAUGGCCACCACAUGCUUCAGAAUGACAAAAUUGAAUGACCCUACUUACCUCGUCGUCCGAUAUGUAUCUUCAAAAAAUUUGAUCAGAGCAGUACUUGAACAGGUAUGGAUCAUCCCAGUAAAAGCUUUUCACUUUUGUUAAGAAUUUCUUCUUGUCUUGAGAAUUCCAGUCACAUGGCAUUUCACCUGUUGCAAGAUAAUUAACAAUAUUAGCAUACCAAGGCAUUUUGUUUAUAGAAAAUAAAAAUUCAUCAGGGAAAGAAUCAUUGAUGGGUGUUGUUUCAAUUGAAGACUCAUUCGUAAGUCUUGAAAGAUGAUCUGCAAUAACAUUUUCAGCGCCCUUUUUGUCCUUGAUUGUCAAGUUAAAUUCUUGAAGUAGCAAAAUCCAUUGUAUCAACCUUGGUUUGGCAUCCUGUUUUAACAUUAAAUAUCUCACAGCAGCAUGAUCAGAAUAAACAAUAGUGGAUGAACCAAUUAAAUAUGAAUGAAAUUUAUCCAAUGCAAAUAUUACAGCAAGUAGUUCUUUCUCAGUUGUAGUGUAAUUCAUUUGAGCAUUAUUCAAAGUUCUACUUGCAUUAUAGAUGACAGAAGGCUUACAUUCUUUUCUUUGACCCAGAACAGCGCCAACGACAUAAUCACUAAUAUCACACAUUAGCUCAAAAGGUAAAGACCAAUCAUUAUUGGGGCUGAUGUCAAAAGAGUAGUUAUUUUUUCAAAAGCUUGUUGACAAUCUUUAGUCCAUUCAAAAGGUGUCUUUUAUUAGGAGGUUACAAAGUGGUCUAGAUAUGGCACUAAAGCCAUUUAUAAACCCCCUAUAAAAUCCUGCAUGUCCUAAAAAGGAACGAACUUCUCUAAUUGUCUUUGGUGAGGGUAAUUUUGAAAUGACUUCAACUUUGGCUUUGUCAACUUCAAUUCCUUUUGAAGACACAACAUGGCCCAAAACGAUUCCAAAAGUGGUCAUGAAAUGGCAUUUUUCCCAAUUUAAAACUAGUCAUUUUUCUUUGCACAUUUCCAAAACUUUUUCUAGAUUAUCAAUACAUGUAUCAAAAGAAUUAUCAAAUACAGUUAAAUCAUCCAUAAAAACCUCUAAACAAUUUUCAACCAUGUCACUAAAAAUGCUUAGCAUGCACUUUUUAAAUGUUGCAGGAGCAUUACAAAGUCCAAAGGGCAUUCUCCUAAAUGCAAAUGUUCUAAAUAGGCAUGUGAAUGUAGUCUUUUCCUAGUCUUCUAAGGCUAUACGGAUUUGAUAAUAGCCAGAGUAACUAAUAAGAAAGUAGUAGUAGGGAUGUCCAACUACUCUUUCGAGAAUUUGGUCUAGAAAUGGAAGAGGAAAAUAAUAUUUUCUAGUGGCAUCAUUUAAUUUUCUGUAAUCAAUGCACAUGCGCCAACUAGAUGGAAUUCGUGUUGGGAUUAGUUUACCUUUUUCAUUUUUUACAACGGUUAUUCUAUAUUUCUUUGGUACUACUUGUGUUGGACUUACCCAUUUACUAUCAGAGAUAGGAUAGAUAAUUCUUACAUCUAAUAGUUUAAGGACCUCAUUCUUUACCACUUCUUUUAUAUGAGGGUUUAGUCUUCUUUUUGGUUGACGGGUUGUUUUGGCAUUUUCCUGUAAGUGUAUUCGGUGUGUGCAAAUUAAAAGAUUAAUGCCUUUUAUAUCUUUUAAGGUCCAACCAAAUGCAAUUUUAUGUCUUUUUAGUACAGAUAACAACUUACCUUCUUGAUCAUGUGUGAGUUGGGAAGAAAUUACCACCGGAUACGUCUGCUGCUCUCCAAGAUAGGCAUACUUCAAUUCUUCUGGUAAGGGCUUUAAUUCAAGCUCUGGUGCUUCCUCUUUGAUUAGUUCUUCAGGUUGUACUGUAUUUUCAAAGUUCGAUUGGUCAUCGUCACCUGUAAGUACCUGCAUAGAAUCAAGUGUAGAACAUAUAUUAGCAGUAUCACAAUUUAAUUCUUUACUUGAUUCAAAAGAACCAGCAAAACAAAUUUCCACAGAGGUUGUAAAAUUCUCAUCCUGAAUGUGUUCCUCAAUGAUUGGCUCGAUGAGAUCAAUCUCCUUAUUCUCAUUAUCAUCAUCUUCUUGGUGGUGAGAUUGUUUACACAUGUUAAACACAUUGAGUUCCAAUGUCAUGUCCGAAAGAUAAAUUCAUUAAUCCAUUCCUGCAAUUAAUCAAAGUAUUAGCAGUAGCUAAAAAUGGUCGACCCAAUAUAAGAGGAAUUUGUUUGCAUUCAUUAGCAAUUGGGUCCAUUCCCAAAAAAUUAAAAUCAACAAGAUAUAUGAAUUUAAUCGAUCUAACAGCAAGUAAAAGAGUGGUAGAAGUUGGUUUUAACUCACCGAGAUUGAGUUGUUGGUACACUGAGUAAGGAAGCAAAUUAUCACUGGCCCCAAGGUCAAGUAGAGCAUGUCCAAUUUUAUGAUCCCCAAUAGUGUAAGAAAUAGUUGGACAACCAGGAUCCUUGUAUUUCAAAGCACUAUUGGUUGAGAGAAUGGAACUUACAUGUUCUGCCAGAAAAGCUUUCUUUUGCACUUUAUGUUUCUUUUUCAUCAUGCACAGAUCUUUCAAAAAUUUAGCAUAAGAAAGCACCUGUUUAAUGACAUCCAGCAAAGGAAUGUUGACCUUUACUUGUUUAAAAACUUCAUAAAUUUCUAGACUGCGGUUUGAUUUCUUUGGCUUGAUUAGUGCCUGAAGAAAUAAGGGUACAAGAGGAGAGUUGGUUAUUUCUUCAUGGGUUAAAGGUUCGACAGACUCUUCCCUAUUUUCUGAAAUUGAAUCUUUACUAGUUUCACGAGGGUCCACAAUGUAUUUUUCGAUCACUUUACCACCACGAAGGGUUAUAACCGAUUUGACUUGACUCAUAUUUUGGUUUCCUGAAUUUUCCAUUUGAGGAUGUUGUUGACUCUUGGGGUUUGGUUAAGGUUGAGCAGGAAACUUUCCUUUUUCAUGCAUGGUCAGAGCAGAUGUAAGUUUGGAGAUAAUUUUUGUCAAAUUGGUUAAGGUUUGCAUCAUUUGGUUAUUGAUCGACUCGUGUUUUUCAAUAAACGAAUGCAAUGUGUCUUCCAGAGUUUUUCUUGGUGGUGAGACAUAUGGUGGGUAACUCUGGGGGUUUUGGAAAUUUUGACGUGGAGGAACUGGUUGUGAAGGUUGUGCAUGAUUAUCAUUUCUCCAACUGAAAUUUGGGUGGUUUCUCCAACCAGAAUUGUAAGUUUGGGAGUAUGGAUUUGGAUUUGACCUUUUGAAAUUGUCAACGACAUUUACUUGUUCGUGCAAACUUUCUCUCAAUGCUGGCAAAGUUAGACAGUCCUGCGUAGAAUGGUCAGUAGAAUCGCAAACAUAACAUGAAAUAUUUUGAACAGACUUUACAUGAUCAUUCUUUUUCAACUCUAAUGCUUUGACUUUUCUAGCUAAUGUUGCAAAUUUAGCUUGAAAAUCAUGGUCUUCCCUAAGGUUAUGCAUGCCUCCACCAGAUGGAGAUGACUGGGGUUUACUUGAUGACUCAUAAGAACCAAUUGUAUCUCAGUGUUGUGCAUUCUCUGCUAUAUAGUUAAGAUAGUCUAAUGCAUCUUCAGGACUUUUAUUCCUAAACUCACCAUUAUGGAUCAUUUCAACGACUUGUCUACCUUGGGAUGUUAAUCCCUCGUAGAAAUAAGACACUAAUCUCCAUGUUUCAAAACUGUGGUGUGGGAAAAUGUUAAGUAGUUCUUUAAACGUAUCCCAAUAUUGGUAGAGGGUUUCUCUUGGUUUUUAAGUGAAUGUGGUGAUUUGUCUUUUGAAAGAAUUAGUUUUGUGGGGUGGGAAGAAUUUUUUCAAAAAUUGUGCUUGCAUUACAUCCCAAGUUCUGAUGGAUCCUGACCUAAGAUUUUGUAGCCAAGUUUUAGCUUUAUCCUUUAGUGAGAAAUGAAAAAACUUAAGCCUGAAUAUAUUCAUGCUACAAUUUUGAUCAGUACAUGUGUUACAGACUUCCUCAAAUUCCCUUAAAUGCAAAUAUGAAUUUUCAUAUUCAAAACCAUAAAAAGUAUGAAGAAAUUGAAUGAUACCAGGUUUGAAAUUAAAACGUGAUACAUCAUGAGGGAAAACUAUGCAUGAUGGUGAUCCUGUUCUAGUAGGAUGCAUGAAGUCUCUAAGGGUCCUAGGCUGUUCAUGAAGAUUUUACAAGGCUUGGUCAUUUUCGUGCUCCGAAAAAUUUUCAGCUCCGAUCUCAGCCAUAUCUAAGGGUGGUGAAAGUGAUCUAAUUAAUCUGCCACUAUUUGUACGAGACCAACGAUGCCUGCAAUGCUAAUGAUGUGUGCUAAACCAAUGAUGCAUAAAACGCUAAAUGAAAAUUGCAGAAAAUAAAAAUAAACAGGAAAUUAAAUAAGCAAAAAUACGAAAUAAAAAUAAACAAACUGAAAAUAAAUAAAAUAAAUAAAUUAGGCAGUGAAACCAGCCAUAAACAAAGAAAUUAAAAGAAACAAUUUAGGCGGUAUUUUAAAACCAGCCAUAUAACAAAACAUAAAAUUAAAUAGAUUAAUGUAUAAGAAUAAAUAAACUGAAAUUAAAAUGCUAGGCGGUAGAACCGACCAUAUAAACAAAAAUACAUAAAUUAACAAAAUUUAAAUAACAGUCAGGCAGUAGAACCGACCAUUUAAAAUAAAUGCGGAAAGUAAAUUGCAUAAAUUUAAAGAAAUAAAUUCGAUUUGGGGAUUGAUUUGCAAAGGUUUCUGGGCUAAAAUGAAGUUUAUCACAAAUUUUAUGAAUAAUGUUAAAGUUUGAAAAGAGGAGGGGUGCUAACUGAAGUUUUGGAAAAAGAGAAUAAAAUAGAAUCACGAAGAGAUAGUAACAAAAAAAAUUAAAAUAAAAUAAAGUAAAGACAAACUAACACCAAAUUUAGAAAACUCCCCGGCAACGGCGCCAAAAACUUGACACGACUUAAAAAUAUAUUAACCCGGUGAGUACGGGGUCGAACUACAAAGAAUUUUAAAUCUAGUAGUCAAUUUAAAACUAAGAAAAUUAAUUGUGGGGAAAAGAAAUUAUUUGAAAUCAAUUUAAAAAUAUGCUAAGGUUCGGGAUCCACUCUCUGUAUUCAAACUAUAGUUUUAAUACUCUCUCAUUUAUAUUUUGCAUCACUUUUACCAGUUAAUUAUUAUAUCAUUUAAUUUUAUGUGUGUGGAUAAAUAUGGAAUAAAGUACCUAAUGUGCCACACUAUAUUAAAGUGUCGACAUUAUGUCAAAAUACCAUACAUAUCCAAAAAAAUGUAUAAAUUAAUAUGACAUAAAAAUAACUAGAAAAGAAUAAAAUAAAUUUUAAAACUCAUUUGAGAAAAUAAUAGAUUUAAUAGUUUGAAAUAUUGAGCUUCACCCUUCACCUCAGCUUAGUAAAAUUAGCCACUCAUAUUGAAAGAAAACACAACACUUUAUUUAUUUGAUAAACUUUUGAAAUACGUUACAAGAAAGUUGAUUACACAACAAAAGAAGAAAAAGACACAAUUCAUCAGUUACACUCUAUUCUCUCUUGGCUUAAGCUCUCUCUGCUCAACUCUCUCACUUCUCCAUGCCUCGCUCCCUACAUUUCCUUGCCCUUUUAUAGGCAAGGAAUGCAUUAUCUUUAUUUAUUUUAUUAUUAUUAUUAUUAUUAUUAUUAUUAUUAUUAUUAUUAUUAUUAUAUAUAUAUAUAUAUAUAUAUAUGUACAUUGAAAUGUGUAAUGGUCAAGUGGCCAUCAUGGCCACUUGACCAUCACGAGAAACCAAAUUGCUUGGUUUUUGUUCUUUUGUUCUUUUUUCAUUUUUUUAUUUUUUAUUCAUUUUAAUUUUUUAAUUUUUUAUUUAGUUAUAUCUCAUCAAUAACGCUUCCAAAUUGCUCCAGCAGUCCUUCUUUGUUCCCGCUUUCAAUUCCAAUUUAUUCCUAAAAAAUAUUUAUAAGAUAAAAAUUAACAUAUUACGAAUUAAUUUAACACAAAAAUUUAUUUGGGGAGCAUUCAUAUAAUUUAGGGAAAAUAUCCACCGUCCACCCGUUUUUUACACAUUUUUUAAAAAUACACAAUUCCUUCAUUUUUUGGCUGGAAUCCACCUAAAGUUACAUUUUGUUUCACUUUUCCACUUCCGUUUGGAAUCCGUUAAGAAAACUAACGGAAACUUAAAAAAAUGAUCAUUUUACCCCCAAAACAAAAAUUACAAUUUCACCCUAAAAAUGUUAAAAAUAAUCAGAUUUAAUGAUGAAUAUCAUUAUUGGUACGUUAAUGAAGUACAAAAACAUCUUAACUACUAGAGAUUAUAACUCAAUGAAUAAUAAAACUCUACUUAUCUUAAAUUCAAUUGAUGGUUUGUGAGAUUGGGCUAUUUUUAAUGCUACUGUUAUAAUUUAGCAUUCUAAUUACAGACAUAUUUAAAAAAAAAACUUGCAUUUGAUGGUUGUGCAAUUAAUUUCUUUAUUGACCGAUGGGGAAAAUAAUUAGAUUUAAUCUAAUUAUUUUUGGCAAUUUUUAAAGUGAAAUUGUAAUUUUCGUUUUGAGGGGUAAAAUGGUCAUUUUUUUAAGUUUCCAUUAGUUUUCUUAACGGAUUCCAAACGGAAGUGGAAAAGUGAAACAAAAUGUAACUUUAGGUGGAUUCCAGCUAAAAAAUAAAGGAAUUGUGUAUUUUUGAAAAAGGUGUAAAAAACGGGUGGACGGUGAAUAUUUUCCCUAUAAUUUAUAAGUUAUGCGCGCAUUAAUCAACACUUUAAGUGAAAAACUAAUAAUUUUAUCCUUAUUACACGUACACUUUUUAGUGUUAAUCAUACAAUAUUAGUAUUUCAAAAAAAUUAGGUGCAAUUUGCAUCACUAUAGUUAACAGUACAUCCCAACUAGGUUGGCACCUGUUGAACUAUCUAUCAUUUGCAAAUUCACAACCUUUCCAGUAGUAAACUUUUUUUCCAAAAAGUUGCAAAGAAAGAAGGUCUCUAGUCUCUAGAGGGGACUUCAAUGUUCUUUACUAUGCAUAAUCUGGAUCCACUUCAUCUUGAUCGACAUCCAAACUCUCAAUUUGUUUCAUUGAAGCAUUUUACCAAUCUUAUUACACUCAGCUUUUAGCAUCUUUCCAUCUUUCAAAUGCAUCAAAGAGUGUAAUGUCUCUGAUGACAAUUUUGAUCGACAUUCAUCUAGAACUCUACUAUCUACACUAAAAGCUGACUCUGAUGCUACAAUUGAAGCUAGAGGGGUUAGUGGAUCACGGGCCACAAUGAAUAGUAUAGGGGAAAAAGAUGUCUUAUCCAUCCAAAAUUUUAAAUUAUCAAAAUUUUACGAUUGUGAAGGAGUUAAUAAAUCUUCAAGAUUAACAUAACAAUACCUUCACCAUUCAUUACGAUUAGUAUCAAUACUAGAAGCAAUACCAUUACUUUUGAGCAACAAAAGGUUAGCUGGAUUUCUAUAAGAAGUUGAUGCUUGUUGAACAUUAGAAUAUGUAUUGGUUGAUCCAAAUUUAUUUUGAUAAAAAUUAAAAAGUUCAUGCAUAAAGGACGUAAUUGUGUUAGAAUUUGUUUCAAGCCCUGUUAGCAAAUUUUUAGUGAUAUUCUCAACUAAAAAUUUUGUACCAACUUCCUUGAUUGUAGGAUCCAACACUACUGCAAAUAUAAAUAGGUGGGGCAUAUCUUUCCAAUAUUUUUAGAAUUUUUCAUCCAUAGCAUCACAAAUAUUUUUAAACAUAAUAUUUUCACUAAAAGUCUUAAAAGCAUAACUCAUAUUAUACAAGUGGAUUAACAUUCUACAUGAAGUAUGACUCAUAAAUAGUAGAAUAUGCAAGAGUAGUAUUAUAAAAUACCUUCAAAAAAUGCAUAAAUUUAAAUGCAACAUUUCAAUCAUAAUCAGUGAUAUGAUAAUCUUCAUCAUGCAUUAUCUCAUUGUUAAAACUAGAAAUUGCUUUAGAAUAGUUUUGGCAAGAAAGCAACAUCAAAUAUGUAGAAUUCCAACAAACUUUCAUGUCAAUGUUGAAUUUCCUCUUUUUUAAUCCAAAAAUUUUCAAUGUAGAUAAAAACUAUUGUUGCCUUAAAGGUGCUCUAAUAUAUAAAAUGGUUGUUUUUUUUUUUUUAAAUAAUGAUUCAUAUGGUCAUACCAGCUUAAACAAUUAAAUCAAUAAUAUGACAUACGCAUUUCACAUGAAAACAUUUUGAGCCAUGUGCAAGUGUGAGAGUAGAAAUAUUUUGCAAAAACAUAUCAAUUGUGGUUGUAUUGACUGAUGCAUUAUCAAAUGAUAUUCUAAACAAUUUAUCAGUAAUUUCAUAUUCUCUUAAAACAGACAUUAUGAUUGAGUAAAUUACUGAACCAAUAUGAGGAUAUUCUAAUUCAUGAAAUGCAAGCAAUUUUUUUUCAAACUGCAUUUGCCAUUAAUCUCAUGUAUAGAGUGCUAAGUCUUACAAAAAUAACCAACCAUAUUAAUACCAGUCCAACAAUAAGAAGAAAUUGAAAUAACACCAUUAAAAUUGAUAAAAGUAUUAAUCAAGAAUUUUUUCAUGUCAUGAAAAUUUUUGGUAAAAUCACGUUUUAAUGUAUUUCUAGGCACUUUCUUAAGUUGAGGGCUCAACAUACCUUUCCAGAAAAUUUAUCAGACGUUCAUCUUCUGGAAAUGUUAAAGGUUGCUCUACUGUAGCAAUAUACCUAGUCAAUCCUUCUUGCAUGUUCUGUUGUGAAUAUUUAAAUGAUGUUAUAGUACUAGAAGGUCCAAAACCAUACUGUGAAAUUGGGGUUUGUGUUGGGUCUUGUGGUGCGUGUUUUGCCUGGCAAGUUUCCAUAUGUUGUUUGAGAUAUCCGGUUCCACAUUUACUUUUGACACUUAAAAAGGCUUGGAAAAUUGAUGUUCUUGGCUAUUUGGAGGUAAUAGUAGGACCAGUAGUGGCAGAAGUAGAACCACUUUGACUUGCUUAAGAAGUAGGAGGAGAUCGCUGGUGGGACAAUAAAUAUAUUAUUUGGAUCUAGUUCUUGUGUAGCAAUUUCUUCAUUUGGAGCUUCCUCCCCCUCUUCAACAAAAUUUAAAUUCUUAUUCAACUCAAAACGCCUUCCCUCAUGAUUGAUGUGAGAGUGAGACAUUUUAUGUGAAUAAUUUUUUGGUAAAUAAAAGUAGUUGUGUAUUUGUACGGCUGGAAAAAAUAAAAAAUUCAGUGACCAAGAGAGACGUGUAUUAAAUGGUGUUUAAUGGCGUUUCACUUUUGUUUGAGAUUUGAGUAACAAAAAGAAGUUACUGGAAUUGUAGGAGAGUUUAGAGGAGAUUGAGUAGAGAGUAAAGACGAGACACAAGAACAAAUGAGGAGAUAGAGAUUGAGAAUUGAGAUAAACUUGAAAAUGAUUUAAUUGUUUAAAUAGAAUAAAAAAGUAAAAAUAUUAACAGUCAAAUGUGGCAAACAUGCAAAGCUUCCUGCAAGCCUGCAACAAAUUAGACCGUUGCAUUUAUUUACUUUUUUUUUUGUUUCAAAUUUUUGUUCGUUUUGUCCGUUGGGUGAGUAAUAAAAUUAAUUCAAAAUUUUUUUAUUAUUAAAUAAUAAUAAAAAGUUAGUUUCUGAUCGGUGCACCCCGAGCUGUAAAAUUGAGUAGUCAUUUCAAUUUUACUAUUGUAACGAUGGAAUUUAAAAGUUGUGUGCAAUGCAAUCAAUUCAAAAUUUAAAAUUUUUGAAAGUUGCCGACAAUGAUAUUUAAAUAAUAGACAAUUGUAACUCGUAAGCAUUGUGCUCACCUUGUGUGAGACUGUAGUCGUAGUCAAAAAUUCAAAUCAUAAUUCAACGAUUUUUAUUUAUUUUUUAAAUAAUAAAUUAAUAUUCAAAUUAAAUACUUUUCAUUUUGGGUUCGUGCCAACAAGGCAACAAUGCAAUUUUUUUCAUUUCUUUUAUUAUUUUUUUGGAAAAUGUUCUUUAUUUCUUUUAUUAUUAUUUUUUUAAAUAAUUUAAUAAUGUUUUCCUACCAACCACACGCUUGCCUCUACGACUCCACAGCUCCACAAAAGUCAAGAACCCAAGAUUCACUCAUUCACAACACCAGUAUUUAUAUUUCACUAAAUAUUUCUACUUUCUCAACCACUUUCACCUAUUAAAGUAAUAAAAUCAAUUUUUGUCUUUUUACUACUACCUAAUAAUUAUAUAUGCAUGCCAAAACACUAUGAGUCUAUGACGAUUCAAAAUUCUUCUUCUUUUCUUUUUCCCUCAAACUUUCCAAUAUUCCAAAACCAAAAGCACAAUGGAUCCUCAAGAACAUAAUAUAAAUGCAGAAGAAGCUCAACAACCUCAAGAAUACAAUGUCUAUGCCGUUGGACCUCAACAAAACAACAAUGCAAGGUUAAAUAAGUCCAGAAGCUGUCAUUUAAAUAAUUUUUUUCAAAAUUUUACUACAGUAAGGGAGGAAAUAAUAGAUAAUGGUUCGCGUAGUCCUUACAAACGGAUGAUCUUCGAGUAUAACUAUUGUCAUUGAGAAAUUAUUUAUUCAAAUGCCCAUGGUACAAGGGCUUUUUGUCGACACGUGUCAAAUUUUUUAGCUCGCCAUCAAGGCCAAGACAGAAUUAACCUUGCUCAUUUAUCGUAACCAUAAUUGUGAUUAAUAAACGUUAUUUUGGCUUAAUAAUCAAUAUGUCAUAUUUUCAUAGUUGUGAUUUUUCGUAAUCUGUAUUUCCUAGUUGUAAGUUGUGACUUGUGACUUGUUAUAAUUGAUAUCUCGUAGUUGUAAUUUCUUGUAAUCAUUAUUCUAAGAUUGUAAUUUUAGUUUUUAUUAGUCAUUACUAUGAUGUAUGUAAUUGAAUUUAUGUAUUGUUGCAUUAUAAUUGGUGAAAUUAAAUAUAUAGUUGUGAAAUUGUGAUAAACUUAUAAUGAAAUGUUAAUUGUUCCUUUAAUAAAAAUUGUUGUUGUUGUUGUUGUUGUUGUUAUAAGUGCAUUGACUGAUGGGCUUAAAAAACACGCUAGGCAUGUGGGGUUGAGGAAAAAAAAAGUUGAUGGACAUUUUAUGAGCAUGGAACAACAUUGCCCGUCCACUUGGUGGACCGUGCCAUGCCGACCGUGGGCCUUGGUUUAACCCCAUCGACUAUCUUUAGUUUCAAAUUAAUUAAUUAUUAAUUUAUGAAUUAAUUGGUUCUUGUAGAAAAAUAAAUUUUGUUUUGAAAUUUCAUUAUCUAAUAAAUUUAUCGAAUUUUUAACUUACCAUGUUAGCCUUAGACAGGAUGGAAAAAACUAUUAUUUAAUCAAAAUUAUCAAUUUAUCAAGUACUAAUUUAACGAUAUUCUACUGUAAUAAAUCUUAUAAAUUUAUCAAGUAUAAAAUUACAGAGGUUUUACUAUAGAAGGUUAAAAAUUUUCCUUUACCCCAACCUUUAUCUUUUAAAAAAGAAAUUAAAAAUAAGAAAAUAGGAAAAAAAUGUGAUUUUGAUUUAGACCAAGUAUAUGAUGAUUUUAAGGUUAUUUUUUUCUUAAGUCCUUGCUGUUUAUCGGAAAAACUUAGAAAUUAAAAGUUUUCAAAAUACAUCUGUUAAAUCCUUAUUAUCAAUUCAAAUUUGUUUCAUUCAAGUUUUUGACUGAAUUUUACUAUUAGAAAAAAUAACAUUAUGGCAUUUUAAUCGGAUUUAAUUGAUUUGUUAAAAAAACAAACAUUAUGGCUUUUAAGGGUUGUUUCAGCUGACAAAGAUUACUCUUAGAUAUAUCCUAAAGGAAGCCCAAAUUAAUGUUAGAAAAUCAUUGCUUAAUGCCUUAAUUUAUUACUUGUUUUUCUGUUUUAACAGUUUUUUAUUGCUCAACUCUGCUUCAUAAAAUUAUGUAUAUGCAAUAUUUACAAGGUGCUAUGCUAUUGUAACUCGUCAUUGAACUUCAAUUUUAGAAAAUUUAAUUGUAGAUAAAGGAUCUUGAAAGUGAAUAGAUCGUACAUUGAUGUAAGAAUAUUGUGCUGAAAGUGAAAAAAAAAAAAAACACUCAAAGUGGGGGACUUAUGUGUGCAAUGGAACAAUAAAAAAUGACAAAUAAUGUGAAAGACCCUCAAGUUUCAUGUUGUUAAAUCUAUUGUAAUUAUUGAGCAAACGGGUUAAUUAUAACUUUGGAAAAAAUAAUAAUUAAGAAACUAUGAUAAAAUGAGCUUUAAACCAUUAAUGUGAAGUAUGAAUAAAAAAGAUUUGAAUUUGGAGGAGUUUGAGUGAUAUAUAUUGUUGGAUUCAUCUCAUUUGGGUGGUCCAAAGGCUUCCUUGGUGUGCAAAUAUCACUAAGUUUUGGACUUGGAUGAAAUUAGCUAGAGAAUAAUAAGUAUAAAAGAAAAGCAAGCCUUGGUAAUGAUAUAAAAAAAGGAAGAAAAAGAUGAGAGAAAAAGAGAGAGACAGUGGCGUAAUAUUUGCUUCUAGGGGCAAGUGUUUUAACUCUGUUUUCUCGUAAAUUUGGAGGGUAAGUUCCUAGCAUCAUCCUCUACAGUUCUACUAGUCUUGAUUUUUGUUUUAUCCUCUCCUUGGUUGUUAUUUGAGAUAUCUAUUUGUUUACGAUGUUGUCCUUAUUGAUUUUUGGUCCUCAACAACUGGGCAAUGACAUUGUUGUGUACUUGGCACCGUUGAUUGAAGACUUGCAAACUUUAUAGGAUGUUGGGGUGGAGGCUUACAAUGCUAAUAGAAAGAAAUUCUUUAAUCUAAGGGUUGUUUUGCUAUGGACCAUAAAUGACUUUCCAACAUACGGGAAUUUAGAGGGUUGUACUGUUAAAGGAUAUAAUGCAUGUCCAUAUUGUGGCUUAGAUGCACCUAAAUGUAGACUGAAAGAUGGUGGGAAAAAUGCAAUGGCUAGUAUGAAAGGUGUUGCAGACGUUUUGGAGGUGCUAAUAUGGAUGCUCCAGAGAGUAGUAAUGCGACCAGGGGUGUGAAUAUAGGUGCUACGCAGAACUAAAAGCUGAAAACGAGGAAAGAGAGGAUUGUUGUACAAUAUAAUGUAUUAGGCGUUCCUGCUGGUGAUGAAGCCACUGAGCUAGCUUCCUAUCUUGGAGUAUUAGCUAGUAGUUCAGUUUCGAUUUUAUUUUCUGAUUGGCGUAAAGUUCCAGCAGAGACGAAGGAGCGUUUAUGGGAGUCCAUUCAGGUAAAUGUCCAAAUUCUUUAAUCUAUUGAUCUUUAAUCAAUUGUUCUGGUCUUGGUAAUUAUUAGAAUAUCAUAUAUGGUAUUAGGAUUGCUUCAUCGUUCAUCCUAAAAGUAAGAAGUAGCUGCUGCAAUCAAUUGGGCAUGCAUUUCGUAACUUCAAGUACAUGUUGAUAAAAAAGUACAUUGUGCCAUUCGCACAAGACCGGAAGAGACUAUACAGACCUCCAAUUGAUUAUCCCCAAAUCAAGAAACCUAUUUUGAUAAAGUUUGUCGACAAACGUUUAUCAGAUGCCUUUCAAGUUAGUAUCUUUGACUUAGGCUUUAUGUUUGACUUAGGUUUUCUCACUUGUUAAUAUUUGUUGGAUAUAUACCAAUAAACACCUCGGUAUGUUGAAGUUAUUCAGAAAGUCAGUUGUGCUAAUAAGGAGAAAAGAGCCUCCAACAAGUUAAAUCAUCGACUUAGUCGAAGAGGAUAUGUUGGAUUAAUGCAAGAUAUGGUAAGUACAUGGCUAUCAAUUUAUAUUAGGUUAAUUUGUUUAAAAUAUUAAUUAUUAAGUGGACUUAAAUAAUAUGAUUUGUUUAUCCACCAGUGCUCAGAAACCAGUCUUUUAGAAGACUUAGUAGACAUGAGUGAACUUUGGAAGAGAGCCCGGGGAAUGAAAAUUGGGGUUACAACCUUGAAACUGAGAAGAUUGUUAUGAAAAUGGUGAGGAGCUUCAAUAAAGUUAAAUAUUCUUUAAUUAGUUUAGCGUGAGUAGAUUACAACUAUAUAUUAUUACUAAUUUAUUUUUUAUGGUGAUAGGAAAAGCUCAAAAAAGAGGCUAAGAAAGGCUCCUUGAAGUCAGAUGGAAGAAACAAUAUACUUGCACAAUCAUUGGGAAAGCUUCCUCGAAUUGGCCAUAUGCAAGGUCUUGGUAAAUUUGUAACACCUACCGAGUACUUUCACAUAGUUCAUGGGCAUAAUAAACAUGUUGCAGAGACUGACUUGUAUGCCUGGGAGAAAGAAAUUGAAAGUCAGCUGGAGAAAAUCACCAAACAAUUAAAGAAGACACCUCGCCACUCAAAUGUAGGAAGUCCCACCUAUUCCUAGCAAUGGUGUUGUUGAUUGCUUAGAAGAAAAGGAUAAUGACAAGGUGGAUGUAGUUGAACAGAAGGUUAGUAACUUUUUUUUUCCAGCCUUAGUGCAUAUACUAUAUUAGUAGGUUUAUUUAGUUUAGAUUUUUGCCUUUGUAAUUUUUAGGAGCCCCUAGCUUAGAAAACUCAGAUGGCCAAGAGAGGAAAUCCUCAACUAAAAAAAGGGUAGAAAAGCAAAAAGAAGUUGAUAAAAAGGAUAAGAGUAAACCUAAGAAGAAAAUAGGGACAACAAAAAACAUUACUGUCAUGCCAAGAAAAAGUCCAAGACUUAACACCAACUUGCCAAUGGGUGAUGCAAAUGAGGGGGAAAAACCAAAGCUUGGUAGUGCCAGAAAGCCAUUAUUUCAGGAGAAUGUGCAAUUAGCUAAUGGUCUAUAGCAAGUUCCACCCAUAGCCCAAAAAUAAGGGCUACAAAUCUGAACAAAAACAAAAGGAAGAAAGGUGCAGUGCAGCAUGUGUCGAGAAACACUAGGCACACAGCAGUAAUACCAAAAACAAUCAUCCAAUGCUGCAACUCUUUGGCACAUUAUAUGACAUGUACUUGCCUCCAUUCGGUUGGAUUCAAUAUUUGAUUGAUGAUAAUGUAUUUCAGCUAGAAGGUAUUGUAGCCCAUGUUGGGAAAAUGAAGUGUGAUGCGAUGAUGACGAUGCAAGUGAUAAGAGUUAAUGCUAUUGAAGUAUAUAUUGCGUAAGAGAUUUUUGUUUUUCUUUACACUUGAAUUAAUUUAUAUGAUGUUGCAAUACUUGUCUAAUGACAAGUUUUGGUAUUUUGCAUCCACUAUUUCAAGUUGUUGUAUGACUCGAUUAUCCCAAACAAAAAAGGAACAAGACCAUUUGGAUUCAUCUAUCCAGGUUGUGUCACCCCAUCCUAGACAAAUACCAGACAUUUCCCAUCCCAGCAGAGCAGAAGGUGUGUGCAAGCGCUUGAAAAAAGCUUAUAAAGGACAAUUCUUGUUUGUGCCAUACAAUCCUAGGUCUGGAAAUUUCAAACUGUAAUAAAGUGUUUUAAUAAUUAUUUAUUUAUUUUAUCUUGUCUUUGAUAAGUGUUGCUUGGCUUUCUUUGUAUUUUUUUUUUUCUAUUUUAGCUUCCAUUGGGUUUUGGUUGUGAUUGAUGUGGCAAAAAAAGAAGUGUUUUAUUUAGAUCCUAGGGGGUACGAUGCUCCUUAUCCUGAUUUAGAACAACUGAUUAAAUCGUAUGUAUUCCUUUCCAUCUCAUAAUCCUAAUAUUCUCGCUUUUUUUAAUAUAUUUUUAAUAUUUUAACCAAUGUACUUUAUUCAUACAGUGCUAUGACACUGUUCUCAGCUGAGGAUUGUAAGGAAAGAUGGAAUUAUAACCCUAAUAUGAGAUUUGUGAAGGUAAACAUAUUAUCUUAACUAAAAUUCUGUGUAUCUAUCAUUUUAAGCCUAAAAUAGAAUAUAUUUAUAUUGAUUUUUUUGGUUUAUAACUGUGAAUAGACCCCUCAGCAACUGGGAAGCGUGGAAUGUGGCUAUUAUGUCUUGAGGUUUAUAAAAGACAUUAUAGCAGACCUUAGUUUGCUAAUGAAUGAUGUGAGUCAGUGAUGAAUAAAAUCAUAGGAUUGGUUUAUACCAUACGCACUGCAUUGUUAUGGAAAUUUGACAAUGUUGAUUUUAUGGUUUUCAGUUCCAUUGAAAGGUCAUGUAUACUCAGGCUGAGCUAGAUGAAGUUUGUUUAGAGUGGGUUAACCAUUGUUCUUAAAUCAUUAACGCAACAAAAAAUGGUUAGUAUGAAUCUAAAACUAUACACAAACAUUUUUAUUACUUAUAUAUUAUAAUUGGUUAAAAACUAUAGACAAAGUGGCAAUAACAGCGACCUAGCUAGCUACCUAGGUUUCUUGAACUAGGCUUAAUCUUCUAUUUGAACAACAAACAACUGCUGGCAAAGUUGUUAUCCUGAUAACAACAACAUUAUUUAGAGAUGAGAUUGGUACUUCACUCAAACUCUUGUAGAGGAAUAUUAAGAUAUACUUCCUUAGAAGUUCAAUAUUCCACAAAUACUUGAUACUAAGAUAUUUCUUAAGAGUUCAAUAAUCCUUAAAUACUUGAUAUACUUACCAAUGUAGUAGUCAUCUUUAUUUUGAACUCUUUGAUAUGGAAUCCUCUUACACGCCAAUUUGCUUCUUUUAUUCCUCCAAAAUAUUCUCCAAGAUUCCAUAUAAUCUAAUUUUAAUUAAUUUCGACGACUAAAUACAUCUCUAAUAAAAGGAAACUAAUCCCUAAUAAAAGAAAUAAAUAAAUUAAAAAGUUAUUGACAAGAUGAUGCCAAUAAUAAAAGCCUUAACAAUCUCCCCCUUUGGCAUCCUUGUAGUCAAAACAUAAACUAACCAAUUUUAUAGUCUUCAAAUGGCGUGUGUAUUGGGAAGAUAGAUCACGAGCAAUAACCUACGCAUAGGCAACAAAAGCAUACGAAGAACUAACCAAAGCAAAAAUAAUUAGUCACCGUUAAUUCAAGAUAAAAAUCAUCUAUAAUAAAUAAAUGCAACGUCUAUUGUUCAAUUGAGAAAAUUAACUUUCCCUUUAAGAAAAAUAAUCUCAUAUCAACAAAUGACGAUAGCAAUAAUGCAUAAUAAAAGAAGUAAUAAAGAUCAUAUGCAAAUCAAACAAGCUCCCCUUAGAGAAAGAAUAAAUAAACUCCACAUUUAUUAUCGAAAUUGAAUUCCUUAAACAAAAUAAAAAACCACUCUCCCCCUUUCACGAGGCAAGAAAAAAUAAAAUACGUUAAUCUCCCCCUUUUUUACAAAAGGAACCAAAGCACAAUAAAGAACAUAAACGAAAAUUGAAAUAGCAUAUCCUAAACUAGGUAAAAGCAAAACUAACGAACAAAGGGGCAUAAAGCUAAUGAAUCAAGGGUAUUAAACACACCUAAUGUCAUCAAGAGUUGUGUUCAAUGCAUUCAACGUGACCUAAUAAAUCUAAAGUCAUCUAAUCAUCCAAGUGAUGGAGAGUGGAGUGAAUUGUUUGAAGCUCAAAAUUGAUAGUGGCUGAAUUUAGGAAAGCAUUCUCAAUUGAAGUAUCUUCAUCUUGAUCACAAACAACACCAAGGGACUUCAACAUAGGAUAGGAUGGUUCAAUAUAAAUAGGAAAAGAAGGAAAGACCUCAUUUCUUCAAUCAAAGUAUAAUUCUAAGAAGUCAAAACUUGAUAAAUCAAGGAAGGGAAUGGUAAUGCAUGUCUCUCCCAAAAGGCAUCAGUAUUUUUCAUAAUCAAAUCAAAAGCCAACUUGCUAAAGUUGAAAGAAACCUCACCUCCAAUUAAAAAAAAAACUUUAGCAAAUAAAAGAUCCACUAUAGCAUAAUUUUCAGUAGGAUACCAAUUGUGUGCUCCAAUCUAAUACAAAGCUUGAUAUCUAGAAUCAAGUUUGGAAACCAAAAGGUCUUUAGGCCAAGGUGAAUACCUUCCUAAAAGUCAAGUAACAAUAGUAGACAUGUCCAAGGUAUUCAUGUGCUUCCAGACAUUAUUAUGAUCAAAAUCUUUACUCCCAAAUCGACUAUUGAUUAAAAAUAGGGAAAACUUCAAGAUACGUCCUCUGACAUAAGUUUUAUGGAGAAAACUACGCUUAGUCUCAUCUGCAGUAUUCUUAUUCAAAUUGGCAUAGAAUUCACGAAAUAUGUUAGAUGCAUAUGAAGAGAUAUUCUUAAUGAUGUUUUCUAAACCAGUAACAAUAAUGGAUGAUUCAAUCUCAAAAGGAAUAAACUUAAAAAUAGCAACAAUGCAUUAAGAAUGAAAUUUUCUUUUAAGCAAGAGAUCAAGACCAUCAGUAGGAGAAUGAGUAUAGUACCUUUUACUAUAACCACAUGGUAACACAUAACUAAAGAUUAAGUGGCCGCUAUUUUGAUGAAUUGGAGACUUUGGGACAUGCUCAUCUGAAUUGGCUUCACUAGGACUUCUUCAAUUGAAUCGACAUGGCCAUUACAAGAUCCAACAAAAUUGUUGAGUGAAUUGGUGCAAUCGGCAUAUGUAUCUAUCCUUGUGUAUUGAGCAAUUUCUAUAUAGUUUCUAUCGUAGGCCAUGGGUUGUCAUCCUUCUCUUCUUCAUGAGUAGCAUGCAGCACAUUAAUUGGAUCAAAUCCAUGCACAUUGGAAUCACCUAGAACAUACACUUAACUUGUUGAACAUGUAUCUUUGAUUUCUUUUUCAUGGAACUUGAUCUUUUAGAAACUAUGAUGUACAGCCUGAAAAAGAACUAAAGCAAAGAAGCUCUAGAGAUAUAGGCUGCUGUUUGCGUAAGAGAGAAUGAGAAAAACGAGAUAAAAAAAAGCCCUUAUUCCUAGACCUUAUGUGGCAAGGAAAGUGUAAUUUAGAUAGAAAUCAAUUAUUAUACUUUCCAUAAAUAAUAAUAAUAAAUCAAAUAAGGUCAUAGGGUAUUUAUAAAACAAUAAUAAAUAAGAUAUACCGUAAUAAAAUUAUAAAUAAGAACUAUUUUCAAUGACAAUUGCAAAAACCACAAGUAUAAUGCAAAAACACGUCAGAAGGACGUCAUUGAGGAUCAUGUCAAAUUUUGAAAAACCGCGCAGUUACAGGAAAGUAUGCCCUACCUAAAAAUGGUCAGGUGCUAAUAACUAUGGCCAAUGGGCCGUGCCGUGCCGGCACGACCCACCAACUAUCGGCCCACAAGGGCUCGUGGGCCGGCACGGCACGGCCCACUAAAUUGGUGGGCCGUGCCGUGUCGUGCCUACAUUUUUUUUAAUUGAGCCCGGCACGGCCCACGGCACGAGCCCGCUCGUGCCGUGCUCGUGCCGUGCCGAAAAAAAGCCCACCAAUUUUUUUUUUUUUUUUGCGUGCUUAAAAAAGCCCACGUGCCUAGCGUGCUUUAUUCAAGCCCACGUGCCUGACGUGCUUUUUUAAGGCCACCAACAUAAUAAUAACAAUAAUAAUAAUAAUAAUAAUAUUCACAAUCAUAAUCAUAUUAAUUUUUAUUAAGAGAGCAAUUAACAUUUUAUUAUUAGUUUAUCACAAUUUCACAACUAUAUAUUUUAUUUCACAAUAAUCAAUCAUAAUUCAUAACACAACAAUACAUAAAUUUAAUUUAAUUUAAUUCCAUAGAUCAUAAUAAUAAUUAAUUAAAAUUAAAAAUACAAUCCUCGAAUAAUCAUUACAAUAAGUCAUAACUACGAAAUAUUAAUAUAACAAAUCAUUUAUUUAAACUAAGAUUUAAUGAUUUAAAUUAAUUUUUAAAAGUCUAUGCUAAAAAAUAUAUUAAAACAUUUAAUUUCAUAACAUUUUAUAUUUACUUUUUGUUAAAAAAAUUUACUUAGAUAUAUUUUGGCCCACGUGCUAUUAAUGGCUCACGGGCCGCGUGCUAGCCCACUAAUGAACCGUGCUUAUUACGUGCUUUUUCGCGUGCCGUGCUUUGGCCCAUCUCUAAUCGUGCCGUGCUUUAAAGCCCGCGUGCCUAAAAUUCUAGGCCCGGCACGGCCCACGUGCGUGCCGUGACGUGCCUCGUGCCUCACCAAAACGUGCUCGUGCCGUGCCGUGCCGUACGGACACGUGCCGCCCGGCCCAUUGGCCACCUUUAGGUGCUAAUAACACAAUUACAGAAAGGCCCCUAAACACUCGAGAAACCUCGAAAAGCCCUAAAUCAUGAAAAAACCCUAAAACUAAAAUGCAUGCAUAUAUGUAUCAUGCAAUCGUCCAUGCAAUGAUGAUUAAAAUUCCCUCUUUGAUAAAUGAAACACAUAAUUAAAAACUUUUAGGAUUAGGUUAAAGAGACAAGUUGUUAAACACAAGUUUAAACCCAAUUUUUCAACCAUUGGAUUAAAUUUAAAUGAAUGGUCAAGAUUAGAUGACGUGAGUUAUCAAUUUCAUUAAUAGCUUUCUUCCUUCUCUCUUUAAUUUUUAAUUCUCUUUCUUCUUUUAUUAAAGAUUCUCUCUUUUCUCUCUCCUAUAAAUUUUUGUAAAUGGAAUAAUUAAAACCAUCAAAAUUAAUUUACUUACAUAAUCCAUCAAAAUUAAUUUACUUACCAACAGUGAAAUAAAGUAGCAAUAUAUGGAACAAACUUGUACAAUUUUUGCUCUAUAGUUUCAGAACCAACUCUACAAGUCGUAUAUGAACAACCUUCAUCAAUAAAUUUCCUAAAAGGUUUUAAUCAAAAACCUUCAUCAAUGAUUGUGAUUUUUUUAUUAAAACCUUUUAUAUGGAACAAAUUGUACAAUUUUUGCUCCAUAGUUUCAGAACCAACUCUACAAGUCGUAUAUGCACAACCUUCAUCAAUAAACUUCGUAAAAGGUUUUAAUAAAAAAUCACAACCAUUUCCUAUCAAACAACAUUGUUCUUUUCCAUUAUAUUUUAAAUUAAUUUACUUAUAUAAUUUCUAAAUGGAAUAAAUAAAAGUUUAUACAGACACACAAAGCGAAAUAAAAUUGAUAUGAAGCCAAAAAAAUAACAUUGAUAUGAAUCUGAUCAUUUCAUCAUGAAGCAUACGUAAAUAAAUAAGGAUGCAAUUGAAGAAGAUUGAGAAAAAGGCAAUCUUCGUCAGCACAGCCACUAAUUGAAGAAAGUAAUGUGUGUAGAAGAAGGACAAGUGCUUCUAGGUAAUUAAAAUGGGCUAGUUUACAGUUACAAAUAGAUUAUGUAAGUUAGGUAAUUAAAAUGGGCUAGUUUACAGUUACAAAUAGAUUAUGUAAGUUAGGGAAUUAAAAUGGGCUAGUUUACAGUUACAAAUAGAUUAUGUAAGUUAUAUAAAUUAAUUUUGAUAGCUUUAAUUAUUCCAUUUACAAUCAUUUAUAGGAGAGAGAAAAGAGAAAGUCUUAAAUAAAAGAAGAAAGAGAACUAAACAUUAAAGAGAGGAGAGAGAAAGAUAUUAAUGAAAUUAAUAACUCAUGUAAUCUAAUCCUGACCCUUCAUUUCAAUCUAAUCCAUUGGUUGAAAAAUUGUGUUAAACUUGUGCCUACAAAUGUGUCUCUUGAAUCUACCCCAAAAAUUUUAUGCUAUAAGACAUCUUAAAACAAAAAUGCACUUUUGUAAAAUAAAUAUAUGAUUUUUGAACAAUUAAAAAGGCGUGUUCAUCAAUAAUCAUCACAAUACACACAAAAUCAAGAUAAUCAAACUUUAAUCAAUUAAAUCAAUAGAAGAUUAGUUAAAUUUUAAACUUUUGUAUGUGUGUGCAUGAUAUAAAUCCGUCAUGACUCAAUCUCGAUUUUUCUCAAAAUCAAAAAUUUUUGUAUUGAAAAAUAGAAUAAACAAGUCAAACUAACCUUAUCAUCUUAAUCUUUGAAUUGACUUUUUCAAUGUAACAGGCAGUGUAAUAAGAGAUUGCAAUAAUAAAAUUUUUCAUUCUACUGUAUAUAUUAUUUUUUUAAAUGUUUACAGUUAAUAACUUUCAUCUUACCUCUUAAGGUAGCCUUUUUCUGAUGGUAGUUCGUUCUUUGUCGUAUUUCGAGUACGCAGACUCAAAUUACUCAAUGAUAGCUUCACUCUUAAAAGUUACAGGUAGCUAUUUCUAAUUGAGGUGCCUACAUAUCUUGAUAUCUACAGUUGAGAUAAGAGUUAAAAGCAAAAAGUCAAUGUUCAAUCCAUUAAUCUCAACAUCAGAAGUCUCAAAAUUGAAAAUCAAGUACUUCCAAGAUAUAUGUGCAUAAGUUUAAAUUAAACCAAUCAAAAAUUGUUUCAAGCUUUCAAGUCAUCAAAACAAGACUUUUAUGCGCAUAGUGAUUUAAAUUGAGAACAUGUCAUGCAAAAACACAUGCGAAUGAUGUAUUAAUCAUGUCAUGAGAUGCAAAAAAAUAAUGAUACAUAUAUAAAAUGUUAGAACAUGGCUACAUAGAACAAAUACCUAAAACUUUUCUUAAGGAAUCAAGUCUACAUGCAUCCAAAGCUUUAAUAAAGAUAUCCGCAAGCUAAUUUUUUGUUUUAAUCUACUCCUGAAAUAUAGUCUUGUUUUCAACUAAAUCACGAACAAAAUGAUGUAUGAUAUUUAUAUGCUUAGUUCUAGAAUGUUGAACAUGAUUCUUUGAAAUAUUGAUUGCACUUGUAUUAUCAUAAUAUACAGUAAGAAUAUCCUGAGCGAAACCAUAAUCUUCGAGCAUUUGCUUCAACCAAAGUAAUUGAGUACAACACUACCAAUGGCAAUAUAUUCUGCCUUAGCAGUAAAUAAAGAAAUUGAGUGUUGUUUCUUAGAGCAUCACCAAAAGACUCUUCAAAUAAGAUUUUAUUACUUAUUUGAAGAGCCACAUCAGCAUUUAAGGCUCUAAAAGACACUCCAAUUAAGAUUCUUCAAAUAAGAAAUAAUCAUCUCUCUUCAAAUUUGAAGAGUUAUUUUCUCUCUCUUCAAUUUAUAUUUUAUUACUUUUUGUUGGAGAAAGAGAGAGAAGUGCUUUAAUUACUAUUGACUUUUCCUUUAAAAAAUAGUUAUUUUAAUUAAAAUAAUAUUAACUCAUUUCUAUUUGAAGAGUCUUUUGGAGAAUAACAUAAUUUUUCACUCUUCUAUUUGCCACAUAGGUAAGCAAAUAGAUAUUUGAAGAGUAAAAUUUAUAGAACCUUUUGGAGAUACUCUUACUAUGCCAAGAUACAAAAUGGUUACCAAGAUAAAAACAACCUCCAAUGGUACUCUUUCUAUCAUCAGAAUUACCUACAUAAUCAGCAUCGCUAUAUCUUGCAAGACUUGAAUUUGUGUCUUUAGUACACCAAAUUCCAUCAUUAAUAGUUUCAUUUACAAAAUGAAUGACAUGUUUCGAUGCAGAUAAAUGAGAUACUUUUAGAUUUGCUUGGUACGUAGCAGAAACACCAACACUAAAACAAAUAUCUGCCCUACAUCUAGUUAAAUAAAGUAAGCUACCAAUCAUGCUUAUGUAUAGACUUGUAUCAACAUUAGAGUCACUAUCAUCUUUAGUUAAUCUUAAAAGUGCUCAUAGGCAUUCUCAUAUAUUUGGCUAAAUCUAGUUCAAAGUUUUUCGCCAAAUUUUUGGCAUAUUUUCUUUGAGAAAUGAAGAUACCAUUUUCAAGUUGUUUCCCUUGUAAGCUGAAAAAAUAGGAUAACAUACUAACCAUGCUCAUUUCAAAUUCAUUAUUCUUUGGAUCAAAAUAUUCCUAAACUUCUGUAAGAGAUAUAUCAUCCAUAUAAAUUUGAGCAAUCAUACUUCUAGGGUUAAGGUAUUUAAUAAAUAAAGUUUUGUCUACUCCCUUUCUUUUGUAGCCUUUUCCAAUCAAGAAUUUGUUUAAUCUUUCAUACCAAGCCUUAGGAGCUUGUUUUAAUCCAUAUAAAACUUUUUUUUAACUUAAAAACAUAAUCAGAAUGAUGUGGGUCUUCAAAACCUUUAAGUUGUUUAACUUAAGCUUCUUCAUUCAAAAUUCCAUUCAAGAAUGAUUUUCUUAAUUUCCAUUUGAAACAAUUUAAAGCUAAUUAAACAAGAUAAUAGCAAUUAAUAGCCUAAUAGAUUCUAGUCUAGCCAUAGGAGUAAAGGUUUCAUCAAAAUCAACACCUUCAAUUUUUGUAUAAUUUGGUACUACUAACCUAGCUUCAUUUCUCACUAUAUUACCAAUUUCAUUUGUUUUAUUCUCGUAAAUCCAUUUGGUGCCAAUAACAUUGGUCUGAUUUGUUUAGGAAUUAGUGUCCAAACAUCAUUACACUCAUAUUGUUCAAGUUCUUCUUGUAUAGCUUUAACCCAAAAUUCAUCCAAUGAGGUUCCUUAGCAUUUUUUGGUUAUUUAAUGAGGUAAAAAAAUUCUUGUUAUUUCCAGAAUUUCCUCGAGUCAAAUUUUAAACCAUCUUGGCAAUCUUAGCCAGGGAUUCGUCUUAACUUCAUUUUCAACGUCAUCAGCAUCAUUAUCAUAAUCAAAUUUUGAAUUUGGUAUCUCAGCUUGAAAAGCAAUACUUUUGUCUUUCUUCUUCUUCAAAUGAUUAGUCUUAAAAGUUUCAAGUUUGUUAAUCACUUGAUUUCUUAUCUGCCAAUAUUUCUUCAAUAGAUAUAACUUCCAUAAGAAAUCUAUCCGGCAAAAACCUCAAAAUUUUUCUAAUUAAUUCUUAUUCAGAAAUUCAUUUACUAAGAGACUUAGAAGUGUUAGCAAUCUUAAGAAGUUUAUCAUUAAAAUCGGUAAUCUUCAUGUUCAUGCAUCUUAAGAUUCUCAAAUUCAAUUGUAAGUUUUUAAAGUUUGGAAUGUUUUACCGUAUUGUUUCCUUCAUGAUUGUCUCAAAGAAUGUCCUAAGCGUCUUUGGCAGUCGUACAUGUAGAGAGUAAAUCAUACUAAUUGAUGUUAACUGCAUUAGCAAUAACAUUGAGAGACUUGGAAUUAAAGCCGUAUUUUGAAUUUUUGCGUUGGAAUAUUCAUCCACAGGCUUAAGAAUUCUAUUUCCAUCUUGAUUAGCCUUAGUGGGUAAAUUGUAUCCUUUUCUUACGCAUUUCAUAGCUCUUAUGUUAAUGGAUUCAAUAAAAAUAGUCAUCCUUUGCUUUCAAUAUGAAUAAUUGGUGCCAUCAAGUAAUAGUGGACAGGUCCGUAGAUCCUCUUUCUCUCUGCAAAUUCAUUCCGACAAAAAUAGAUCAAGAUCGGGAGGAUUGUGUAAAUCAGUUUAGAAUUUCGUGAUUAAAAUCUUGUGUUUUAUUUUGAAGUUUUGUUUUUGUGGUGAAUUUUUACUGGUAGUAAGUCCCGUCCAAGGAUAAGUUUUCCGUUUAGGGCUGUAAAACCAUACCUGUAGCCAUUUUGACCAAACCAAAGAUAGAACCCAGGAUUCUAACCAUGGAUCCUCUUCACUGUAGAGCAUCGUCCUUUUCUAGCUCUUCUUCUGGGAAGACUAGUGACUCAAAGCAUGUUGUGAGUUCAGAAGAAUUUGUUAUUGAGAACUUUGAUAAAGCAAUUGAUUGUUGGGAACUUCCAAAGAUUUCAAAAGAAAAGAUUUACAGAACAAAAAAGCUCGAUUUUUGGAAAAAUGAUUAUGUUAUAAAAACUGAAGAGCGUGAUAUAACUCUUUCAAAGCCUUUUGAAACAAUUAAUUUGUUUUCAGAAAAAUCUUUAAACAAGUUAAAAGAAAAGAAUUUCAAUUACAUUCAUAUAGGUCUAAUCCAAAUAGGCAUAAAGCCCCUUACCAAAGAAGGCCUGGAUACUUCUAUCCUUGUUGUUCUUAGAGAUGGUCGAUUCAUCUCUUUUGAUGAUUCUCUGCUAAGUAGCAUUGAAUCUAGCCUAUGCAAAGGUCCCAUUUCAUUCGAUUGCUAUCCAAACAUAACAUUGUCUCUUAAAGACAAAAACAUUUUGAAAAGCAUGAUUUUACAAAUCAAAACACAUAAUUAUCAUAUGAUUGAGGGAUCUAUCCCUGUUGCAUUGAUUUUUAAAAUCUCAUACAAAGCCAUGAUUACUGCCUUCAGUACUCAACAUAAAUUCCAGUCGAAAAGAGAUGAAACUCUUCUCUUACAGACUGACCUGUCUAGAGCAAACACUGUCAUUCCAAAACCAAUCCAAUGGAAGGAUGUAAAUCUUCCUGAGGAAUGGAUACUUGAAGGAGCCGCUCCACCAGCGAUUCCAAAACAACUUGAGCCUAAUACAGAGUUGCAAAAUGUGACUCAGUAUUCUGAUGGUAAAGUUAAAUUAUCAUUCAGGAGAUCAAGUUCUUCCAGAUUCUCCGAUAAAGCAUCAUGCUCAAGCAUUCCUUCACUAGAAAGGAAAUUUACAAAAGUACCCUCUGUUAUAAAUCUUCCUUUUCAGAGUCAACCUAGGUUCUCCACUUCGGAUUUACCUAGUUCUUCUAUCAGUUCUGUUGACUACACUACAAAAAUACCACAUCCCGUUUACAUUAGCAGUCAACAUGAACAAAGACAGGAAGAGAAAGAAUCUUCUCUUCCAACUUCUCCUACAUUCUCUGCAGUCACAGAAAAUGUUUUAAAUGUCAUUGAAAAGCAUUUUGAAUUAGACAAAACCAUGUUGCAUAAUGAUUUUUAUUCAGAUGAUAAUAAAGAAAAAAGACUAUGGUUUUUCAAACAUUUUUUAAAUCAAAGGAAGGAAAUCCAACAAACUUACUAUGAAUUUGUUAAUUUUCAUCAAGUUCAUAUAUUGUUUUUUGAUUGGUUUGAUAUAUAUUCUUCUUAAAACAACAUUUCCUACCCUUUCAAAGAGUCAAACCCUAUUACUACCAGGAAGAAAACCACUGAGUGGAAACUCUUCGAUAGUAAUAGAACAGUCGAUUCUGAGCAUCCCCCUCUUAGGAGUGUCAUCAUAGAACAUGGUGAACCUCCUGUAGAAAUUAGAGCUUCACCUUACAAAAUCCCAAAGCCAAAUGAUCCUGAAAUCAAUUUAAGUAGUAUUAUUCAACAGAAUAAUUUCUGUAAUACUAACUUAAAUACCAUAGGAAAACAGUUGACUAGAUUGGAAAACCAAUUUCAACAGUCAACCAUAUCUGUUUCUCCAAAUCCAAAAAUUGUUUCUUUAAAAUCAGAUUAUGAUAAAAAGCUUAGAGAACCUAUUUUCAAACCUUUUCAGGUUUCGAAAACUAGUCAGAAGCUUGUCCAGGAAUCAAAGUCUGAUUUUGCCAAAGCCAUUAGAGAACAGCUAGAUAGGAUAGAAGCUUCUUCUUCCUCAUCUAGUAAAGUUCAAAUAGCUCCCGAUACUCCUCAAUCUAGCAAGAUUGAUACUCCUCAGUUGAGUAGAAUUGGAGUACUCGACCAAGACCAGGUUUCUAUUGCCUCUUCUGACUUAGAAACCUUUACUGAAGAACCUAUUCCUAAGGCCAACAAAAUUCAUUGGGAAUUAGCACUCCCUACUUCUAAAUCUCCACCUGAUUUGACCAUAGACAACAGGCCCAGUGCAUUAAAUCAAGCUCGAUAUAAUGCAUCCUCUGUCUAUGAGUGGAAUAUAGAUGGAAUGUCUGAAUACAACAUUUUAGGUGUAUUACAGCAAAUGACCAUGGCAGCCAAUGCUUAUAAAACCCAAUCAGGAACUUCUGACAAAGCCAUUGCAGAAAUCCUAAUUGCCGGUUUUACUGGUCAACUUAAAGGAUGGUGGGAUCAUCUUCUCACCAAAUUGCAGCAAUUAGACAUUCUAAAUGCCAUCCAAACCGAUGAGAAUGGAGCCCCCAUUCUUGAUGAGCUCAAUAAUCCAAUUCAGGAUGCUGUUGCUACCCUGAUAUUGACUAUUUCUCUCCACUUCAUAGGUGACCCUUCUCACCUUAGAGAUAAAAAUGCUGAGUUACUACACAACUUGAGGUGUAGGAAACUUAGUGAUUUCAAUGACUACAAAACCACUUUCUUUACCAGACUUUUCCUAAGAGAUGAUGCAAAUCAUGUAACUUGGAAGGAAAAAUUCCUUGCAGGAUUACCUACCCUUUUAGGAGAAAAGGUAAGGAAUUCGAUCAAAGCCCUUUUUAAUAAUCGUAUUCCUUAUGACGAACUCACUUAUGGUGAAUUAGUCAGCUUUGUCAACAAAGAAGGUUUAAAGAUCUGUCAAGACUUGAAACUUCAGAAACGUCUAAAACAAGAGCUUAGCCAAUCUAAGCAAGAAUUAGGCGGGUUCUGCAAGCAAUUCAACUAUGACCCCUUUAAAGCUUCCACUUCCAGAGACUGUAAUGGUAAGUGUUCUUCAAAACCUUACAAGAAACAUUACAAGUCCAAAAGCCAUAGAAAACCCUUUCAUGAUUUUAGAAAACUCCCUUAUAAGAAACCUUUGAGGCCUUAUAAGAAACAUAGUUUCUCUAAAAAGAAAGAGUUUAAAGCCAAACCUAAAACCCCAUUUAAUUUCAAAGAUGCUACCUGUUUCAAAUGUGGUAUGAAAGGUCAUACUGCACGUUUUUGUAAAAUGAACAGGAGACUCUAAGAGCUUGGUCUCGAGGAGGAAAUCCUUUCAAAAAUAGCCCCUCUUCUGGUCGGAUCUUCUGAUUCUGAGUCUUCCUGGUCAGGUGAUAAUGACCCCCUCCAAGUUGAUGAACUAUUUGAUUCAGAUAGCUCUGCAUCUAGCAAUAGUGAUUCUGAUUCGGAUAAUUCUUAUUUAAAGAAAAUCAAUGUUUUGACAAAAGACCAAGAGAUUAUCCUUGAACUUGUGAAACACAUUUCGGAUCCAAAUCUUCAAAAGGAUUAUCUUGAUAAGCUUUUAAAAACCAUGGAUUCAAGCAAUACAGAAGCGUCUUCUUCUAAAGUCCCUAUUGUCAAAAAGAAUUCUUAUGAUUUAAUUGAAAUUUUGGAUAAGAAGAAAACAAAGAAGUCUACUCCUAAUAUCCAAGACCUCCAAAAGGAGAUUAAGGAUAUUAAACUUGAAAUAAAGGAUUUAAAAGAAAAACAAAAAACUGAUUCUGCAACUAUUCAACUCCUUUUACAAAAACAGUUGCAAGAUACUUCCGAUGAGGAAGUUGAAUCAGAAAAUGAUGAUGUUGAACAAAAAAUUGAUAAUCUUGAGUCAAUUCCAAAUGAUUUUUUGUUUGUUUUAAAGCAAAUCACCACCAGAAAAUAUUUGAUAAAGAUUACUUUAAUUUUUUCAGAUGAUUUUGCGAUAGAUGCCAUUGCUCUUUUUGAUACUGGUGCUGAUUUAAAUUGUAUUCGUAAAGACAUUAUCCCAAAAAGAUUUCAUGAGAAAACUAAUGAAAGACUUUCUGCUGCAAACAAUUCAAAAUUAAGGGUUGAUUCCAAAGUUGAAGCAUCCAUUUACAAUGACAAAAUUGAGUUUAAAACCUCUUUUGUUCUUACAAAUGAUAUACACCAUGCUAUCAUUUUAGGAACACCUUUUAUAAAUUUGAUAACUCCAUAUGCUGUCAACUAUGAUGGUAUAUAUUUCAAAGCAAAAUCCAAAGAACUUGCUUUUUCAUUUAUUGAAAAACCAAAGACCCGAAACCUUAAUAUUGUCAAAGCUUGUUCGGUUUACCAAAACAAAAUCAAUGCUAUUGUAAAGUCUAAACAAGAUGAUUUUUUUUACUUACAAAAGGAUUUAAGUUUUCAAAGAAUUGAGAGUCAAUUACAAAAUGAUAUUAUACAAAGAAAAAUUUCUGAUUUCAAAAAUCUUAUUGAAAAAGAAAUUUGUGCUGAUUUACCAUCUGCUUUUUGGAAUAGGAAACAACAUUUGGUAGAUUUGCCAUAUGAAAAUUCUUUUGAUGAAAAGCAAAUACCCACUAAAGCCCGUCCAAUCCAAAUGAAUUCGGAUUUGGAACAACAUUGUAAAGGAGAAAUUAAUGAUCUUAUUUCCAAAGGUCUUAUUGUAAAAUCUAGGUCACCUUGGUCUUGUGCUGCUUUUUAUGUUAAUAAAAAUUCUGAAAUUGAAAGAGGUGUACCUAGACUUGUGAUAAAUUAUAAACCUUUAAAUAAAGCUUUGAAAUGGAUAAGGUAUCCGAUACCUAACAAAAAAGACUUGCUCCAAAAACUUUGCUCGGCCUUCAUUUUUUCUAAAUUUGAUAUGAAGUCAGGUUUUUGGCAAAUUCAAAUUCAUCCUAAAGACCGUUACAAGACAGCAUUUACUGUUCCUUUUGGUCAAUAUGAGUGGACAGUAAUGCCUUUUGGUUUAAAAAAUGCACCCUCAGAAUUUCAAAGAAUUAUGAAUGACAUUUACAAUCCCUACUCUGAGUUUUGCAUUGUUUAUAUCGAUGAUGUUUUGAUUUUUUCUCAAAGCAUUGAUCAACAUUUCAAACAUUUAAAGACUUUUUAUCUUGCUACAAAAAAGGCUGGAUUAGCUCUUUCCAGUUCGAAAAUUUCAUUAUUUCAAACAAAAGUCAGGUUUCUUGGUCAUCAUAUUUCCAAAGGAACCAUUACUCCUAUUGAAAGAUCUCUUUUAUUUGCGGACAAAUUCCCAGACAAAAUUUUAGAUAAGACCCAAUUACAAAGAUUUCUUGGUAGUUUAAAUUAUGUUCUUGAUUUCUGCCCUAACAUCAAUAGGAUGUCAAAGCCUUUGCAUGAUAGGUUAAAAAAGAAUCCUGUUGCAUGGUCAAAAGAGCAUACCAAAGUUGUUAGAUUAAUAAAGCAGUCAGUUAAAAGCAUUCCAUGUUUGCAUCUUGCAAAUCCUGCAUUUCCUAAAAUUGUUGAAACUGAUGCAUCAGACUUAGGAUAUGGAGGUAUUUUAAAGCAAAAAGAAAAUGAUAAAGAACAGAUAGUACAAUAUGUUUCUGCUCAUUGGAACGAUUGUCAGAAAAACUAUUCUACUAUCAAAAAAGAAAUUCUUUCCAUUGUUUUAUGCAUUACUAAAUUCCAAAGUGAUUUGCUAAACCAAAAAUUUUUACUUAGAAUUGAUUGCAAAGCUGCAAAACAUGUUUUAGAAAAGGAUGUUCAAAACAUUGCAUCAAAACAGAUUUUUGCACGUUGGCAAGCUAUUCUCAGUGUUUUUGAUUUUGAUAUAGAAUUCAUUAAAGGUGACAAGAAUUCUGUUCCUGAUUUUUUAACUCGGGAAUUUCUUCAAAAUAGGUAAUGGCUCCAAAGAAAAGAAGUGACAAAGGAAAAGCUCCUGCUUUCCAAGAACCAUCCAAAGAACUUCAAGCAACCCCUUCUAAAGAAAAACUCCUUUCCUCAGCCAUGCCGAUUAAAUCUUGGAUUGAAUUGGUUGAAGAACAUGAAACCAAAUACAAAUCCAUUUCUUCUGAAGACCAAGUAAAGCAAUGGAUGAGUUCCAUUACAAAAUCACCUGAGCUCAUGAUAGCUCUACAAAGCCUUUCCCAGGUCCAACCUAAAGAGGAAGAAAAACCCACUUCUAAAGAUAUCUCAAAGCCUUCCUCUCAAAACAUUGUUGUUUCUGGUGAGAGCUCAUCCUCCCAAAUUGUGCUCUCUCAGCCAACACCUUCAAAGAAAACCUCUGAUUGGUUUGAUAAAGCCCAUUUUCAAAACAUUAUUUCAAUGGAAGAUGGAUUUUACCAUUCUGAUCCUUUUCAAAGUAUUUCAAAGUUUUUUCCCCAAGGCUGGUUUUUCAAACCAUGGGAUUUGACAAAACCCCAGUCUUACUAUCAAAGCAUUUUGGAAAUUACUGAUUCAGUAAAAUUCAAACAUUUCUUUUUAAGUAAAACCCAUUCUGAGCCGGCCUAUUCUACGGCCACAAUUUUAAAAGUUUUGAGCCCUAACCAGUGGGGUGAUCUGCUCCACAAUUUUAAAACUUUCCCUCUUGAUUUUGAGACUCGUUUACCACACUGUCGGUCUUUCUCCUAUUGGGAUUACCAACAGGCUUGGUAUAACACUUUCUUCAUACAAAACCCUAAAAAAUCCCAUUCCUGGUUAUUUUUCUUUAAUUCAAAAAUAACCGUCCAGAGCCUUCCCAAUUGGUUUCACCAUUGGUGGAAUUAUUUUGGUCCAACUUCUGAAAUUCUUACCCAAAAUGCCCUACAAUGCCUAAACCUUUUCAAAGCCAACUACAAACCUACUGAGUCUGAGAAAAGAUUUCCUCAUUUUCUCUGCUUUUGUACCAAUUUCUUCCUCCCAUAGGUCUGGAUGUGGAGUCUUCGACAUCACACACAGGAUUCCCAUUUUAUCCUCCAAAGAACCUUUAGAGUCAAAUGGUGGUCAAAAUUUGACGAGCAAACCAAAUUAACUACCAACCUUGUCCAAAACUGGCUUUAUGCUCAAGGCCACCUACAACCAGCCAUAAAAGACAUUAAAGCCCAAGGCACUUUCCUCACUCAAAAAUCCAAAGCCCAAGCUCUCCUCGCAAGUGCCAAAACAGAAGAAGAAUACUUCAAAGCAAUGGAACAGCUCCUCGCUUCUAGAUCCAAAUCCUCGAUUGCAGAUUCUACUGAAGAUGAAGACGAUGAUGAUGAGCCAACUGUCUCUCUGGGAGAUGAAAAUGAAGAUGAUUGUUUCGGAAUUUUCUCUCCAAUAAAGCAUUGUAAAUAGUUUAUGUAACUAUUUAAAAAAAAAAAAGUAAUUAUUUUCUUUUCGGGUGGUCCUCUGGACACAAGUGAGAGCGCACAUGUCUCUUCACCCGUGUUAUAUUUUAUUCUGUAUUUCAGUAUUUGUACAAAGCAGUCUACUAUUCAAAGCUACGAUCCAAAGAUUACUGUGCACUCAAAGCCCCGCUACAGUGAACAGUGCAAAGUUCCACGAAUUACUGUGCACUCAAAGCUCCGCUACAGUGAACAGUUUACAAAGCCUUGUAUAUAAUCCAAGAGGAAGACUUAGACUCCUCACGGGUUUUUAUUUUGAGUUUUCAUUUCUCUCUCUUCUCCUCCUUCUCUCUAAAAAAUCUCUCUAAAGCAAGAAGUGUUCGAAGAAAUUUUCUGUUUACGUAAUAGUUCUAUCCUAGAGCUUUGAGUAAUCAGACUAAUUCUUUGCCUUCAACAAUCUUCCCGUCUUUCAAUCUUCCCUUCUGGAAAGAUUUGAAAAAAUUGUAAAGCAGCAACAAAAGCAAAGUGUAUGUUUAGAUCUCUGAUCUAAUUUUAUUUGUAAAGCAAUUUCAAUUCAUGUAAUUUAAUUUUUGUGCAUUUAAAUUUCUGCAAUUUAAUUUUAAAGCAAUUUCUUUUAAGCAUGCUUGCAGACUGAUCUGUAUCAGAUCUGCUUUAUAAAAUAUACAUUCUUCUGAGGCAAAGAGACCAGAUCUCGAUCCUCAGUCGUACCCUUCUCUUCUCCCUCCAUUCCUUCAGAGCACCAUUUCCGGGAACCGGAUCUGGUACUGUGUAUGUUUUAGAAGCCAACCUUAAUGCAUGUUUAAUUCUGUAAAGCCCUGUUGCUAGGUUUGCUAAAAUCAACCUAACUCAGAUCUGGUAAAGACACUUCUAAAAUUGACAAAUCGCGUUUCAAAGCAAAGUAGAUCUCCAGAUCUACCAAAGAAUCUAAUUAAAAUUUGGUAAAGCACCCUAAUCCGGUAUAUCGGCUGGAAACCAGAACGUGCGGACUAUUGAUCUGUUCUAAGUCAGAUCUGGGUCCAAAGGCAGAUUAGGUUCUGCAUCGAUCCGGUAAUACAAUGCCACGUACCAGUUUAGAUCUAAAAUUUUGAUCAAUCGCGUUCCAAAGCAAAUUGAUUUAACAUAGAAACGGUAAGUUCUUCUAAAAUCUGACGAAGCCGAUUCCAUUAAUUGUUUAAUUUGAGUUUUUAAUAAUAAAGUAUUUUGAAAACACAUCCAUCCUUCGAUCCUAUUUCCUUCUGGCUUAAGAAUUCUAUUUCCAUCUUGAUUAGCCUUAGUGGGUAAAUUGUAUCCUUUUCUUACGCAUUUCAUAGCUCUUAUGUUAAUGGAUUCAAUAAAAAUAGUCAUCCUUUGCUUUCAAUAUGAAUAAUUGGUGCCAUCAAGUAAUAGUGGACAGGUCCGUAGAUCCUCUUUCUCUCUGCAAAUUCAUUCCGACAAAAAUAGAUCAAGAUCCCAAAAUCUCACCGAAUAAACCAUUAGUGACACUAUUCUAAUACUAAUUGUUAAAAAUUUAGAUAUAUUUUUAACAAUUGUAGGCAAGAUAAGCAAUAGAUAAACUAAUUUCUUCAAUUAAUUACUGUUUACGAUUAUUUUUACGUGAUUUAGAUCACUAUCCUAUAUUCAUGUGAAGAUUAGAACCUAUUGGAUUCUUACACAAUUUCAGACACCCUUUUAUGCUUGUCGCCACCUCUUUGUAUCUAAUUUAGUUGACCUUGCUUAGUGAGAACCCCUCGUUUUCAAUUGCACUUGCUGCUUUCCUUGAGAUCCCCUCAACACAACAAAUGACCUCUUUGUCUAGAAGAGGUCAAAGUAAAUAUAAAAAAUGUCUAAUGAAAGACUUGAUAUGAUGAAGACUAAAACAUCAUAGAGAUAUGAAACAUCAUAUGCAGCCAAAUAGGUUCCUUCUCAUUCUCUGUAUUGGCUUCAAUAUGUGAAAUACUUCUCUUUAUAUAGGAGUAAUAUUUCACUCAAACCCUAGCAGAGAAAUAUUAAAAUAUACUUCCUUAAUGCUCCAAUAUUCCAUAAAUACUUUAUACUAUAAUACAUUUCGUUAAGAGUCCAAUAUUUCAUAAAUACUUGAUAUAUUUAAAAAUAUAGUAGUCAUCUUUAUUUUUGGAGCUCUUUGAUAUGGGAUCUCUUACACACCAAUUUGCUUUUUCUAUGCGUCGAAAUAUAUUCUCCAAUAUUCCACAUAAUCUAAUUUUAAUUAAUUUCCAAGAGUAGAUAAAUUUCUAAUUAAAGGAAACAAAUCUUAAUAAAAGAAAUAAAUAAAUAAAAAUAUUAUUGACACAAUGAUGCCAAUAAUAAAAUCCUUAACAAAAAAUACAUACAUAAAUGUAAUAAAUAAACAAAUAAGAAACUGUAGAAAGACUUACAAUGGGAAGCCGGCAAUUUGAAUCUUUGUGGUAAUGAUUUGUUGGGCCAUGCAGUUUGGCCUUGGCCAUGGAAUGUUCCACCGUCGGUGAGAGUUAAGCAUCUAAGGGAUUCAAAGGUGAUCUGGAUUUCCUUAUUGGCUAGCUUUUAAAGAUCAGGGGGAGCCACGAUGAGGCCUUGAAGUUGAAAUGAAAUUGGAGCUUUGCAUUGACCUUUAAAUACAACAUAAAUCACUAAAUAUUUUCCUGGUGGCGCCAAUAUCGUGCUAUUGGUAUUCCAAUUGCAAGCUUCUCUCUAAGCAUUUUCAAAAGCCUUAAUUGUUAUUAUUAGUGCCAUCGGCCACAACACCAAAGUCAAUUACAUUGAAAACUCCAUUUGGGAGCUGCAGCCAAACCAAAUAAAACUAGUAUUGCAAGUACUAGCAGCUGACGGCAAGAGCCAUAACCCAUCUUGUUUUUUAUGAUGGAUUAAGUGAUAAUGUUCUUGUUGAAAAAAUAGCAUAUCAAUAUGCUAUUUUCAGUGGGUCCUACUUAGCGAAAGUGAAAAAUCUUGUGAAGUUCGGGUUCUACUCCAUGAAUACUUCGAAAGUGUAUAUUUAUUUACUCAAAAUGGUGCUUGGGUGAAUGAGAAAUUGUCUCUCCAAGUGCACCCUUGAAGUUGAAAAUUUGAAAGGAAAUGAGGUUUAUCCCACAAGGGAAAAAUAAGCCAAGGGAUUUUUGUUUAUUUAUAGACACUUACCCAUGCAUGAGCAAGAAUUAUAAGGAUAGAGGCUCUCUCCACACGCGCGUGUGCAGGGGGGUGCGAAUCCAAGAUCGAUUUGGUUGAACUCAUGUGCGCCCGCGCAUCCUGCGUACACGAAUGUCAGCCCAAAAUCACCCAAGCUUGCAUGGCACGUUUUCAAUAGGCUGUAUUGAAUUGUUAAAAUUGAAUUGGCUGUUACAACAAUUAAAUGGCAUAUAUUGAAUUCGGAAAUUCAAUAUUAUGCUACUGUUACAUCCUCACAUGUGUAUAAAAAGGCAGCUUCCUCUUCUGUUUUUACACACAAGAACAACCAACACACAAAGCACUACAAUAGGUGGUAAAUCUAUUUUAAGGAAACUGUGUUGCAGGCCUCACGUUUAUUUUCUGUUUCUAUUUUCUUUCCCCUACUUUUUUCAUUUGUUCAUUCGUGAUUUCCAGUUCCUGUUUUACGUUGUUGUUUAAAUUAGCUACAGUAUUAAAGUGUUAUCUCACUGUUAAUUUUCUUACAAUCUUAAAACAGAUUUAACGUUGAGAUGGCAACUGAAACUAAUGAUCCAGUUCCGACUGUCCCUGUUUCAGCUUCUGCUGCUGGACCAUCUGUUAUGAAGGAACCAGCCUCUGUGGCAAUUCCUCUGAAUCAUGCAAAAAGACUAGAAAAAUUCAAUGGCCAAAAUUUCAAACGUUGGCAGCAAAAGAUGUUCUUUUACCUGACCACGUUGAACCUUGCGAGGUUCUUGACGGAGGAUGCUCCUAAACCCAAAGAGGGUGAAACGAAUGUUCAAGUUGCAAGUGCAAUUGAUGCAUGGCAUCAUUCUGAUUUUUUAUGUAAAAAUUAUGUAAUGAAUGGCCUUAGUGAUUCCUUCUAUAAUGUAUACAUAGGAAAAAUAAUAGCCAAGGAGCUAUGGGAAUCCUUAGACCGUAAAUAUAAAACUGAGGAUGCGGGUACAAUGAAAUGCAAGUAACGCAACCCAAGAGGGGGGGUGAAUUGGGUUUUUAAAAAUAAUGCAAUACGAUUCGCACAAUAAAUCAAUUUAACGCCUUAAUGAAAUAGAGAACAAUAAAUUCAAACAAGCGUAAAAAUAAAAGAGCAAGGGAAGAGAAAAACAAACACGCGGAUUUUUACUUGGUUCGGCAAUCCUCGCCUACGUCCACGCCUCCAAGCCAACCAAGCUUGAGAAUUUCACUAUCCAAGCCUCCCAAGGCUUCAAGUUUUUACAAUUGACUUUCAAGGUGUCAAUGAACCUUUACAACCAAGAGAUUAUCUCCCCAAUCUCUUCACCUCAAGUGUUUCCCACACUUACACACUCACAAUUUGAUAAGAAAUGAAAAUUACAACAAAAACUCUCUUUAAGAGUGGAUAUGCAACUAAUAGCUCAAUAAUGAUUCAAUCAAUGAUGAUUUUCGUUUUGGAAGCUCAAUAUAUAUUGUAUGAUCUUAUAUUUGCUUGCAUUAGUCCUUAGAAUGAAGUUUGAGUUGAGUUUUUAUAGUGAAAGCCCAAAAACUAGCCGUUAUAGGUAAAUUCCCGCGCCCAAGCGGUUAGCCGCUUGAUUAUCCGGCUAGCCGAUCAGGAACAGUGAUAUUACCGUUAUUUUUGAAUUUUGCUACAGUAAUACUAUUCACUGAAAUUACACUUUAACCCAAAACUUUCUAUAAUUAUAUUAUGGCCCAAAACGUCAUAAAACUUUACAAAUAAAUCUAAUUUAAGAACUUCCUAAGAAUAGUUGUCUUUCCCAAGCUUUUUGAAAUUAUGAUAUGGCCCCAAAGAUUUUAUUAUUUCGCACAAAGGUCCUUUUACCCAUAUUUUUCAAAGUUCUCAAAACCUUUCACUUUAGUCCAAAAUAUUCAUAAAUUAUAGUAUGGCCCAAAAUAUUUCAAAUGUUUGUAAAAACAUCCAACUCCGAAAGUUAAUACUUAUUAAAAUCAAAGAUUUCAAAUCUUAGCAUUUAAGUCCAAAUUACUUGAAUCCACAAAAUACUUUACUUUAUAAAAAUAAAACCUUUUAGUUUAUGAAAAGUAUUUAAUUAAAUUAAUCUCUUGACCUUCUCAAAUGCUAAAUCAUGUAUCAAUUAAAUCAUACCAGCUUUACAAGAAUUUAUCGCACUAAUUUGUUCGUUGAGCUCUAAACUAUUUUCUUGAUGUCACCGUUGUCCGUUGAGUGUCUUCAAUCUUGAUUUCACUUGAUUCACUUGCAUAAAUAUUAUCCUUCAAAAACUAGUGAAAAUGUGAAAUACAAUAUUUAUUAAAUUACUUAAUACACAUGUUUGUUAUCAUCAAAAUUACAUUAUGUAUAGCCUUUUAGGCUAACAAUCUCCCCCUUUUUGAUGAUAUCAAACAUCUCAUGUAUUUUGACAUUAAACUCCCCCUCAAUACAUGGCAUACAUGACUUCAACUUAUAAAUCAAAUUCAAAACAAAAACUCCCCCUGAAUAUUUGAUUUAGAUAAUUUGAAAGCUCCCCCUUAAUAUUUCAAAACCAUGCAUAAAUACUUUAAAUAUAAAUUAUGUAUUACAUGUCUUCAUAUUCAAAAUUCAAAAUAAUAUUCAAAAUUCAAAAUACAUGACUUCUCCCCCUUCAUCAUCAAAAUUACUAGAAAUGUACACUAAGACUGAAAAAUUUAACCAAAAUGACAUUAUCAAAAACUUAUCAUAUUUAUUUUCCGCUGUAAAAAAUAGAUAUAUGCAAUUUGAAACAAGAUCACCAAAAAUAAUUCAAUGAAGAUAUUACCAAUUUUGGGCGAGCAAAAGUUUCGACAGAGUCUCCCCUUAAAAAUGAACAAAUCCUCAAAUACACAAUGUGGUUAAAAACACUUCCAUAUAAACUUAAACAAGUAACACAAACCAACAACUCCACCAAGUCAUCAAACAACACAUAAGAAUUAAGCAUAUAAUUAACCAAAGAGUUAUAAUAUUCCAGGAAUCCGAAAACAUUAUCCAAAUAUAACAUAUCCGAAGAUCAAAUAACAAACAUCCUUAAUCCACAAAUUAAAAACAACAUAUCCAAAUAUCAAAUAACAAGAUGUCAUUCGGAAAUGAAAAAACAACAGUGCAUGAAGAAAUGUAGUGCAGAGUGACAAAAUAAGGAGUAAUGACCGACCUUGGCUUGAAAUUGUUGAGAAAAUGUUUCCAAAGUUGGAGUUGUGGAAAAUGAAUCAACAUAAAGUCCGAAUAAUCUCCAUGAUCAUCCUUACGCUUCUUGGCCACGUGUUUUCCCUUGGACUUGUCACCACCCACCAUUGUUGGAAGAAAAAAGAGCUUAAAAAUGCAAUUUCGGGUUUAACAAAAAUUGAGUGAAAUGGAUUUGUUUAAGGCAAGAAAAUUAAUCCUAGAGAUGAAUGAAGCUAAUUUAUGAUGUAGAGUGAAUUAAAAAUGGGCUAAAGGAAGCUUGAAAAUGAAGAGAGAGAAACGGGUAGAGUGAGAAUUUUUUAUUUUGGGUUUUAUGUGGAGAGUUGAUGAAAUGUUGUUUUGAGAGUGAAAAUUGAAGGAGUAAUGGAUGAAUAAUGAGUUGGAUGAUUGAUUUUAACAAGACAAUGAGUGAAAGAUGAAGAAAUUUGAGAAAGAAAAUGGAGAACACUAUUCACGCGUGAAUGGAAUAAGGAUGGAAUGAUGAAGAACAAGUGAAGAAAUCAUGAUGGUAAAGGGUUUAAUGAAGAUGAAAUGCAUGGGUAUUAGUUUGAAUGGUUGAUUUGGGCAUGAAAAUGGAUGAAAAAGGAAGAAAAUGGAAGUGAAAAUGGAUGGGUUGCUCACGGUUUUGAGUGAAAGAGAGAGCAUGUGCAGAAAAUUAACAAAGGAAGAAGAAGAAGCAAAAAAAAUAUGCCUAACCCGUGACCAAGCGGCUAGCCGCUUGCUCUCGGGUUGGGGACAGUUUCCAAGCGGCUAGGCGGCUAGCCGCCUGGUUGCUGUCCAGCUGCACUCAAGUUGAUUUCCGGCUAAUUUCGAUCAAUUCCGUGACCAUUUUGUGAUCCCGAAACAUCUCAAGAGCCAAUUUAAUGCAUGAUUCAUGAUUUUAAACAUCUAAAAGAUGAUUAAUUCAAACAAAUAAUCCAUCCAACAAGCAUAUAUUUAUGAAGCACAUAAGCAUUCAAAAAUUAAUAAAUCAAACACCACAUAUACCUAACUUGCUUAAACACUUCAUAAACAUUAAUAAUCAUCAAGCAAACGAUUUUAAUAGAUUCAAUAACAUAAAUAGAGAUGUUAAUGCGAAAAUUUCAUCAUCUCAAGUUCAUGCCGAAUUUUUGAAAAUUAUUCUUCACAAAGGGGUUUUGUAAAAAUAUUGGCAAGUUGUUUUUCCGUAGAGAUAAAUUCUAAUGCAAUAUCACCUUUUUGAACACGAUCUCUCAAGAAAUGAUGCCUAAUCUCUAUAUGCUUGGUUCUAGAAUGUUGAAUGGGAUUCUUUGAAAGAUUUAUGGCGCUAGUAUUAUCACACUUGAUAGGAAUUUGUUCAAGAUUAAUACCAUAGUCUCUAAGUGUUUGUUUCAUCCAAAGUGCUUGUGCACAACAACUACCUGCGGCAAUAUAUUCCGCCUCAGUAGUUGAGAGUGCCACGAAUUUUGUUUCUUACUAAACCAUGAAACAAGUGAAUAACCAAGAAAAUGGCAAGUUCCACUAGUACUCUUCCUAUCGACCUUGUGACCAGCAAAAUUGGCAUCCGAAUAACAAGUUAAAUCUAUAUGAGUUCCUCUAGGAUACCAAAGGCCAAUAUCUAUGGUUCCACUCAAAUAACAAAAAAUUCUUUUAACAGCAAGCAAAUGAGAUUCCUUGGGACAUGAUUGAAAUCUUGCACACAUGAUUGAAAUCUUUCACACAAACAUACACUAAACAUGAUAUCGGGUCUACUUGCGGUUAAGUAAAGUAAGGAUCCGAUCAUACCUUGAUACUUUUUAAUAUCAACCUCUUUACCUUUUUCAUCCUUAUCAAGCUUGAUUGUUGUACUCAUUGGAGUAUUCUUGGUAUUUGAUUCAUCAAUACCAAAUCUCUUGAGCAAGUCUUUGACAUACUUAGCUUGGUUGAUGAAGAUCCCCUCAUUGUUUUGUUUGAUUUGAAGUCCAAGAAAAUACUUCAAUUCUCCCAUCAUGCUCAUCUCAAAUUCCUUACUCAUACAAGAGGAAAAUUCUUUGCACAAAGAUUCAUUAGUAGAACUAAAAAUAAUAUCAUCAAUAUAAAUUUGAACAACAAGUAUAUCUUGAUUUUUAUUUUUAAUAAAGAGGAUAGUAUCCGCUCUUCCCAUCGAAAAACCGUUAUCCAACAAGAAAUUUUUAAGCCUAUCAUACCAUACUCUAGGUGCUUGUUUUAAUCCAUACAAUGCUUUUGAUAACUUAUAUACAUGAUUUGGAAAUUUCUCAUUUUCGAAACCAGGGGGUUGUUUCACAUAAACUUCCUCCAUAAUAUAACCAUUUAGGAAAGCACUCUUGACAUCCAUUUGAAAUAAAAUAAAAUCUUUAUGACAUGCAAAUGCUAACAACAUCCUAAUGGAUUCUAAUCUAGCUACAGGUUCAAAUGUUUCAUCGAAAUCGAUUCCUUCUUCUUGUUUGUAUCCUUGAGCCACUAAUCUAGCUUUAUUUCUUACAACCACACCGGAUUCAUCCAUUUUAUUUCUAAAUACCCAUUUAGUGCCUAUAAUGGAUUGAUGUUCUGGUUUAGGAACCAAUUCCCAUACUUUAUUUCUCUCAAAUUGAUUUAACUCCUCUUGCAUUGCCAUAAUCCAAAACUCAUCAUUUUCCGCAUCCGCAAAAGAUUUUGGUUCAAUUCGAGAAAUAAAUGCAGCAUGCUCACAUGUGUUUCUAAGUGAUGAUCUAGUUGUGAUAUCUCUUGAAGGAUCACCUAAUAUUAAAUCCUUAGGAUGAGAGGAAACAUACCUCCACUCCUUGGGGAGUGUUUGAGAACUACCUUCUUGUUGCUCCAGCUCCAUAUUUGUUUGUUCUUCUUGUCUAUCUUCUUGAUUUUCUUGUGGUGCAUGCUCUUGAUUCUCUUUUGACGAUUCUUCUUAUAACUCUCCAUCUGCAUCAUCAUUAACAACUCCUUUCUCCGCAGAGGAGGGGUUAGAUUCAUCAAACGUAACAUGCAUGGAUUCUUUCACAACUAAAGUUCUUUUAUUAUAAACUCUAUAAGCUUUGCUUGAGUUUGAAUACCCGAGAAAGAUGCCAAAUUAGAUUUUGGAUCAAAUUUACCAAGAUUAUCUUUUGUGUUUAAAAUAAAAUAUUUGCAUCCAAAAAUUUUGAAAUAACCAAUAUUGGAUUUUCUAUCUUUCCAAAGCUCAUAGGGAGUUUUAUUGAGAUGAGGUCUAAUCAACACAUGAUUUAAAACAUAACAAGCGGUGUUGACGGCUUCGGCCCAAAAAUAUUUUGGUAAUGCAUUUUCAUUUAACAUGGUCCUAGCCAUUUCUUGAAUAGACCUAUUCUUUCUCUCAACAACUCCAUUUUGUUGUGGAGUCCUAGGUGAUGAAAAUUGAUGCUCAAUGCCAAAAUCAUUACAAAAAUUUUCAAAUGCAUGAUUUUCAAACUCUCCACCAUGAUCACUUCUAAUACAAGUAAUAGAAUAACCCUUUUCAUUUUGAACCUUUUUACAGAAAAUUCUAAAUGCAUCAAUGGCAUCAUCCUUAUUAGCUAAGAAUAAUACCCAUGUGUAUCUAGAAUAAUCAUCUACAAUUACAAAUGCAUAAAAUUUGUCAUUUAAACUAGCAUAUUUAGAGGGUCCAAACAAAUUUAUGUGAAGUAAUUGAAGAGGUUUUAAAGUAAAGAUAUGAUUCUUGUUUUUGAAAGAGGUUUUGAUUUGUUUUCCAAAUUGACAUGCUUCACAAAUUCUAUCCUUUUGAAAACCAAUUUUUGGAAGACCUUUAACUAAAUCGUUUUUCGAAAUUUUUGAAAUUAAAUCCAUGCUUGCAUGUCCUAGUCUUUUAUGCCAUAACCAACCAUCAUCAUGCAAUGCUGAAAAACAUUUAUCAUGAGUAGAUGCACAUUUUAUAUCAAUCGUGUAAACAUUGCCACAUCUAUUUCCCAUAAACAAAAUUUUCCCAUCACAUGCAUUCUCAAUAACACAUCUUGAUUGAUCAAAAACAACUUUAUAACCUUUGUCACAUAGUUGACUAAUGCUAAUCAAAUUGUAUUUCAAAUUUUCAACCAAACACACAUUUUCAAUUAGAGUUGAAGAAAUUUUACCAACAUUUCCAAUUCCGAGAAUUUUUCCUUUUGAGUUAUCUCCAAAGGAUACAUCUCCACCAUUUUCGAUUUUGGUGAAACUUGAGAACCAUGCAUAGUUUCCGGUCAUAUGCCUAGAACAUCCGCUAUCCAAGUACCAUUUAUUUUUCUUUUUCUUCAAGCCCUGCAAAGAAAAUCUUAUGUCUUAGGUACCCAAACCUUUUUGGGUCCUUGAUCGUUAGCAACGGUUCCUUUUGGAACCCACACACAUUUGACACCAUUAUAUGCAUUCCUUUUUACGGGACAUCUAUAUUUCAUGUGACCAUUUUGAUUACAAUAAUGACAAACAAUCUUAUGAUUAUUUGUGGAGGUAGCUUUAACAAAAUAAUUCUUAUAAUACUUUUGCUUCAAGUUAGGCUUAUACCCAAGUCCUCCUUUAUCAAAAACACAUUUUUGGGAGUUAAACAUGUUAUCCAACAUCUUUUGCCCAUUUGUAAAUUUUAGAACAACAUUACUAAGUUCAAUAUUCUUUUUCUUGAGCAUUUCAUUUUCCUUUUUCAAAUCAUCUACAUGUGACUCUAAAUACUCAUGUGAAGUGCUAGAUUUUUCAUUUGAAAAUGCAACUCUAUUAUGCAAGGUUUUAUUCUCUAAUUCUAAUCCUUUAAUCUUCUCAUUCAAUGACUUAUUGCAUUUUUGCAUGGCAUCCUUUUCAUUUGUAGAUUCUAGCAAUUUCUUUUUAAGGCAUGCAUUAUUUUUACCAAUUUUUAUCAACUCAUCAUGCAUUUCUUUAAAAGCAUCAUAUAAUUCAUCAUAGGUUGGAUCAUUUACCUCAUUGAGAUCAUCAUCAUCUCCUAGUGCCAUAAGUGCUAGGUUUGAUACUUCUUGCGACUCAUCUUCAUCACUUGAAUCUUCAUCGCUAUCAUCCCAAGUAGCAACCAUAGCUUUCUUCUUGAGUUUGUUGAGAAGUAGGCAUUCCGAUCUUAUAUGGUCGGGCUUCUUGCACUCAUAGCAUAUGAUUACCUCUUUCUUCUCCUUUUGGUUUUUGAAAUUUCUGAAUUUUCUUCGGUCAUCGGUUUUCUUGAAAAAUUUUAUGAACCUCCUUGCUAGCAUAGCCAACUCCUCAUCAUCCGGCUCACUUUCCCCAUCACUCUCAUAUUUGGUGACUUUGAGAGCAAUGUUUUUCUUCCUUUCCCCAUUUCCUCUUUCAGCUGCCAAAUCUUCCUCAUAAGAAAUAAGAGAACCAAUUAAAUCAUCAAUAGGUAAGAUAUUCAAAUCUUUAGCUUCCUCAAUGGCAGUCCUUUUUGGUCUCCAUUCCUUAGGUAACGACCUAAUGAUUUUCUUAACUUUCUCGCUAUUUGAAAAGGUCUUUCCUAGGGCUCCUAGAGUGUUUACUAUGUCCGUAAAUCUAGUAUACAUAGAAUACACACUCUUAUUUUGUUCCAUUUGGAACAAUUCAUAUUGCCGAGUGUACCUACUAAUUUUAGACUCUUUCACUUGAUUCGUGCCUUCAUAAAUAACUUCAAGUUUGUACCAAAUUUCAUUAGCACUUUCACAACUAGAUACUCUAUGAAACUCUUUCUUAUCGAGUGCACAAAACAAGGCAUUCAUGGCUUUGGAAUUUAGAGAAGCUUUUCUCUUUUCCAAUUCAUUCCAUUCACGUGAAGGUUUUGGAAUGUCUUCCCCAAUUUCAUUUUUAGUCAAAGGCAUAAAUGGACCAUCACAUACAACUUCCCAAAUUUCAUAAUUUAAUGCUUGUAAAUAAAUUCUCAUCCUAGUUUUCCAAUACGGGUAGUCAUUUCCGUCAAAGAACGGUGGCUUAGUUAUGGAUUGUCCUUCCCUAAAGGUUGAAUCAUUUUGGGUUGCCAUGGAUCUUUUACUCUAAACGAUUAAGUCCUAACAAGAGAACCAAGCUCUGAUACCAAAUAAAAUGCAAGUAACGCAACCCAAGAGGGGGGGUGAAUUGGGGUUUUAAAAAUAAUGCAAUACGAUUCGCACAAUAAAUCAAUCUAACGCCUUAUGAAAUAGAGAACAAUAAAUUCAAACAAGUGUAAAAAUAAAAGAGCAAGGGAAGAGAAAAACAAACACGCGGAUUUUUACGUGGUUCGGCAAUCCCCGCCUACGUCCACGCCUCCAAGCCAACCAAGCUCGAGGAUUUCACUAUCCAAGCCUCCCCAGGCUUCAAGUUUUUACAAUUGACUUCCAAGGUGUCAAUGAACCUUUACAACCAAGAGAUUAUCUCCCCAAUCUCUUCACCCCAAGUGUUUCCCACACUUACACUCACAAUUUGAUAAGAAAUGAAAAUUACAACAAAAGCUCUCUUUAAGAGUGGAUAUGCAACUAAUAGCUCAAUAAUGAUUCAAUCAAUGAUGAUUUGCAUUUUGGAAGCUCAAUAUAUGUUGUAUGAUCUUAUAUUUGCUUGCAUUAGUCCUUAGAAUGAAGUUUGAGUUGAGUUUUUAUAGUGAAAGCCCAAAAACUAGCCGUUAUAGGAAAAUUCCGGUGUCCAAGCGGUUAGCCACUUGAUUAUCCGGCUAGCCGCUCAGGAACAGUGAUAUUACCGUUAUUUUUGAAUUUUACUACAGUAAUACUGUUCACUAAAAUUAUACUUUGGCCCAAAACUUUCUAUAAUUAUAUUAUGGCCCAAAACGUCAUAAAACUUUGCAAAUAAGUCCAAUUUAAGAACUUCCUAAGAAUACUUGUCUUUCCUAAACUUUUUGAAAUUAUAAUAUGGCCCCAAAAAUUUUAUUAUUUCACACAAAGGUCCUUUUACCCAUAUUUUUUAAAGUUCUCAAAACCUUUCACUUUAGUCCAAAAUAUUCAUAAAUUAUAGUAUGGCCCAAAACAUUUCAAAUGUUUGUAAAAACAUCCAACUCCGAAAGUUAAUACUUAUUAAAAUCAAAGAUUUCAAAUCUUAGCAUUUAAGUCCAAAUUACUUAAAUCCACAAAAUACUUUACUUUAUAAAAAUAAAACCUUUUAGUUUAUGAAAAGUAUUUAAUUAAAUUAAUCUCUUGACCUUCUCAAAUGCUAAAUCAUGCAUCAAUUAAAUCAUACCAGCUUUACAAGAAUUUAUGGCACUAAUUUGUUCGUUGAGCUCUAAACUAUUUUCUUGAUGUCGCCGUUGUCCGUUGAGUGUCUUCAAUCUUGAUUUCACUUGAUUCACUUGCAUAAAUAUUAUCCUUCAAAAACUAGUAAAAAUGUGAAAUACAAUAUUUAUUAAAUUACUUAAUACACAUGUUUGUUAUCAUCAACAUUACAUUAUGUAUAGCCUUUUAGGCUAACAUACAAAAAGUUUGUUGUUGGCUAUUUCCUAGACUAUAAAUGGUGGAUUCCAAAACUGUAAUGAGUCAAGUACAAGAGCUUCAGAUAAUAUUAUCUGAAAUCCUUGCUGAAGGGAUGAUGUUAAGCGAAACGUUUCAAAUGGUUGCAAUUAUUGAAAAAUUGCCUCUUGCUUCGAAAGAUUUCAAGAGUUAUUUGAAGUAUAAACGCAAGGAAAUGAAUAUUGAAGGGUUGUUUAUGUGGCUAAGGCAAACGUUGUUGAACAUGGACCUAAAAAUAAGAAAAAUAAAAAAUUGGGUCCGAAAGGAGGAAUUUCCAAGAAGCAAACAAAGUUUCAAGGAAAAUAUUUUAAUUGUGAUAAGAUAGGUCACAAGGCUUCGGAUUGCAGGUCGCCUAAAAAGAAGCAAGAGGCAAAUGUGGUGGAAAACAUCACUCAACAUGUUUCAGACAUAAACCUCUCUACAUUGGUUUCAGAAGUGAAUCUGGUUGGCUCUAAUCCGAGAGAAUGGUGGAUUGAUACGGGAGCAACCAGACAUAUUUGCUCGGACAGAGGGUUGUUCACUUCAUUUGAAGUAGUUAGCAAUGGAGAGAAGCUAUUCAUGGGGAAUUCUGCUACAUCUGAGAUUGAGGGUCAAGGGAAGGUGAUUCUGAAGAUGACUUCUAGAAAAGAGCUGACUCUAAACGAUGUGCUUUAUGUGCCAGAAAUUCGGAAGAACUUGGUGUCUGGAUCGCUAUUGAACAAACAUGGUUUCCGAAUGGUGUUUGAGUUAGAUAGGGUAGUUUUGUCAAAGAAUGAGAUGUAUGUGGGAAAGGGUUAUGUUAAUGAUGGGCUAUUUAAGCUCAAUGUAAUGACUCUGAAACCAAAAAUUAAUAAUGAAGCUAGUUCUUCUGCUUAUUUGCUUGAGUCUUCUAAUCUUUGGCAUAGUAGAUUAGGACAUGUUAAUUUUAAUUCAUUGCGUAAAUUAAUUAACAUGAUACAUAUUCCCAAUUUCCAAAUUGAUUUGAAACAUAAGUGUGAAACUUGUGUUGAGGCAAAACUAAGUAGGUCAUCUUUCCAAACAAUUAAAAGAAACAAUGAACCACUUGAUUUAAUACAUAGUGAUAUUUGUGAUUUUAAAUCCAUUCAAAUAAGAGGUGGUAAUAAAUAUUUUAUUACCUUUAUUGAUGAUUGCAUAAAAUAUUGCUAUGUAUAUUUGUUGAAAAGUAAAGAUGAAGCUUUAGAAAAAUCAAAGAAUUAAGGAGUGACCGCGGUGGUGAGUAUGUUAUUCCGUUUGAGUAACUAUAUGAACAAAGUGGAAUCAUACAUCAAGUCACGACUCCAUAUUCACCUCAAUCUAAUGGGAUUGUAGAUCGAAAGAAUUGAGCUUUAAAGGAAAUGAUAAAUGUAAUGUUGAUAAGUUCUGGGUUACCCCAGAAUAUGUGGGGAGAAGCUGUUUUGUCAGCUAAUUAUUUAUUAAAUAAGAUACCCCGAAAGCAAGAAGAUAAAACCCCGUAUGAGCUGUGGAAAGGUAGAGCACCUUCAUAUAAAUUCUUACGAGUGUGGGGGUGUCUUGCUAAAGUAGUGGUUCCUUUAAAUAAAAAAAUGAAAAUAGGACCAAAAACUGUUGACUGCAUUUUCAUUGGUUAUGCACAAAACAGUAGUGCUUAUCAAUUUCUGGUGCAUGAGUCUAAAGUUCUAGAUGUCCACAAAAAUACGAUAAUAGAAUCAAGAAAUGCAUUGUUUUUCGAACUUGUGUUUCCUUGCAAUUCUAGAGUGGAAUCGAGAGAACUAUGACAAUUUCAUGAAACAACAAUUGAAAAUAAAGAAAAUGAUGAAGCUCCAAAAGAAGAAGAAGAACAAGAAGUUGAGGUCAGACGUAGCAAAAGAGCUAGAAUAGAAAAGUCUUUUGGUCCAGACUUUCUGAUGUAUUUGCUAGAAAGUGAACCUCAAAGCUUCAAAGAAACUGUAACUUCACCUGAAGGCCCUUUAUGGAAAGAAGCCAUUAAUAGUGAUUUUGAAUCCAUUUUACAAAAUCAUACCUGAGAGCUUGUAGAUCUUCCUCCAGGAUGUAAACCUUUGGGGUAUAAGUGAAUUUUCAAAAGGAAAAUGAAAGCCGAUGGAUCAAUUGAUAAGUAAAAGGCUAGGCUUGUAAUUAAAUGUUAUAGGCAACGAGAAGGCCUUGAUUACUUUGAUACUUAUUCUCCUGUUACGAGAAUAAAUUCCAUUCGGAUGAUAAUAGUAAUUGCAGCUUUGCGUAAUCUCGAGAUACAUCAAAUGGAUGUAAAGACGGCUUUUGUAAAUGGAGAUUUAAAUGAAGAAAUCUACAUGGAGCACCCUGAAGGUUUUAUAGCUCCAGGACAAGAAAAGAAAGUUUGUAAAUUAGUAAAGUCAUUAUAUGGCUUGAAACAAGAACCAAAACAGUGGCAUGAAAAAUUUGAUCAUACGAUGAUCACAAGUGGAUUUAAGAUCAAUGAGAGUGACAAGUGUGUUUAUGUCAAAGAAACAGAAAAUGACUAUGUCAUUUUAUGUUUAUAUGUUGAUGACAUGCUCAUUGUUGGGAGUGAUGAUGACAUGAUUAAAUCUACCAAGAAUAUGUUGAAGUCUAAGUUUGACAUGAAAGACAUGGGUCUUGUAGAUGUCAUUUUGGGAAUUAAAAUCUCAAGGGCUUCUAAUGGACUUAUUCUAAGUCAAACUCAUUAUGUAGAUCAAAUUCUUGGGAAAUUUAAUAAAGAUGAUAAUACCGUGUCUAAAACUCCAUUAGAUACGAGUAUACAUCUAUCGAAAAACAGAGGAGAAGGUAUUUCUCAAGUAGAAUACGCUAGAAUAAUAGGCAGUCUGAUGUACUUAACAAAUUGUACCAGACCAGAUCUAGCCUAUACAGUAAGUAAACUUAGUAGACAUACAAGUAAUCCAGGAACUAAUCACUGGAAAGCUAUUGUAAGAGUACUCAGGUAUCUUCGAUACACUCGUAAUUAUGGACUGUACUAUACUAGGUAUCCGGAAGUAUUAGAAGGAUAUAGUGAUGCUAACUGGAUAUCUAAUGUAAAAGACUCAAAAUCCACUAGUGGCUAUGUGUUUACACUAACAGGUGUAGCUGUAUCAUGGAGGUCUUCUAAACAGACAGUAAUUGCCAGAUCUACAAUGGAAUAUGAAUUCAUUGCUUUAGAUAAAUGUGGUGAGGAAGUAGAAUGGCUAUGGAAUUUUUUAGAGGGUAUUCCAAAGUGGCCAAAGCCUGUGCCUAUAAUUUGUAUUCAUUACGAUAGUCAAUCAGCUAUCGGUAGGGCACAGAGCAAUAUGUAUAAUGGUAAGUCUAGACACAUACGUCGUAGACAUAAUACCAUUAGACAACUUAUUUCUACUGGAGUUAUUUCUAUUGACUAUGUAAGGUCAAAUGAUAACAUUGCGGAUCCACUAACCAAAGGAUUAAAUAGAAAGCUAGUAGAAAAAUCAUCGAGGGGAAUGAGAUUAAAACCCUUAGAAUGAUUAGUCAAUAACGAAGGAAAACCCAACCUAGUUGACUGGAGAUCCCAAGAUCUAGGUUCAAUGGGACAACCUAAUUGUUAAAGACUAAAGUUGGAUCACUGUGGGGGUCAUUCUCUUGAGAGGAUUACCUCAUUGACCAUUCCUAUGAUGAAACAGUGAUGCUCGUGAGAGAUAAGGUUGAGCUGGGCUCUUACUGAUUCUUAUGCAUCGAAAUUCGAGCGAAGUAAUACGAGUUACUCUUAAUUAAGAUAUCACCUAUGUGAGAGAGAAGUGGGGCCGCUUCAAAGGGAGUUGUUAGGGGUUCAGCUCUUAGAAACUCUGGUAGAACUAGGUAGAUGUUUAAGGCCAAAACGAGCAUAACCAUCAGAACUCAACAGUGUUAAGAGAGAUACCUCUGUGUAGUAUAUGAUCGUUUACACUAACGGCAGAACAGUUCAACGACAUCGCGUCUAUUGAUCAACCAGUAAAGUAAAUAUACUAUCACAAUGGAAGGUUUAAAGGAUAAAACCUACCUAUCCUUUGCUAGGUAUCGAUAUAAUAAACUCGAUCAUUAAGGUCAAAAAUGAUUUUGAUGUCAAAAUUUAGCGGUUUUCUGUUUUACUGCCAAAUUUCAUUCAUGUGGGGGAUUAUUGAAAAAAUAGCAAAUCAAUAUGCUAUUUUGAGGGCACAUUUUGAGUGGGUCCCACUUAGCAAAAGUGGGAAAUCUUGUGAAGUUCAGGUUCUACUCCGUGAAUACUUCGAAAGUGUAUAUUUAUUUACUCAAAAUGGUGCUUGGGUGAAUGAGAAAUUGUCUCUCAAAGUGCACCCUUGAAGUUGAAAAUUUGAAAG